This 338322-nucleotide long non-coding RNA is filed under the name Eucalyptus grandis. RNAcentral's name for it is "long non-coding RNA (EGRA_LNC001761)". The record is from RNAcentral. Lineage: Eukaryota; Viridiplantae; Streptophyta; Magnoliopsida; Myrtales; Myrtaceae.
UUUACUUUGCGGUCCUCUCUUUCUCGGAAAUUCACCUUCGCUUUCCCCACGUUUCUUGAUGUUUUCCUCGCCUCGAGAGCAAUCAAGAGCCAAAAAUCACCUCUCCUUGAGAAGUCUCAGUCGAUCUUCUUUCUCGGAAAUUCACUUUCGUCUCCACCACGUUUAUUGAUGUUUUCUUCGCAUUGAGAGCAAUCACAGAGCCAAAAAUUACCUCUCCUCGAGAAGCCUUAGUUGAUCUUCUUUCUCAGAAAUUCACCUUCAUCUCCCCCGCGUUUCUUGAUGUUUUCUUCGCCUCGAGAGCAAUCACAUAACCAAAGACCACCUCUCCUUGAGAAGUCUUAGUCGAUCAUCUUUCGCGGAAAUUCACCUUCGUCUCCCCUGCGUUUCUUGAUGUAUUCUUCGCCUCGAGAGCAAUCACAUGGCCACAAAUCACCUCUCCUUGAGAAGUCUUAGUUGAUCAUCUUUCUCGGUAAUUCAUCUUCGUCUCCCCCGCGUUUCUUGAUGUUCUCUUCGCAUUAAGAGCAAUCACAGAGCUAAAAUCGCCUCUCCUUGAGAAGCGUUAGUUGAUCUUCUUUCACUAAAUCUUGUCACAGUUAGCUUUUUUCUUGCGCGCCAUGGUUAAAUUGUUGGUGAAUGCAUUGCAGACGAUCGGCCACAAAUUGGACUCCAUCAAGACUUCGCUUUAAUCACCGAUUGAACAUCAUCAUUUUGGGCCGGCUAUAAAUAGGUAAUCGACUUGACUUUGAAAUUUAAAUAACUGCUCAGUAUAUAUACAUAUCGACAAACGUGGAGGCACAAGAAAGAGACUUGCACAUAUAAAGAUGCAAUCCAAUGUUCUUCUUUGAUGGUAGAGUUAAAGUGAGUGAGUAAGCAAUUAAGGAGAUUGCAGUGUGAGAUCUGGAGAAGCUUGAGAUGAGCUUUGUGCCUUUUGUAGAGAAGAUGAUGUGAGAUUAGCGUUAAAGAUGAGCUUCAUGUUUUUGCAGUUUGCCAUUUGUACCGCUUGCAAAUAAUCUUAAUAUAUUUAUUUUGUAAUACAAGAAAAUUCAGUGCGUUGAAAAUUAAAAAAAAAAAUUAUUAUUUGAUUACUUAGAAAGUGCUCGUUAGACGCUGAUUACAAGAUUCAUUUAAAAAUAGUUUUGUCAUUGGUGGAUGAAUGUAAUAUGUGUCUGUUGGUAAAUGUGUUAAUGAGAAAUGAAUUAUAUAGGUCAUUGACACGAUUAUUGUCGGACAUGGCUAGUGCAAUAGUGAUUCAUGAGCUAGGCAAUUAGCCCACUAAGCCCAUCUAAUAUCGUACCACCGAUUUAUGUUCGUCGACAAAUCUAGUUGAGGGUGCAUCGCUCGGACUGCUCGCAUUAAGUGUGAAUAUGUCUAUCUACCUCACAUUUAUUGGCCAUCUGUGGAAGCUGAUCUUUAUAUUUCCAGCUGAGCAAUCCCAAAGCCGCUGAAUGUUUGUUCAAUAUUCUUAGAAUAAUCAUUUUGUUGUACACUUUGAGAGUUAAAACAAUUGGAAAAUAGUGAUUGAGUGUUGUUUAUUGUGCGAAGAAAUUAUUAGUUAAGAAGCGUAAACACAUUAUCAAAAUAACUCCAAAAUCAAGUAAGGAAAACUAGUUUGGGGGCCACAUUUGACUUCAUAGUAGAGGUAACUUGUUGGGAAGGCUCAAGAACAACUUUUUGUUAGACCCGUUAAACGGGUGGGUCGGGUCGGGUUUGGGUCGGGUCAUAAAUGGUCCGACCCAAAGCGACCCAUUUAACCCGUUUAUAACCCAUUUAUUACAGUGCAAAUUUUUUGACCCAUACCCGACCCGACCUAUACCCAACCCAUACCCGACCCAUUUAACAAAACAUAAAAAAACUUAUAUAUAUAUUAAAAUGGUAUUGUUAACAUGAUUUUAUACAAUACAAAUUUUAAAAAAAUUAUUUAAAAAAGCGAAUUUUAAUUAUUUUUUAUUUUAAAAAAUUAAAUUUUAACUUAUUUUUAUUUAAAAAAUUAAAAUUUUAAUUAUUUUUAUUUAAAAAAUUAAAAUUUUAAUUAUUUUUAAUUUUCUUUUUCUCUUUUCUCUUUUCUUUUUUCUUUUUUCUUUUUUCUUCUUCCUCUUCUUUGGCCGGCCGCCGGCCACGACGACGACCGGCGACCGGCCACAGGCGAGCUGGCUCGCCCGGCUCGCCGACGCCGGCGAGUUCGAGUCUCGCCCGAUCGGCGAGGCUCGGGCCUCAGCGAACGUCGGCGAGGCCUUCGCCUCGCCAGAUCUGGCGAGGCUCGGGCCUCAGCGGACGUCGGCGAGGCCUCCGCCUCGCCAGAUCGGCGAGCUCGAGGCUCGCCAGAUCGGCGAGGCUCGAGCCUCGCCGGACGUCGGCGAGGCCUUCGCCUCGCCAGAUCUGGCGAGCUCGAGGCUCGCCGGCGUCGGGCGAGCUCGAGCUCGCCCCUCGCCAGAUCUGGCGAGGCUCGAGCCUCGCCCGACGCCGGCUAGUUCGCGUCUCGCCAGAUCGGCGAGGCUCGAGCCUCGCCGGGCGUCGGCGAGGCCUCCACCUGGCCAGAUCCGGCGAGCUCGAGGCUCGCCUGGCCGGUCGCCGGCCAUCGCCGUGCCGGCGACCGGAGUUAGAAGAAAGAAAAAAAAAAAAGAAGAAAGAAAAAAAAAGGAAAGAAAAAAUCAUUAUAAUUUUGAUUUUUAUAAAAAAAAUUGUAAAAUUAAAGAGAAGAGGGAGAGAAAAUGAGGUUUUGAGUGAAAAAUGGGUUGAUAAAUGGGUCAUAAACGGGUCAGCUUUUUGACCCGUUUAAAACCCAUAUAUCUUAGUGUAUACCCAUUAAAGCUUAUUAUGGAUGCUUUAUAAGAUAAAGCUUGACCCAUUAAUGACCCAUUUAAUUAUAAAUGGGUCCAUAAAUGGGUUGCACAACCCAUUUAACACCUCUACUUUUUGUGGGGUAUGAAACAAGUCCAGCUUCUGUUCUAAUGUAUUCAUUCAACUUCUUCGAUAGGUCAGAGACCGACUUCUAGAGGAAGUUUAAAAUUGACUUUGGCAAGAGGUUAUUAAGAGUAGAGUUACGUGAGUGAGUAUGCAGAUAUGGAGAUUGCAAUGUGAGAUUCUAAGAAGCUUGAGACGAGCUAAAAGAGGGAAAAUUGAUUAAAAAGUCUUAAAUCUAUUGUAUAACGAUUAAUUCAAUUGUAAACCUUUUAAUUGUGUCAAUUAAGUUGUAAAUUUUUUGAUGAUUUAUCAAUUUAGUAAUAAAUUUUUUUAAUGAUUUGUCAAUUUAGUCAUUUUGGCUAGAAUGGCUAACGCCUUAGUCUAGUUAACACUGUCUGUUUUAUGUGACAUGAUUAGUGUUGAUGUGGAUAGUUUUUGCAAUUUUAUUUAAUUUUAUGAUUAUUUUCCUUUCCUUUUUAUAUUAUUUUCUUCUUCUCUUUUUCACAUUUUCCCUCCGCCAACCCUUGCUUGAGGCUGGUGACCUCAACAACGGUUAACUUGAUUUAGUCUUACGUCAAUGCCUAGCUUAUUCUUCUUAGGUCAAAGUCCAGCUUAGACUUAAGAGAGAGCUUAACUCAACCAUAGUGCCCCCAUUCUCACAUAGGAAGAGGGAGGUAGAAAGUUCAAUUCUUCACUGGGCAUGGAUCUUUAGUUUUAACUAUGAUGCUCGACUUCCACACUUUACAAAGAGGUAAAACAAAAAUCUGAAAGUGAAUUGAAAGUUUAGUUCUUAGAUCACUUGAUACUAAUUACACAAAUGAUCUAAAAUUCAAAACAAAACAUAAGUCGGCUACUUUCGAAAUAUAAUCAACUAACGUACUUGGUGAUGUUUGGCCUUUAAAAUGGUUUGAUGCUUCUCCGAUGCCAUCAACGUUCAAUCACAUUAAUUACUCGAACAACUCAAUGAAUGGUGUACACUAAGGUUGCUCUCUCCGUUCCCCGUUGACUGUUAACAUUACAAUUACCAGCAACACACUGAAUUACGAGCCAAAUUAGCUGUUAUCUUUGUCCUUUCAACUCUUUUUCGAAACAAUUUUCUUGAAAAAGAAGCAACACUUUGGGAAGCACCAGACGAGGUCAUGACUUUGUCACUCAAAAACACGUGGGGAUGGCGGGGGAAACCGAAGAAACACCGCCCUUGCUCUGACUAUUAAAAUUAUUUGUUACGUUUAGAAUUUUCUUCGCAAAUACACCGCUGAGGAAACAAUUAUCUAGCUUAAAAGAUUUGUAAGGCCUUAUUAAAUACAUUAGAUUAGGGAUUAAUUGCAACGAAAUAUUAAAUACUUUAUACUAUGGUCAAAUAGAAAUGUUAACUUUAACUCAUUGGUGAUCUCCAAAAUAAGUUUGGAUUCAUUAUUGAAAUAGUUGGUGCUUUGAAACAAUCAAAUAAUCGUUGGCAAGUGGAUUCAAGUAAGAGGAUCAGACAUUUCCACAAAUAAUUGUCAGUAAAUUAUCAAAAUAAGUGGUGAUUUUGAAACAAUUGAACCUCAAUAUUGAUAAAGCUAAAACUCCUUGAGAACUUAAUCUGUAAAAAGUUGAUAAAUCUUAAAAUUUUUGUGGAUGAUGAAAAUACGUUUUGCGUAUCCAUUUUUGUAAGCGAUGUAAGCAAUUCUUUUUACAAAAAUAUUUACAAAUCAUUUAUUUUUUGCGAAAUAAAUGCACUUGAAAAUGACAUUACUUUUACCUACUUAUCUUACUUAAUGAGCGAAGGCACAUGCUUUACAUUGAAUUUAGUUUUUAGUUUUCAUGUCAAAUCAAAUCUCAUACAAAGCUGUAGUUCAGCUUGGGGUAGAUAACAAAUCUAAUAAAUGUUGAUUUUCCCUCCAUCUCGGAAUCUUUUCUAAAAUUUAUUGAUUAAAAUGGAUGCUCGUUUUAAGUUGAAGGUUAAUCAUUCUCAUUAUUUGUAUCGACACCAAGCAUCACUUAUUUUUGAAACAUCACUUGUUAUCCUGAAUACUAUUAGGCUUUACAAUUACACCUUAUAUAGUAAUUUAUAGUUUAAUGACCAAUUCUUAGCAUUUAGAUACCCAACUACACAAAUUAAUUUCAAUGGUUUUUUCCAUCGUAGUAGCUGGUGCCGCUUUGACUUUAGUCGUUUGCAUAUAUUAUUACCUAACUUAAGGUUUGUUACUCUGCAAGUCCUCUUUGUCACAGAAAAUCAACUUAAUCCUCCUCAGGACUCUUGAUGUUUUCUUCGUACUGAGAGCUACCGUAGGGCCAAAAUUCACCUGUCCUUGAAAAUCGAUAGCUCUGUUUGCAUGCCGUUGUUCAAAUGCCGGUAGUUUUGGGAUUUGUUGGUGAAUGCAGUGUAGUGGAGUGGCCGCAAAUUGGACUCUUUCGGGGCGUCGCUUUAAUCACCGUCAUGAUUAGGAUUAUUUCUGGAAAGAGUGCCCAAUUAACAUUACAAAAGUGCACGCACAAUGCAUGUGUGAAAAAAAAGGUCGUUUAAUAGAUUUUACAAAAUUUUCCUACAAUGAAUUGUUAGAUUCUUUAAUUAAUGAAAAGAAAUUAUUGACAUAACAUGAAGAAGUUGAUCAUAUGUUUGUGGAAAGACAAAAUUAUUUUAAGAUCUGAACUUUUGGUAAGAUAGAAUAGACUCAAAUUUUAAAAUUGAAAUAUGUGAAAGAUAAAAUAAUUAAUUUUGAUAUUUGUCGAUUGAUGGAAUAUCUAUGAAUUAAUUAAUUGAGAAUAUUUUAGGCAUGAAAUAAGUAAUUAUGAUCAAGUAAGACCUCUUUGAUUUAUUUAACGCUAUAGAAGAAGUACUUGAUUUUGUCCUGACAAUUCCAAUAAUAUCAUGAUUAUAUAUUUUACGUAGAAUUCUGAGUUGAUUAAAAAGGAAAGGGUGUGGCUAUGUUUUUCCUUUUGAACUCUUUGUGGCUGAAAAGUAAAAAAAAAAAAACACCUGAGCCCCUUUUUUGGCAAAGAAUAGUAAUAAUCAACUUUUUUUUUUUUUUUACAUUUUUCUCCACUAAAAUGUUCCUUUAAUUAUUAAAAAAUAGUGAAAAUUGUAUGUUCAUACACUAGGCAAUAUUAGACUAAUGUUAAGGUUUCAGGCCCUAAGAUUGAAAAACCAAGAUGUGUAUUGGCAAGUUUUAAAGAAAAAAAUAAAAUAAAUAAAAGUGAAUCUGAACAACUAUUUUUUUUGGUGCAAAAUCUGAAAAACCUAAUUACUUGACUUAAAAAAACAGUAUUCAAUAUCCAAUCAGCUUACUUAAGUUAUUGUUUUGCUGUAAAGAAUAACCUACCGCCUUUCUCUGUCCUCCAGUUCGUGUACUUCUUUUCACCAAGUAACAGUGAAAAGCAUGAAUAGGUUGGAAGGAAGAAAAAAAACACAAAUUAUUUACUCUUUACUUAAGGAUUAAUAUUACGAAAUACUCUAAACUGAUAUAUUUGUAACAAAUUUCUCCAAACUAAUUUUUGCUCACGAAAAAUCUCAAACCAUUACAAAUGUGAUAAAUUUAAUCCAAACUAAUUUUUUGACCCUCAAAGAUCCCAAACUGAUACAUUUAUAACAUGCAUACCAUUCAUUAAAUUAAAUUAAUACCAUAAAAUUGGUAUAAUUAUGACAAAUAGAGAGUAAAAUCCUAAGUCACGUGUAAUCCGACUCAACCAUUAGAAAUUAAUAGAGGGUAAAUUUAUCACAAGUAUCAGUUUGGGGUAAAUUUGUCAAAACUAUAUCAAUUUAUUGUAAAAAUUAAUUUGGGAUAAAUUUAUUACGAGUUUGUCAGUUUGAGUUUUUUUUUUUUUUGGUAUCAACCAUUUACUUAAUAAACUAGCGAAUGUCCUUCUGAAGCCGUUUAAAACAUGGAAUGUUCUGUUAAAUUGAUCCCGAAAUUUCAAUUUUGCCCCUUUCCUUUUUCUUUUUUAUAUAUAAUUGUUUGCAAGAUUUUUCCUUUUCUGAUAUCCAACUCCCUGCUGUUGGGCCACGUGCGUCCCACGUGACUUGGUCUUCACAAAUUUUCCUCCGGGAGCACUUUGCCCUUUGCCCGAUAUCGAUAACUCUCCCUCUCUGUGCGCCUCCAUGUUCUGAUUUUUGCCGACUCCCUUCGUUUCCCAGUACGGCAGUAACUCGCCUUCAACCUCCCUGCGUCGACUUUGCCCUUCUUCUCUUCAACUUGAGAGGUUAUAGUCGAUCUUACUCCUCUGCACCCUCCCAAUUAGCUCUUUUCGCAGAGCGGUUCUUCUGAGGAUGAAUACAGCUGAAAAGAUCGGCCCACAGAUGGAAUUCAACGGAAGUCAGGCUCUAAUGAUCAUCCUUGCUUUGACUGUAGGAGGACUGUAAGUGCUCUGAUUGGGCUUCUGUUCGAGCUAUUGUUGGCAGAUGAUGGACAACAAAAGAAACUUUGCUUGGGGAAAACUUUCGAAAUCGAAGAGAAGGAGGGGCUCGGAGUCAACCUCGAGAACGGAUGAUGCGUCUGGAGAAGAGAACGAGGCGCCAAGGAGGGACUCGGAGUCAACCUCAAGAACGGACGAUCUGUCGGGAGAAGAGGACGAGGCGUUCAACACAUGGGGAACAGAGUACGAUGUGUUCUUGAGUUUCCGGGGACCAGACACACGCAACAACUUCACCGAUUGCCUUUACUGUAGAUUGAGACUCGCUGGAUUCCAUGUCUUUCUAGACAACGAAGAACUCCGAGUCGGCAAAGAAAUCGGUGGUGAGCUUUUGAAAGCGCUCAACAAGUCUCAGAUCUACAUACCCAUCUUCUCUCACAAUUACGCUGCCAGUUCGUGGUGUCUUCGUGAGGUUGCGCAUAUGGACAAAUGCACCUCAAAAUCAAAUGGUAAGAAAGAGAUACUUCCCAUCUUUUAUGAUGUGGACCCUGAUGACGUUAAACUCAAAACCGAAUUGUACAAAAAUGCCAUAGCCAAGCACGAGGAGAAAUUCGGCCUUGAUGAAUUGAAGCGGUGGGAGGCUGCUCUUGUAAAGGUUGCACGUCUCAAGGGAUGGGAUCUUAAACGGAAAGGGUAAUCUUCUUCAAAUUUUUUGGUUCUUGUUAAUAGACGCAGUAGCUACACUUCUCAUUUGAAGAAAUUUUGUCCUCAAAAUUUUAGGAAUAAAGCAAUGCGACAUUUUUUCAUUCUAGGAAAAAAAUAAAAGGGCAAAAAGGUCCACUUAAGUUCAAUUUAUGAGUGAAUCCGAUGACUCUUACUUGAAUCCGGUCUGAUAGGUCUAGUGAUAACUUACCAACUAAAAUCUGUUCCCCUUUUCUUGCGCCCCCCCCAAAAAAAAAAAAAAUUGUUUACUUAGAUAACAAGAGAACAGUUUUACCUAUUAAGAAUAUCUAUUGCGCUUCUUUCGAUUUUGCUCGGGUCCCCGAAUUUUUUCUUUUAUCUCAGAAUUCAGCUGUUACAUUAGCUUAAUCCUAUAAAUAUAUCUCAACAAUACUGGCACUUUGGAUCAUAUGUUGCUGCAUGUUUGCAUUAUGAAAAGAAUAUUAAAGCUUACUCUGUCCAUUCCAUCAAGAAUAUCGCCUUCACGUCAAUCGGCUCAUGCAUUAUCUGAAUCAUCUCUCAUACAUAAAAUUGAGUGACAUUCCAUCAAAUUCCAACAUGUGUAUCAACUGAUUGUGCCACUUAAUUUCCAUCCAUAGUACAUGAAACUGUUGACUUAUUUAACCACAUGGUCCUAGAGAAAGAGAGAUCGUCAUAUCCAUGAGGAUUUUUACCCUUUUCUUUCAUGUCAUUGACAAACAAAUUUUUUCUAUUUUGCUGCAGCCAAGGGGAACUAAUAGACUUGGUUGUUGAAGAGGUAUUCUGUAAGCUUAAUGCCAGAUACGUGGAUGUGCCUAAAUAUUUGAUUGAAGAUCAUCCCCAGAUAAAAGCCAUAACAGAAAAGUUGGAAGUUGACUCUAAUGGUGUACGUUUCCUUGGUAUUCAUGGAGGGGGUGGCAUUGGUAAAACGGUACUUGCGAGGAUUGUGUUCAACAGAUUAUCUCACCACUUUGACGGCGUAAGUUUCCUUAAUGACGUUCGAGAAUCAUCGAAGUGUGGCCUUAUAGACUUGCAAAAAAAGUUACUAUCAAGUUUUGUUGGUUUUGUGAUUGCUCACCAAAUUAAAGACAUCGAGGAUGGGAUGUGUUGGAUCAAGAAAGUAUGCAAUACUAAAAAAUGCCUCAUUGUUCUUGAUGAUCUAGACAAGAAAGAGCAACUCGAAAAGCUAGCUGGAGAAUCAGAUUGGUUUGGUUCUGGUAGCAGGAUCAUUAUCACAACUAGAGACAAAAGUAUACUGAUGACUCAAGUGGAAUCAUCUAAUAAACAAAUCCAAAAUCAAACCAACGGAGUUUUGUCUUAUGAAGUUCGUGAGAUGAAAUAUGGUCAAGCACUUCAGUUAUUUUGUAAGCACUCAUUCAGAAGAGACUCUCCCAUAGAAGGAUAUGACCAUCUUGCAGAGAAAAUUGUCCGUAGAGUGGGGAUGCUUCCUUUGGCUGUCGAGGUGAUAGGUUCAUCCCUUUAUUGUGAGGGCUUGGUCCAGGAGGAACAUUUUGAUAAAAUAGAGCUAUGGAAAGACACGCUGAAGCAGUUAGAUGAAGGUCCUUACAAGGAUGUCCGAGAUGCAUUAAUGAUAAGUUAUGAUCAAUUGGAGCCUAAGCACAAAGAAGUAUUUUUAGAUAUUGCUUGCUUUUUCACCAAUGAGGAUCAAACAUAUCCAAUUAUCAUGUGGCGUGACCAUAAUUACCAUCCUCACCGUGCAAUUAGUAUUCUCCUCCUACGGUCCUUGAUAAAAACUAGAGAUGAUAAAAAGUUUUGGAUGCAUGACCAAGUUCGAGAUCUGGGAAGGUACAUUAUCCUCGAAGAAUAUCCUCGCAAAGAAAAUCCUCACAAAUUUAGUAGGGUAUGGAUUCAAGAGGAUGCUUUAAAGCUAUUGGAGAGAAAAGAGGUAAAUGGAAGAGUAUGUCACACAAUAUUUAUUUGGAAAGAGAGACUUGUUGAAUUUUUUCUUUUAAUUUACAGUUAGCUUUGUUGAACUUCCCAUUUGUCUUCUUAGUGAGGCCACUCUCUCUCAAACAUUUGGGUCAAAAGGUCUUGUAAAUAUGUGGAGAGAGACCAGAUAGAUUGCCUAAUAGUUAGCUCUGUUUUCUUGUAUGAAGAAUUUUUAAAUUAUUUUUAAACAUAAUUACACAAAAAACUAAAGACUAUGGAGAUUGGAUUUCAUAUGGCAAUUAUAUUUCUUGAAAAGUAGCAAAUGAGAAAGGGAGAAUAAAUUUAGGAGAUAUGUUCAAAUGGAGCUGAAUUUUUCUGUUAGUCAUGUGAAAGAAACGUAUUAAGUCAACUUGGGAGAAGGUGUGUGCCGGGUUGAAUUCCUAUUAGAGAAAUUGUUUACCAGCGCUCAUAUGCUUCAUUUCUUUAUAGCUUUUCGAGAGUUUAAAGUUUUAUGAACUCAAUAAUCUUGAGUCUCUGGUGGCAGAGAAAUCCAGACGUUGAAGCUCUAAGCCUGACUCCCAAUGGCUGUAGCCGCAACUUUACACCUGAAGAGUUUGCUGCUCUACCAAAUCUAAGGUUCCUUCGAGUGAAAGAGUUUGAUUUUUGUGGCAACUUCGAGAAUCUUCUUUUGGAGCUAAGAUGGCUUUCGUGGCAAACAUGGGAAACAACUUUUCACGCGAAUAACUUUCACUUUAGCAAUUUGCUUGUGCUCGACCUUUCAGAUAGCAAUAUUGGAGAUGGCUGGGGUGGGUGGGGCCAAAUGAAGGUAUGAUUUGCCUUACUCUAUACACUUCUUUCUGGCCAUUACCUCAUUCGUGAUAAUAGAAGCAACAUAUAUACUUCACUUCCUUGUAUCAUUACCUCAUACAAUUGACCCAAUGGUUGGAUGCACUCCUCGUUCCAUCUGAGUGUAGAAUAUAUUUUGCAAUGAGUAAAUCGCAAAUCUUUUCAUAUCAUGGUAAAAUACAAUUAUGUCCCACAUAAAAAAUGCCUCAUGUGGAUUACAACCUUGGUUUUUUUAUCUCUGAAAGUUGCUUAAGCUUUGGAAAUGGCGUAUUCCAAUAAAAUUAGUGUAUUCCAAUAAGUGUAAGUACCAUUUUGCUUCAAUAUGCACCAGAAUAUGAUUUGAAUGACGUAAACUUUGAGUCAAGUUGAGUUAGAAAAGUCAACUGGAAUCAAGUUUGAGAUUGGUAAUAUUUAAGUUGAUGUGUAAAUGAUCACAAGUUUAUUUGGAAUAGCUAAGUUGAUUAUUUGAAUCAAGGCAAGCUUGAGCUCAAUAAUAUUUGAUUCAAGCAGCUCACUAGCCUAAUUUAAUAGCUGAUUCUCUAUGUUAUGUUUAUGAUUACGUUACUGAACUGUAAAUAAAUGAAAAUUCCAUUACUUUUACUUUUCUAUUUUACCUGAGUUAAUGAGCGAAGGCUCAAGCUUUGCAUUGAAUCAAAUUAGAUCUCACACGGGUUGAAUGUGGUGAUGUUGAAGAUUGUUGUCCAAGGUGGUGUGCUGGUGGUCAAUGGCAGUGGGUGGAGAAAAACUAGGGGUGCUGGUAUUUGGUGCUUGUGGGAGAUCUGGGAAUUAGAGUCUUCUGUAUUUUCGUAGCAAUGAUACUUUAGCCUUUAGUUUAUGGAGUUUUGUUCUAAGAAGGGAACUAAGGGUUUUUGAAAAUAAAGGACGUGAAGUAAAAGUUGGGAUGGUCCUUUGUUAGCUGUGGUAUAAAUUUGACUCCUAACAGGGGCCUAACUCUCAGGUCGGGGAUUAUUCUGAAAAAUUUAAAGUAAGAGAGUUAUUUGCAGCAACCCCAAAAAUACUUGGGAAAUUCAAAUUACCUAGAUCAUCCUAAAUAAUGACAUGGAUAAUAAGCUUAUUAGUAAUAUUACGACACAUGCUGAUGUUUCUCAUUUAUUUUUUCACGUCGACUUUUUUUCUGCAGAUGGAUAGAUUGAAGAUUCUAGAUCUGACGGGUUGCAUAAGGUUAAAAAAGACACCCGAGUUCUCUAAUUUCAUGUCUUUGGAGAAGUUAAUUCUUGCUGGGUGUGUCGAGUUAACCACAAUUGACCGCUCCAUUGGUAAGCUAGAACACCUAACUACUUUGAAUAUCAAGGGAUGCAGGUUGCUUGGGGAGUUACCCGAAGAAGUCGGUGCUCUACAAUCCUUGACAGAGGUUAUCAUGCCCCAAACUUUUCAAUGCUUCAAACUUUCGGAGGCAUUUGGCAAUCUAAAAUCUUUGUUGAGUUUGAUAUUAGACGAGCACCUUGGAAUCAGCCAACUUCCAAGCUAUAUUGGAGGGUUAGUGAAAGUUACAUAUUUAUCUUUACGUUGGUGUGUGGGGAUAGAGAAGCUUCCACGCUCUCUUGGAAAAAUGGAAAUGUUGGUCAAGUUGGAUUUAUCAAUGUCAGGAAUAGUUGAACUACCUGAUUCCAUUGGAGAUAUGAAGAAACUAAAAGUCAUUAGGGUAAGCUAUACAAUGAUAAGAAAGUUUCCUCGUACGAUCGGACAGGUGGAGAUGCUUGAAGAGUUACAUGCCAAGAAAUGUUGGGAUCUAACAGAUGAAAAUCUAGAGGAAAUUGGGAAGCUAUCCCAUUUGAAGACAUUGGACUUAUCAUAUACUCGUGUAUCUAGAUUCCCCACGGUGCUAGGUUGUCUCUCUCAUCUCCACACACUUGAAUUGGGUUUGAGCGACCUUCAGGAAGUACUUGAUCUUCCCUCAAGUUUGACACGCCUUCACAUGCAAGCACGUCAGUCCCCAUCUAUCCUUGACCUCUCAAGUCUCGUUAAUUUAGAUUAUCUGGAAUUAUCUAGAUUAACUGUUUCAAGAGAGGAACCUAACCCAAGUUGGACAAACAAUUUGCCAGUAAAACAACUGAUCCAUCCGCUUCCAAGUGGCUUGUCAACUUUGAAAUGCAGGGGCAUCUGGCUACUACCGUCUCUUUCCAACUUAAGAAAAUUAUCAGUUCUGCAUGUCAUUGAAUAUCCAAUGCCAUACUUCUCUAUCUCUCAUGAGCUAAAACAUUUAAGGGAAUUGAAACUAAGUAAGUGCAAAUUUGUUGAGAUAAUACUGUCGUGCUUGAAUAAUCUACAGCACCUGGAACUAAACAGAUUGGACAGGCUGAUUAAUAUUGAAGGUUUGUCAGAAUUGGCAUCCUUGUUGUACUUUCGUAUUUCUGACUGCUAUAGGAUAAAAAAGUUACCCAACUUUUCAAAGUUAGAUAAGCUGCAACACAUUGAAUUAGAAGCUUGUCCAAAAAUAAAAGCGAUCGAGGGCAUUGAGGGCUUAGAUAGGUUGGUGUGGGAUAAUCGUGGUUGCGUUGUACUAGAGAGAUUACUAGAUGUCUCAAGAUCGACCUGGAUUUCUCGCAAAACACCAGAGUGCCAGGUUUUCCUGAGUUAUAAUAGACUGGACACUUCUUAUAACAUUGUCGAUGUCCUUUACAAGAAUUUGGUUCGUAACCAAAUUUCGGUUAUCAGGGAUGAUGACAUAUUGAGCUUUGGUGAUGGAAUUGGCGAAGAGCUUCCGCAAGCACUCAGUGACUGCCAUAUCUACAUACCCUUCUUAUCUAAGAACUAUGCUUCUAACUGGUGCUGUCUCCAUGCAUUAGCCCACAUGGUAAAAUGCACGUCAAACUCACAUGGGAAAAAAAUAAUCCUGCCCAUUUUCUACGGUGUGGAGGUUGAUGAUGUUAAUCUUAAAAGCGCUUUGUACAGAAGUGCCCUAGAUAAGCACAGGUGGAAAUUUGGCAACGCGGUGGAGGAAUGGGAAAUGGCUCUAAGAGAGAUCGCACACAUAAGGCGGUUCAACAUGAAUCAUGACAGGUAAUGCUGCUAUCUUUUAUUAACUGGACCAAAUUGAACUUUAGCACCAUAGAAUUUCAUGAUAAAAAAAAAAAAAUGUAAACUUCUGCACAAAAACAGUCGAGGACACCAACUGAAUUCUUAUGCUUUUUUUGAAAGAGUUUCUUAGGUUGGUGAAGAAAAAGAAGGCAAAGAAAUUUGAGGUGAAGAAAAUGUAUUCUUUGGGUUGGCUGGAGUUGUAGGGUGCGGAGGUGAAGAUAGUGUAGGGAUGUGAAAAUGAAGAAUGAAAAUUGAAAAUUGGCAUAUAUAUUCUUUGUAUUUUGACUUCUAUGAAGUUAAUUUCUUUGCAACAGCCGAUCAAAUUUGUUUUCUGAACGAUGUAUAUAGAAAGCCUAUUAUUAAAGCAAAGAAGGUUGCCUGGGCUGGACAUCUCAUCCUCCUAUGAAAAUUGAAGUUUUUAAAUAGGCUUUGGAUAAUUACUAUAUAAUCCUUCACAAUUUUGUCAUUUUUUAUUACUUUUGAGAGUUCAUUUGGAAAAGAGAGAAAAAAGUGGGAAUUUCUCCCCUGCUUUCUUCACACGUCGGCGAGAAACAUAAUUGGUUGACCCGGAAAAAUUUUAUUUUAUUUCCAUAUCAGCGUCUGCAUUUUAGGAUUCAACCCAGGCACAAUAAAUUCUUUCCACUCUGAAUCCUGCUUUCCAACGGUGUGUUUUUGUUCAGGAUACAGCUAAAGAAUAGAAGACAAGGCACUAAAAAAUAACGAAGAAAAUUUCUAUAAAUGGAGAAAAGGUGUGAUUUAAAAUUAUUCUAGGAAAUUGAUUUAAAUUAUCACAAGAUGGAAAGAAGUUCAUUGGAGUUUAGAACCCAUAUGAGAUUCAUAAGGUAAAUCAUUUAACUCUCUUGGCCAUUUUAAAUUUCCAAUUUAUCAUUGGUUUGAUGUUACACAAUUAUCAUUUUUUCUUAUCGAGGUAACACAGUGCAUGAGCUUCUGUAGAAUUUUCUAAUAAAUGUUUGAGAUUGAAAGUCGUUUUGAGUGCAUUUUAUGAUAUAGGGUGAUGAUAAAAGGUGCUUUGAAAUAAUCACUUCAAUUGUCUCCAUAAUAGGAACAUAAAAGGUAGUGCAAAAGUGUUUAUCCAGAAUAAAUGCAGUAGUUCCUGGAUUGAAAUGAAAUUAGACUCCUAAAUUUAUGUAUAGAUGGAGUGACUAAGAACGAUCAAUUUGAAGCAUAUAUACAUUGCAAAAAAUUAGAUAACACCCUUCAAGAGCUAGAAAAAUUACUAAAAAAAUCAUAAACUCUUAACAAUUGUGUUAAUUAAGUCCUAAACAUUUUUUUUCUUUGCCAAUUAAGUCUUAAAUCAUUUGCAUUUGAGUCAAUUUAGUCUAUCUGGCCAAUUUUGGUUGGCCAGCACUAACAUGGACAUUCGUCGUCCUACGUAACGCAACCAAUGCUAAAGUGCACAAUUUUUAAUAAUCUUUUAAUUUUUUUUCUUUUUGAAUUUUAUUUUUGAAUUUCUUUUUCCUUUUAUUUAUUUUCUUUCACUUUUUUUCCCUUAACUCCUUCCUCCAGCCAGUCAUUGGACCUCGACGAUUGGCCAAAGGCGAGGGCUGGUGAGCUUGUCAGCCUCACCCUGGCCACCCGCUUGGUUGGUGAGGCAAGAUCGAGACUUGCCUAGCCACUAGUGAGGCUCGAGCCCUCGUUAGAGCUGCUAGGUUGAAGGCCAUGACCUCUUGCAAGGGCGAGUCGCCCAGCUCAGCCCAGCCCAACCUAAGCCACCUUCGUAGCCUUUGGCGAGGGUGAGCCUCACCAGGGUGCGAGGCCGAUAAGGUCAACCUUGCCAACCCUCACCUCUGGUUGGUCGUCGAGGUCUAGCGACCAACUGGAAGAAGAAGAAAGGGAAGAAAAAAAGAAAGAGAAAGAAAAGGAAAAAGAAAUGAAAAUAAAUAAAUAAAUAGUUUGAAAAAUUAAAAUUUUAUUAAAAAUUGUCCAUAUUAGUGCAGUUCAUGUUAUGUACAAUAGCUGGUAUCUAUGUCAACACUGAAUGGUCAAAAUUGGUUAGAUGGAUUGAAUUGACACAACUAUAAAUGUUUUAGGACUCAAUUGACCAAAGAAAAAAAGUUCAAGACUAAAUUGGUACCCUUGAAAUAGAUUUUGAAAUGUUUUGGUAAUUUUUCUUCCAAGAGCUUCCUAUUGAAUGAUAAAUUGAAUUUUGCAACAACUAAUGUAGAAUUGUCAAUGUGGUCUUUUCUACCUUGAAAUGUGCCCUUCAACCAAAAAGAAGAUUAAGUCUUUGAAUUAUAUUUAUUUGUAUUUGUUAUGUGUUAUGUUUCUAUUAUUUUGUACCCUUGGAAGGGGGUGUGUGUAAUGGGUUUAAAGUGGUUUUUUUUUUUAAUUGAAUUUUGUGUCAAAUGCCCCUUGUCUUCUUUAAUUCAAAUAAUAAAUAAAUAAAAUACAUGAUAAGAAAACAUUUCCAUCACUAACCUUAGGAUUAAUCUAAUUUUAUUAAUAAAAAUAAUUAAAAGUUAAAAAGUUAACGAUGAAAAAAUGGGAAAGUUUUUAAGAAGGGUCCAAAGUGCCCUCAAUUUCUAAAAUAGGGGCAUGGAGUGACCAGGUUAGUCUUAAAGAAUGACUUAACCUCAUCGAUUAGUGAGAGCGUUUUCAUCAUUUACUUUUUCUUAUUUUCUUUCAUUUUUCUAUUAUUUUCUCUCUAACCCACAAGCAAGAGGGCUAGGCCAGCCCUCCUGUCCGUUUUUUUUUUUUUUUAAUUUGUAUUUUUAAGUAGUAGUCUUUUUUAUGGAAAAAAUAGAGAAAGCAAAAAAGAAAGCAAAAAAGGGAAGAAAAUAAGAAAAUAUAAAAGAAAGAAAUGCCCUUGACCAGUCAAUGAGGUAAGGUCCUUCUUUGAGACUAACAUGGCCAUUUCUAGUCCUUAUUUGAAGCAAGGCUUACUUUAGGCCCUUUUUUUAGAAGUAAAGAGCACUUCGGGCUCUUAUUUGAAAUUUCCCUUGAAAAAAAUGAUAAAUAAGUAUGAAUAGUUAGAAAAAUAUCUGAUAUGUAUACUAAAGCAAAUGACCAUAAAUCUCUCUAUUUUAACACUUUCAAUGUAUCUAAACUUUUAAGCCUACCAGAAAAGUAGCCAAGUCUUUCUAAUUUGUAUGAAAACUAUAUUCCAAACCCUUUAACACCAUUUAUGAGAAGAAUAUUCGGUUAGAUUCUUUCCUGACUUUCAAUUUUGCCUAUAGAAGAAAGAAGAUUUAUAUAGUUCUAGUAUUCAAGGGAAGACAGUUAAGUGAAAAUAAUGUAACGGAUGCAUAAUUCAAGGGAGAAUAUUUAUUUGGCUUCAUAUAAACUAAUUUUUGUUUAUUAAAUGUAUUUACAAAUUUUUUAUAUGAAGAAAAAAUGAAAAAUUAGGUUCUUCUAUGCAAUAUUCAGAUAAAUCUAGCGUAAAUUUACCAAAUAAAAUCUGUUCACUUUUUUACGCCAAAAUAAAAAAUUUUCACAAAGAAAAUAAUAGAACAGUUUUACCUAUGAAGAAUAUCUGUUGUGCUUAGCACUUUGGAUUUUAUGAAAAAAAAUCCAAGCAUUAUGAAAAAAAUAUUACCUUCUUAAGUUUUGUUAAUCUUACUACAUCCAUUCCAUCAAGAAUGUAUACUUCAUAUCAAUCGGCUCAUGCAUUUUCUAAAGCAUCUCCAAUACAUCAAAUUGAGCAGCUUUUCAUGAAAUUCCAAUGUACGUGUCAGCUUACUAUCAUGCUUAAUUUCCGUCCAUAGAAACAGAGAUGGUUGACUUAUUCAACCAUAGGGUCCCUAGAGACCCAGAGAUUGUCAUAUCUAGAAGAAAUUUAUACCCUUUUCUUUCAUGUCAUUGACGAAAAAAAUAUUUCCUGCUUUGCUGCAGCCAUGGAGAACUAAUUGAAUCGGUUGUUAGAGACGUUUCACGGAAGCUCAGGAGCAAAAAUGUGGAUGUGCCUGAACAUUUGGUUGAGGAUCACAGUCAGAUAAAAGCGAUAAUAGAUAAGUUGGAUGUUGACUCUGGUGGUGUGCGUUUUGUUGGGAUACAUGGAAUUGGUGGUAUCGGUAAAACAACACUUGCGAAGGUCGUGUUCAACGAAUUACUUCUUCAAUUUGACAGUGUUAGUUUCCUCCAAAACGUUCGAGAAUCAUCCCAACAUAGUCUUGAUGGUCUUGUAAACUUGCAGAAAAAGUUAUUAUUGGAUGUUAUUGGUUCUGGGGAUACUGUCCAAAUCAAAGACAUAGGCGAUGGGAUGGCUCAAAUCAAGACAGUAUGUAGGACUAAAAAGGUCCUCAUUGUUCUUGAUGAUCUAGACAAGAAAGAGCAACUCCAAAAGCUAGCCGGAAAAUCUGAUUGGUUUGGUUUGGGUAGCAGGAUCAUUAUCACAACUAGGGACAAAAGUAUCUUGAUGACUCAAGUGGAAUCAUUUGGUGAAGUGGUCCUAAAUCGACCUAAAGGAAUUUUGGCUUAUGAAGUUUAUGAAAUGGAAUUUGGUCGAGCACUCCAGUUGUUUUGUGAGCACACAUUCAAAAGAGACUCUCCUGUAAAAGGAUAUGAGCAUCUUGCAGAGAAAAUUGUUCGUAGAGUGGGAAUGCUUCCUUUGGCUGUCGUGGAGAUAGGUUCAAGUCUUCGUUCCAGUCAAAAAAUUGGAGAAUGGGAAGAUAAGUUGAUGCAGUUAAAUAAAGGUCCUUUGAAGGUUGUCUGCGAUGCAUUAAUGGUAAGUUACGAAGGAUUGGCAAAUGAGGAAAAAGAAGUAUUUUUGGAUAUUGUUUGCUUUUUCACCAACGGGGACCAAAUGUAUCCAGAUAUCAUGUGGGAUGACUCUCAAAGUGCAAUUAGUGUCCUCCUUCAACGUUCCUUGAUAAAAAUUAGAGAUAAUAAAAUUUGGAUGCAUGAUCAAUUGCGAGAUUUGGGAAGGAACAUCAUAGUUGAAAAAUAUCCUCACAAAUGUACGAGGGUGUGGAUUCAUGAGUGUGUUGUAGCAAUGCUAUGGGAGCGAAAAGAGGUAAAAUGGAAGACUAUGUCUCAUAAUUUUUAUUUGGAAAGAGAAACUUCUUGCAUUUUUGCUUUUAUUUUAUUUUUAGCUUUGUUUAACUUCCCAUGAGAGCUCUCUCAAACAUUUGGGUCAAAAGGUCUUAUAAAUUGGUGGGAGAGACCAGAUAGAUUUUUCUAGAUUCUGUAGAGUAGUACAUAGUUUUCUAGAAGUUUUUAAACAACAAAGCGCCGUUUCACGAGCAAUCCGAGCAAAGUCAAAAGAAAAUUGAUAGUAUGAAGAGUUUUUAAUUUACUUUCAAACAAAAUUAGAGAAAAAAACAAAAAAACUAUGAAAAUUGCAAUUAAUAUGCAUAUUAUUCUUCUUGAAUAGUAGAAAAUGGGAAAUGGACAAAUGAUUUAUAAGAUAUCUUCAACUGUAUGCUUAACUAAUCUUGAGUCUCUGUUGGCAGAGAAAUCAAGGUCUGAAAGCGCUAAGCUUGACUUCUAGCGGUGGCCAGAGGAGCAUCUAUACGGCUGAAGAAUUAGUUGCUACAUCAAAAUUAAGGUUCCUUAGAAUGAAAGGCUUGAAUGGCAUCUUCGAGAAUCUUCUUCCGAAGCCAGAAAAACUUUUAGGGGAAACAUGGGGAACGGCUUUCCAUGCAAAUAAUUUUCACUUCAGUAAUUUGGUCAUGCUCAACCUUUCGGAUAGCAAUAUUAGAGAUGGCUGGGGUGGGUGGAGCCAAUUGAAGGUAUGAUAUGCCUUACUCUAUAUACUUCUUUCUAUCAUCACCUCACUCGUGAUGAUAGAAGGAAGACAUAUUUUACUUCUUUGUAUUAUUACCUCAUGUGAUUGACACAAAGUUUGCAUGCACUCCCCAUCUCGUCUGAGUGUAGAAUAUGUUUUGCAUGAAUCAAAGUAAAACACAAUUAUAUCCCACAUAAAAAAAUGCUUCAUGUGGUUUAUAACCUUGGUUUCGUAGUUUUGAAAGUUGCUUAGGAUUUGGAAUUGUACUCCAAUAAAGUAGCCGUUUUGCAUCAAUAUGCAUUAGAUAUGAUUUGCAUGGCUAUAAAAGUUUUGAGUCAAGCUCAGUAAUACAAAAGUUGAUUGGAAUUAAGUUUGAGAUUGGUAAUACUCAACUUGAAUGGUGUAAAGGAUCACAAGUUUAUUUAGAAUAGCUAAGUUGAUGAUUUAAAUUAAGGUGAGCUUGACCAUCACGAGACUUUAUUCAAGGGGCUUACUAACCUAAUUUAGUAGUUAAGUUAUUCUUUAUAAUUGCAUUAAUGAACUGUCAAAUAAACUAGGGGAAUAGAGCUAGCUUGCGGUUUCGUGUAGUGUCAUAAGACGUGCCAGCUCUGCUGUGGGCUUUUCACCCAUUCUCACUCACCCUAAGCGCGGGUGGGUACUAUACCGGCUUAUUUGGUAGUAGUCGGGGCAUGCAAGCACACCUUGACGUGGAGUCUACUUUCCCCACCGUGAGGUUCCUUAAUUCCCUGUCUAUCUUUGUCUUUUCGAUAGAGAGGAAAUACGAAGAACAACGCGGGGUCUCCCACCCCAGGGCGGAUCUCUAGCCUAUUUCCUUCUUGACCCUUUUAAAGACUUGCUCAGGUCCAAAACUGACAAAUAAAUGAAAAUCACAUUACCUACACUUUUGUAAUUAGCUCGAGUCAAUGAGCGAAGGCUGGAGUACUUCAUUAAAUCUAGUUUUUAACUACAACAUCAAAUCAAAUCAAAUCUCAGAGAAAUCUAUGGUAUAGAUUCAGGGUAGAGAACACACGUAAUGGAGUUCCUUGUCUGUUUGCAAAAUUUAAUUUUAAGUCAUUUUUUGAGCUACAAAAAUUGUGUGAAGUCAACUUAGCUCGAUUGGGAACCCUCCCCGCUAACGGUUGCCAUUUAGUCACCUCUUGUGAUCUUUCUACAAUUUUUCAACUUAAAAUGGAUGCUCAUAUUAGGUUGAAGGUAGAAUACCAAAAAUCAUUCUCACCUUUUAUAUCAACUUCACUUUACAUCAAUCAUUUUUGUUAAUUUUGGUUGUUAACGUGCUAGUGUGAGUAUGUGUGCAGGCUAUUCUGCAAAUACCUAUCCUACAAAUAUCUUAUGCACGAUUUUUCUAUAAAUUGGACUGAUUUUUUUAACAAUUUUUAAAUGCUUCACUUUAUAUCUUUGACUAUUAAGUAGGCUUUACAUUACAUUUGAGAGAGAGAGAGAGAGAGAGAGAGAGAGAGAGAGAGAGAGAGAGAGAGGUUAAGAUUGUAGUCGGAGGUGGUAUGCUGGUGCCCAGUGGCAGUGGGAGGAGAAAAACUUAGCGUGCUGGUAUUUGGGGUUUGUGGGUAAUUUGGGGAUUAUAGCAUUUUGUGUUUUCAUAGCAAGGAUACUUUAGUCUUUCCGUUAUGGAGUUCUCUUGUGAGACACAUACUUUUGCAGAUGGCAAAAAAGCUGAAAGUAUUGGACCUGAGAAACUGCAAACACUUAACAAGGACACCUGACUUGUCUGACUUCCUGGAUUUGGAGAUAUUGAUACUUGCUGGCUGCUCCAAGUUAAUUAUGGUUGAUUGCUCCAUUAGUAAGCUACAGCUCUUAAAAACUUUGAAUAUGGAUGGAUGUGACUCUGUUGAGGAGUUGCCUGAAGAGGUUGGUUCUUUAGAAUCUUUGAUAGAGUUCAUCUUCUCUGGAUCUUCCAAAUUGGUCACACUCAUAGAGAGUUUUGGGAAUUUGAAAUCUUUGUCAAGCUUCAGUGUAAAUUAUUGCAAGGGAAUGAACAAACUCUCGAACUCUAUUGGAGGAUUAGCAAAAAUCACAUGUUUCUCUAUAAAAGGAUGUGAGGGGAUAAAGAAGCUCCCACACACUCUCUGGGGCUUAGAGUCAUUGGUCAAGUUGGAUUUGUCAUUCUCGGGGAUAGAUAGUCUCCCUGAUUCCAUUGGAAAUCUGAAGAAACUCAAAGCCAUCAAGAUGGGACAUACAAAGUUAAAAAGGUUACCAGACGCAAUUGGACAGCUAGAGAUGCUCGAAGAGUUACAUUGCCCAGAGUGUUCGAAUCUAUCAGGCAAAGUCCCAGAUGCUAUUGGGAAUCUUUUCCAUUUGCAAAUCUUGGACUUGUCAUGUACUCGUAUUUCUGGUUUGCCAAACACAAUCAAUCAUCUCUCUCACUUGGAAGAAUUACAUGUUCGAGAUUGUAGGGAUCUUACGAGUGAAAUCCCAGAUGCAAUUGGCGAACUAUCCCGCUUGAGAAUCUUGGACUUCUCUGGUACUUGUAUAUUUGGUUUGCCGGCCAUGAUCACUCAUCUUUCUCACCCAGAAGAGUUACAUGUCCAGGAUUAUUCGGAUCUUAUGAGGGAAAUCCCAGAUGCAAUUGGCGGACUAUCCCGCUUGAGGAUCUUGGACUUCUCUAGAACUGGUAUUUCUAGUUUGCCUGCCACGAUCGCUCAUCUCUCUCACCUAGAAGAGUUACGUGUCCAAGGUUGUUGGAAUCUACCGAGCCAAAUACCAAGCGCAAUUGGGGGACUAUACCGCUUGAAGAUCUUGGACUUCUCUGGUACUUGUAUAUCUAGUUUGCCUGUCACGAUCACUCAUCUCUCUCACCUAGAAGAGUUACGUGUCCGAGAUUGUGGGGAUCUUAAGGUAAAAUCCCAGAUGCAAUUGGGCAAACUAUCCCGCCUAAGGGUCUUGGACUUCUCUGGUACUAGUAUUUCUGGUUUGCCUGCCACGAUCGCUCAUCUCUCUCACUUGGAAGAGUUACGUGUCCAAGGUUGUCCACAUCUUACAGGUAAAAUCCCAGAUGCAAUUGGCGGACUAUCCCGCUUGAGGAUCUUGGACUUCUCUAGAAGUUGUAUUUCUGGUUUGCCUACCACGAUUGCUCAUCUCUCUCACCUGGAAGAGUUACGUGUCCACGGUUGUCAUAAUUUUACGAGCAAAAUAACAAAUGCAAUUGGCGGACUAUCCCACUUAAGGAUCUUGGACUUCUCUAGUUCUUGUAUUUCUGGUUUGCUUGCCAUGAUCGCUCAUCUCUCUCACCUGGAAGAGUUACGUGUCCACGGUUGUCAGAAUUUUACGAGCGAAAUCCCAAAUGCAAUUGGCGGACUAUCCCACUUGAGGAUCUUGGACUUCUCUGGUACUUGUAUUUCUGGUUUGCCUGCCACGAUCGCUCAUCUCUCUCACUUGGAAGAGUUACGUGUCCAAGAUUGUCAAUAUCUUACGGGUGAAAUCUCAGAUGCAAUUGGCAGACUAUCCUGCUUGAGGAUCUUGGACUUCUCUGGUACUUGUAUUUCUGGUUUGCCUGCCACGAUCGCUCAUCUCUCUCACUUGGAAGAGUUACGUGUCCAAGGUUGUCUGCAUCUUACAGGUAAAAUCCCAUAUGCAAUUGGCGGACUAUCCCGCUUGAGGAUCUUGGACUUCUCUAGAACUUGUAUUUCUGGUUUGCCCGCCACGAUCGCUCAUCUCUCUCACCUAGAAGAGUUACAUGUCCAAGGUUGUAGGAAUCUACCAAGCCAAAUACCAGAUGCAAUUGGGGGAUUAUCCCGCUUAAGGAUCUUGGACUUCUCUGGUACUUGUAUUUCUAGUUUGCCUGCCAUGAUCACUCAUCUCUCUCACCUAGAAGAGUUACAUGUCCGAGAUUGUGGUAAUCUUACGGGUCAAAUCCCAGAUGCAAUUGGCAGACUAUCCCGCUUGAGAAUCUUGGACUUCUCUGGUACUUGUAUUUCUAGUUUGCCUGCCACGAUCGCUCAUCUCUCUCACCUGAAAGAGUUACGUCUCCAAGGUUGUGUGCUUCCUCCAGGUAAAAUCCCAAAUGCAAUUGGCGGACUAUCCCGCUUGAGUACCCUGGACUUCUCUGGUACUUGUAUUUCUAGUUAGCUUGUCAUGAUCACUCAUCUCUCUCACCUAGAAGAGUUAUGUGUCAAAGGUUGUCAGCAUCUUACGUGAUAUGUCCAGAAUGACACAAGUGCAGAAGAUGAUCCAAAACGUUACAAGUUUAGGAUGAAGCAGGUUCAUAAUGUAGUAGGUCCAGAACGUAGUAGAUUCAGAACGAAGCAAGUUCAUAACGAAACAACUUGAUAGAACAUGACAUAAACCCAAACAUAUAAUAGCUAGCGAUCUGAUUUGGAUUUUACAUUAAGAUAUAUUUGAUUGACUCAAUCUAAUUGAUUGACAAUUGGAUCUUGAAGACGAAAACUUUCUAAAUGAAUAAGCCAUACUUAUGGAAACUAAGAUUUCAUUUAUAUGGGCAAUCAGAAUCAACUUGAAAUUUUACUUUUGUCACUUAAUGGUUACCUAAUCUUCUUAAUACAGAUCUAUCCAAUGAAUAGAUUGGAAGAUGAUCCUCUAGAUACUAUUUAACGGCUAGUUUAAAAGUGGAGGAGUAUUUAAGGAGAUUAAGGAUCGAUGAGUAUGUAAGAGACGGAGUGUAGAAUCUAGAAUUCUAAAGUUUGAGUGAACUUCGAUCAUACACUUGUCUUUCAUGAGCUUAAACGUUUUUGAUCAUAAGAGAAAUACCAAAAUAGUGACUUAGUAAGAUAGUGUGAUCUAUCAUUGAGUGUUUGCACUCAAAGUUGUAAUAUCUUAUUAAUCAUAUAGUGGAAUCCAGCCAAUAGGUUGUUAGCGAGGGAGAGUGGACGUAGGCAUGAUCUAAGCCGAACCAUUAUAAAUUCUGUGUGCAUUCUUCUCUUUUGUUAACUCUCAUUAUUUAAGUCUAUUACACGCUUACAGGUUAUUUCAGAAGUUUGUUCCAUCACAUAACAUAUUUUGAAUAUUUACUAGAAGUCUGGUAACUCGUUUAUCAGACUUUGAUGCUUAUUUAGACUUUUUUCGCAACUUAUUCUAUUUCGCAUUUAUUUGUUAGGAUUUCUUUUAACUACAUAUUCACCCCUCUAAGAGUUCGUACUAGUUCAGGAUUUACUUCAAAUCUCCCUUCCAUUCACAUGAUUUACCUCAAUAUCCUCUAUUAACACUGCAUUAGCGCACUUGGGAUUCAGUGGGGUAGCCCGUCCGCGUGUCCUUGCAAUAAGACCAUUACAUUUUGCUUUCAGACCAUAUAGUAACGAUCCUCCUUGCCCGUCCUUGUUUCUGUGAUCGGUUUUUGCGGAUCCAAUUACAAGAUUGUCGGCAGAACAUUCAUAAAAUGUGGGCUCGUGAUUAUAAUUCUAGUGAGUGAUGGGUAAAAGGCCGUUCUUCUGCUUCUGGAGCUUUGCAUCAUUUCCUUAAGCAAUGAGAGUUAUCAGCGCGUCCCAUUUGUCUUUCAGUUCUUGCAUCGUCGGCCAACAUGUACAUAACUCUGCCCGCUUUCCUUUUCUAGUUCCACUCCAAGCUCAUCUUUAUAAUUUGAAUAUCUAGUGAUUUUUUGUCGAAAUGGCGGCAUGUGCACGAUUUUUUAUGCAAAUGGCCACUUUAUUUAUAUUCUCAACAACAAAGAUAUCGUGUAUUUUUUCCCUUUUUGUGCAUAGAGUUAAAGAUCUUCAAAUUGCAGUUUGUUUGAGAUAUCAAAUCAACAAUGAGAAUGUCAUUUUGAUAUCCUUUUUAAUUCUGUUAGUCAGACUAAAAUUAACCACCUUUCACUGUGCAUUUUCGCAGCCUCAGAAAAAGUUCAUAAGGUUAUUACCGAGGCUAUCGAGACCGCGGUAUUUAUAGACAAGGAAGCACUGACACGUUUAGAGGGCCUCUGUAUCGUGUCGGACACCCUGACACGUGUCCCACCGGCUUGGAUACCGUCAAAGACGCUUGAACAGGAGAUCAACAGGUAUCGGAGUUUCCGACACUCGCGUCGGAGUGUGUCCGGAGGUUUGUGGGCAGAUCCGCAGGUGCGAAGGGAAGAAAGUGAUGGAGGGUGGAGGCUAGGGUGAGGGAGCUGAGGCGACGCCGUGAGCGACGACGAGGCAGGGCUCCGACUGUCAACUGCAACACUAAGAAGCCUUCUCGAUCAUCUUGGUUGGCUGCAACCGCCGAUUGCAACGCCGAGAUGGAAACGGAAAGGCCGUGAUGGAGGGCUGGAUGCGAGCUACGACGGCAAAGGGGGGAACGGAAGCGAGGCAGCGGUGAGUGGGGUGGAGACCAAGCGAGGGAGAGGAGAAAGAAGGCGAUCGCCGAUUGCUAAGGUUUUCAAUUUUUGGAAGAAGAGCAAGGAGAGAGAGGAUGUGUCGACGGCUUCUUGGGAAAAAAGAAAGCGUUGUGCAGUGUGCCUUUGGGAAGAGAUGUGUGCAGGCGGUGGGUGGGGUGGGGGAAAUAAAUGGAUGGGACCAUUUAACCCUAAAAAGAAAUAUUAAACAUUAAAUAAUUUUUUUUUUUGGCAAAAUCUGUAAAAAUUCACUCUUUCUUUUCAAGACAAUGAGAGAAACAGAUCGAGAGCCUUUGCGUACGUUGAAUAACUUUAUGAAUACAUGUUAUUAGUAUAGAUUUAUUAUAGGCUUUUUUUAUUAUUUAUUUAUUUAUGAAUUUGAAUAAAUUAAUUUAAACAUAAUAAUUAAUCAUGUAUAUAUAAAAAUAUUUAUUUUAUAUUUAACGUGUCGGAACGUGUCAAAAUUAUCUACUUUUUGAAAAAUGAUGUGUUGUGUGUCGUGUUAUGUUGUGUCGCGUGUCCGUGCUACCUAGAUUAUAGGACGGACUUCCAAAAGCUUCUUUUGACUCGAUGUGAAAGAGAAAAAGAAUGGAUUGCCUUCUAUGUCAUAAAAUUCUGUACACCUGCAUUCUGUUUCGAAUCUUUAGAGGAUCUGUAUACUUCAUUUUGUAAUGAAGUUAGUUCACAAUUCUAAUCCUUUGGGGCAUUAUUACAAGGUCAGUGUAUCUGUUUCAAAGAGAAUAUCAAUGAAACUCCCAUGCUUUGUUGAAGGGUCAGUGAAACUUUCACGUUUGUCUAUAUAGGCUGUAUAAGUUGGAGGUUUGUUUGUUAAAACAAGCACAGUGCAUUUUCCUUGUCUCACAUAGGAAAAUUGGGAGGAAGUGAGCUAAUUUAAAAGUGCAGGAUUUUCUUUGUGUAUUUAAAGGAAUGAUUGGGUGGGGCUAGACCCCACCAUACCCGCGUGCGGGUGCGUGAUUAUUUGGCGCACUAAUCCCUUUUGUUUUUUUAUUUUAUUUUUUAUUUUUUGGUUAUGUUAUUAAUUUUUUAAUCAAUUCAAAGGUUGCUUUUUUAUUUUGAGAAUUUUCGGAAAUGAAAUAUAAAAUGAAAAUUUGAAAUUUUAUUUAUUUAAAAAAAAAAUAAAAAAUUAUUAUUUUGAAUUUUGUUUGUGUCUUUUCAAGACAACUUUUGGAAAACUUACUUAUUCGGUUUGCAACUUUUCCCGAAGGGUUGCAAUUGUUCGGUUUUCGACUUCUUUCGAAGGGUCACAUUUGUUUAUCUGAACAAUUUAUAAAGGACGUGUUUGUUCAUAUAUUUUAAAAAUUUUACGAAGAGUUGCAUGUAAGACCGUUUUAUAUAUAUACUAGUCAUUUUUCGGAAGAACGAGAGUGAUCAUUUUUCAUCUUUUCGAGCUUUCUGUCUGAAAAAAACUACGGCCAUUCUUUCAAUUGUUUCCUAGAGAGAUCCUGGAAAAAUACUAGAAUUGCUAUCUAGUAUUCUCAUAUGAGACUUUGAUAUCACGCCUCAAAAUCCGAUCUGAGUACUCUAAAUAUCCAUCUUCAUUGUUCAACCAAAUUCGAAGCAAUAUUUUUGCAACAGUAUAUGGGCAUAGAGGAGCUUUCAAACUCAAUUGGAGGGUUAAUUGAGCUUCGUACGACAUUGUUCACGGAGGCCCUCUGCAACAAAAGAAAGAAGCUUCCAUACUCAGUUGGGAAAAUUAGAAUUGUUGGUUGAGUUGGAUUCGCAACGUUUAAAGAUAGUUGAUCUACCUAAUUCAACUGAAGAUCUGAAGGCAUUGAAAUUAACUAGGACAGACAGCUCUUCUAUAAGAAAGUUACCCGAUGCCAUUGGACCACCAGAGGUGACUGAGGUUUACCUUCCAAGUCUAUGGGUUGGACGGAAAAUCUCUAGUGAAAUUGCGAGACGAUAUUGUAUGAGGAUCUUGGGCCUGCAUUCAAUCACGUUAUUUUCGAAUUGCCCAUAACAAUUUGUUCUCUCUCCCAUGUUCAGAAACUUUUUUUUUCCCAUAAACACUAACAAAUUUGACUGUCACCCAAGCUUCUUUUAUCGAUCUUUGUUUUGGCGCAUCUCUCAUCCAGAUUGCUCAUGGCCUCAUGAAUCUGGUUAGUUUUAGAUUUUCCGGACACAUAUGACGUUUCCCUCAAGCAAUAUUUCCAUCGGUUUCCAUGUAGUUUGUCAUUAUUGCGACUUUUGCUUAAGACAUAUUGCUAAUGCUUUCAAUCCUGGAGAACUUUAUGGUCCUCGAUGUUCAUGAGUUUAACCCUUUAAGAGACUUAGAUUACUUAGUGUGCAAUAACCAUACGUGAAAUUGCAAGUUCAUACUUUUAGAAUGUUUGCUUCCAAUGUGAUGAUCGUUCUUCGGUGACAGCAAUGGGGAGAUUGGAAGCUGAUUGCCUGCAGAUUUACGAAUUUCCAUUUUGGCAAGCGGAGGGCCACUGGCCCUGCCGCGUUAGAGGUGUAAUACGACUAGACUCGUGUACCCGAAGCAUGGAAUGAUAUUUUCACCAAGAGGACUUUGCCCGUGCCCUCUAUCAUCGACUCCUCUUUGUCUCUGUCCACCUCCAAGGUCUUCUUCUCGGCGAUAUCAUUGAGAAAGCUGAGCACUGUUGUUGUUUUUUAUUUUUUUUUAAUGGGUCGGAAAUACUGAGAAUUUCAUUAACUAAUUAGAGGGGAGCUCUCUUUUCGAGGGAUAAAAAAGCCAAUUAGAGGGGAGCUCUCUUUUCUACUGGGCCUUUACCACCCAAUCUGCUAACAUAUUUAUCUCUCUUGGACAGUAGGAUAACCGAAUAAAACUGAGAUGGGUCAGCUUUAUUUUGCACUCGUCAGCCCAGGCCCUUAUGUCCCACGGGUCUUUAACUAUAAGCAUAUAGAUUGUUCGUAACCUUUUUUAUCAUGUGUAUUGUUGGAUUUGACCAACAAAUUAACUUAAGGAAAAAAACUACUUAAAAUCUUAAAUUAUAUCCACUAUGAUACGUUGAUCCUGAGCUUUUCUUUAUGACAUAAAAAAUUUACAUUAUGUUCGUUGUGACAUUUACCGUAAACUUUUUUUUUUAUAACAAAGAAAACUCAAAAUAUGUAUUUAUGUGAUAUAUUUAUCCUCCAUCAAUAUUUUGUCAAAUAAUUUUCCAAUCAAAACAACUUCGCUUCACUUAAGUCACAUCAGCACUGUGUUAGUAUUGUUUGCUUUCUAAAGUCUAUUUAGGCAAAUUUUUAAUGGUACUUUUACGGAAUAUUGAUGGAGGGUAAAUGUAUCGCAUAGGUACAAGUUUGGAAUUUUUUAUGUCAUAGAAAAAAGUUAAGGAUGAAUGUUUUAUAGCGGGCAUAAUUUAGAGCUUUUAAUAGAUUUCUCCCUUUAAUUUGAUGAAACUUUAAACGAAAUUUGACAAAAUAGAAUCCCCGCCCAAGGGAAAGAGGAAACUGGACCUCUUAGAGGGAAUAAUUGAGCCCACUUGCACUUUGGAGAAACAAUGCUAGGUUUGGGGGGGGGGGGGGGGAGAGACUUGAAUUGUUGUAAGUUUGACUUGUUGGACCGGAGACUUUCNNNNNNNNNNNNNNNNNNNNNNNNNNNNNNNNNNNNNNNNNNNNNNNNNNNNNNNNNNNNNNNNNNNNNNNNNNNNNNNNNNNNNNNNNNNNNNNNNNNNCUGACCAAGGGAAAGUGGAAACUCGACCUCUUGAGGAAAUAAUCCACUUGCACUUCGGAGAAACAAUGCUAGGUCAGGGCGAAGGAAAAAGGGUUGGAUUGUUGUAACUAUGACUUGGUGGACGUAGAUUUUUUUUUUUUAUUGAAAUUGUAUUUAUUACUUAAAAGGAUGCAAAAGUACAUAGUUUUUAUGAUAAAACAAAACAAAAUAGAGCAUGAAUGCUGAAAAAUAAAGCCAAAUUUAGAAAACAGGGAGGAUCAACGGAGCACGAGCAAAGUUAAGUAUAAACUCACUCUACAUGAAUAGAUUUGUUAAAACAAAAUUGGCGGCCAAUCACUGGAUCUUGUGUAUUUGUUAGUGAUGAGCACACGCUGAAAAUUUCUUUUCCAAUAAUUAUGACGUUGCCAAUUGGUGGUGCGCACUUAGGUUUAAUUUCCUUUACACCAUAGUUGUACGGAGACAAUCAAAAUAGGUUAAACAAACCCAGAUCUAACAUGUGGAUGAGAUUACAUUGAAGUUUUUAUGGCUAAAGAAACGAGUCAAAUGGAAGCUCAUGGGAUAAGAGUGCAAAUAGUGAUUUUCCCAAUUAAAGUGUGUGCAGGUAAUUGGAUAUUGAGUGUCGGACACUGCAAGUGCCAAAAUUUGGCACUGGUUGAUACUUAAGUGUCAAAAUUUCUAAAAAGUAUAUUUAAAUGUUAAAAUCAAAGAAGAAUGGAACAUUUAAUUGUUAAUGACGAGAAAUUCUAGCCAAAUUGUUGACAUGAUAUUUUUUGGAGACUUUUUUUACCGAUGUGGCAAUUCUUUUUUUUUUUUAAAUGUCCACUUGGCACUAUAAGCCCCAAAAAUGAAUUUUUAAUAUAAAUAUUAAUUAAAAUAAUUUUUAAAAAAGGAAGCCAUAGUUGUAGCGAGGGCCUCCACAGCCCUCGCUGUCAUUGCCCCACCAUCUCCAGAAAGAGCCGGCGACAAUGGGGCGAGGAUCGGCUAGGCCUUGGAUAGCUAGAAAGUAUCGACACUUUUUGGGAGCCUUUAUGUCGUGUUGAAUACUCUGACACAUAUCUGACACUCUUCGAUACUUAGUUAACAUGUGUCGGAAAAUUCGACACUUGGUUAACUUUCCUAAUGCUCUUCACCAUGCGAGUCGAGUAUUUUGACACGCGAGUUCAAAAUUCUAGCAUAUGAUUCUAACACGUACGAGAUCAAUUUUAAAAAUUUUCAAUAAAUGAUGGAUUAAAAUGUAACAUGUAAAAUAUAAAAUAACUCAAUAAUAAAGGGAAAAAAGAAAAUACUAUUAUCUUUUUUUCUAACUNNNNNNNNNNNNNNNNNNNNNNNNNNNNNNNNNNNNNNNNNNNNNNNNNNNNNNNNNNNNNNNNNNNNNNNNNNNNNNNNNNNNNNNNNNNNNNNNNNNNUCUUCCGACACGCUCCAACAUGCGAGUCCAAAAUAUGGAUUGCUUAUUUUUUCUCCUCCAAGUUUUAUGAAUUAUUUGACUGGAGUUAAAUUUGUCAAUUUGAAAUAAUAAAUGAUAUUAACUAAUGGCGAACUAAUGUUUUUAAUGUAAAUUCAUUCUAGGCUCCUCAUCAUUUAUUUAUUUGUCAACUUGAAUCAUACUAUUUAUGUUUAUAUAUAUAUAUAUAUAUAUUUAAUAUACAAUAUGUUUCAACAUGUCAGAAUUCUCUAUUUUUUCAGAAACGUGUCGUGCCGUGUUGCAUAUCAUGUGUUGGUGUUGAUGCCACUUAAUUGGAUAGUGGCCAGUGACCUUGGCUGGCACUGGCGAUCAACCAUGGUUGCUAGCCAUUGCUUAGGGCUAGGCAACCUCAGCUGACCCUCGCCCCACCAUUGCCGGCUCUUUCCAAGGAUGGUGGGGGUGGUGGCAACAAAGGCUGAGGAGGCUCUCGCCUAACUCUAUUGCCUCCUUUUUUUUUUUUUUUUUUUUAAACUUAGUUUUAAAAUUUUUUUAAUUAAUAUUAAACUAAUAAAUUUAUGAAUAAAACAACGUUGUUUUGCACAUUCAUUACCGAGUACGUAUUUUAGCAAGCCAUGUAGACCACUUAUAAUGUUAAAAAUAAGUCACGUUAGAUUUCUGACUACCCUUGUCGGUGUUCACAUUUAAGUAUCUCAAUUUUCAAAAAAGUUGCAUUUAAGUAUACAUUUUGAAAGUUUUUGCACUUAAGUGUCCACUUGUGCCAAGUUUUAACACUUGUGCCAAGUUUUGACACUUGUGAUGUACUUUAGCCAUUAGAUUUCACUCAACUCUACCAGAGCUCCAUAUUUCAUUGUAUCUUUCAAUUCCUUGCAUUUAUUUUCAUCUUAAUUCCAAACAUAUAUUUCAUUACCUUACAAUUUUAAGUCCAAUGCAAUUAGCUUUUCAUCACAUUUAUGUUGGUAGUUUCAUACUCCAUCAAGGCCUCGUUUGCAUACUUUGUCCCUGAGUUCGGAACUACAAAUCGAUCUCGAUCAUUUUCCAAUCUUCAAAACUCUGGAUUACCUUAGUGUACAUUGAUUUUCAUCAGCAUCUCUUUUGACUCGCUCGAUUGUCCCCAAAAUGUUCACGUUAAAUGCUUUUGAAAAGCUUCUUAACAAGACCGUAACCAUGAUCGUCCAUUUUAGAUUUUUUUUUUCCCUUUAAACAUGUUUCUUCUCAAUUUGGAGUUCUUUUAUGGACCAUACAAAAUUGAAAGAGUAAAGUUAGUCCUUUGCUAAGAAGGAAAACAUUUUGCCGCUCAACCCCACCAUAUCCGAGAGGAUUUCAAACCAUUCUCAUGUUAGAAUAUACAUAUAAUGCUUUGAUGCAGAUAUGCAAAAGAAAAACAGUGAUUUUUUUAUCUUCAUGAUUUUCACAAUUAGAUGAAGACAUACCAUUAUUUAUAGCGUUGCACUUGAUGAUGAUCGUUGUAGAAAACCGAAUAAUCUCGAACCAAAAGAAGAAAUCCGAUUUCUCUCCCUUAACCCACUAUACUUUAAUGUAUUCUAUUGAUGGAUGAGAGAAUACCCAAUUCCUUUAUGUUAUUGUUGUUCAUUGUGGGUGGAGAGAGGACCAGACUCUAUUUUUACGUUCGUUGAAAAUGUGCCUUCCAUCAAAGCAAUAUACCCUUUCAUUUUAUUAGAGUCGCAACUUCUCGUAACCAAUAAUUAUUUAUUUUAUAGCAUUUCAAUAAUUAUUAAACCAUAUAAUAAAUCAUAUCACAUGGGUCACAAUAAUUCUUACAUUCUCCCACUUGGCCCAUAUGAUUUUCCUUUCAUGAUUUAAUAAAGACUAUAAUGUGCACAAUAACAUUAUGCUAUAAAAUUUCAUUAAAUAAGCAAUCACAUAAUAAUCACAAUUAAGUAAAAAAAAACUAAAGUGAUUCAUAGCAGUUGUAUGUCAUUAAUCGACAUAGUCCCUUCUAUGUACUACAAUUAUAGCACUUUACUUAACAUGAUCCAUAAAUGAGAAGUACAAUAAUAGUCCAACCAUAAUGUUUCUUUAGAAACUAUCCUGUUUAACAUUCAUCAAUUUCCAUAAUGUAUACUAAAUAGAAAACAGGAAAUAUCGGAAACACGUAAGUGAGCUCAAAGUGUCAAAUAUAUAAACUCAAUACAAUUAUAAUACAAACAUUAAUGACGUCUAAUAAUGCCCAUCUUUUCAACAUGCUCAUUAAAUGUUUUGGGCGGCAGUCCUUUUGUUAAGGGAUUUGCUAUCAUAAGAUUGGUGCUAAUGUGUUUAAUUGACACUCUUUGUUUCUGAACUUCUUAUUUGACAAACAAGUAUUUGAUCUCCAUAUGCUUAGCACCCUUAGAAUACUUGUCGUUCUUAGAGAAGAAAACUGCUGCAGAGUUAUCACAAUAAAUUUUCAGCAGCUUGGCAAUACUGUCGACAAUCACAAGCUUCGAAAAAAAAUUCCGCAGCCAUAAUCCAUGAAUUGUGGCCUCAAAGCAUGCCACAAAUUCUGCUUCCAUAGUGGAUGCAGCAAUAACUAACUGCUUCACACUUUUUCAUGAAAUUGCCCCUCCAGCCAGAAGAAAUAAGUAACCAAACGUUGAUUUUCUUGUAUCGACACAUCCGGUUAAGUCUGAAUCUGAAUAUCCAAUCACCUCGAGAUUAUAUGAGCUUUUAUAAGUGAGCAUAUGAUUCUUCGUUCCUUGCAAGUAUCUAAGAACUUUCUUUGCAGCUUUCCAAUGAUCCAUUCCAGGAUUACUUUGAUACCUACCUAGCAUUCCGACAGCAAAACUGAUGUCUGGUCUGGUGCAAGUUUGUGCAUACAUUAAGCUCCCCACAACAGAUGCAUAAGGAAUAUUUUUCAUUUGUUUUCGUUCCAAUUCACUUUUCGGACAUUACAUAAGAGUAAAUUUGUUACCUUUCUAAAUUGGAACUAUUCAUGUUAAACAUUUACUCAUAUUAAAUUUCUCUAAAAUUUUCUUAAUGUAGGCUUUCUGAGACAAUCCUAAUAAUCAUUGUGAUUUAUCACGGAAUAUUUUUAUUCCUAUCACAUAUGUUGCCUCUCCCAUAUCCUUCAUUUCAAAAUUCUUAGAGAAAAACGUCUUGGUUUCAUGUAACAAACCAAGAUCAUUAGCAGCAAGCAAAAUAUCAUCAACAUACAGAACUAGAAAAAUAUACUUGCUCCCACUAAUCUUCAUAUAUAUACACCAAUCAACGGUGUUUUCCUUAAAUCCAAAUGAAGUUAUGGUAUCGUUAAACUUAAGAUACCAUUGUCGGGAAGCUUGUUUAAGUCCAUAUAUUGACUUCUUCAAUUUACAUACCAUGUGUUCAUUUCCUUUAACUGAAAAGCAUUCGAGUUGGUCCAUGUAAACCUCUAAAUUCCCAUUAAGAAAGAAAGGCGGUUUUUACAUCCAUUAACUCCAAGUCAUAGUGAGCCACCAAAGUCAUAAUGAUUCUAAGUGAGUCCUUAUUAGAGACUGGUGAAAAUGUCUCUUUAUAGUCAAUGCCUUCUUUUUGCGUAAAAUCCUUUGCAACAAGUCUGGCUUUAUGUCGUUCAAUAUUGCUUUUUGAGUCGCCCUUGGUCUUAAAGACCCAUUUACACCUGACCUUCUUACAUCCUUUAGGCAAUUCAACAAUAUUCCAAACUUGAUUUUGAUGCAUGGAUUUUAACUCUUCUUCCAUGGCAUUAAACCAUUCAUUAGAAUCUUCACAUUCCAUGACUUGGGAAAAUGAAUCUGGAUUAUUUCCAAUUCCUAAGUCAAUUUCUGACUCUUGUAGAUAAACCAUGUAGUCAUCAGAAAUAACCGAUCUCCUUUCUCUUUAAGAUCUUCUUAAUGCUAUUUCUUGUGACUCAGCUAUUGGAGGUUCAAUAUUGACAUCUCCAUUAUGGAGUGUUUAUUGGGUGUUUGUUGUUCUCGAUUAUUGUUAGAUUGUACUACAAUAUCAUAAACAACAACUUUAGAAGCUUUAGGCAUAGGAACUUCUACCCUUACUUCUUGAAUGCAAGCAUCACGCAUUCUUUCACUCCCACUGAUGUCACCAUUCUCAAUGAACCUAGCAUUUCCAGAUUCAACAAUUCUUGUACUAUGAUUAGGACAAUAAAAUUUAUACCCUUUGGAUUUCUCUGCAUAACCAAUGAAAUAACCACUGGUCAUUCUUGAAUCUAAUUUCCUUUCAUGUGGAUUGUAAAUUCGUACUUUUGCUUGACAACCCCAAACAUGCAGGUGUCGUAAACUAGGUUUCCUUCUCGUCCACAGUUCAAAUGGAGUCUUUGGAACUGCCUUACUAGGAACCCUAUUUAAUAAGUACAUAGAAGUCUUUAAAGCAUACAUCCACAAAGACAAGGGUAAAGAUGAAUGACUCAUCAUACUCCUAACCAUUUCCAUUAAAGUACGGUUACGCCUUUCUGCUACACCAUUUUGUUGUGGUGUACCUGGCAUUGUGUAUUGAGCACAAAUGCCAUGUCUUUCAAGGAAUUUAGCAAAUGGACCUGGACAUUGUCCCGAUUCAUCAUACUUUCCAUAAUAUUCACCGCCUCUAUCCGAUCUUACUAUUUUCACCUUUCUAUCUAAUUGCCUCUCAACCUCUAUAAUAUACACUUCAAGUGCAUUAACUGAUUGAGACUUAUCAUGCAAUAGAUAAAUGUAACCAUAACAUGAAAAAUCAUCAAUAAAGGUUAUGAAAUAGCUUUCAUUACCAAAAGAUGGAACAUCGAAAGGACCACAUAUGUCAGUAUGUAUAAUCUCAAGAAGUUCUGUGCUUCUUGUGGCACUUUUCUUAGUGUGCUUUGUUUGUUUACCUUUAAUACAAUCAAUACACACUCCAAGGUCAGUAAAAUCCAAAUUUGGAAGAAUUUCAUUCUUCACUAAUCUUUGCAUUAUUUCCUUGGAUAUAUGACCCAAACGUUUAUGCCACAAGUAAGCAGAAUUUUCAUUCACCAAACUUCGUUUAGUGCCAACAUUAUGAUGUAAGGUCAUUAAUGUCUCAACAAAAGUAUAAUCAAGUCUAAAUUUAUAGAGACCAUCACAUAAAGUUCUAGUUCCAAUAAGAGUAUCACUCUUAAAUAGACCGAAAUAUUUUUUUUUGGUAAAAUUAAAUAGACUGAAAGAUUCAGAUUCAAACUUAUAAUAAAAUCCCGCCACAUCAAGUCUUGACAAAGAAACUAAAUUGCGAGAAAAUGUAGGUACAUAAAGGGUUCGAAACAAUCCAAAUAAUGCCCAGUAUCUAAGAUCAAACGGUAAGUGCCAGUUUCCCGUAAUCACAUAACUUUCAUUUGGCUUUAUGGCUUGGAUCGUAAGAAAUCCCUACAUCAUAUUUGACACUCACCAAAAUCAAUCCACCAAGUAUUAUGAAGAAUUUCAGUAAAGUUUGAUUUAAAACAUACUAAAGCACAAAGCUUACAUUUCUUUUCGAACCCAGCCUAACAUUUCAGACAAUCUUUCUUCAAGUGUCCAAUUUUGUUGCAAAAAUGACACUUAAUAAGAUUGUGUUCCUUCUUGUAUAUUUGAGGAGCCUUUAAAGAGUCAUUCAGGACGUGUAGUUCUUUCUUCUUGCUCCUUCCACCUUUCCUCUUGAAAUUCUUUCGAACUUCUUGAUGACUUGAGAGAUGAACAAAAUGAGCAUUUUGAUUAUUUAUCCUUGUUUCCUCUUGAACUAGCAUACUGGCCGAUUCAUUUACAUUCCACUUAUCCUUUAUAGUGUUGUAAUUCAUUUGAAAUGACCCAUAUUGCUCAUGAGGCAAAGAAUUAAGUAUAAAUUGUACUAAAAAGUACUCAUCCACGUUCAUUCCCAAAGUCCUUAACUUUACUGCUAAAUUCGUCAUCUCAAGUAUAUGCUCAUGCAUGGUACGCAAACCAUCAUAUUUCAUGGUGGUUAGUGUGCUCAUUAAUGUACCAGCAAGUGACUUAUCAGCAGUUUGAGAACGUUCUUCCACAAAUUUCAUAAAUUCCUUAGCAUUGUUAGUCUUGGGAAGAGAAGUCUUUAAGUUAUUUGUAACUGUCAUUCGCAUGAACAUUAAGCUCAGUUUGUUCGAUCUUUCCCAAACUUUAUGGAAAGACUUUUCAUAAUCACUACUUUCAUCAGUAAUAGAAGCUGGUUUCUCAGCUUGAAGCGUUAAAUUAAGAUCUAGGACACCUAAGUGAAACUGGACUUAUUCACUCAAUCAGGAAAAUUUACCCCAUUGAAUAAGGGAACAGAUGAGGUGUGCGAAUGGAGUGAAACAGGUACAGAUACUGCAAAUGUUUAAGAAAAUACUCAUACAUUAAUACUUUGAGAAUAUGACCUAAUCAGAUUCAAACUAAACGACACAUGUACAUCAUAGUUCUCCUUUGGGCGAUACAUAUAUAUAUACCAUAAUAAUGCUAAUAACUUUUAUUUGAUAAUUGUAAAUAUAUCUUAUUAAAAUUUAUUUGCUAUCUUUGGAUAUACAAACAAAUUUAACAAGUCAUAUUAAUUAUCAACCAUCAUGUUCAUGAAUUAUAAGAAAAUAAUUAACCUUUGGGUUAAUCCCUAAGUUCUUAUGUUAAAUGAACUUCAAUAUACCCAUAACUUCAAUAAUGAUAUAAAACAUAUCAAUUUCAUAUACAUCAAUUAUCAUGGGUAAUUGAAUAAAACAAUUUACAAUAUCAAAAAAUUCAAAAGACUUCAAGGUUUGGCCACUUUGGUGACUAACAAACCAUUCAUAAUAUGAAUUUUUUAAUAUUGCAAAAUAUAAAUAUUUACCAAAUUGCACACAAGGAUAAAAUGUAAUCAAAGCAUAAGGGCAAAAUCGUAAAAACAUAAUUUCGUUAGGGCAAAAUCAUAAAUUUAUAAUCCAAGGGUAAAAUGGUAAAUAACCAGCAAGGGCAGAACCGUAAAUUUCUAAUCUAGGGGCAAAAUGGUAAAUAAUCAGCAAUGGUAGAGUUGUAAAAUUGCGAGAAGGACAAAAUAGGAAUUUUAAAAUUGGCACAGGGGCAAAAUGGUAAAAACAGGCCUGCAGUACGUCAGUCGUGGACACGUGCCCCGCACAUGCGCGUCCAACAUGCAGGCGCGUGCGUUGCAUGCACUUGUCAACUGCCACGCGGGCAGUUUCGCGCGUGUGGACUCCACGCGCCAGCAGUUGGUGUGCGCGUGGAUCCCACGCGCGCAAUGGUUGCCCGCGUGUGACGGCACGUGGUGCGUGGGUUCCACGCGCCUGCAACUGUAGCGCGCACGUGGACCCAUGCGCCUUCUUCCCCGCGCGACCGAGCGUUUUUCUCGCAUUUUUCUUCGCAUUUUUCGUCAUUUCAUCCCUUGGUUCGCCUUUAUUCUUCCAUUUUCGACAUUUUUCUCCAUGAAAACAUUCAUCAUUCAGAUUUUCUUCAACAGAACCAUCCGAAAACAUUUCAACAACAACAAAUAGUAUGAACAAGAUCGUUCAACGAAUCAUCAUACAUAAAUCAUAAUAUUUAUAUAAACGGAAAAUCAUGAGAUCAUAAACCAUGCUCUGAUACUAAUUGUUAAAAUAUACAUAUAAUGCUUUGAUGCGAAAAUACAAAAGAAAAUAGUGAUCUUUUGAUCUUCAUGAUUUUCACAAUUAGAUGAAGACAUACCUUUAUCCAUAGCGUUGCACUUGAUGAUGAUCGUUGUAGAAAACCGAAGAAUCUCGAACCAAAAGAAGAAAUCCAAUUUCUCUCCCUUAAUCCACUAUACUUUAAUGUAUUCUAUCGAUGUAGGAGAGAAUACCCAAUUCAUUUCCAUUAUUAUUGUUCAUUGUGGGUGGAGACAGGAUCGGACUCUAUUUGUACGUUCGUUGAAAAAGUGCCUUCCAUCAAAGCGAUAUACCCUUUUAUUUUAUUAGAAUCUCAACUUCUCGUAACUAAUAAUUAUUUAUUCUAUAACAUUUCAAUAAUUAUUAAACCAUAUAAUAAAUCAUAUCAUGUGGGUCACAAUAAUUCUUACAUCUUAGACAUGUUCAUUUUUUUUUAAUUUUUUUUUGUUCUUCAUUUAAUUUUUCAAUUUUUGGGGGAAAACAAAAACAAUCUAUGACUUCUAUCCACAUUUCAAUCUCAGACAUUGCUUAGAAAGGGAGGGGGUGGGUGUGAGUAGCACUUUUAGUUUUGAGGUGAAUAUGGCCCAAGAGAUAAAAACCUUGAAAAGGCACCAAUACACGGAAUUCCCAAUUCAUAGAAUGGAACAUUGAUACAAACCAAUGGCCCGUGUUGCUAUUGUGACCCUCCUAGAUUGGAGUCCGAGGGAGCGUGUUCAGAGGUAAUGUUGUGCGGGGAUCAAUGAUCCUCAUUUGGCAUAGGUUUCCCCAAAACCUUACCUCACGCAAUGUUGGAAAAUUCAUAUGGUUGAUGAAUCUAUGAAAUUCUAUCUAACUUGGAGUCAUCAUUAACCUAUUGAAGCCAACUAUAAGUCAAGAAGACAUCUCACUUCUUAUGCAAUUGGUUAUCUAACUAAGGCCCUUUCAAUAUUGUAAUUUGAUUGUCUAUCAACUGGAUAGUUAGAAAUGUUACUAUCCUAGCAUUUUUGAGUGUCUCUAGGCUCUUAACCAAAAAUCUGAGUAGUUUUCUAUUAAAAAGCUAUUGCUGAAGGGCUUGAACAAGAGGUUCGCUUAUGGUGGGAAGGUAUAUUUGCAAGAAACUGACUUGGUCUUUCCUAGUUCUAAGCCUAGGUCCAUUUAUGGCUCCAACCAUUUAUUAUCCUACCCACUAAAUGAUGUCUAUACAUUGGCGUGCAAUUAGAAAAAUAAACAACGACAAUUAAUGUGAUAAAUGUAAAGUGCAAGAAAAUUAUUAGAGUAAUUAAAUAUUACGCCAUAACUUUAUCUAAUAACUUAAACUUUUAGAAUAGUUGGCAAUGGUCCCACCAAAAUAUCACAUAAUAUUAGAGUCAGGAAGUCUUGAGUUUGAAUCUUAUGAGACCAAAUUUGCCUUCUCAAUUAUAUUUCCAUAUUUAUUACAAGACAAAAAGACCAAACUAAGUGUGAGAAAGAGUGUUAGAAUAAUUAAAUACUAAAUCACGCAUUUAUCUGAUAGUUUAAACCUUUAGAAUAAUUGACAGUAAUCCUACCAAAUUCACAAAAAUAAACACGAUACGAUAUCGGGCAAAGAAUAUAGAUGACAUCUUUAUUGAGAGCCAAGACAACAACCCCACUAGUUAAAUCAUAUAAUCCAAAUUCUAGUUUGUUGACUAAAGAAGAGACACUAGGAAUUCUCUAAUGAUAGUAAAGGCUCAAAGAGAUACUUGUUGAAAGUAAACCUAAUAUAAAUUCUCCGGUGUUUCUUUUCCUUUUUUUUUUUCACUUUUCUACAAUUUUUAUUUUUUAAUUUAAUUUUUUUAUCUAUGGAGGAACUAUCUAAAAAUUUAAAAUAGCCCUAAAAAUCAAGAAAAAGGUGACAUCCUAAAAUAUGUGAACAUGAUCUAAAGGAAACUCAACCAAUUACAGUACAAGAUCCUAACUAUCUGAUUGAGACCUUUAUUAUUAUUAUUAUUAUUAUUAUUAUUAUUAUUUUUUAUUUUUUUUAUUUUUUUUAUUUCUCUCCCGCGUUCAAACACGUGACGCACAAUCGGAUUCUCAUUUCCUUUUUCUUUGCUUAUCUUCUUCGGUCUAAUGUUUCCAGAAUAAGUAUUCCUGCAGAUUUCUCUUUGUUCCGCUUUCCUGUGCUCUUUCAUUCUGGGACGUGAAUACAUAUUAUGGGAACAAAACCUCCAUUAAACCACACUCAGGUCCAAGCUUUCACAAACUUCCAUUGUUCUUUCUCUCUUUCACACCAAACACCUCCAGGGAGAGACACUUAUUCAUUUCCAGAAAACAAACGAUUGCUUAAUCUCAAUCAUCUAUUCCCAUUCAUCCGUUCACUCUUUCCUUCAUUCCCAGCAAACAAGAACCUCGAUUACAUUAAAAUGUUUCAAUGGUUCAGUCAGUUAUGCUAUGCAACUCAUGCAAUAACUUGCUUCAUAUAUUGAUCUAUAUGCAGCAGAGAAAAUAGCAAAGUGAGCCAGAGUUGAAGACACGACACGUGGAUGAAAUGAUGCUAGAACAAAGCAAGCUUGAUCUAUGGAAAUCUCAUGAUCGAAUCAGAAAUAAUCCAAAACAAAAAUAAAGCAGUGAUACUACGUGGUUUAUGAGUAUAUAUUGAUCGUUAACAACAACCAAGCACAUAUGCUAUAUGAACAAACGAUCAAUAGCCAAGUAUGCUGCUGACUUAGGAAAUUCUUCAAACACAUUAUAGGCGGUGAACUCUCUUUCAACCAAUCACACUUUCAACUUUCACAGAUUUAUCUGGGAGGCUUAAUUGAACGAAAAUCACGAAUCUCACGACCAAUGCAAGCAAUUCUGAAAUAUCGAUAGGAGAGCACCUGUGAGGAGAGAGAGAGAGCCCGGCUUCAAGGCCUUGUAUCCGUCUCUCCUGGGUUUCCAACUUUGGGCUUCACUUGUCAAUUCUAUGGGCCGCAUGAAGGAUUGGAGUCUGAUGGUCCUGCAUUGCUCGGCUCAAUUGAAUAAAUCCGGAUUGCAAGGGCCAGGACUUAGGUGAUGGGCCGAACUGGUCCAGUUUGCACGAGCCUUCGCUUCUAAUAAAAAAUGCUAGGAUAAGAUAUGCUAACGACUUGGUGAUAUCCAAUCACUGAUGAAUUUUAUGCACAAGAAAUAGUAUGGACUACGAAGUCUAGUUUUUUUUUUUUUUCUUUUUAAUAUGAAGUAAGAAUUUAUAUACCAAAAAAAAAAAAAAAGAUAAGUGGACCAAGUGAUUAAGCACCAUGAAACAUAUCAUGCCUCAACCAUCCUUCUAAUGUAUAGUAUCUUAAUAUCUACACAUAAUAAUUUGAAUUUGACGUCUUGACAAAAACAAAUUAUUAUUCACAGUAACUAUGACUUCUUAUUCCUAGCAAUCCAAAUAUGAAUUAUAAGCAGGAUUCAAAACGAAGAUGAUAACAACUCAAAGUGCCUUAAUUACCAACUUGUGCAAUGCCAACAAGUCAUAAAGAAGGUGAAAAUCGAACUCAAUUGCCUUAAUUACUUCAACAGUAAUUAUUUCCAGGAUAUUAUCAUAAAUUUGACAACAAGCUCGUUAAGAUAAUUAAAGGUGACAAUCUAUUUGUUAAAAUCGAAAGACAAUGACAAAGAUAUCAUUUGUUACGAACGAUUUUCGAUUUUGAUGGCCAUGGCACAUCCUAAAAUUGACAGAGCAAUCAUAUUCAAAAGAGUACUUGAAGGAAAAUUGCUAUUCGUCACCCAUGAUGUCAAUUUGAAGAAAGAUGACUUCAUCCAUUUUUAAAGACGAAGAUAUCAUGAACGUGAAUGGGCCCCUAAGAUAAAGUUCUUGCCUAACAAAGCUUGGAAAAUUUCCGAACAAACACGCUAGAUAAUUCAUAUUAACCAAACCCAUUUUUGUUUUUUCCUAUUAUUUUGAAGAGUGGAGAUUCUUUCUUUCCACACUCCAACUUGACUUGAACCCGCUGAUGUUUACAUUUCCUGGUCAACGAUAUAUACUUUUAUCUGUUACUCAUGCAACAAGCUACUGAUGUUCAUAUCUGAGCUAAUAAUCAAUCCAAGAACCCAUGAAUAUCUUCCACGACAAGGAAGUAUUUCUCAUCUUCUCUGGAUGAUCUCCUGCAAGCUUUCUUUCCUCCUCUGCAGUUGUUCCUUCAAUUUUAGAUUGAUUAGCGGCCCUGCAACAUGCACGGAUGAUGAGACUUCAUUUGUAUAACUCAAAAGUUGAAUAAGAAAAAGGAAAAAUGGUGGCCUCAAAUGACAUAUGCGGUGAUCAAGUCAACUUUUGGUUAGGACAAGUCGAGGAUGAAGAUUCAUGUGUUCAUAUGGGUUGUUGAUGAGCAUUGGUUUUUGGUAUGAUCUCCCGGACAAGUCUUCGCUCAACGCUUCAUCAGAGACCCAGCCAUAACCUAAGAAAAAUUGCUAGGACAUGACAUACUAACAACUCGGUGAGAUCCAAUCACCAAUAAGUGUCAUGCAAAAGAAAUGGCAAGGACUGUGAAGUCUUUUUAUUUGUUAACAAGGCUUUGUUUGUUUCACAAAAAAUAUUUUUUAGAAAGUUAUUUUCUAGGAAAAUGACAAUACUUUCUGCCGUUUAGCUGACACUUGAAAAAGACUCCGAUAAAAAAUUUUCAUCAUUUGAUAAGAAAAAAAAUUUCAAUUUUUAAAAUUUAAAAUUUUAUUCCUUUCUUUUUUCCUUCUAAUUUUUUUUUCUUUUUUCACCAGCCGCUUGGCCUUAGCGACAAUCGACAAGGGCCGAGCUUGCGUAACCCAGCGAACUCGAGCCUUGUUGGAUCUUGGUGAGUUCAAGCGUCAUCAGCCUCGACCGAGACUCCACCUUGCCAGAUUCGGCGUGGUCGAGCUUGAGGUGAAGUCGAGGCAAGCUCGAGACUUGCUAAUUCCUGAUUUCGAUUCCAACCUCUGGUGACCCUGAGCUCGCCGGAUUUGGUGAGAUGGAGCCCCGCACGAGGCCAAUGGGGCUCAAGCUCGCCCACCGCCGUGGCCUGCUAUCGAUAAUUCAGCACUGAAACCAAAGGUGGACUAACCUCACGCGCUGCACGUGCCAAAACGACGCGGAUCUUUUCCUAUUCUCGAUUACUAAAGGUAAAAAAUUUGCCCAUUUCAAAUAUUCCGUAUACUCCAGCAAAUCAUAUUUGCUAUUUAUGCUAUAUAAUUAGGAAGAGUCAGUGAUCUUCUAUGCUCCUCCUUUAGUUCUUGUUUGGAUGGUGAUUGCCAUUUUAUCGAACAGACUACACACCACAAUGAACGACAGACUAUUGAAAGNNNNNNNNNNNNNNNNNNNNNNNNNNNNNNNNNNNNNNNNNNNNNNNNNNNNNNNNNNNNNNNNNNNNNNNNNNNNNNNNNNNNNNNNNNNNNNNNNNNNNNNNNNNNNNNNNNNNNNNNNNNNNNNNNNNNNNNNNNNNNNNNNNNNNNNNNNNNNNNNNNNNNNNNNNNNNNNNNNNNNNNNNNNNNNNNNNNNNNNNNNNNNNNNNNNNNNNNNNNNNNNNNNNNNNNNNNNNNNNNNNNNNNNNNNNNNNNNNNNNNNNNNNNNNNNNNNNNNNNNNNNNNNNNNNNNNNNNNNNNNNNNNNNNNNNNNNNNNNNNNNNNNNNNNNNNNNNNNNNNNNNNNNNNNNNNNNNNNNNNNNNNNNNNNNNNNNNNNNNNNNNNNNNNNNNNNNNNNNNNNNNNNNNNNNNNNNNNNNNNNNNNNNNNNNNNNNNNNNNNNNNNNNNNNNNNNNNNNNNNNNNNNNNNNNNNNNNNNNNNNNNNNNNNNNNNNNNNNNNNNNNNNNNNNNNNNNNNNNNNNNNNNNNNNNNNNNNNNNNNNNNNNNNNNNNNNNNNNNNNNNNNNNNNNNNNNNNNNNNNNNNNNNNNNNNNNNNNNNNNNNNNNNNNNNNNNNNNNNNNNNNNNNNNNNNNNNNNNNNNNNNNNNNNNNNNNNNNNNNNNNNNNNNNNNNNNNNNNNNNNNNNNNNNNNNNNNNNNNNNNNNNNNNNNNNNNNNNNNNNNNNNNNNNNNNNNNNNNNNNNNNNNNNNNNNNNNNNNNNNNNNNNNNNNNNNNNNNNNNNNNNNNNNNNNNNNNNNNNNNNNNNNNNNNNNNNNNNNNNNNNNNNNNNNNNNNNNNNNNNNNNNNNNNNNNNNNNNNNNNNNNNNNNNNNNUUCUAUGAAUGGGUACGGGCCCCAAGAGAAAAAUUAUUGGCUAAUGACGUCUUAGGCAAGAUCAUCAUCAUUUCUUACUGGUUUCCCAUGAAAGUUCUCAACUGAAAGAGUGGAAAAUUUUCAAACACAUUAGACAAUUCACAUUAAUGACUAAACUACCAAACCCAUUUUUGUUUCUUCCUCUUAUUUUACUCGAAUAGUCGAUGUUUCCAUCUUUUUGAAUUUGUCCCGGUUCUAGAUCUGAUUUUUGGAGAGUUCAGAUUCUUUCGUUCUCUGCACUCCAACUUGACUUGACUUGUGAGAUGUGAGGCGUGAUGGCACGGUAUAUUAAACUAAUUAGGGCGCGUUUGUUUGUGUUUCUGUUCAAAAAGUGUUUCAGGGAACAGAAAUUAAAAAAAAAACUAUUUUUGUUCCGGGAAACAAUUUUUGACCAGAAAAAUGCGUUUGGUAAACUUGUUCCGAGAAUAAAAAAUGAAUAGAAACAUGUUUGGUAAAUUUAUAUUAUUUUUUUGUUUCUUUUAAAUUUUUAAUAUUUUUAUUUUUAUUUUCCUUUUUUCCUUUCUUUUUUCUUUUUUUUUUCUUUUGGCUGGUUGCCGGCCUCCGGCGACUGGCUAACGGGGGCCGACAGCCUCGCCCAGAUCCGGCGAGGUCGAGCGUUGCCGGCCCUUGGUGAGGCUCGGCCUCGCCGGGGGCCAGCGACGCUCCAGUGAGGUCGCCGACCCUCAACAGCCGGUCUCCGGCCAUGGCCGAGGCCGGCCACCGGUCAAAGAAAAAGAAGAAGAAAAGAAGAAGAAAAGAGAAGAAAAUAAAGGAGAGAGAAAAAAUGUUUUUCAAAAGUGUUUCUGGAACAAAAAAAUAACUUUUUUUUUUUUGUUUCUCAUUUCCGUUCCAAUUUUGUUCCGGGAACAAAAAAAACAGAUUUUGAACAAAAACGCAAACAAACGCGUUUCUGUUCUUUUUUUGUUCCCGAGAACAAAGAAAAAAGAAAAUCUGUUUAUGAACAAAAAAGAAAUAAGCAACCAUGCACGCCCUUAGUCUUUGUUUCUUCUUUCCUGUUUUUGAUAGAGCAAUGAGGUAAUGAGGCCGUGAUCCUCUACGCUUGAGAUCCUCUCUGUUUAAAGUGUAUCUCUUUAAGGUGUCCACGCAUCGACUAUGACCACCCACACAAGUCACUGUGCAUGACGAUAUACAACCCCAAGCAACACUGGUCACGAUGCCCAGCCGAACCUCCACCGCCAGCAACAGUCCGGGCCUCGCGACUACUGAGCCAGAGCAGAGGCCGACGAAGAAGAGAGAUGGGGGGGAGCAGGAUGGGCUGUGAUGGUGGCGGCAGUGCGGAGGCACAGCUGGCAGAACGGAUGGCGGUGCGUCUGGAGCUGGUGCGGUGGAGGAAGGGGAAGGGGUGAGCAAAGGAAAUGUAAAGAUUUGUUUGGUUUUUGGGUAAAUUUUGAAUUGCUGAUCUAGAUAUAACAUUACAAGAAAACAAAUAUAAUAUCAGGCAUAGCCUCACCAAAGUUUCGUCCUGUAGUUUGUACAGGCAUUAGACGAAUCGACCCUAGAUCUAUGAUUUUGGUCAACUCGUACUUCAUUANNNNNNNNNNNNNNNNNNNNNNNNNNNNNNNNNNNNNNNNNNNNNNNNNNNNNNNNNNNNNNNNNNNNNNNNNNNNNNNNNNNNNNNNNNNNNNNNNNNNNNNNNNNNNNNNNNNNNNNNNNNNNNNNNNNNNNNNNNNNNNNNNNNNNNNNNNNNNNNNNNNNNNNNNNNNNNNNNNNNNNNNNNNNNNNNNNNNNNNNNNNNNNNNNNNNNNNNNNNNNNNNNNNNNNNNNNNNNNNNNNNNNNNNNNNNNNNNNNNNNNNNNNNNNNNNNNNNNNNNNNNNNNNNNNNNNNNNNNNNNNNNNNNNNNNNNNNNNNNNNNNNNNNNNNNNNNNNNNNNNNNNNNNNNNNNNNNNNNNNNNNNNNNNNNNNNNNNNNNNNNNNNNNNNNNNNNNNNNNNNNNNNNNNNNNNNNNNNNNNNNNNNNNNNNNNNNNNNNNNNNNNNNNNNNNNNNNNNNNNNNNNNNNNNNNNNNNNNNNNNNNNNNNNNNNNNNNNNNNNNNNNNNNNNNNNNNNNNNNNNNNNNNNNNNNNNNNNNNNNNNNNNNNNNNNNNNNNNNNNNNNNNNNNNNNNNNNNNNNNNNNNNNNNNNNNNNNNNNNNNNNNNNNNNNNNNNNNNNNNNNNNNNNNNNNNNNNNNNNNNNNNNNNNNNNNNNNNNNNNNNNNNNNNNNNNNNNNNNNNNNNNNGGGGGAGCAGGAUGGGCUGUGAUGGUGGCGGCAGUGCGGAGGCACAGCUGGCAGAACGGAUGGCGGUGCGUCUGGAGCUGGUGCGGUGGAGGAAGGGGAAGGGGUGAGCAAAGGAAAUGUAAGGAUUUGUUUGGUUUUUGGGUAAAUUUUGAAUUGCUGAUCUAGAUAUAACAUUACAAGAAAACAAAUAUAAUAUCAGGGCAUAGCCUCACCAAAGUUUCGUCCUGUAGUUUGUACAGGCAUUAGACGAAUCGAACCCUAGGAUCUUAUGAUUUUGGUCCAACUCGUACUUCAUUAGACGGCAAAGCGUACGCUGGUCUCUUAAAAACAAACAUGUCUUCCUAAACACACCGCUCAAUGUGCUGCUUAGCACAUAGGGUUCAGAAUACGAGACAAGUUGCAUUGCUUGAUAUAACGUGCACAGAUGAUGAAAGUUGAUUUGUAUAACUUGAAAGUUGAAAAAGAAGAAAGAGAGAGCGGGGCUUUCUCUUUGUCAGGCUCAUUGGAAAUAAAAGAUGAUUAUCACAUGUUAAAAACGAAUACUUCUCGGGUAACAUUAUGCAUCCUAAUAUGUAGGUCACUAGUCCUUAUAGAUCCGAUUACGUUAUUCUAUCAAAAGUGCAUUAAAUGAGGUUUCACUCAUACAGUGAAGAGCAUAACCUCAUGCUGGGAUUCGAAUAUCAAGUUCGUGGAAAGAAAGUUUAUAGGCUUCUUUGGAAGUAACAAAAAUCUAAGGCUAGUAAUUUGGGUUUGCAUGUUAUAUCCGGGUCUUGUAAUUGUAGCAAGUCAUGUUGUUAGAGAAUAUUAUAUUGUCAAUCAUAUAUAGAAAUUAUGUAUAAUCAUACAUAAUUAUGUUAGAACUUGUUAGUUUGUAUUAGAGAUUGUCAACCCUAGGUGUUCAUCAUGACUUGUCUGACAAAUAACCCAUCAACACAAAUCAAGAGUGUGGGUUUAUAUAUAUAAAGUGGGUCCACGGAUAACUUUUCUAUUUUAAUGAACCAACCAAUCACAUGCAAAAAGAUAAAAAAAAAAGAAAAAAAAGAAUACAUACGUCAGGAUAUCAAUACAUCAAAUCCAAGAGAUAUAUCACUAGUCUAUGUUUCAAAGAAGAACGACGUCACGAAAGGUGCCGGGAAUAAUAUAUGGAUAGGCUCUAAUAAACAAUCAUUACUUGACAAAUGACCACGUUUUUGUUUUCUUUUCUCUCAUUAUUUUACUUCGAAUGGUCAAUGUUUCCCAUGUUCCCUCUAUCUGUAUUUGCCCACCUUCUAGAUAGCAAUUUGAAUGACCUCAAAAUCUCCUUCCCUCUUCCAUCCAACUUGAAGUCAAUACUAAACCAGCGCUCAUUUUAGAAGAUUGAUGAUAAACGAAAGCUUUUCCAAAUACUUAUUAAACAUACUCGAUACGAAGCACUUUUUAUUUUUAGAACCUUUAUCCUUCAUAGUACAAAAAAAGUUUUGGUGCUUUAAAAAUUGAAGAAUUUUCUUAUGUGAUUACUUAACAAAUGCUCGAUAGAACUGGUUAACAAAUUCUAUUUGAGAAUAAUAAUGAAUAUCAUGUGUGUUUGUUGGUAAAUGUGUAAAUGAAAUAUGAGUUAUUCAAGAUUUUGAUGUUGUUAUUUUAGAUUAUCAAGUAAUUUCUGAGUCGUAUAGAAGUAUUUUUUCUUUUACUCGUACGGAAACACAUUAAGUUAAUAUAAAGUGGAGUUUCUUGUAUAUAAUCCCAUUUUCCUUGACCUUUGUAGUCUGAAAUAGUUAGUGCAAUGAUAUUACAUGAGCUAAAAAAAUUUGCCCAAGAAAACCAACCUAAUCUCGUGCCACCUAUUUACGUUCAUCAACAUAUCUAGUUGAUGGUGCAUUGCUCGAACUGCUUGCACUAAAUGCGAAUGUCUUUUUCUCGAGUAUUUAGUGGUCAUCAAUGGAUGCUGACUUUUACAUUAAUCUUUUUACACUUUGAGAGUUGAAAACAAUUGAAAAAUAGUAUUCUGUGUUGUAUUGUGGGAAGAAAUUAUUAGUUAAGAAGCAUAAAUACCUUAUCAAAUUGACUCUAAAACCAAGUAAAGGAAUUUUUUAUUUUCACAUCGUUCCAAUGUUCCAAAUAUACAGAUAUUUUUAGAUAAUUACGAACAGAUCAUGGAUUUCCUCAAGGUCAAUUUUAUCACGUAUUACCUAAAUUUUAUGAUUUUGAUGUGUUUUCUGAUCUUACUCUAUUCGCUAGUUCUCUUAUCCGUUCCAUAAUAUAUCUCGUAUUCUUUUAUUAAAAUGUAGUCGGUUUAUAUUUCAAUUGCUUGAGCUUGUUUUGAGUUGAUCUGCUAAUUAGGUGGAGGUCAUUUGAUUAAACAUGUAACUGCAAUUUGAUCAAAUUGGAAUCUCGAUUGUAGUAUUAUAUAUUUAUAUAGAUAUUCGCUAAUACCCACUUAUAACAACAUUGACGAAAACGAAGACNNNNNNNNNNNNNNNNNNNNNNNNNNNNNNNNNNNNNNNNNNNNNNNNNNNNNNNNNNNNNNNNNNNNNNNNNNNNNNNNNNNNNNNNNNNNNNNNNNNNNNNNNNNNNNNNNNNNNNNNNNNNNNNNNNNNNNNNNNNNNNNNNNNNNNNNNNNNNNNNNNNNNNNNNNNNNNNNNNNNNNNNNNNNNNNNNNNNNNNNNNNNNNNNNNNNNNNNNNNNNNNNNNNNNNNNNNNNNNNNNNNNNNNNNNNNNNNNNNNNNNNNNNNNNNNNNNNNNNNNNNNNNNNNNNNNNNNNNNNNNNNNNNNNNNNNNNNNNNNNNNNNNNNNNNNNNNNNNNNNNNNNNNNNNNNNNNNNNNNNNNNNNNNNNNNNNNNNNNNNNNNNNNNNNNNNNNNNNNNNNNNNNNNNNNNNNNNNNNNNNNNNNNNNNNNNNNNNNNNNNNNNNNNNNNNNNNNNNNNNNNNNNNNNNNNNNNNNNNNNNNNNNNNNNNNNNNNNNNNNNNNNNNNNNNNNNNNNNNNNNNNNNNNNNNNNNNNNNNNNNNNNNNNNNNNNNNNNNNNNNNNNNNNNNNNNNNNNNNNNNNNNNNNNNNNNNNNNNNNNNNNNNNNNNNNNNNNNNNNNNNNNNNNNNNNNNNNNNNNNNNNNNNNNNNNNNNNNNNNNNNNNNNNNNNNNNNNNNNNNNNNNNNNNNNNNNNNNNNNNNNNNNNNNNNNNNNNNNNNNNNNNNNNNNNNNNNNNNNNNNNNNNNNNNNNNNNNNNNNNNNNNNNNNNNNNNNNNNNNNNNNNNNNNNNNNNNNNNNNNNNNNNNNNNNNNNNNNNNNNNNNNNNNNNNNNNNNNNNNNNNNNNNNNNNNNNNNNNNNNNNNNNNNNNNNNNNNNNNNNNNNNNNNNNNNNNNNNNNNNNNNNNNNNNNNNNNNNNNNNNNNNNNNNNNNNNNNNNNNNNNNNNNNNNNNNNNNNNNNNNNNNNNNNNNNNNNNNNNNNNNNNNNNNNNNNNNNNNNNNNNNNNNNNNNNNNNNNNNNNNNNNNNNNNNNNNNNNNNNNNNNNNNNNNNNNNNNNNNNNNNNNNNNNNNNNNNNNNNNNNNNNNNNNNNNNNNNNNNNNNNNNNNNNNNNNNNNNNNNNNNNNNNNNNNNNNNNNNNNNNNNNNNNNNNNNNNNNNNNNNNNNNNNNNNNNNNNNNNNNNNNNNNNNNNNNNNNNNNNNNNNNNNNNNNNNNNNNNNNNNNNNNNNNNNNNNNNNNNNNNNNNNNNNNNNNNNNNNNNNNNNNNNNNNNNNNNNNNNNNNNNNNNNNNNNNNNNNNNNNNNNNNNNNNNNNNNNNNNNNNNNNNNNNNNNNNNNNNNNNNNNNNNNNNNNNNNNNNNNNNNNNNNNNNNNNNNNNNNNNNNNNNNNNNNNNNNNNNNNNNNNNNNNNNNNNNNNNNNNNNNNNNNNNNNNNNNNNNNNNNNNNNNNNNNNNNNNNNNNNNNNNNNNNNNNNNNNNNNNNNNNNNNNNNNNNNNNNNNNNNNNNNNNNNNNNNNNNNNNNNNNNNNNNNNNNNNNNNNNNNNNNNNNNNNNNNNNNNNNNNNNNNNNNNNNNNNNNNNNNNNNNNNNNNNNNNNNNNNNNNNNNNNNNNNNNNNNNNNNNNNNNNNNNNNNNNNNNNNNNNNNNNNNNNNNNNNNNNNNNNNNNNNNNNNNNNNNNNNNNNNNNNNNNNNNNNNNNNNNNNNNNNNNNNNNNNNNNNNNNNNNNNNNNNNNNNNNNNNNNNNNNNNNNNNNNNNNNNNNNNNNNNNNNNNNNNNNNNNNNNNNNNNNNNNNNNNNNNNNNNNNNNNNNNNNNNNNNNNNNNNNNNNNNNNNNNNNNNNNNNNNNNNNNNNNNNNNNNNNNNNNNNNNNNNNNNNNNNNNNNNNNNNNNNNNNNNNNNNNNNNNNNNNNNNNNNNNNNNNNNNNNNNNNNNNNNNNNNNNNNNNNNNNNNNNNNNNNNNNNNNNNNNNNNNNNNNNNNNNNNNNNNNNNNNNNNNNNNNNNNNNNNNNNNNNNNNNNNNNNNNNNNNNNNNNNNNNNNNNNNNNNNNNNNNNNNNNNNNNNNNNNNNNNNNNNNNNNNNNNNNNNNNNNNNNNNNNNNNNNNNNNNNNNNNNNNNNNNNNNNNNNNNNNNNNNNNNNNNNNNNNNNNNNNNNNNNNNNNNNNNNNNNNNNNNNNNNNNNNNNNNNNNNNNNNNNNNNNNNNNNNNNNNNNNNNNNNNNNNNNNNNNNNNNNNNNNNNNNNNNNNNNNNNNNNNNNNNNNNNNNNNCGUUUUGAUGGACUUCGCACUUGAUUCAUAAUCCUUGCACUUUUUCUAACUGGACGUGAGACUUCUUCUUCAGCUGUCUUGGGAUGCGUUGAGUCUGAUGGAGCUGCAAUUGUCCUAGGCUGAACUGAUUCAGAAGGAGCUGCAACUGUUGUAGGCUGAGCUGAUUCGGAUGGACCUGCAACUGGGUUCUUCUCACUCUUCUUUCUUGUUGGCGCAGGCAAUGUCUUCUUCUUUGUUGGCGCAGCCGUUGAUUCUUGAGUUCGGCCUUGAGAGAUAAGAACCUAUGAACUUCUCCCAGGCUUCAAAAAGAAAGCUCAAUUAUCAACAAAAGUUUGCACUAUAAAUUAAAUUAAAUGCAGCUUAUAAAACUUACAUUAAGAAUAACUGUUCCAGAACGGUCAUCUGUAUAAAGGCCAUAACCAUAUUGUUUAAGCCUCUUCCCAAGAGCCCCUCUUGUUCGAAGGGGAGCGUCACUUUCAGGUACUUGUGAUUGGUUGCCUCUUCUUCUCGCAUGUGAUUUCUUCGGCUCUUGUGGCUGUUCAGCUACAGAAGGGACUUCUUCAGCCAAUUCUUCAGCUAGGCGUCUUGUAGAUGGCCUUCUUAUAGGUGGCUCUUGAUUUGGCUUUGGCUUUCUUCUGGUUGUUUUUCUAGUUACGCCUUCAGCUUCAGUGACACCUUCGGUAGGCUUUGGUGGUGGCCCUUGUGAUGACCCUUCUAGUGGCCUUUGUGAUGACCUUGGUGAUGGAUCUUGUGGUGGCCCUUUAGUUAGGCCCUCUAUUAGCAGCUGAGCUCUAGCUUGUCUUCUUCAAACCUGAGAAAAAGGCAAAGGACAUCAUAAAUAUAACAUCAGGCCAUAUUAGAACAUAAAUGAAAAGUAAACUCAAAUCAUUUAACUGACCGGGUAUUUUUUUCUUUGUUGCUGCUGAAGAACAGUCGACUUAAUUGGCCCUCCAGUUGUUUUAGCCAAUCUUGCAGCUGGCUGUCUUCCACCUUCGGUUCUUUGAACGGACCCUUCAUUUUCGGGUAUAGCAGGGGCUUCGGCCAAUUCUUCACGUGUCACCGUGACCUGACAAAGACAAAAACAUUACAUACAUGUCACUUAUAUCUAUGUACAUAUUCAUAACAAACCAUAAAGCAACAUAAACAUAAUUGUCAUGACUUACUGGGUUUAUUGUCGUCGACUGAAGAACAGUCGACUCACUUCGCCUUUCUGUUUCUCCUUCUCUAACUGUCCCUUCACUAGGCCCUUCGGCUAGCCUCAAUUGUUCCUGCUGCUUCUUUAAUUGACAACCCUUAAUAUUGUGCCCUGCUAUGUGGCAAAAAGAGCACUUUAUCAGUACACCCAUCCUAUUCAUCCUACAGUGACAUGAGUCCUCUCCCUCCGUCAUUUUUCUUUUUUUCUUUGGUCUUCCCAUUCUCUUCUUUAGUGGCAAAGGUUGAGGUGCUUCGCGAUCUGUUGGCUCCCAGAACUUGCUACUUCUAAUUGGCUGCAACAUGAAUUGAUACGAAGCAAGAUAUUUCGAUUUCUUGUACCAAUCAUCAAUGUAGUCUUCUGUGUUGUGGCCCUUCAAUUGAAUUGCACAUAUGGCAUGUGCACAAGGAAUUCCACUGAGUUGCCAUGCUCUACAUGAACACUUCAUCGUACCUAAAUGGACAACAUACUUAUCGGAACCCUUCAUUAUCUCAUAUCCUUCAUCCCCAUUCCAAAUGGGAUGACAAUACCUACUUGCAGCCAAGUUGUCAUCCAAUUUCUUAGCAAUCCUAGGACCAUAUUGCUUAGUCCACUUUGCAGUAUCAUCUCUUUGUCUGUGCAGCCGAGUCAUGACCUUCCUACUAACUAUCCCAUGGUCAACGCUCCUUAUCACUCCAAUCUUCAACUUCGCUCUGAUACCACUUAAACAGGAUGUCACGCCCCGAUCCUCAGGCACGCACACAUCCGUCUCACUUGGUCGAUUUUAUAAUGCGAUAUCCCAGGACAAUGUAUCGCCGACCCUUUCAUUUUUUUAGCACAUGCGGAAGCAGUUAAAAUCCCCAGACAAUAAAACGAUGGGAUAGAAAAGCAGGGUCAUAUUUUUCAUAUUGAAAUUUAUAACCAAACUUUUGUACAUGACAUCCACUAAAGAACUUCAUAACUAUUCACAUCAAUUGGAGUUCACAAAAGAAGAUGAAAUCUCAAUCCCUUCAGGUCAUACUCAAAAUCUCUCUCGGUAUUAUCUUCUUCUUCCAAAAGUCCUUCUACUCAGGUUUCACCUCCGAGUUCUCCUUCUCAGAUUCCUCCUCAGCUCCUCAACGGGGUCCUGAAAUGUUUUUCCCCAAACUGGGAUGAGACUACGUCUCAGCGAGUUCUACCCCACUAAGCCCAAUUAGUAAACUAUUAUACUAUAGGCUGCCUAUACACGCAUAGGGCAGAAGACGUACCUUGGCCUCAUAUCCCACCUGCGAGUUAGUACAAUUCAUAAUAGGCACCCAAGCAAUCAGAUCACUUAUCGAAGCAUCGAUCAAAUCGACCUAGUCGAUUAUAUGCCAGGAAGACCAUUCAUGAUCACCUCCAUUCAAUCAUUCAAUUCACAACAUCCAACCAAGGCAAUGAAUCACAUCAAGUCACACUCAGAUCGAAUAAUCGAUCAAUCGACCUAGUCGAUUACAAGUCAAUCAGACCAUCUCAUGGUCAUUUCCAAUCAAUCUGCCCAUUCACAACAUCAGAUCAAGCAAUGAUCAAUCGACCUAGUCGAUUACAUAUCAACAAGACCACUUCCGGUCAUUUCAACUAUUCCAAUUCAAAUCCCAAUUAUGAAUCACGGUCCUUAGGACACAACUUAAUUAUAAGUGGUAAUCAUGGCCCCACCAAACAAUUUUCUUAGAUUUAGUGGCAUCACGGCCCCACUCGGCAAUAUCAUAUGUAGUGGCAUCACGGCCCCACUCAGCAAUGUUAUAUGUAGUGGCAUCACGGCCCCACUCGGCAUGUAGUGGCAUCACGGCCCCACUCGGCAAUGCUAUAUGUAGUGGUAUCACGGCCCCACUCGGCAUGUAGUGGCAUCACGGCCCCACUCGGCAAUGCUAUAUGUAGUGGUAUCACGGCCCCACUCGGCAUGUAGUGGCAUCACGGCCCCACUCGGCAAUGCUAUAUGUAGUGGUAUCACGGCCCCACUCGGCAUGUAGUGGCAUCACGGCCCCACUCGGCAAUAUCAUAUGUAGUGGUAUCACGGCCCCACUCGGCAACUUUUUCAAUAUAUUGGCAUUAUCAACCGAUGCCCGGUUAUUCUUCAAGUAAUAACCAAAGAUUAUUCAAUUUAGGAAUAAAUCCUAAAAUCACUAAUAAAUCAAUUUCUCACAAAUUAAGCCUCGAAUAAAUAAACGAACCACACCAUGACAAUCAGCAUGAAAUUCCGGUCAUCGGCCAUCUCAACUUAAUUUCCGAAAAAUAAAUAAUUAAUUAAUUAAUUUCUAGAAUUAAAUAAUUAAUAUUAAAAACUCAAUUUAGCUCAAAAUAGAGCCCGAUUAAAUAAACGGACUUCACCACGGUCAUCAGCAUAAUUUUCUGGUCACGGGCCAUCCCAGUUGAAUUUUCAGGAAAUAAAUAAUUAUUUAAUUAAUUUCGAAAAUUAAUUAAUAUUAAAAAUUCAAUUUAGCUUAAAAUAAAGUCCGAUCAAAUAAACGGACUUCGCCACGAUCAUCAGCAUAAUAUUCCGGUUCCAAACCAUCUCCUUCAAAUUUUCGGAAAAUAAAUAAUUAUUUAAUUUAAUUCCGAUAAUUAAUAUUUAAAUGCCAAAAAUCUCACUUAGGCCCGAAUCACCAAAUUGAAGCUCAAUUAGGGGUCCGAAAAUUCCCGAGAUGCCUUCAAUAAAUAGUAGACCACGUCUACUUGCUAAUUACGCGAUCAAUUUAUCUAAAUUGCAUCACAAUUGACUAAUAAUUGCUAAUUAAUUCUAAUCUAACAACCUAAACAUAAUUAAUUAAAACUAAACCAACCUAAAGCAUAAUUAGCCAACUAAUUCAGGAUUAGUGAGAUUACUCACCAAAUCGCGCGCAAAUCGGAUCAAUCCGACGGCGGCGACGCGAGGAACGAUUGUUCCCAAAGCGGGCCUCGGGUUCGGGGCCGGGAAACGGCCCAAAACGAGCUCGAACCAGCUGGAAACCCAUUUUCUGCACUCUCUGUGCGCGGCUGAUUAAGGGCGAAGGAAGGCGGAUCCGAAGCUUGGUUGGGUCGGAAAUGGACGGAGGGGUCGAACCGAACCAAGGCGAGGCUUCACGGUGGCCGGAGGAUGGGUGGACAGCUCCGGCGGAGCUCCACCAGAUCUGAAGCUUCGCUGAAACAGAGGGCUGAGCGAGGGAGAAGCCGAGGCAGGCGGAGCACGGGACGGCGAACGGCGAGGCGACGCGGGCCGGGAACGACGUGUGGCGGCGAGGCGGCGUGCGGCGCGACUGUAGCUCCUUCAAGCAACGCCGAUCGUUGCUUCUGUCCCUGCUGGUCGGUUCUGAUCGAACCAGAGGAAGGAGAGAGGGCAGAGGGCGCGCGGACGACCGGUGGAGCAGCGGCGGUAGCUCCGGCUUCGGUGGGCAACGACGGCGACGAGAAGCGCGACGGGCGGAGCUUCUUCGGCUUCUUCGGCUUCCAUGGUGCCGAGCAACCAAAGAGAAGAGGAAGAAAGGGGGUUCGUCGACGGAGGAGGAGAGAAGAAUUUCUCUUUCCUUUCUCUCUCUCUCUCUCUCUCUUAUGUCAGCCACCAGCUGUCUUCCACUUCAUUUUCCUUGCCAAAGAUGCCCCUUCUAGAAGCUUUAGAUAGGCCAAAAUGUGGGGGUAGAGGUGGCAUACGAAUUUGCUAUUUUUCCCUCUUCAAUUUUACUUAAAUUGGUUCACUUCUCAACAAACAAUAUUUCAAUUGAAGCCUAAAUAAAUCCAUCAAGGCAUCCUUGUCCAUUUCAUGACUUUUCCCGUCAUAUAAUCUAACUUGCAUCCCAAUUUCGAAUUCAAGAACGGUCCUCUGAAAUUUUCGAUGAAAAUGGCCCUACCUAUCUAGUCGAAAUUAUGACUCGAAAAAUCUGGAUGUCACAACUCUUCCCCUCUUAUAAAAAUUUCGUCCUCGAAAUUUAAACCUUUACCAAUCCAUAAACGAAAGGUGGGGGGUAUUGCCGUCUCAUCGAGUCUCACUUUUCCACGUUGAUCAUUCGGUCUCGUGGCGUUGUCUAACCACUUGACUAAAGAGAUCAUCUUUGUACACAAAAUCCACUAUUUCUGAACCAACAACUGAACUGAGCUUCUCACAUAAGACAUUAUGUCAUCCACAUCUGAUCUCUUUUUCUCGACUCUCUAAUAAACCUUCGAACCUUAACGAUUGAAAAUUUCUGACAAUUCUGAGUAAUCUAUACUCUGACACUGAUCUGACAACUGCAAACAUUGAUUACUGAGCUGACAUCUGGACUUGCGAUUUUCUAAUUUCUGAUCUCAUCUCAACCGACUGAAAUCCUGUACACUCUGCUUUGCACUGAUUAAAAAGAAACUAUCUGACUGAUCUGCUCUGCUGAAACUGAUAUAACUCUGGCACUGAUCUUGGCAACUGUAAUCACUGGCUACUGUAAUGACUUUGGCCUGAAAUCUUUAUUCACUUUCUUUUCACCACUGAAAUUCUGUACCCUCUGCUAUACACUGCUUAAUAAAGAACCCUCUGAAAACUCUGCCAACUUAUAAUCUCUGAUCUAGAUUCGAGAUAUAAUUCAUCCUCGACACUCCAUGUCAGUGAACUAUCCGAGACACACACUUCGGUAUACCCACUUUAUGGCAAGAUAGGAUCUUCAAUUUCUGAAAUCGAACUUAGAUUGGCGGUUAAUUUCACUUCGACACGCUUUUAGUGUAACCUAGGCUACCGGGUAGUGUUCAGAGCUUUUUAGGACAAAUGACCCGUGGUCGAUUUUCUUCGAGCCACACUGAACUGACUCGACACAUUGGCGACUCUCGAUUGUCGUGAAAAUCUCAAAGGUUCAAAUACGGACACAGGGUCCCAAAACGAUAGAAACAUCAAAUUAGUACCGGUCGAUGAGAAUUUUCCAAUUUAGUGGAGUCACCCACGAUCGGUCAUUCAUCUCAGUCGAGCCGAUCUAUUUCUGAUUUCAAAUCGAUUUUAUAUUGUGCCGCAAUGAUCUCUAAAGAUGAGCACGGUCGAGAAGUCGAUCCAUGGUCGAAUUCUCAAGUCUAUUUGCCUUAAGGUCCUUAAUAACUCACCCAGCUAGUCUAGUUAUCUCAUGAGUGGCCAACUCAGAGAAAAACACUGUAAUCGCAUCGAUGAAAUGCCCAAUUUAUCUAAUCGAAAUCAGAGCCUGAAAUCUGGAUGUUACAUACUCAAAACAAGAUCUACUCAUAUUGUACCAAAGUGGACCAACUCCAUCUAUCGAUCAACCACUAUUCUCAAAUGGUAUCAGUAAUCCCCUGAAUUCUUAGUAAGCCAUAUAUUUCCAUUUCCAGUUGGGACUCUCGAUUGAUGCUAAAAUCUUCCUGAUUUGCAUUACUGAACUUCCACUUACUGACACCUUUGACACUUGCAAUCUGCUUGGCGAUAUCUACCUUCAUAUCGGUCUACCAAUUUAGCUGACGUCGAUUCUAACUUACUUGCCCCAUCUGGUCAAAACUGUGAUACUAUAAUGAACUUCUGACAAGAUCUUUUCCCUAAGUGUUACACUGUUAAGUGCACUCAAUUCCUCAUGGAACCCGAACGUUCCAUCCUCAGAAGUUUCAAAGUUAGAUUCUUUCUUGCCAGUAUCCUCUUAUAAGAUUUUCUUAACAUCUCUGCUUGUCAACUAGGCGUCGAUUUUAACUUGAACAUUUGGUUCAAUUUUGAGGGCGGCUAUAAAAUUUAAAAGGUAGCCUACCUCAAAUUUGAAAACCAAAUUUCAAAUUCUUUUCAAGUAAAGUCUAUACUUUAGCCAGUCUCUGCACAUUGAAAGACUCUCGGCUCAACACAUUAAUUACUUAUUUCAUUCUCCCAAGAUAAUACCAAAUAACAUCAUUAUAGUUCUGCCAAAAUUCUGAUUCACGACACUGUUUCAUGUUCAACUUGUUGGGUCUCAACUAGCGGGACGGUUAUACAACAAUCUUCUCAUGUUGUAUCAAUACAUACCCAAUCGUUGGCAAGACACAUCACUAAAAGUUUCAUGCUUUCCAGAGCCAAAUGAAAAGUUUAGCACAAGUACGAUAGCCAGAUCUUACUUAAGCUUUGGAAAUUAUCCUCGUACUUGUCUAUGCCAAUGAAUUUCUCUUCUUUCUCAAGAGGUCAACCUCACAAUGAUGCUAAUGCUGAAAAUUCUUUCACAACCCUUCUAUAGUAACCUGUCCAAUCCCCACGACUUCUGAUCUCUGACACUGAUGUCAAUCUCAAUCUGCUAACAACUAAUUAGAUCUUGGCUUGGCCCAUGAAGAUUCUCUUACCUAUAACCACACGACCAUUCUUAGGGGCUCUCGUGAUCCUCAUCGCUUAAUGAACACCCUAGAACGUCGCUACAUCACACGAUCACCAUUGAUCUAGGUAUUCUUUGAACACUCAAUUUGUCAAAUCUAUGACAGCGGCUGAAGUGUUCACCAGGCCAAACGAUCUUACAAUACUCUCAUAAAGACCAUAUCAAGUACGAACAGUUGUCUUUCUUACAACCUCCAUCCUGGUUCAUAACUAACGACUUCAUAAUCUCAAGUCGACCUUUAAAACAUCAAUAUUCUUUAUAACUAGUCACACCAUUCAUUGAUCUUUGGUAAAGAACACUUGUCCUUGAUCUUCACCUAAUUGAGUUGACUAUGGUUGAUGCACACUCGCAACAAACCAUCUUUCUUCUUUUCACAAACAAAACUAAUGUUUCCCCAAAGUAAUACACUGAUAUGCACGAAUACCUCAUUCAUCAAUCUUCACAUCGGCAUUUUCAAUUCUACCAGUUCAGACAACAACAACUGGUAAGAAACCUUCGAGAAUAGCUCCAUCUUGGUGCUAGCUCGAUCACACUUUCUAUCUCUUUCUUUGACGGCGAUCUGACAGUUCUUGUGAUAACACAUCUAGAAAUUCUUAGACCACUGAGAUGUCCUCCAUCUCUAGUUCUUCAAUCAGUCCUACCCAAGACAAUCGCUAAGCAACCUUGGCAACCUCCGUCUAACAAACAAGUUGCCUCCAGCCAAUGAGAUUAAUGAAAUCGAAGAUUAUUUUCAACUCCCAAUAACUUCGACACUUUCACAUGUUAAUGGACUAAACUGGCUUACUCCAAGAUUGUGAUUCAUUAUCACUAAAUGCUGCUUGAGCCCACACUAUUCAUGCGGUGUCAAACUCACACCUUAGCAACUAGUCAAGCACAACUGUUGAUAGUGAUUCCCUUCUCUUUCACUUUUACUUCAACAAUUUAAGUUCUAUUACUUAGCACAAAACUCUGCUGCGCUACUCUGAUAAAAUCACUUUCGACACAUUCUUUCUCUGAUUGGUGCAAGGUCCAUUCUACUCCCAUUCUUUCCUGGCCACAGUGACGAUGUCCAUGCCACCUUAGACUUCCACUGACAGUCCUUCACCUGAUGGCCACGCUGGUCAUCAUCACAAUAGGUUCUAGUCAUAUUCGGACACUGGAUUCAUCCAUGCUUCCUUCUACAAUUCUGACACUUAUCAGGUGAGUCUUCUAUCUCUUGCCAAGUGACAGCACACACUCUUUCUGGUUGUCCCAUCGAUCUGCUAAAACCACUCUCGACCUCGAUCUUUUCCCUGACCGAUUUUCAUUUCUGCCUGAACUGGAUCUAUACCUCGGCUCGAAUGCAAUGACUUCUCCUGGAUCACAUCUCCACUUUGGAUCUCAGCAGGUGAAGCGACAACGGCAGUUGCAACACUGACGGCGGUUCGAUCCUGAGCCUCCUGGCUCAUCCAGUUCCCAAGGAAAACUUGCAUCUGAAUGAUCCUAUCGAACUUAGGAUCAUUCGACGCUGCUACACUAGUACCAACCUGCAGUGGUACUCUUACACUCGAGCUGGCCAGAGCCGACACUCUGCCACAACCACCUCGGGUACCGACCUUUGUCAGUGCAUUAUCCCGAGUCACAGAGGACAUUGUCCUCUUACUAGGAGUUCUUAGCUCCUGCUCGCUCAUGGUUCAGUUUAUACACUGCAACCCGUCUUCCAAAUCCACACUGGAUUAGAAGAUGAGCGAUCCACACACAACAAACAAUUUUAGCACUCAGCUAACACAGACAUGCACCAGCAUGAAUUUAAAGGCCUUUCCUACUAACUAUCCCAUGGUCAACGCUCCUUAUCACUCCAAUCUUCAACUUCGCUCUGAUACCACUUAAACAGGAUGUCACGCCCCGAUCCUCAGGCACGCACACAUCCGUCUCACUUGGUCGAUUUUAUAAUGCGAUAUCCCAGGACAAUGUAUCGCCGACCCUUUCAUUUUUUUAGCACAUGCGGAAGCAGUUAAAAUCCCCAGACAAUAAAACGAUGGGAUAGAAAAGCAGGGUCAUAUUUUUCAUAUUGAAAUUUAUAACCAAACUUUUGUACAUGACAUCCACUAAAGAACUUCAUAACUAUUCACAUCAAUUGGAGUUCACAAAAGAAGAUGAAAUCUCAAUCCCUUCAGGUCAUACUCAAAAUCUCUCUCGGUAUUAUCUUCUUCUUCCAAAAGUCCUUCUACUCAGGUUUCACCUCCGAGUUCUCCUUCUCAGAUUCCUCCUCAGCUCCUCAACGGGGUCCUGAAAUGUUUUUCCCCAAACUGGGAUGAGACUACGUCUCAGCGAGUUCUACCCCACUAAGCCCAAUUAGUAAACUAUUAUACUAUAGGCUGCCUAUACACGCAUAGGGCAGAAGACGUACCUUGGCCUCAUAUCCCACCUGCGAGUUAGUACAAUUCAUAAUAGGCACCCAAGCAAUCAGAUCACUUAUCGAAGCAUCGAUCAAAUCGACCUAGUCGAUUAUAUGCCAGGAAGACCAUUCAUGAUCACCUCCAUUCAAUCAUUCAAUUCACAACAUCCAACCAAGGCAAUGAAUCACAUCAAGUCACACUCAGAUCGAAUAAUCGAUCAAUCGACCUAGUCGAUUACAAGUCAAUCAGACCAUCUCAUGGUCAUUUCCAAUCAAUCUGCCCAUUCACAACAUCAGAUCAAGCAAUGAUCAAUCGACCUAGUCGAUUACAUAUCAACAAGACCACUUCCGGUCAUUUCAACUAUUCCAAUUCAAAUCCCAAUUAUGAAUCACGGUCCUUAGGACACAACUUAAUUAUAGGUGGUAAUCAUGGCCCCACCAAGCAAUUUUCUUAGAUUUAGUGGCAUCACGGCCCCACUCGGCAAUAUCAUAUGUAGUGGCAUCACGGCCCCACUCGGCAAUGUUAUAUGUAGUGGCAUCACGGCCCCACUCGGCAUGUAGUGGCAUCACGGCCCCACUCGGCAAUGCUAUAUGUAGUGGUAUCACGGCCCCACUCGGCAUGUAGUGGCAUCACGGCCCCACUCGGCAAUGCUAUAUGUAGUGGUAUCACGGCCCCACUCGGCAUGUAGUGGCAUCACGGCCCCACUCGGCAAUGCUAUAUGUAGUGGUAUCACGGCCCCACUCGGCAUGUAGUGGCAUCACGGCCCCACUCGGCAAUAUCAUAUGUAGUGGUAUCACGGCCCCACUCGGCAACUUUUUCAAUAUAUUGGCAUUAUCAACCGAUGCCCGGUUAUUCUUCAAGUAAUAACCAAAGAUUAUUCAAUUUAGGAAUAAAUCCUAAAAUCACUAAUAAAUCAAUUUCUCACAAAUUAAGCCUCGAAUAAAUAAACGAACCACACCAUGACAAUCAGCAUGAAAUUCCGGUCAUCGGCCAUCUCAAACUUAAUUUCCGAAAAAUAAAUAAUUAAUUAAUUAAUUUCUAGAAUUAAAUAAUUAAUAUUAAAAACUCAAUUUAGCUCAAAAUAGAGCCCGAUUAAAUAAACGGACUUCACCACGGUCAUCAGCAUAAUUUUCUGGUCACGGGCCAUCCCAGUUGAAUUUUCAGGAAAUAAAUAAUUAUUUAAUUAAUUUCGAAAAUUAAUUAAUAUUAAAAAUUCAAUUUAGCUUAAAAUAAAGUCCGAUCAAAUAAACGGACUUCGCCACGAUCAUCAGCAUAAUAUUCCGGUUCCAAACCAUCUCCUUCAAAUUUUCGGAAAAUAAAUAAUUAUUUAAUUUAAUUCCGAUAAUUAAUAUUUAAAUGCCAAAAAUCUCACUUAGGCCCGAAUCACCAAAUUGAAGCUCAAUUAGGGGUCCGAAAAUUCCCGAGACACUCCCAAUAAAUAGUAGACCACGUCUACUUGUUAAUUGCACAAUCAAUUUAUCUAAAUCGCAUCACAAUUGACUAAUAAUUGCUAAUUACUUCUAAUCUAACAACCUAAACAUAAUUAAUUAAAACUAAACCAACCUAAAGCAUAAUUAGCCAACUAAUCCGAGAUUAGUGAGAUUACUCACCAAAUCGCGCGCAAAUCGGAUCAAUCCGACGGCGGCGACGCGAGGAACGAUUGUUCCCAAAGCGGGCCUCGGGUUCGGGGCCGGGAAACGGCCCAAAACGAGCUCGAACCAGCUGGAAACCCAUUUUCUGCACUCUCUGUGCGCGGCUGAUUAAGGGCGAAGGAAGGCGGAUCCGAAGCUUGGUUGGGUCGGAAAUGGACGGAGGGGUCGAACCGAACCAAGGCGAGGCUUCACGGUGGCCGGAGGAUGGGUGGACAGCUCCGGCGGAGCUCCACCAGAUCUGAAGCUUCGCUGAAACAGAGGGCUGAGCGAGGGAGAAGCCGAGGCAGGCGGAGCACGGGACGGCGAACGGCGAGGCGACGCGGGCCGGGAACGACGUGUGGCGGCGAGGCGGCGUGCGGCGCGACUGUAGCUCCUUCAAGCAACGCCGAUCGUUGCUUCUGUCCCUGCUGGUCGGUUCUGAUCGAACCAGAGGAAGGAGAGAGGGCAGAGGGCGCGCGGACGACCGUGGAGCAGCGGCGGUAGCUCCGGCUUCGGUGGGCAACGACGGCGACGAGAAGCGGCGACGGGCGGAGCUUCUUCGGCUUCUUCGGCUUCCAUGGUGCCGAGCAACCAAAGAGAAGAGGAAGAAAGGGGGUUCGUCGACGGAGGAGGAGAGAAGAAGAAGAAGAGAAAACCAAUUUCUCUUUCCUUUCUCUCUCUCUCUCUCUCUCUUAUGUCAGCCACCAGCUGUCUUCCACUUCAUUUUCCUUGCCAAAGAUGCCCCUUCUAGAAGCUUUAGAUAGGCCAAAAUGUGGGGGUAGAGGUGGCAUACGAAUUUGCUAUUUUUCCCUCUUCAAUUUUACUUAAAUUGGUUCACUUCUCAACAAACAAUAUUUCAAUUGAAGCCUAAAUAAAUCCAUCAAGGCAUCCUUGUCCAUUUCAUGACUUUUCCCGUCAUAUAAUCUAACUUGCAUCCCAAUUUCGAAUUCAAGAACGGUCCUCUGAAAUUUUCGAUGAAAAUGGCCCUACCUAUCUAGUCGAAAUUAUGACUCGAAAAAUCUGGAUGUCACAAAUGAUCUAUGGAAAGUUAUGGCAUUCAAGUAAACUUUUUUUAGAAGUUAUGGUACUCAAGUAAACAUCGUAUGAAAGUUAUAGUAUUUAUGGUGUUCAUAUUCAUCAUUUUGAUAUCCUUUAGAUUUCUGUCUAUCCAACUAAAAUGAGCUGUCCUUCAAUUGUGCACUGCUGCAGCCACGAAGAAGUACUUCAAUUGGUUACUGAAGAGAUUUAUAAGGCAAGGAAAUUGUUAGAUGUUGACUCUUGAAGCCUUCUUUUAAUCGGUUGUCAAAGAAAAGGUGAAUGUGUUUACUAUUAAUGUAAUGAAAUUCUCCCCCACUCCAUUCUGAUUCUAUUGUUUGGAGGAUCUAGAUAUUUCAUUUGGUAACGAAAUUGGUUUGCGAUGCUAAUGCUUAGGUGCAUUAUAUACAGGGUGAGCAUAUAUGUAUGACGAGUAUAUCAGUGAAGUCCCAUGUUUUACUAGAGGGUUAAGCUUAUACGUCAGUGUGCACAAGGGUGCUGGACAAUAAUAGAAAAGGAGCUUCCAUACGCUGUUGGGAAAAUUUGAAUCGCUGGUAGAGUUGGCCUGUCAACUGUUAAACAUAGUUGAUCUACCUGAUUUAAUUGGAAAUCUAAAAAGAACUGAAACUAACCAGAAUGGACUUUUCAUCCAUAAGAAUGUUGCCCAAUGCUAUUGGACUGCUAUAAAUGAUUGAGGGGUUAGGUGCUAGAAAAUGAGUCUGACGGUUGAAAUUUUUGGUGAAAUUAGGUGACUAUUCAAACUGUUCGAGGAUUUUGGGCAUAACACUCAUCGAAGUUGCUUAUGGAUUCCCCACGAUGAUCUAUUCUCUCUCCCAUGUCCAUAAACUUUUUUUCUGGAUGCAAUGGAAUUUGACAGCCACCCCAAGCUUCUUCAAUCCGUCUUUGUUUUGAUGCAUACCGGUUUGUUCAUGGCCUCAUGAAAAUGGUUAAUUUAGAUUUAUGGACAGACCUGACCAAUAUCUAACAGGUUCCAUGUACUUUGUCAUUCUUGCCACUUUGGCUUAAGAAAUAUUGCUUUUUUUCAAUCUUGAAAAACUCUUUGGUUCUCGAAGUUCAUGAGACUCAGAAGCAUUAGUCCACUGCCAAACUUUUGAAACAUAAUGAAUUUGGCAGAAUUAUGUCCUUGGACGUCCAAUGUCAAAGCUUACCUGUCUCUCCAGAACUAACACGUUUGAGGGGACUGAAAAGAAUUAGAUUUGAAUUCCUUGAGAACAUACCCUGUCGUCUCUCUUGAAGAGUCUACCAUGCUUGAAUAGGCUCGUUGAGAUUCGAGGUUUGUUCAAGCUGGAAUUUCCUUUGGUUUUUUUUUUUUUUGGCUAUUUUAGUUUUUCUUUUUCUGAUGUGGUGCUCACGUACGCCACAUCAUCGCCACUUGUCCGGGAAAACAAUGAUAAUGCGAUGCAAGCCACCAUGUAGAAUAGCUAUCUUCGAUAGAAAGGUUAUAUGUGUCCCACUUGAUGGGUUUUUCAUUUGUGGGGCUAAAUGAAGCCUAUCCGCCCAUGUUGAGCCAAAACUGACCCAUAAAGGAAGGGCUCAUAAGAGGAAGGAACAGUUAUUUUUUGUAUAAAUAUGUAAAAUGAGGAAUGUUAAGAAUAGAAUAAAAAUAAUAUGUUCUUUUCCUUCCCUUGAGAUAAUAGUAUACUCUUUCUUGAAGAACGGAAUUCUAAGGCUUCAAUCAAUUCCUCUGAGACUGUAACAAGUACUUAAUUUGUGACAAACAAGAUAUGUCCGUUUUCGUAAUAUACCUUUUGAUUGGUAUUAUAUGUUUCUAGGCAUAUAUCUGCAUUUGUUUUUGGUAUUCAAUCGUUUGAGUAUCGAUUCAUCUUUCAAAAAUCCAUUUUCAACAUUGGUAUCACAGCAAUGUUGUUAAUGUUUCUCUAUCAUUGUUGACAUUUAUAAUUUAUUUUUGAUCGAAAUUUUGAGAAACGUCGCCGGCUGACUUUUGGAGAUUGAAAUCCCGACACCCGCGUACUAUUCACCCCUCCCUUUUUAUUUUUCAUGAGUCAAAACUCAUUUUUGAAAGUACAAGGUCAUAGUUUUUGUCGAGACGAGAAAAACAACGGGUGGCUCACCACUAGGGGCCUUCGGACGUGCCCCCACGCGCUGCCAGAAGGAGUGGAGUCGUCAACUCGUGCACAGCAUGCGUGCACGGUAAACCAUUAGCAAAUGCACUGCAUAUGCGCGGUAACCGCACGCGAAUGCUCGGCAUGCGCGUAGCAACCGCCGGUGCAUGCAUGGUAUGCGCUACAUAAGUUUACUCUUUUGCCCCUGUUUUUAUUACAUUAUUACCAUAUAGCUCAUUGUAAUAUUUCAAGUGAAUGGCACCAGCGGAUUCUUCAACUCUGGUCGGAGACCGAUCCUGAACCUCCUAGCUCUAUCAGCUAGAUCCUCUAUCAGUCUCGGGACGUACUAAGAUAACUCUAGAAAUUUUUAGAUACUAUAUUAACUAGUGCCAUUUUAAAAGGGUGGAUAUCAAUUUUUCUAGGUUCAAUCUGAUCGUGUAUCCAUACACGAUUAUUUUACCAGGUGUUUUUUAUAUGAAGAAAAUAUGCCAAGUUCACUAUUUUAAUUGAGACAUUUGAGUGCAAUGCACGGUGUCCUUAGCUGGGAUUGAAUGAUCGUGUGAUGACUAUAAAUCUGUCAUGAGCUGUUAAGAUAGACGAUGCCCCUAUAUGGGAUGUCCCAAGUCAACGGAUGCCAGUCGCAGUGGAUGCUGGACCGAUGCUUCCUAGUGGAAUGCCAUCUAGGUAUAGAUGUUGUCGUGCUCGAUGGUGGCUACGCCGAAAGACCGCUAACUGUUAAGUCGGCCAUGUCCAUUAGGUCGUAAUCAAUUGGGAAGCAUGAAUGAGUGAAAUUGACGCUCCUGAUUAUGGGACAAAAUUGUGUAGCACGGUAUGAGACGUGUCAUAAUGAUUUGGCCUUAUAAUCGGGACCCCUAUAGUUGUUUGAGAUAUGAGAUGUGGCGUUCCAAUUGAUUGAGUUUUAUUACUACUUAUGUCUGUGAUAUGAACUGUACUAAGUACAUGCAGGGAGGAUUUGAGAUGAGGUAAGUCUCUGUGGUUGUGUGGUUAGGCCGUCUCUAGGCGUAUUUUCUUCAAUGUCGGGGUUUAGGGAGUGAACUUGCUAAGACGUUGUCUCACCCCAUCGUGGGCUUAACUUUUCAUGUCCUUCGAUAGCGGUUCCUCUGGAAUGUUUUAGUCAGCUUCGGGGGGUUAUCGAGUGGAGCAUGGACGUCCCUGUCCCCGGAAGUCAUUGGGCUAUGAGGUUGUCGUGACCAUUGUCUGAGUCGAUGAUGGCCUAUCUCAGAGGGUACCUCAUCAAUUUAGGGUGUGAUUCUGCCAUGGACUCAAUGGGUAUAAGGUAGGUCCCCUUCAGGGUUUUAAUAUCCCUGCCGUUGCGCUCAAUGCCACUUUGGGUGAGGGUGCAGCUGACCCUUCUGUGGAGUUGUGGAGGACCCGAAGCCCCGGAGCCUGUGGAGGUGGAGUCCGAAGGAUCGGUGAAUGUGUCCAACUAGUAGAUCAUAGGACAGCUUCUUUUUUAGAGCUGAUCUUUUUGUAGACAGACUAUUUUUGUAUAUAACCUGGUUUGUUUAUAAAUGUGUGUUUUGUUUGUGAAUUUGUUGUCCUACUUUUCUAUCCCAUGUUGUUUGCUGUAAGGGGUUUUUAUUUUGCUUUUGCAUAUGUAAUAAAAUGAAUUGGUGGGUGACGUGUCCUAGGAUGUUGCAAAUUUUAUCGACCACCGAGGGAUGUACACGCGCUCGAGGCUCGGGGCGUGACACAUAACAUGACUGAAAAGAUACCCAAAAAAGUUAUGAGUAUGGAAUGAUUGAGGUAUUAGGAAUUUGGAACUGGAGCAAAAUUAAUGAUACACAUAAAGAUACGUCUAGUUGGAGUGUCUAUAACAUUUGAUUGUUUCAUCGAAAAUCAACAAUUGAAAUUUUUUUCUUGAUUUUUUACUUUUUUCUAUCAUUUAUGAAAAUGAGUCAAUAUUAAAUAUUUUCAUAUUGACUAAUUCCUGCAUUUACAUACUUUUGUUGAUGAUAGAAACUUUUUUUUUGUUGGCUCAUUUUCUUAAGCAAUACAAAUAACAGAAAGUUUUUGUUUUUGUUUUUAUUGCUGAUUUACUGAGAAACAACUGAAAUGUAAGAAGAACAAUAUAAUCUAAGCAUGUAAUAUAUCGUGAAAAUGCAUAACAUUCUGUAAGUCAACAAUUAUAACCAAAAAAAAGAAUUCAAGAACUAUGGAGUAAAGGGAUACACUGUGUCAACAGAAGUUCAAAUCUUUAAGAUCUUCAAGGGAAACACUACGAAAAUGCCCAAAGAGUACGGGAAGCACGUUUGUUAUACGUAGGAAAGAUAAAGAAGUUCAUAUAUCUUUCCAGAGUGAUUGUUUUUUUGAAUAAAACUGAUUAAUGUCGUUUCUAUUAGCACAUCACUGGAACAACUUGUAAGAAUAUGCACUAAUUUUUCAAGAUCUUACUUUGAAGUAUGGAUUAGACACAUGGGUUUAGAAUAGUGGUCAAUGAAACAAUUGAUCGUUAAGUGAUAUUGUCAAGUGUGGUUGGUGGAUCCAAUUUCAUCCAUUCCAUCAAGAAAACUUCGGAUCAAUAUCUGAUGAUGAUGUUUAUACUUAUUUCCACGAGCUUGACAAAUAAAUUAGAAUGGUUGAUUGGGUCGGACUUGAAAUGGUUAAAGAUCGUCGAUCUGCCCGAUUUAGCUGAAAAUUUGUAACGAAAUCAAAGGGAUUCUAGAAUGGAAUCGAAGAUUUAGCUCAAUUGUUAUCUGAUUUGCUCAUCUCACAAUUUAAAUUCUGUAUCGAUCUAAAUGUCAUUUCAGAUAUAUCUAUGGGUUUCAAAAGUUGGUCUAUCAAUGAAGUAAUAUAAGCUCUAUUUGGUUCAGCUUUGGGACUCUAAAGUCCAUUGGCCAAAUGCAAAUGUGUUUGGUUCGAUUUUUUGGGCAACUUUGGCAAGAUGCAAUUGCAUCUCCAAAGGGCCCUAAGGGCCCUUAGUCUAAAGCAGGUCUGGAGGUCUUUUGGGAACUUGCAUUUUCGAAAUGCAAGUUCUAGUUAUUGUUCACUUCGAGGUUAUUGUUCAUCUACGAGGAAAACCACCACAGGGAGGCUGAUGGUCAUCGGCCAAGGGGUCGUGCGCACCGGCGACGCGUCAGCGACCGUCGCCUGAGGGUUGCUCGACCCCGGCAACCGUCACCGAACCUUAGGCGACGCUUGGGUCGCACGACCCAAGCGACUGAUGGCCUGAAUUGUGCGAUCCACAAGGUUGCUGGAGGUCGGGCGACCGUUUGGGGGCCAGAUCUGGCGGUUUGGUCGCCAGAUCCGGUAGUCCAGUGGUCAAACUUAAAAAAAAAUACAAAUAUUCUUUUGUCUUUUUAAUUUAAUAAAAGUCAUUUACAAAUGUAAAUUUUACCAAACAAUAUUUGUAUUUCGGAAAACUCCAUUCACCCAAAGGUAUUUACAUUUUUGUAAAUGCAUUUGCCAAAAGUUGAACCAAACAGGCUCAUAAUGACAAUCAGAUUCAAAUUUGGCAGUUGGAUCUGGCUCCACCCAUUCCAUCAAGAAUAGCUGCUUCAAAUUGGUUCAUGAAAUUUUUGGAGCAUCUUAAAACAUUUUUCAAAUUGAGCAAUGUUCGACCAAAUAUUGGUAUAGUUGUAACCAAAAGUUGUCAUUGUGAUAUCCUUUUCAUACGUGCUUGAUGAAAACAAACUAUUUGUUUCGUUGUGCAUUGCUGAAGCCCUAAAAAGAGUUCUUGAAUCGGCUAAGGAAGAAGUCCUUGAGACAUCUGAAACAUGAUCAUCACAAUAAUGGACUAGAAGAGGGUUGGGGUGUGAAUUGAAAAAACACAAGACUGGAAAUCUUUCAAGAGAAAUCAUAAAAUUUUGGGAAUGUGGUCAAAUCUUGGUGAAGGGAAAGAAUUGCAGGGGGUUUCAAAAACAGAAAAAAGAAAAUAAAGGAAUCGACUAAAGAGUGGACGAUAUUUGCAAGUAUUUCUGAAUAUAGCAUGCUUUUUUAUCAAUGACGACAAAACAUAUGUGGUUAUCAUGUGAAAUGAUUGUAAUUGUUAACCUCACACUGCAAUAGGAGACGAUAAUAGGUUUUGGAUCCAUAACUAAGUUCGGGAAUUUGGAAGGUACACUAAUGUUAAAGAAUAAACUUGUGAGUUUAGAGAGAGAGAGAGAGAGAGAGAGAGAGAGAGAGAGAGAGAGAGAGAGAGAGAGAGAGAGAGAGAGAGAGAGAGAGAUAAAGAGAGAUAAAUGCCAUGAAAACUUUAACUUUACCACAAUAGAAUUUCCUAGUCAUUGCAAUGCAAACUUUUUCACAAAAGCAAUCAAGACACUCAGGUGCCGCUGUGUUUGGAAAAGUUUUCUAGGUGGGUGUGAAGAAAAAGAAGGUGCAGAAAAGAUAUUCUUUGUGUUGGUUGGAAUGACUCCAAUGGACUAUGAUUUUAGUGAUUGCUACAUUGUUCGAUAGAUUUAGAACGAAAUUCAACUAGCUUGUUCAUGUGUAAGAUCUAGGAAAUCAUUGACCAUCCGUUUUAAUGUUGCUCAAGCAAGCAUUUGGUUGGCUCAAUGUCAAAGAAAAAAGAAAUGGAUUUCCAUUGAUUUAUUCCAUGUCAUAAAAUUUUGCAGAGCUGCAUUCAUUUGCUAAUUAUCAACGAUGUAAAAACUUAAUUUUGAAAUGAAAAUGGAUUAUGAAUUUAAUGUUUGUACACUGUUGAAAGAUUAAAAUGAAAUUAGACCAACUUGUUCAUGUAAAGGAUCUAAAAAAUCAUAACUUGUACUCUAUAUUGGGUGGUUAAUGAAGCUUGCAUGUUUGCAAGGGGUGCCAGGAGAUAGAGGAGCUUCUGAAUUCAAGUGAAGGACUAGUUAAAGCUUACACAUUAAUGUUGAUUUGGAGCUUCCAUACUCAUGUGAAAUUCAAAUUGUGGAGUGAGUUGGACUUAAAAAUAUUAAAGAUGGUUGAUCUAUCCGUUCAAUUGGCAAUUUAAAGAAAGUAAAAGUAAUUAGUGUCGCGACCUACUAUUUCCAUUUGGAGGGAAAAUUGCACAUGGGUUUAAGGGUAUUGCCCAAAUGAUGAGCUUAAGGCACCUGAUUAGACAUGGGCCCUCCCAGCUCUUACUCCAUUUGACAUUGGAGUAUUUAAUGUUAAAUGAAAUUGAUGGUAUAAGUAUUUUCAAAUAUGUCACCACUACCCUAUUAGAAUCAACUAGAAACCAAGCAAAGUAUGUGAGUAUACCUCACUUCCUAUGCAACUAGAGAAUUUAGAGUCGGAGACUUGAUUAAACUAAUUAAGCAACUAGUAUACUUUCGUCACCUAAUCUUGUUCAACAAGAUGUUUAUCAAGUUGGAUUGAUUUUAAGACUCUAUCCAUUAACAUGUAAUGUGAUCAUGUAGGUGUGCAAUAAUUAAAAUAGCAAUCAAUAACAAAGGAAUUAUUAAAUAAAUUGGAAGAAAAAAAAAGAAUCUAGCACUAAUAGAUAAGAAAAAUCCCAUUCCUAACUAGAAUAAAGGGAAACAAUAAUCAACACAUUGAGAACGUGUAAUCCAAUGAUAAUCGAAAUAGAAAUGUGCAAACAAUAACCUAGCAUUUGUCUUUAAGAAUAUUCAAAACUUUAUUUAUAAACUUUAAAAAGUUGUUCAAUUUCGAGCGCAAUUUUUUAUCAAGAAUUUUCAUACAUUUUAAGGAAAAAAUAUUAUAAAGUUAAUUUUUAAGCUUUUUCCUAAUUUUUGGAGGAAAUUAAAAUUUUCGGAAUUUUAUAAUUUUUUAAAAUAUUUUUCAAUUAAAAAAAAUUUCAGUUUUUUAGUUAAACUAUUUUUUAAAAUAAAAUAAAAUAAUCCCUUAACCUAGCCCGAACAAGAGUUGUUAUAGUCUUUCCAGCUUGGGCCUCGGACGCAAAUCGGGCUAUUACACUAGGCCCUUCCUUCCAACAAGGCCAAUCUGCUAAGGAACAGAUUCAGCCCAAAGAGUUAUCACAUGUAAUAGCCUCAAGCCCAUCACAGCUGAAUUAAACCUAAAUCUGACCAAGCCCACCCAAGGUACUUAAACAAGUCUUUCUUUUGUUCUCUGUCGUCUACACCCACUCUCAUUCCCAGAACUCCAACCUCUUCACCGCAUCGUUCCCCAACAUCAAAACUCCUUCUUCUCUUUAAUUUCAAUAUUAAGGUUUUUGGGAAGGAAAAAAAAAAAAACGCACACCAAAGGGAAAGCUCAUUUGUUGACAAAGCUCUCAAGGCACUAAGCCAAGCCUCACUGUUAUCCACCACCCCGUGGGACAACCCAGAAACUAAUGGUCGAACUUCAACUCUGGCGGCGCUAGAUCUUCAUCGCUUACCACAUAUCGAUCUAACACGAAUGGGCCAUCACUAACCACCACCGUGGCUUACCACCGAAAAAACCAAAUUUGCUUCCAACAUCCACCGUCACAUUGGCCACUCAUCCCCGUUCAAUGGAGGAGACGCAGCAUAUAUCAAACAAAGUGAAACGCAGUGGCUUCAUUGUCAUUGAAAAUCAAGUUUAACAACUAGUGACCCAACGAGCCACAUCAAGACGCACCUUCAGAUUCGAACCAAAACAAAAGUCAUUUCUUAAACACUUCUCAGAAACAUUUCGUCGAGCAAGUCUCAGGCGUUCGACUAAAAGCAAUAUGGCAUGUCGAUGACCCAACACUUUGGUGUCGAGUUCAUCCUACAUCAAUCAAUCAAAGGACAUCUUAAGUUGAUGAAGAUAUUUUAUACAGAUCCCUGACAUGCUUUCACAGAAACAAACCAAACCUCCGUCUCAUUUUUACAACAACACUAACUGAGGCAUUAUAUCGACUAUCGAGUAUUUCAAGCACACUCGCUGAAAGAGAAAGAAAAACCAAACUGACAAGGCUCAAACUUGCGCCCAAAUUUGCGACCAUCAACAAGCAACAAUCUAAAACAGCAGCACACAAACAGACGGGGACGGGACUCCUGCGACGCCAGCUACCCCUGCCGGCCUGACCCCCUACCGGACGUCUUCGCGCGACACUCGCUGCGGUUGUAAUGUUCCCCACCGUACCAGUGUCCUCGUCGCGCUGCAGAGGGAAAAAGAGAGGGAAGAGAUGAGCAGUGCACAGGCCGGGUCGGAGGGAGAAAGAAAAAGAGGAGAGGAAGGAAGCUGGGUCGGGCCGAGAAAAAGAGAAUGGGCCGACCCACACGGAAAUUCAGCACGAAAACAAAGGCGGAUAAGCCUCACGUUCCAAACUCAAUAACCAAUUUCGUACAUGCAAAAUUUGUUCCUUUUCCUAUUCUCUAAUAAGCAUGGGCGUAUAACCACUGGGGGUUCGCCCCAGUGGCCACCCUUCUAACUUGGAAGGGGGAGAUUGAAGAUUCAAAUCCUCACAUUUUUAGGGGGAAUUGGGGUGGGGACGAUUUCAUUUCAGUAGUGGGUUUUGACUCCCACGCCCUGCAAUGAGGCAAUGGAAAAAGUCUGAGAGUGAGUGUUAGAGUAGGAUUAGAGUAGGACCGACCGAAAAAAAUAAAAUAAAUUACUCAAAUCAUAUUUACUAAUCAAUUCCAAAAUUAGGAAAAGCUGGAAUCCGCUUUGCUCUUGCUUAAAUUCUUGCUUGGAUGGUGAUUCCCAUUUUGUCAAAAAUAAAAUAAAAUUGUACAUCACAAGAUAACAACCAUGAACAACAUCAUAGAGCAUGCAUUACUAGACAUCACACUCGUCACUUACAUGAAUCAUAUUGAUUCAUAAAAUAUGUCUGCGCAUACACGACCUAUAUCUAAUUUACAGGCAAUUCUUACAAUCAUAGAAAAAAGAAAACAUAUAUUUUCAAAAGUGUCUUCAAUUUCUCCAAAUUGAGGGAUGUUGGAACGAAUUUUGGUAUAGAUGUAGACCAAUUGAUGUUGACACCUAAAUUUUUGUUAAUAAACUGAGUACAUGUUUUUCCUAAGAAAAUAAAACAUACAUAUAUAUUAAUAUAUAAUGAGCAACAAAAAAAUGAAGCUAUAAAUAAAACCUAGACCCAUCAGGCUCAUCUCGCACGACCCAAGACCAUUAGGUUCUUCAGCCCAAAAGAAGAUAUGGAAAAUGCCUGCCGAGCCUCAAGUCUUUCUAGGUUACUUUCAUGAGGAAGACAGAGAGGGGCACGCAUCCACGAAGAACACGCCGACACGGCCAAGAGAGAGAGGUGGAGUAGGUGGAGGAGGCGGCAUUCACGGAAAGUUCACCUCCAUCGUCCCGGCGUUCUUGAUAAUUUCCUCGUAUGGAGAGCGCAGAGCCAAAAAUCACGCCAGUUGUUUUGGGAUUCAUUAGUGAAUGCAGGGUAGUGGAUCGGCUGCAAAUUCAACUCCAUCGAGGCAUCACCGUCCGAACUCCGUCCACUAGCCAGACCGUAAGCACGUAAUCUACUUGACUCGAAAUUUAAAUAAUUGCUGAGAUAUAUACAUUAUCUUGGUAGAGGUCGAGGGGUGAGGAAGAAACUCGCACGCAUAAAUGUUUGAUGCGAUUGGUUGUGCUUGUUUGAUGGUAUUACUAUUUCCGAGUCUCGUUAGGUUGAAGCCAUAAUUGUUGGUAGGUUCUGAGACAAUUGACCAAAAUGAAGAGGACGAGGAGCUCGGAGGCAAGCCUGAGCAUGGAAACUAAGCCAGAAUCCGAGUACGACGUGUUUUUGAGUUUCAGGGGAAGCGACACGCGCCUAAACUUCACUGAUUUCCUUUACCGCAGCAUGGUACAUGUGGGGAUCCGCGUUUUCCUCGACAGUGAAGAACUCGAAGAUGGUGAAGAAAUCAGUGAAGUUUUGAAGGCAGUGAAUGAGUCUCGGAUCUGCAUACCCAUCUUCUCUCAAAACUUCGCCUCCAGUUCAUGGUGUCUCUGUGUGGUAGCCCGCAUGGUAGAAUGCAUCUCGAAAUCAGAUCCAAAGAAAGAGAUCAUCCCCAUUUUCUAUGAUGUGAAGGCUGAUGAUGUGAAGCUCAAAACCAAUUUGUACAAGAAAGCCAUACUCAAGCACAAGGAGAAGGUUGGCUCUGAUGAAUUGGAGCGAUGGGAAAGUGCCCUUGUCGAGAUUGGAGGUAGAAUUGGACGGGAACUUUUGGGCAAACGGUAAAUUUCCUCACAUGGUAUCGAGUUAGUAGGUCCUGAGUUGGAAUUUUCCAAGCCCAUAUUUGCCUCUCCAAUCGCAUAUUUAUAUGCUUUAGGCUAAGGUCAAAGGUUAGCCUACACUUAAUAGAGAGUGUUAGAAUAUUUUAAUAAUAAUUAAAUAAUAAAAUAAAUUUUCAUCUAACAGCUUAAACUUUUAGAACAUUCAGCGGUGGUCCAGCAAAACUUCACAUAAUAUCAAAGUUAGGGAGUCUUGAGUUUGAUUCUUCCUAACCUUACGAAGAAUUUUAAUUUCAACCCCAAUUUUUUUAAUAAUAAAGUUAUAUUUCCUGGAAAGUAGAAACAGAAAAUGGGCAAUAGUUUCUCAGAGAUGACGUUGAAGCGCUAAGCCUUUUGUUCGGUGGUCACGGCUUCGCACAAGAAGAUUUAGCUUGUCUGAGGUUCCCCUGAUAUUAACUACUUGUGCUUGAUUGGUGCUAUGCAAAAGAAAUAAAAUAAACGGAGCUUCAGUAAUCAGUUAAAAAAAAUUAGAAUUGCAUCUAAUUGAGGACAUGGAAAGAGGCCCUAAUUGACGUCGCAGCUAUGAGGGGGUUCUUGAAAACUAACAGGUGCUCUGCUAUUUCACCACUAAAUGUGAGAUACAUAAGUCAUUCAACUGAACUUUACAAAAAUAGAGAGUUCCAAUGCCCAAUGCAACCCUUUUGCAUACAAAUAGUUGUACACUCGAGCAAAUUCGUAUCCCAUGGAAUAACUUAAGAAUAGAAAAACUGGUACAGAAAAGGAAUGGAGAAGAUUUAACUGACGAGAGAAAGUUUGAUUUAAGUUAUUCUGUAAAAUAGGCUUAAUUUGUUGCAAAACAGAGAAAAGCUUAUUGGAGAUUAGAACAAGAUAAAGAUCAUUCCGAUUUGAGUCCACUGUUGACGAAACACAGUUAAAUAUAUUUGUUACAAAGGUGUGUGAGUUUUCGUAGGACUUUUUAAAUGAAUGUUCGAGGUGUCUUCAGGUCCUCUGCAAUACAUAGAGGAACAAUUCCAAGAUUCCACAGCCAUAAAAAAGAUUGACACAAAGUUAUCAACGUUUUGGUCAUAAAUUAGUAGUAAAAGGUAAAGGGCAGAAUUUAACAAUAAAUUAUCGACUAAGUUCCAAAUUGACCAUUUCAAUAUAAAGAGGAAGAAAAUGCUCGAAGAAAUAGGAGAAUCUCCUCUCGUUGCACAUAAUAUAGAUAAAGGAGUUAGCAUAAUACUACAAACUAAAAUCCUUUUUUGUUAGAAUCUCACUAAGAAUAAUUUGUAAGAAUGUGCCAUGAUUUCUCAAGAUUUUACUUGGUAUAAUUUGCUUAUCUCAUAAUUCAAAUCCCUUAGAAACCGACAUCUCAUUUCAAAUCGAUCCCUAAAUUUCAAAUGAUGGUCCAUCAAUGAAGUAACAUAAUGAUGACCUAUUCAAGUUUGGUAGUUUGAUCCAAUUUCACCAAUUCCAUCAAUAAUAUCUAUUUGACAUUGGUUCAUGAAUCUUUUAGAGCGUCCUAAAUUUCCUCAAAUUUAACAAUGUCCGACCAAAUUUUGGUUGGCUGUAGACUAAUUGGUUGUCAUUUGAUAUCGUUUUAUCCUACACCCAAUAAAACAAACUUUUUCUUCAUCAUGCAUUGCUGCGGGCUACUGAAGAGGUUUUGAGACAGCUGACAUAUGCUACAAGAAGGACUCAUUCAUUCAACUUCUUUGAGAGGUUAAAGACCGACUUCUAGAGGAAGUUUCAAAUUGACUUUAGCAAGACAUUAUAAAGAGCAGAGUUGGGGUGAGUGAGUAUACACAAAUACGAAGAUUGCAAUGUGAGAUCCUGAGAAGCUUUUGAUGAGCUCGGAGAUGGAAAAUUGUCCAAAAGGUUUUAAACUUAUUGUACGACAGUCAAUUCAUUUUUAAACCUUUCAAUCGCGUCAAUUUAGUAUUAAAAUUUUUGACAAUUUGCCAAUUUAGUCCUAUACAUUUCGAUGAUUUAUUAAUUUAAUCAUAAAUAUUUUAACAAUCUACUAAUUGGUCGGUAAUCGCUGAAGUGGCAGUUGAGUCAUCACCAGCCGUCCUACAUUGCAUGACAAGCGCCAAUAUGGAUAACUUUUACAAUUUUUUUUUUUAAUUUUAUGAUUUCUUUUCUUUUUCUUCUUUCUUUUUCACCAUUUUCCCUCCGUUGGCUCUCACCCGAGGCUAGCAUCCUCAAAACCAGUUGACUUGAUUUAGUCUUAGACUAGCAUGAUUAAGCUCCAAGUUUGGUUCCUCUGUGAAAUUUUCAAGCCAUUAUCCUUUUUCCUCUUACUAAAAAAAAUGCACCCAACAAGAAAAUAACCAACAAUCAUAUAACAUAGCAUAAUAUAUAUGUGGAUAUUAUUCAUACGCUCUUGUUAUAUAUGAACUCGGGAGCAAUAGCUGAAAAGUUCACAUUCAUAGGUCGCAUAUGUGUACGUCACUAAAGGCCUGACACUUCCAUGUUAUAUCUUAGUCAAAGGGGAUCUUAUCACAAGAAUAGUUUUUUUGGAAAAUAAAACUUCCAUCGAAGAUAAACAAAUGCAAGGCUUUCAUAAAAUUAACGAAUGACGUGGGUUGAUGAAUGAUGGGGGAACUUAUUUCUUUUCAGUCCUAGAUGGAGAUCACUUUUGCUAAACAAAUAAUAAAGAAAGAUCUCACCAAGCAAAUGAGUGAAAGUUAACAAACAAAUUGAGCCUAAGACAAGGUCAAUGGGCUAAACCAAACUUAUGUAUAAAGCAAAAGGCAUUGAAAUUGUGUCCCAAUUUUGGAACCGCAGAGUGAUCUUGAUGAUUUUCCAAUAGUUAAAGUUCUAUUCACCUUAGCGCAUGUAGAUUUUCAUCAACAUCUGUUUUGGCAUGCCCGCAAAUUGAUUUAUUCCAACGUGUUCACAUUAUAUGCUCGUGGGGAACUUCUUAACAAGACCCUCACCAUAAUUGUCCAUUUUGUAUCAUAUGUUUUACGACUACAACAUUGUUUAUCUCAAUUUGGAGAUCUUUUAAACAUCCGAUUUACCAAUCGGACGGGCCAAGUUAAAUUGGAAGGGUAAAAAUUAGUCAUUUGCUAAGAAAGAAAACAUUUUGCGCACCAACAAGACUAAGAUAAUUUCAAACAGUUCUCAGACAUCUAUAAAAAUAAAAAAUAAAUAAAAAAAUCCUUUAUGUUCCCUAUUUAAUUUUCAAUUUUUGGUAUAAAAAAGCACGAUCGAUGACGUAAUAAAAAAAGAUACCUGCAGUUCCCCCUGGACAUUGUUUAGAAAAAGGAGGACCAUGCGUAAAUAGCACUUUCGGUUUUGGGCUGAAUGCGGCCCGAGAUAGAAAAUCUUGAGAAGACGCUAAAACGUAGAACUUCUAAUUCAAAUAGGAUAGAUUGGAACAUCUAUACAAAAUAAUGGACCAUAAAUUCGAUUUGAGAGGCUCAAACUUUAGGCUGCUUAAGUAUGGAAUGGACUAAACUUGAACAUAGUAAUACUUGAUUUGAGAGGCUUCUCUAAACUUUAUUAAACUUUUUCAUAUUGGAGUUGUCAAGACAUCGCAUGUGAAACUUGAUAAUGCGAGAAAUCUAACUUAACCCAUGCAUUAAUUCCUUCAUACAUGUUUGCUAGGGACUCAAAACAUAAUUGUCUUUUUUCCUCUCUAAAUCUUGUGUUAAUAGCUCAUUACAUCGCUAAUCACACAAUUAGUUGCACUAUUGGUGAUUUAUUAAUUCUUGCUUAGCUCAGGAGAAUUCUCAGUUAAGCAUGAAAAUGGUUUAUUUUAAUUGAUCAAAACCUUUGCUUUUCUGGAAGAUAAAACUCAUUUCCAAUAUAAAAAAAAAAGGAAAAGAAAAAACAUUAGUGGAGCCCAAUUACCAUUUAGCAGAUCCCAAGAAUGGUCAAAUGAGGAGAAAAAACAGGAACUUGCUUCGUGAGUUUGACCUUGACUCCCUAAAGUUCGCCGAAAAUAGCGUGUUAGUACAUAGACGCAACCAACGAUGAAGGACCAUGAAAAGCCAAGUCAAGUCAACUCAAGUCAACUUUUGAUUAAGACAAGCCGAGGAAUGAAAUACUUGAUUUGAGAGGCUUCUCUAAACUUUAUUAAACUUUUUCAUAUUGGAGUUGUCAAGACAUUGCACGUGAAACUUGAUAAUGCGAGAAAUCUAACUUAACCCAUGCAUUAAUUCCUUCAUACAUGUCUGCUAGGGACUCAAAACAUAAUUGUAUUUUUUCCUCUCUCUAAAUCUUGUGUUAAUAGCUCAUUACAUCGCUAAUCACAUGAUUAGUUGUAGGAUUGGUGAUUUAUUAAGCCCUGCUUAGCUCAGGAGAAUUCUCAGUUAAACAUGAAAAUGGUUUAUUUUAAUUGAUCAAAACCUUUGCUUUUUUGGAAAAUAAAACUCAUUUCCAAUACAAGAAAAAGGAAUAGAAAAAAAUUAGUGGAGCCCAAUUACCAUUUAGCAGAUCCCAAGAAUGGUCAAAUGAGGAGAAAAAAGAGGAACUUGCUUCGUGAGUUCUAUCUUGACUCCGUAAAGUUCGCCGAAAAUAGCGUGUUAUUACAUAGACGCAACCGAUGAUGAAGGAUCGUGAAAAGCCAAGUCAAGUCAACUCAAGUCAACUUUUGAUUAAGACAAGCUGAGGAAGGAAAUACUUGAUUUGAGAGGCUUCUCUAAACUUUAUUAAACUUUUUCAUAUGAGAGUUGUCAAGAUAUCGCAUGUGAAACUUGAUAAUGCAAGAAAUCUAACUUAACCGGUGCAUUAAUUCCUUUAUACAUGUCUGCUAGGGACUCAAAACAUAAUUGUCUUUUUUCCUCUCUCUAAAUCUUGUGUUAAUGGCUCAUUACAUCGCUAAUCACACGAUUAGUUGCACGAUUGGUGAUUUAUUAAAGCCUGCUUAGCUUAGGAGAAUUCUCAGUUAAUCAUGAAAAUGGUUUAUUUUAAUUGAUCAAAACCUUUGCUUUUUUGGAAAAUAAAACUCAUUUCCAAUAAAAGAAAAAGGAAAAGAAAAAAAUUAGUGGAGCCCAAUUACCAUUUAGCAGAUCCCAAGAAUGGUCAAAUGAGGAGAAAAAAGAGGAACUUGCUUCGUGAGUUUGAUCUUGACUCCGUAAAGUUCGCCGAAGAUAGCGCGUUAGUAAGUAGACGCAACCGAUGAUGAAGGACCAUGAAAAGCCAAGUCAAGUCAACUCAAGUCAAGUCAACUUUUGAUUAAGACAAGCCGAGGAAGGAAAUACUUGAUUUGAGAGGCUUCUCUAAACUUUAUUAAACUUUUUCAUAUUGGAAUUGUCGAGACUUCGCAUGUGAAACUUGAUAAUGCGAGAAAUAUAACUUAACCCGUACAUUAAUUCCUUCAUACAUGUCUGCUAGGGACUCAAAACACAAUUGUCUUUUUUCCUAUCUCUAAAUCUUGUGUUAAUAGCUCAUUACAUCGCUAAUCACACAAUUAGUUGCACGAUUGGUGAUUUAUUAAGCCCUGCUUAGCUCAGGAGAAUUCUCAGUUAAACUUGAAAAUGGUUUAUUUUAAUUGAUCAAAACCUUUGCUUUUUUGGAAAAUAAAACUCAUUUCUAAUAAAGGAAAAAGGAAAAAGGAAAAGAAAAAAAAUUAGUGGAGCCCAAUUACCAUUUAGUAGAUCUCAAGAAUGGUCAAAUGAGGAGAAAAAAGAGGAACUUGCUUCGUGAGUUCGACCUUGACUCCGUAAAGUUCGCUAAAAAUAGCGCGAUAGUACAUAGACACAACCGACGAUGAAGGACCGUGAAAAGCCAAGUCAAGACAACCCAAGUCAACUUUUGAUUAAGACAAGCCGAGGAAGGAAAUUCAUGCGUUCAUAUGGCGUGUCGAUGAACAUUGGUUUUCGGUCUUGUCUCUUAGACAAGCCUUCGCCUCUAAUAAAAAUUGCUAGGACAACUACUAACGACUACUUGGUUUCGAACAGAAAAAAAAAACAACUACUUGGUGAUAUCCAAUUACCGAUGAAGCGUGGACGGUGAAGUCUUUUUAUUUGUUUAUAAGUAAGAAUUUAUAUACCAUAGAAAUUCAAGGUGGACCAAGCCAUUAAGCACAAUAAGUAACUGUAAUAGAGUUAUCGGUAAAAUAACCAAAAAAAUAUUAAAUUUAUUAUAUAGAUAUCAAUUCAAUCCUAAAUUUUUUAUUCAAUUUAAUCUUACACAUUUACGAGAAGUUCCACGGCAGUCCAUUAAGUAAAUUGUGAUUGAAAAUCAUUGAUGUAGCGGUUUAAUAAUCUUUGACCGUCCUACAUAGCACGCCAGGACAUGAAUGUCAUUGUUAUGAUUUUUUGAUUUUUAAAUAUUUUUCAGUUUUUUUUUUCAAAAUUGCUCAAAAUGACGUUGAUUUGAUUGAUGUAGUAAUAAUUAUCCGAAAAACCAUAGGAAUUAUGAUUUUCUUUCAUCCCGCCCAAUGUUAUUAUUAAACAAAGCUUAUUUUAGAGAGGAAUAAGUGCAUUCAAAAUUUUAAGGCUUAUUAAGAAAGUGCAAUUCCUAAAAUAUUCAAAAUGUGCAAUUAAGUUCUAAAAUUUAUCAAAUAGUGCAAUUAAAUCCUUCCAUUAACCUUAUUUAAGUUGGUUUACAAAAAAUGCUAAUGCAGAUUUUUUUAUUGUUUUAUCUCUCCUAAAUAGGGUUAAAUUUGUUAAAGCAUUAAGCAUAAGAUUAAGACGUCAUCGUUUUGAUCCAAAUGUUUCUUUUUAACCUAAUUCUUAGUUAAACCUUAUUAAAAAAAAAGGAUAAACUUUUUUUUUUCAGAAAAAAGGGAAAUGAAAGCGCACAGGUAAGAGCAAUUGGUGAGGGUUGCCAAACUAGCAAAAUGAAAAAGAAAAAAAAAAGCGCACACCGAUAAUGUCACGUCGGAUUUUUUGUUAGUUAAGUUUAACUAAGUUGAAAGUGACUCGAUUGCAUCAAUUGGAUAAGUUUUAGAACUUAAUUACAAUGAUGGUUCAUGAGUUAAGAAAUUACCCUUCAAAAUCAACCUAAUCUCUCACCACUUAUUUAUGCACAUCGACAUAUGUAGUUGAUGGUGCAUUGCUCAAACUACUUGCAUUAAGUGUGAAUAUAUCUAUCUACCGCAUAUUUUGUGGCUGCAUAUGGAUGCUGAUUUUUAUAUUUCAAGCUAAGCAAUCCUAAAAUCGCUGCAUGUUACUGUUCAUUAUUCUUAGAAUGUUCAUUUGUCCUACACUUUGAGCGGUAAGAACAAUUGGAAAAUAGCGAUUCCAUGUUGUAAUUUUGGGAAGUUAUUAUUAGUUAAGAAGCAUAAAUACAUUAUCAAAAUGACUCUCAAACCAAGUAAUGAAAGCUAGCUUGGGGCCACGUGUAACUUCACCAUGGCGAUAACUCAUUGGGUAGGUUCAAGAGCAACUUCUUGUGAACUUCUUCGAGACGUUAGAGAUCAACUUCUAGAGUUAGAUCAUCAAAAAAAAAAAAACUUCUAGAGUUAGAUAAAAUUGAGUGAGUAUGCAAAUACGGAAAUUGUAGUGUGAGAUUUUGAGAAAUUUGAGAUCAACUUCCUGCUUUUGGUAGAUAAUAUGAUGUGCAAUUAGUCCUCAAAACGAGAUAUUUCUCUAGAAAAGAAUCUACAAUCAUCAGCCUCCCUUUCCGCUUAAUGGUGUGCUUUCAAUUGAGUAAAACUUUGAAUGCCAUUUUUAAAGAAAAAAACCAGUUUCAGCUUUAAAUUUAUGAAACCGGAUUGAUGUUUUCAAAAGAAAAUGAGGAGGAAAGUGGACGAUCCCCUUUAAAGCGAUAGCAGCACCUACUGAUCAGUCAAAAGGAGCUUAUUCUGCUGCGUCUGCCACUAGCUGGGUGGUCGGUGCCAGGUGGAGCUUUUUGACUUUUGGGGUUUGCAUAAUUUACUCUGCAGGUCCUCUCUUUCUUGGAAUUUCACCUUCGCUUUCCCCCAAGUUUCUUGAUGUUUUCUUCGCCUCGAGAGCAAUCACGGAGCCAAAAGUCUCUCUCCUUGAGGAGCGUUAGUCGAUGUUCUUUCACUAUAUCUUGUCACAGUUAUCUUUUUUUUCCCAUGCCGUGGUUAAAUUGUUGGUAAAUGCAUUGUAGAAGAUCGCCCACAAAUUAGACUCCAUCAAGACGUUGCUUUAAUCACCGUCUGAACUUCGUCGUGCUGGGCUGGCCAUAAGUAGGUAAUCGACUAUACCUGGAAAUUUAAAGAACUGCUUAGUAUAUAUACAUGUAUCAACAAAGGUCGAGGCACAAGAAAGAGACUUGCGCAUAUAAAGAUGCAAUUCAUUGUGCUUGUUUGAUGGUAGAGUUAGAGUGAGUGAGUAAGCAAUUAAGGAGAUUGCAGUGUGAGAUUUGGAGAAGCUUGAGAGGAGCUUUGUGUUUUUUGUAGAUAAGAUGUGAGAUUAGCCUUAAAGAUGAGCUUCAUGUUUUCUCAGUUCGCCAUUUGUACUGCUUGCAAAUAAUUUUGAAAUAUUUAUUUCUUCUUUAUAUUUUUUAUAAAUAUAAUUUGUCCUUGACAGACACAAAAGAAAAUUAAUUAUAGUGUUGUCAAAUUUUAAAUAGAUGACUUCUUUGGGAAACAUGGCAUUUCCUAAUAUUUAGCUCGUCUAAUCCCACAAGUAUUUUUCUCCACAAGGAUCAGGAGAUUACCGAGUGUUGUGCCGUGUGCAUUGGGCUUUAAAUUUUCUACCGGGAGGACUCCUCCCAGUCUCUGUGCCCGUCCAAAGGUCUGAUCUUCGGCGACGUUGCUUCGUUUCCCAGAAACUCGCCGUCGAUUUUCUAGGUUACUUUCCAGAGAGAGAGAGAGAGAGGCGGGGCGCGCACCCAAGAAGAGCACGCAGACACGGCAGAUGGUGGAGAAGGUGGUAUUCAAUUCCUUUUUCCAUAACCCGCUAGAAAUCGUUCGGGCGACCGACGAACGCAGAGAGGAGGAACCGGUUUUGAGGAGGGAGCGGUGAACGCCAGAUUUUUCUACUAUGGGUACUCUAUAUCCCAGAAGUUCACCUCCAUCGCCCCGGCGUUCUUGAUUUUUUCCUCUUAUCGAGAGCGAUCUCAGAGCCAAAAAUCAGGCUAGUUGUUUUGGGAUUCGUUGGUGAAUGCAGGGUAGAGGAUCGGCCGCAAUUUGAACUCCAUCGAGGCAUCACCUUCUGAACUCCGUCCACUAGGCAGACUGUAAGUAUGUCCGUAAUCUACUUGACUUGAAAAUUUAAAUAAUUGCGGAGAUAUAUACAUUAUCUCGGCAGAGGUCGAGGGGUGAGAAAGAAACUUGCACGCAUAAAUGUUUGAUGCAAUUGGUUGCGCUGUCUGAUGGUAUUCCUAUUUCCGAGUUAGGUUGAAGUCCAUAAUUGUUGGCAGGAUUUUGAGACAAUUGACCAAAAUGAAGAGGACGAGGAGCUCGGGGGCAAUCCCGACCAAAAUGAAGAGGAAGAGGAGAUCGGAGGCAAGCCUGAGCUUGGAAACUAAGCCAGAAUCCGAGUACGAUGUGUUUUUGAGUUUCAGGGGAAGCGACACGCGCCUAAACUUCACUGAUUCCCUUUACCGCAGCAUGGUACGUACGGGGAUCCGUGUUUUCCUUGACAGUGAAGAACUUGAAUAUGGUGAAGAAAUCAGUGAAGUUUUGAAGGCAGUGAAUGAGGCUCAAAUCUGCAUACCCAUCUUCUCUAAGAACUUCGCCUCCAGUUCAUGGUGUCUCCGUGAGGUAGCUCGCAUGAUAGAGUGCUCCUCGGAAUCAAAUCGGAACAAAGAGAUCAUCCCCAUUUUUUAUGAUGUGAAGGCUGAUGAUGUGAAGCUCAAAACUGAUUUAUUCAAGAAAGCCAUACGCAAGCACAAGAAGAAGGUUGGCAAGGAUGAGUUGGAGCGAUGGAAAAGUGCCCUUGUCGAGGUUGGAGGUAAAAUUGGACGGGAACUUAUAGGCAAACGGUAAAUUUCCUUGACUUCUUAUGGUUAAUAGGCACAAUCUUUACAUUUCAUUGGAUUAAAGUUUGUCCUUAGAAAUUUCUGCACGUAAAGCAUUGGGGCAUUUAUUUAAGAUUUGCUUUACAAGAUACUGAAAGCUAGAUCCAACAUCUGAGAACCCACAACAGAAAAUAGAAUUGGCCGAUUUUUUUUAAAGCACAACAAACCGGGUCAAACCCGACCAAGACAUGGCAUUUUUCAAUUCGUGCCCGUUAACCCAAUAUGACCCAACAUGGAAACCAACUUUUUACUUAUCAUAUUUUUUACUUGAUCAACUUUUUGACUUACAUGUCAAGACAAUGGAAAUCAUGCGCUUUUAUGUAAUUUUCCACCCCCCAUGGUCAUCGCAAAAUUUUGCACAAUAAACAUACUCUUGGUAAGUUGUCAAAUCGACGGUAGUAUUUUGAUUUUAAAAUUAUACCAAGACAUGAUCAGAAUUUGUUCCAAAAAGAGUGCAUAAGUAACAUUACAAAAGUACAUGGUCGUUGCAUGCAUGUAUAAAAUGGACGUUUAAAAGAUUUUACAGAAUUUCCCUAUUAUGAAAUAUUGGAGCUACUAAUUAAUGAAAAGAAAUUCGACAUGAUACGAAAAAUUUGAACAUAAUAUAUGAGAGAAUAAUAUUUCUAUAUUUGUACGGAAAGGAUAAUGUUCAGCUCAAAACCAGUUUGCAAGGAAAAGAGAUAUCCAACCACAAGAAGAAGUUUGGCCCUGAUGAAUUAAAGCGGUGGAAGUAUGGCUCUUGUCGAGGUUGCACGUAUAGAGGGAUGGGAUCUCAUAGUCAAAGGAGUAUUCUCCUGCACUUUUUCUCAUGGUCAGUUAAUUGGAACUACAUCUGUCUGGAAGAAACUGUGUGUCCAAAUUUUCGAACUUAUAGCAAUGUGGUAUUACAUUAGAAGUUAAUGGAAUCUAGACUGAAAUUGUGCUCGAAAACCUACAAUUUAGGAAAUGAGGUGUGGGUGAAGGGGAUCUUUUUCUCAAACCCGCAAAACACUAUGUCAAACCCAACAUGUAUACAAAAUAUAAUUACCAGUACAGCUGAUUAUAAUGCUUAAUUUCCAUUUGUUUGAGGUGUUGAUAUAGCUGAGUUAUGUAUCCACAUGUUUCCUAGAGUCCUAUAGUCUAUCAUGUCUAUAACUGAAACAAAAUUAUAUGCUUGCUGCAGCCAAGGAGAAGAAAUUGACUCGAUUGUUGAACACGUUUCCCGUAAGCUUAAUACAAGACACAUGAGUGUGACUGAACAUUUGGUUGAAGAUAGUGCUCAAGUGGAAGCCAUAAUGAAAUUGUUGGAUGUUGGGUCUGAUGGUGUACGUUUUGUUGGUAUCCACGGCACGGGUGGUGUUGGAAAAACAACUCUUGCCAAAGUCAUGUUCAACAAGCUAUCUUCUCACUUUGAAGGUUGUUGUUUCCUUGAAGACGUUCGAGCAUCAUCGCAACCUCCUGAUGGUCUUUUAAAGUUGCAGAAAAAGCUCUUAUCAGGUUUUGUCAGUUCCACAAUUACUGACCAAAUUGAGAAUGUUGAUGGUGGGAUCAAGAUGAUCAAAAGAGUACUUAGAAAUAAAAAAGUACUCAUCGUACUUGAUGACGUAGAUGAGAAAGAGCAACUUGAAAAUCUAGCCAGAAAAUCUGAUUGGUUUUGUUCUGGUAGUAGAAUCAUUAUCACAACUAGGGAAGAAAUCAUCCUAAAGACUCAAGUGGACCCCAAUGGAAUUUUGCUUUAUGAAGUUCUUGGAAUGAGAUUUGAUCUAGCACUUUAUCUGUUUUAUAAGUAUGCAUUUAGAAGUGACUCUGCUGUAAAAGAAUAUGAGGAUCCUUCAAGAGAAAUUGUUCGUACAGUGGGCAUGCUUCCUUUGGCUGUUAUGGUGAUAGGGUCUCAUCUUUUUGACUUGGGCAAUGAUCUGGGGCAUUUGGAUAAAAGAGAAGUAUGGGAUGAGACGCUGAAGCAGUUAAAGGAAGGUCCUUUUGACAAAGUCCGAAAAUCAUUAAUGAUAAGUUAUGAACGAUUAAAGCAUAAGGAAAAGGAAGUAUUUUUGGAUAUAGCGUGCUUUUUCACCAAUGAGGACAGAACAUAUCCAGUCAUCAUGUGGAAGGAUUGGAGUUACCAUCCUCACACUGCAAUCACAGUUCUCUCUCUCAGGUCCUUGAUAAAAAUUAGAGAUGACAACAAGUUUUGGAUGCAUGACCAAGUUCGAGACUUUGGAAGGUACAUCGUUCUUGAAGAAUACCCUCGCAAGUUUUGUAGGGUGUGGAUACGUGAGAAAGCCUUGAACCUACUGGAGAGAAAAGAGGUAAACUAUGAUGGUUUUUGAAUUAAUAUACUUGUUAUAUUUCCUGAAAAGUAGAAGCAUGAAAUAUGAUAUCUUCAGUAAGAAACCGAAACUUGAAAAUUAGUUUAUGUAGAAGAGGAAGAAACAACUAGCUGUUGGGAAAAAUAGUAAACCAUAGUUCUGGAAAUCGCAUGUUGCAUGCUCAACCAUUGGAGAAAUUGUUUGACAGCGCUUGAUGUGUCUCUUUGUUGUAGCUCUGUGUCUGUAUGUUGCAUGCUCAAUAUUGAGUCUAUGCUAUGCAGAAAAAUGAAGAUGUUGAAGCGCUAAGCCUGAUGUUCCAUGGCCACAGCUUCACACGAGAAGAAUUAGCUUGUCUACCAAAACUAAGGUUUCUUCAAGUGAGAAAGUCUGAUUUUUCUGGCAACUUCGAAAAUCUCCUUUCGGAGCUAAGAUGGCUUUCUUGGCAAACAUGGCAAACAACUUUCCAUGCAAGUAACUUUCACUUUAGUAAUUUGGUCGUUCUCGACCUUUCAGAUAGCGAUAUUGGAGAUGAUUGGGUUGGGUGGAGCCAAAUGAAGGUAUAAUAUGCCUUACUCUAUAAACUUCUUUCUGGUCAUUACCUGAUUCACGAUGAUAAAAGCAAGAUAUAUAUUUUACUUCUUUGUAUUAUUACCUCAUAAGAUUGACAUAAAGGUUGGAUUCACUCCUCAUUUCAUCCGAGUGUAAAAUAUAUUUUGCAUGAGUAAAUCCUAAAUAUUUUUAUAUCAAAGUAAAAGACAAUUAUGUCCCUCAUAAAAAAUGCUUCUUGUGGUUUAUAACCUUGGUUUCUUAGCUCUAAAAGUUGCUUAGGCUUUGGAAAUUGUGUAUUUCAAUAAAAGGAGUGUGUUCCAAUAAAUGUAAGUGCCAUUUUGCCUCAAUAUGCAUUAGAAUAUGAUUUGAGUGACCUAAAGUUUGAGCCAAGGUGAGUAAUAGAAAAGUCAAUUGCAAUCAAGUGUGAGAUUGGCAACAUUUAACCUGAACCGUGUAGAUGAUCACAAUUUUAUUUGGAAUAGCUAAAGUUGAGUCAAGGUGAGCUUGAGCUUCAUAUAUUUGAUUGAAGCGGCCACUAGCCUAAUAUAUUAGCUGAUUGUCUAUAUUAUGUUUAUGAUUACAUUAACAAACUGUAAAUAAAUGAAAAUUCCUUUACUUUUGCUUUUACUUUUACUUUUCUAUUUUACCUGAGUUAAUGAGCGAAGGCUCAAGCUUUAUAUUGAAUCGAAUCAGAUCUUUCACAGAGGGGUUGGAUAGGGUGAUGUUGAAGAUUGUGGUCGAAGGUGGUGUGCUGGUCGUCAAUGGCGAUUGGUGGAGAAAAACUAGGGGUGUUGGUUUUUGGGGCUUGCGGUUGAUCUGGAAAUUAACAGUUUUUCGUAUUUUCGUCGCAAGGAUACUUUAUUCUUUUGAUUAUCGAGUAUUGUUCUAAGAAGCGAACUGAGGGUUUUUGGAAAUAAAGCAUGUAAAGUAAAAGAUGGGUUGAUUCUUUGCUUUUACCUGUGGAAUAAAUUUGACUUCUAACAGGGCCCUAACUCCAUAAAAAAGAGCUCAGGUCGGAGAUUAUUCUAAAAAAUUUAAAGUAAGAGGGUUAUUUGCAGCAUCAUAAAAAAUAUUUGGGAAAUUCAAUUUACCUAGAUUAUCUUAAAUAAUGACUUAUGGAUGAUAAGCUUAUUAGUUACAUUACGACACACGCCAAUAUUUCUCAUUUAUUUUUUCACUUCAAUUUUCAUUUUUGGGCAGAUGGAUAAACUGAAGGUUCUAGAUCUGACGAGUUGCAUAAGGAUAAAACAAACACCUGACUUCUCGAACUUUAUGUCUUUGGAGAAGCUAAUUCUUGCUCGGUGUGUUGAGUUAACCACAAUUCACCGUUCCAUUGGUAAGCUAAAGCACCUAACGACUUUAAACAUCAAGGGAUGCAGCUCUCUUAGGACGUUGCCUGAAGAAAUCGGUGCUCUACAAUCUUUGAUGGAGGUUAUCAUGCCCCAAACUUUUCAACCCUUCAAUCUUCCGGACGAAUUUGGCAAUCUAGAAUCUUUGUCGAGUUUGUUAUUAGACGAGCACCUAGGAAUCAGCCAACUUCCAAGCUAUGUUGGAGGGUUCAUGAAAGUUACACAGUUAUCUUUACGUUGGUGUGUGGGCAUAGAGAAGCUUCCAUGCUCUCUUGGAAAAAUGGAAAUGUUGGUCGAGUUGGAUUUAUCAAUGUCAGGAAUAGUCGAAUUGCCUGAUUCCAUUGGAGAUUUGAAGAAACUAAAAGUGAUUAGAGUAAGCUAUACAAUGAUAAGAAAGUUUCCUUGUACGAUUGGACAGGUGGAGAUACUGGAAGAGUUACAUGCUAGGAAAUGUUGGGAUCUGACAGAAGAAAACCUGGAGGAAAUUGGAAAGCUAUCCCGUUUGAAGAUAUUGGACUUAUCAUAUACUCAUGUAUCUCGAUUCCUCACAAUGCUAGGUUGUCUCUGUCAUCUCCACACACUUGAAUUGGGUUUGAGUGACCUUCAGGAAGUACCUAAUCUUCCCUCAAGUUUGACACACCUUCACAUGCAAGCACGUCAGUUCCCAUCUAUCCUUGACCUCUCAAGUCUCAUUGAUUUAGAUUAUCUAGAAUUAUCUAGAUUAACUGUUUCAAGAGAGGAACCUGAUCCAAGUUGGUCAAACAAUUUGCCAGUGAAACAACUGAUCCAUCCACUUCCAAGUGGCUUGUCAACUUUGAAAUGCAGGGGCAUCAGGCUACUACCACCUCUUUCUAACUUAAGAAAAUUAUCAGUUCUGUGUGUCAUUGAAUAUCCAAUGCCAUACUUCUCUAUCUCUCAGGAGCUAAUACAUUUGACAGAAUUGAAACUAAGUAAGUGCAAAUUUGUUGAGAUAAUAUAUGUGUCACUCUUGAAGAAUCUACAGCACUUGGAACUAAACAGAUUGGACAGGCUGGUUAAGAUUCAAGGUUUGUCAGAAUUGACAUCCUUGUUGUACUUUCGUAUUUCUGACUGCUAUAAGAUAAAAAGGUUACCGAACUUAUCAAAGUUAGAUAAGCUACAACAUAUUGAGGUAGAAGCUUGUCCAGAAAUAAAAGUGAUUGAGGGAAUCAAGGGCUUAGAAAGUUUGGUGUUGGAUAAUCGUGGUUGCACUGUACUAGAGAGAUUGCUGGAUGUCUCAAGAUCAACUUGGAUUUCCCACAAAGUACCAGAGUGCCAGGUUUUCCUGAGUUUUAAUGCACCGGACACUUCUUAUAGCAUUGUCGAUGUCCUUUACAAGAAAUUGGUUCGCAACCAAAUUUCUGUUUUCAAGGAUGACGACAUAUUGAGCUCUGGUGAUGGAAUUGGCGAAGAGCUUCCGCAAGCACUCGACAACUCCCAUAUCUACAUACCCUUCUUAUCUAAGAACUAUGCUUCUAGCUGGUGGUGUCUCCGUGAAUUAGCCCACAUGGUAAAAUGCACGUCAAACUCCCUUGGGAAAAAAAUAAUCCUACCCAUUUUCUAUGAUGUGGAGGUUGAUGAUGUUAAUCUUAAAAGCGCUUUGUACAAAAGUGCCCUAGAUAAGCACAAGUGGAAAUUUGGCAACGAAGUGGAGGAAUGGGAAAUGGCUCUAAGAGAGAUCGUGCACACAAGGCGGUUCAACAUGAAUAGUAAGAGGUAAUGCUGCUAGCUUUUAUUAACUGGACCAAAUUGAACUUUAGCACCAUAGAAUUUCAUGAUAAAAAAAUGUGAACUUUUGCACAAAAACAGUCGAGGACACUGAAGUGAAUUCUUAUGCUUUGUUUGGAAGAGUUUCUUUGGUGGGUAAAGAAAAAGAAGGCAAAGAAAUUUGAGGUGAAGAAAAUGUAUUCUUUGGGGUGGCUGGAGUUGUAGGGUAGGGAGGUGAAGAUAGUGUAGGGAUAUGAAAAAUGAAGAACGAAAAAUGAAAAUUGGCAUAUCUAUUUCUUCGUAUUUUGCCUUCUAUAAAGUUAAUUUCUUUGCAACAGCGCUGAUAAAAAUGGUUUUUUGAACGAUGUAAGUAGAAAGCCCAUUGCCAAAGCCGAGAAGGUUGCCUGGGUUGGACAUUUCAUUCUCCUAUGAAAAUUGAAGAAUUUAACUAGGCAUUGAAUAAUUACCAUAUAAUCCUUCACAAUUUUGUCAUUUUCUAUUACUUUUGAGAGUUCAUUUGGAAAUGAGAGAAAAAAAAAGGGAAUUUCUCCCCUUCAUUCUUCACACCUCGGCGAGAAACAUAAUUGGUUGGCCUAGCAAAAGUUUAUUUUACUUAAUGACUCCUAAAUUUAUGUAUAGAUGGAGUGACUAAGAACAAUCAAUUUUAAGCAUAUAUACAUUGCGAAAAAUUAGAUAACACCCUCCAAGAGCCAGAAAAAUUAUUAAAAAAAUAAUAAACAUAUUACAAUUUUGUUAAUUAAGUCAUAAAGAUCUUUUUUGUCAAUUGACUCUUAAAUCAUUUGCAUUUAUGUCAAUUAAAUCCAUCUGACCAAUUUUGGCAGGCUAAUGCUAACAUGGAUGUCAUGGAUGUCAUCGUCCUAUGUGACACGGACGAUACUAAAGUGAACAAUUUUUAAUAAUAUUUUAAAAUUUUUAAUAAAUUUUGUUGUUUAAUUUCUUUUUCCUUUUAUUUAUUUUCUUUUACUUUUUAUUUCCCUUCACUUCCUUCUUCCUCAAGCUAGUCGCUGGAUCUUGAUAAUCAGCUAGACAAGAGGGUCGACGAGCUCGUUGGCCUCGCCCAAGCCGUUCGCUUGGUUGGUAGGGGAAGGUCGAGACUUGCCUAGCCACUAGUAAGGCCCGAGCCCUCAUUAGAGUUGUAAGGUUGAAGGCCGUGACUUCUAGUGAGGGUGAGCCUCACCAUAGGGUGAGGCCGAUAAGGUCAACCUCGCCAUCUCUCAACUCUUGUUGGUCGUCUUAGUCUAGUGACUGGCUGGAGGAAGAAGAAAGGGAAGAAAGAAAAGGAAAAAGAAAUGAAAAUAAAUAAAUAGUUUGAAAAAUUAAAAUAUUAAAAAUUGUCCACAUUAGUGCCCAUCGCUCGACGUAUGAUAGCUGAUAUUUAUGUUUUGAUCAGAUGGACUGAAUUAGCACAAAUGCAAAUGUUUUAGGAGUCCAUUGACAAAAAAAGGAAAGUUCAAGAUUGAAUUGGCACAAUUAUAAUAAAUUUUAGAAUGUUUUGAUAAUCUUUCCUCCAAGAGCUUGCCAUUGAAUGAUCAAUUGAAUUUUGCAACAAUUGAUAUAGAAUCUCAAUGCGAUGGUCUUUUCUAGGCAUAAGUGCCAAAACUUUCAUAGGAUGCUUGCUUGAAUGUUAAAAUUUUUUCACUUAAGCUUAACAUCAGAGAAAAAUCGAUCACUUGAGUGUCAAUUCCAGCCAAAUAUCCUACAUGGAAUUUUUUUUACUUUCUAAAUUUUUUUAUUUCCAUCUGUAUUUUGCUUUUUUUUUUCUUUUUUUUUUCUUUAGGGUUAACGAGGGUCACUGUGACUGCCUCACCCUUGGCUGCGGAGGCCCUAGGCAAGGCUGUGAGGGUCCUCAUUGCCUGUGAGUGACGCCACCUAAAGCAGGUGAGGGUCGUUGCGGCAUCGCUAGUGGUUGGCAAGGCCCCGAUGGCCUUUCCCAAGGCCUUUGCAGCGAGGGUGCUCGCCCUCGCCUUGGGUGAGGCCGCGGAGACCCUCACCAGUGUUGCUUAGAGCAGGUGAGGGUUGUUGCGGCCUAGCCAGCGAUCAACGGAUAGACUCGCCCUUGGUUGUGAAGCCACCUAGAGCAGGCGAGGAUUGUUGCGGCCAUGCCAGUUGUUAAUGAGGCCCCGACAGCCUCGCCUUUGACCGCGAAAGCCUUAGGUGAGGUCGUGAGGGCCCUCACCAGUGUCGCCUAGAGUAGGUGAGGGUUGUCGCAGCCUCGCCAAUGGUCGUCCUUGCUGCAAAGGCCCUGGGCGAGGUCAUUAGGGCCUUGCCGUCCGCUGGUGAGCCCGCAACGACCCUCUUCUGCUUUGGGCAGCAUUGCUUGCGGCUGACCGAAGCGACCCUAACAACCUCACUUAGGGCCUUAGCAGCCAAGGGUGAGGCAGCUGCGGUUGGUGAGGGUCUCCGGCGACCUUCAUCAACCCUAAAAAGAAAAAAAAAAAAAAAAAAAAAAGCAAAAAAAAUUCAAAAAAAAUAAUAAAUAUUAAAAUAAUAUUUUCCCGUGGCCAUGUCAACUUUUCUGACAAGGCAAAUCGAAAAUGGCACUCAAGUGAUCGAUUUUUCAAAUUUGUGGCACAUGAGUGAGCGAAAAAAUCUUUUGGUACUCAAAUGAAAUUGACACUUAUACUGUACUUAAUCCUCUUUUUUACCUUGAAAUGGGCCCUUCAACCAAAGAAGAUCAAGUCUGGGAAUUAUAUUUAUUUAUGUAUUUGUUAUGUAUUAUGUUUCCAUUAUUUUGUACCCUUGGGAGAGGGGGAGGGGGUGGUGUAAUAGGUUUAAACUUUAAAGUGGUAUUAUUUUAUUGAAUUUUAUGUCAAAUGCCCAUUGCCUUCUUUAAUUCAAACAAAAGAUAAAUAAAAUGCAUAACAAGAAAAAAUUUCCACCACUAACCUCAGGAUUAAUCUCUUUAAUUAAUAAAAAAUAUUUAAAAGUUGAAAAGUUGAAGAUAAAAAAAGGAAAGAAUUUCAAUUAGGACCCAAAGUGCCCUUGAUUUUUAAAAUAAGGGCUUGAAAUUAAUAUUUUCUCAAAUAGAGACAUGAACUGCUCUCAUUUUCUCAAAUAAGAGUAUGGAGUGAUUUUGUUAGUCUUAAAGGAUUUGACCUCAUUGAUUGGUGAGAGCAUUUUCAUCAUUUACUUUUUCUUUCAUUUUUUAUUUUUCUAUUUUUUUCUAUAAAGCUAAACUCUAAAAAGAAAUAAAGAGGCUAAAACUUAAAAUACACACGCACACAUCACACAUAGACACAAGGGAGAGCUGCCGGCCUUCCUUAGCUGUAGCCAUCGCCCCAUCGCUAGCGACCAUAGGCAGGAGGGCUAGCCCCAGCCCUCCCGCUUGCAACCUCAUUGGCCAUGGCUGAUGCCCCACCAUCGAUGGGGUAGUGGCCACAAGCAGGAGGGCUUGGUUUUUGUUUUUUUUUAUUUGUAUUUUUUUUAAGUAAUAGUCUUUUUUAUGGAAAAAAAUAGAAAAAAAAAAGGAGAAAAGAAAGAAAAAAUGGAAGGAAAUAAGAAAAUAUAGAGGAUAGAAAUGCCCUUGACCAGGUGAGGUAAGGUCUUCCCUUUAAGACUGACAUGGCCAUUUCAAAUCCUUAUUUGAAGUAAGAUUCACUUGAGGUCCUUUUUUGAGAAAUAGAGAGUACUCCCAUGUCGUAUUUGAAAUUUUCCUUGAAAAGAAUGGUAGAUAAGUAUGAAUAUUUAGGAAAAAUUAUCUGAUAUGGUUAUUACUUAAAGGCCAAAUGAUGAGAUAAAGGCCAAAUGACAAAGUAAAUCUCAGUUUUUUUAACACUUUCCAAUUUUAUCCUAACCUUUUAAACCAAUUAGAAAAAUAGCCAAAUCUUUCCAAUUUGUAUCAAAACUAUCCCAAACCAUUUAACACCAUUUAUGAGAGGAAUAUUCGGUUAGAUUAUUUCCCGAAUUUAUCUAGUUCUAGUAUUCAAGGGAGGACAUUUGAGGGAAAAUAAUGUAACGGAUGCAUAAUUUAAGUGAGAAUAUUUAUUUGGCUUCAUAUCAGCUAUUUUUUUUAUUAAAUGUAUUUAUGAAUUUUUUAUAUGAAGAAAAAAUGAAAAACUAGGUUCUUUUAUGCAAUAUUCAGAUAGAUCUAGCGUGAACUUAUCAAAUAAAAUCUGUUCACUUUUUUAUGCCAAAAAUAAAACUUUUCAUGAAGAAAAUAAUAAAAUAGUUUUACCUAUAAAGAAUAUCUGUUGUGCUUAGCACUUUGGAUUUUAUGGAACAAAACCGAGCAUUAUGAAAAAAAUAUUACCUUCUUCAGUUUUGUUAAUCUUACUACAUCCAUUCCAUCAAGAAUGUAUACUUCAUAUCAAUCGGCUAAUGCAUUAUCUAAAGCAUCUCCAAUACAUCAAAAUGAGCAGUUUUUCUUGAAAUUACAAUGUNNNNNNNNNNNNNNNNNNNNNNNNNNNNNNNNNNNNNNNNNNNNNNNNNNNNNNNNNNNNNNNNNNNNNNNNNNNNNNNNNNNNNNNNNNNNNNNNNNNNUGUCAGCUAUGUUAUGCUGAUCGUUCAUAGAACUGAAAUGGUGACUAUUUAAGCAUAGGGUCCUAGAGACCCAGAGAUCGUCAUAUCCGGAGAAAUUUAUACCCUUUCUUUCAUGUCAUUGAUGACCAAAAUAUUCCUGCUUUGCUGCAGCCAUGGAGAGCUAAUUGAAUCGGUUGUUAGAGAGGUUUUAUGUAAACUUGGGGGCAAAAAUGUGGAUGUGCCUGAACAUUUGGUUGAGGAUCACAGUCAGAUAAAAGCAAUAAUAGAUAAGUUGGAUGUUGACUCUGGUGGGGUGCGUUUUGUUGGCAUACAUGGAAUGGGUGGUAUCGGUAAAACAACACUUGCGAAGGUUGUGUUUAACAAAUUACUUCUUCAGUUUGAUGGUGUUAGUUUCCUACAAAACAUUCGAGAAUCAUCCCAACAUAGUCUUGGUCUUGUAAACUUGCAGAAAGAGUUAUUAUCGAGUGUUCUUGGUUCUAGGGAUACUGUCCAAAUUGAAGACAUAGGUGAUGGGAUGAAUCAGAUCAAGAGAGUAUGUAGGACUAAAAAGGUCCUCAUUGUUCUUGAUGAUCUAGACAAGAAAGAGCAACUCCAAAAUCUAGCUGGAAAAUCUGAUUGGUUUGGUUCGGGUAGCAGGAUCAUUAUCACAACUAGGGACGAAAGUAUCUUGAUGACUCAAGUGGAAUCAUUUGGUGAAGUGGUCCUAAAUCAACCUAAAGGAAUUUUGGCUCAUGAAGUUUAUGAAAUGGAAUUUGGUCGAGCAUUUCAGUUGUUUUGUGAGCACACAUUCGGAAGGGACUAUCCCGUAAAAGGAUAUAAGUAUCUUGCAGAGAAAAUUGUCCAUGGAGUGGGAAUGCUUCCUUUGGCUAUUGUGGAGAUAGGUUCAAUUCUUUGUUUCAGUCAUGAAAUUGGAGAAUGGGAAGAUAAGUUGACGCAGUUGAAUAAAGGUCCUUUGAAGGUUGUCCGCGAUGCAUUAAUGAUAAGUUAUGAAGGAUUAGCGGAUGAGGAAAAAGAAGUAUUUUUGGGUAUUGCUUGCUUUUUCACCAACGAUGACCAAACGUAUCCAGAUAUCAUGUGGGAUGACUAUCAGAGUGCAAUUAGUGUCCUCCGCCAACGGUCCUUGAUAAAAAUUAGAGAUAAUAAAUUUUGGAUGCAUGACCAAUUGCGAGAUCUGGGAAGGAACAUCAUAGUUGAAUAUCCUCACAAAUUUAGUAGGUUGUGGAUUCAUGAGCAUGCUGUAGCAAUGCUAUGGGAGAGAAAAGAGGUAAAAUGGAAGAAUAUGUGACAUAAUUUUUAUUUGGAAAGACAAACUUCUUGCAUUUUUGCUUUCAUUUUAUUGUCAGCUUUGUUCAACUUCCCAUUUGUCUUACUAGUGAAGAAUUCUCUCAAACGUACCAGAUAGAUUCUUCUAGAUUCUGUAGAAUAGUACAUAGUUUUCUGGGAAUUCUGAAACGACAAAGCGCCGUUUCACGAGCAAUCCGAGCAAAGUCAGAAGAAAACUAGUGGUAUGAAGAGUUUUUAACUUACUUCCAAACACAAAUAGAGAAAAAACCAAAAAAAAAAAAAAACUAUGAAGACUGCAAUUAAUAUGCGUAUCAUUUUUCUUGAAUAGUAGAAAAUGGGAAAUGGACAAUUGAUUUAUAAGAUAUCUUCAACUAGAUGCUUAACUAAUCUUGAGUCUCUGUUGGCAGAGAAAUCAAGGUCUGGAAGCACUAAACCUGACUUCCAGCGGUGGCUGGAGGAGCAUCUAUAUGGCUGAAGAAUUAGCUGCUACAUCAAAAUUAAGGUUCCUUAGAGUGAAAGGCUUGGAUGGCAUCUUCGAGAAUGUUCUUCUGAAGCUAGAAAGGCUUUUUGGGGAAAAAUGGGGAACGGCUUUCCAUGCAAAUAACUUUCACUUCAAUAAUUUGGUCAUGCUCGACCUUUCGGAUAGCAAUAUUGGAGAUGGCUGGGGUGGGUGGAGCCAAAUGAAGGUAUGAUAUGCCUUCCUCUUUAUACUUAUUUCUAUCAUCACUCAUUCGCAAUGAUAGAAGCAAGACAUAUAUUUUAGUUCUUUGUAUCAUUGCCUCAUGCGAUUGACAUAAAGGUUGCAUGCACUCCCCAUCUCGUCUGAGUGUAGAAUAUGAUUUGCUUGAAUCAAAAUAAAACACAAUUAUAUCCCGCAUAGAAAAUGCUUCAUGUGGUUUAUAACCUUGGUUUUGUAGUUUUGAAAGUUGCUUAGGAUUUGGAAUUGGUGUACUCCAAUAAAGUAGCUGUUUUGCAUCAAUAUGCAUCAGAUAUGAUUUGCAUGGCUAUAAGACUUUUGAGUCAAGCUCAGUAAUAGGAAAGUUAAUUGGAAUUAAGUUUGAGAUUGGUAACACUCAACUCGAAUGGUGUAAAGGAUCACAACUUUAUUUGGAAUAGCUAAGUUGAUGAUUUAAAUUAAGGUGAGCUUCACCAUCAUGAGACUUUAUUCAAGGGGCUUACCAACCUAAUUUAAUAGUUAAGUUUUUCUUUAUAAUUGCAUUAAUGAACUGUCGAAUGAAUGAAAAUGACAUUAUCUAUACUUUUGUAAUUAACUCGAGUCAAUGAGGAAGGUUGGAGUAUUACAUUUAAUCUAGCUUUUAACUACAGCGUCAAAUCGAAUCUCAAAGAAAUCUAUGGUAUAUAUUCAGGGUAGUGAACAAAUGUAAUGGAGUCCCUUGUCUGUUUCUAAAAUUAAAUUUUAAGUUAGUUUUUGAGCUACAAAAAUUGUGUGAAACCAACUUAGCUCGAUUGGGUACCCUCCCCGCUAACGGUUUCCAUUUAGUCACCUCUUGUGAUCUUUCUACAAUUUUUCAACUUAAGAUGGAUGCUUGUUGUAUUAAGUUGAAGGUAAAAUGCCCAAAAUCAUUCUCACCUUUUAUAUUAGCUUCUAUUUGCAUAAUUCAUUAUUGUUUAUUUUGGUUGUUAACAUGCAAGUGUGAUUAUGCAUGUAGGCUAUUCUGCAAAUACUUAUUCUACAAAUACCUUAUGCACGCUAGAUUUUUCUGGAAAUUGGAUUGAUUUUUUUAACAAUUUUAAAUCCAUCACUUUAUAUCUCUGAUUGUAAGUUGGCUAAAGGNNNNNNNNNNNNNNNNNNNNNNNNNNNNNNNNNNNNNNNNNNNNNNNNNNNNNNNNNNNNNNNNNNNNNNNNNNNNNNNNNNNNNNNNNNNNNNNNNNNNNNNNNNNNNNNNNNNNNNNNNNNNNNNNNNNNNNNNNNNNNNNNNNNNNNNNNNNNNNNNNNNNNNNNNNNNNNNNNNNNNNNNNNNNNNNNNNNNNNNNNNNNNNNNNNNNNNNNNNNNNNNNNNNNNNNNNNNNNNNNNNNNNNNNNNNNNNNNNNNNNNNNNNNNNNNNNNNNNNNNNNNNNNNNNNNNNNNNNNNNNNNNNNNNNNNNNNNNNNNNNNNNNNNNNNNNNNNNNNNNNNNNNNNNNNNNNNNNNNNNNNNNNNNNNNNNNNNNNNNNNNNNNNNNNNNNNNNNNNNNNNNNNNNNNNNNNNNNNNNNNNNNNNNNNNNNNNNNNNNNNNNNNNNNNNNNNNNNNNNNNNNNNNNNNNNNNNNNNNNNNNNNNNNNNNNNNNNNNNNNNNNNNNNNNNNNNNNNNNNNNNNNNNNNNNNNNNNNNNNNNNNNNNNNNNNNNNNNNNNNNNNNNNNNNNNNNNNNNNNNNNNNNNNNNNNNNNNNNNNNNNNNNNNNNNNNNNNNNNNNNNNNNNNNNNNNNNNNNNNNNNNNNNNNNNNNNNNNNNNNNNNNNNNNNNNNNNNNNNNNNNNNNNNNNNNNNNNNNNNNNNNNNNNNNNNNNNNNNNNNNNNNNNNNNNNNNNNNNNNNNNNNNNNNNNNNNNNNNNNNNNNNNNNNNNNNNNNNNNNNNNNNNNNNNNNNNNNNNNNNNNNNNNNNNNNNNNNNNNNNNNNNNNNNNNNNNNNNNNNNNNNNNNNNNNNNNNNNNNNNNNNNNNNNNNNNNNNNNNNNNNNNNNNNNNNNNNNNNNNNNNNNNNNNNNNNNNNNNNNNNNNNNNNNNNNNNNNNNNNNNNNNNNNNNNNNNNNNNNNNNNNNNNNNNNNNNNNNNNNNNNNNNNNNNNNNNNNNNNNNNNNNNNNNNNNNNNNNNNNNNNNNNNNNNNNNNNNNNNNNNNNNNNNNNNNNNNNNNNNNNNNNNNNNNNNNNNNNNNNNNNNNNNNNNNNNNNNNNNNNNNNNNNNNNNNNNNNNNNNNNNNNNNNNNNNNNNNNNNNNNNNNNNNNNNNNNNNNNNNNNNNNNNNNNNNNNNNNNNNNNNNNNNNNNNNNNNNNNNNNNNNNNNNNNNNNNNNNNNNNNNNNNNNNNNNNNNNNNNNNNNNNNNNNNNNNNNNNNNNNNNNNNNNNNNNNNNNNNNNNNNNNNNNNNNNNNNNNNNNNNNNNNNNNNNNNNNNNNNNNNNNNNNNNNNNNNNNNNNNNNNNNNNNNNNNNNNNNNNNNNNNNNNNNNNNNNNNNNNNNNNNNNNNNNNNNNNNNNNNNNNNNNNNNNNNNNNNNNNNNNNNNNNNNNNNNNNNNNNNNNNNNNNNNNNNNNNNNNNNNNNNNNNNNNNNNNNNNNNNNNNNNNNNNNNNNNNNNNNNNNNNNNNNNNNNNNNNNNNNNNNNNNNNNNNNNNNNNNNNNNNNNNNNNNNNNNNNNNNNNNNNNNNNNNNNNNNNNNNNNNNNNNNNNNNNNNNNNNNNNNNNNNNNNNNNNNNNNNNNNNNNNNNNNNNNNNNNNNNNNNNNNNNNNNNNNNNNNNNNNNNNNNNNNNNNNNNNNNNNNNNNNNNNNNNNNNNNNNNNNNNNNNNNNNNNNNNNNNNNNNNNNNNNNNNNNNNNNNNNNNNNNNNNNNNNNNNNNNNNNNNNNNNNNNNNNNNNNNNNNNNNNNNNNNNNNNNNNNNNNNNNNNNNNNNNNNNNNNNNNNNNNNNNNNNNNNNNNNNNNNNNNNNNNNNNNNNNNNNNNNNNNNNNNNNNNNNNNNNNNNNNNNNNNNNNNNNNNNNNNNNNNNNNNNNNNNNNNNNNNNNNNNNNNNNNNNNNNNNNNNNNNNNNNNNNNNNNNNNNNNNNNNNNNNNNNNNNNNNNNNNNNNNNNNNNNNNNNNCUUUUUGUGUUUUCAUAGCGAGGAUACUCUAGUCUUUUGGCUAUGGAGUUUUGUUCUAAGAUGCAUACUUGUGCAGACGGCAAAAAAGUUGAAAGUUUUGGACCUGAGAAACUGCAAAUGCUUAACAAGGACACCUGACUUGUCUAACUUCCUGGAUUUGGAGAUACUGAUAUUUGCUGGCUGCUCCAAGUUAAUUACGGUUGAUUGCUCAAUUAGUAAGCUACAGCUGUUAAAAACUCUCAAUAUGGAUGGAUGUGACUCUAUUGAGGAGUUGCCUGAAGAGGUUGGUUCUUUAGAAUCUUUAACAGAGUUCAUCUUCUCCGGAUCUUCCAAAUUGGUCACACUCAAAGAGAGUUUUGGGAAUUUGAAAUCUUUGUCAACCUUCAAUGUAAAUUAUUGCAAGGGAAUGAACAAACUCUCGAACUCUAUUGGAGGAUUAGCAAAAAUCACAUGUUUCUCUAUAAAAGGAUGUGAGGGGAUAAAGAAGCUCCCACACUCUCUCUGGGGUUUAGAAUCACUGGUCAAGUUGGAUUUGUCAUUCUCAGGGAUAGACAUUCUCCCUGAAUCCAUUGGAAAUCUGAAGAAACUCAAAGCCAUCAACAUGGGACAUACAAAGUUAAAAAGGUUACCGAACGCAAUUGGACAGCUAGAGAUGCUUGAAGAGUUACAUUGCCCAGAGUGUCCCGAUCUAUUAGGCGAAGUCCCAAAUGCUAUUGGGAAUCUUUUCCAUUUGCAGAUCUUGGACUUGUCAUGUACUUGUAUUUCUGGUUUGCCAGACACAAUCACUCAUCUCUUUCACUUGGAAGAGUUACAUGUCCGAGAUUGUAGGGAUCUUACGAGUGAAAUCCCAGAGGCAAUUGGUGAACUAUCCUGCUUGAGGAUCUUGGACUUCUCUAGAACUAGUAUUUCUGGUUUGCCUACCACGAUCGCUCAUCUCUCUCACCUAGAAGAGUUACGUGUCCAAGGUUGUUGGAAUCUACCAAGCCAAAUACCAGAUGCAAUUGGGGGACUAUCCCGCUUGAGGAUCUUGGACUUCUCUGGUACUUGUAUUUCUGGUUUGCCUGCCACGAUCACUCAUCUCUCUCACCUAGAAGAGUUACGUGUCCGAGAUUGUGGGGAUCUUACGGGUAAAAUCCCAGAUGCAAUUGGCAGACUAUCCCGCUUGAGGAUCUUGGACUUCUCUGGUACUUGUAUUUCUGGUUUGCCUGCCACGAUCACUCAUCUCUCUCACCUAGAAGAGUUACGUGUCCGAGAUUGUGGGGAUCUUACGGGUAAAAUCCCAGAUGCAAUUGGCAGACUAUCCCGCUUGGGGAUCUUGGACUUCUCUGGUACUUGUAUUUCUGGUUUGCCUACCACGAUCGCUCAACUCUCUCACUUGGAAGAGUUACGUGUCCAUGGUUGUCGGAAUUUUACGAGCAAAAUCCCAAAUGCAAUUGGCAGACUAUCCCACUUGAGGAUCUUGAACUUCUCUGGUACUCGUAUUUCUGGUUUGCUUGACACGAUCACUCAUCUCUCUCACCUAGAAGAAUUACGUGUCCACGGUUGUCAGUAUCUUACAGGUAAAAUCCCAGAUGCAAUUGGCAGACUAUCUCGCUUGAAGAUCUUGGACUUGUCUGGUACUUGGAUUUCUGGUUUGCCUGUCACGAUCGCUCAUCUCUCUCACCUGGAAGAGUUACAUGUCCAAGAUUGUCAGUAUCUUACGGGUGAAAUCCCAGAUGCAAUUGGCGGACUAUCCCGCUUGAGGAUCUUGGACUUUUCUGGUACUCGUAUUUCUGGUUUGCCUGCCACGUUCGCUCAUCUCUCUCACCUGGAAGAGUUACGUGUCCAAGGUUGUCAGUAUCUUAUGGGUGAAAUCCCAGAUGCAAUUGGUGGACUAUCCCGCUUAAGGAUCUUGGACUUCUCCGGUACUUGUAUUUCUGGUUUGCCUGCCACAAUCGCUCACCUCUCUCACCUGGAAGAGUUAUAUGUCCAGGAUUGUUGGGAUCUUAUGUGGGAAAUCCCAGAUGCAAUUGGCGGACUAUCCCGCCUGAGGAUCUUGGACUUCUCUAGAACUAGUAUUUCUAACUUGCCUACCACGGUCGCUCAUCUUUCUCACCUAGAAGAGUUACGUGUCCAAGGUUGUCGGAUUCUACCGAGACAAAUACUAGACGCAAUUAGGGGACUAUCCCGCUUGAAGAUCUUGGACUUCUCUGGUACUCAUAUUUCUGGUUUGCUUGCCACAAUUGCUCAUCUCUGUCACCUGGAAGAGUUAUAUGUCCAGGAUUGUAGGGAUCUUAUGAGGGAAAUCCCAGAUGCAAUUGGCGAACUAUCCCACUUAAGGAUCUUGGACUUCUCUAGAACUGGUAUUUCUGGUUUGCCUACCACGAUCGCUUGUCUCUCUCACCUAGAAGAGUUACGUGUCCAAGGUUGUUGGAAUCUAGCGAACCAAACACUAGAUGCAAUUGGGGGACUAUCCCGCUUGAGGAUCUUGGACUUCUCUAGAACUGGUAUUUCUGGUUUGCCUGCCACGAUCGCUCAUCUCUCUCACCUAGAAGAGUUACGUGUCCAAAGUUGUCGGAAUCUAGCGAGCCAAAUACCAGAUGCAAUCGGGGGACUAUCCCACUUGAGGAUCUUGGACUUCUCUUAUACUUGUAUUUCUGGUUUGCCUGCCACGAUCACCCAUCUCUCUCACUUAGAAGAGUUACGUGUCCGAGGUUGUUGGGAUCUUACAGGUAAAAUCCCAGAUGCAAUUGGCAGACUAUCCCGCUUAAGGAUCUUGGACUUCUCUCAUACUCGUAUUUCUGGUUUGCCUACCACAAUUGCUCAUCUCUCUCACCUGGAAGAGUUACAUGUCUAUGGUUGUUUGUAUCUUCCGGUUGAAAUCCCAGAUGCAAUUGGUGGACUAUCCCGCUUGAGGAUCAUGGACUUUUCUAGAACUAGUAUUUCUAAUUUGCCUACCACGGUCGCUCAUCUCUCUCACCUAGAAGAGUUACGUGUCCAAGGUUGUCGGAUUCUACCGAGACAAAUACUAGACGCAAUUAGGGGACUAUCCCGCUUGAAGAUCUUGGACUUCUCUAGUACUCGUAUUUCUGGUUUGCUUGCCACAAUUGCUCAUCUCUGUCACCUGGAAGAGUUAUAUGUCCAGGAUUGUGGAGAUUUUAUGAGGGAAAUCCCAGAUGCAAUUGGCGGACUAUCCCACUUAAGGAUCUUGGACUUCUCUAGAACUGGUAUUUCUGGUUUGCCUACCACAAUCGCUCAUCUCUCUCACCUAGAAGAGUUACGUGUCCAAGGUUGUCGGAAUCUAGCGAGCCAAAUACCAGAUGCAAUUGGGGAACUAUCCCGCUUGAGGAUUUUGGACUUCUCUAGAACUCAUAUUUCUGGUUUGCCUGUCACGAUCGCUCAUCUCUCUCACCUGGAAGAGUUAUAUGUCCAGGAUUGUGGGGAUUUUAUGAGGGAAAUCCUAGAUGCAAUUGGCGGACUAUCCCACUUAAAGAUCUUGGACUUCUCUAGAACUGGUAUUUCUGGUUUGCCUACCACGAUCGCUCAUCUCUCUCACCUAGAAAAGUUACGUGUCCAAGGUUGUCGGAAUCUAGCGAGCCAAAUACCAAAUGCAAUUGGGGGACUAUCCCACUUGAGGAUCUUGGACUUCUCUUAUACUUGUAUUUCUGGUUUGCCUGCCACGAUCACUCAUCUCUCUCACUUAGAAGAGUUACGUGUCCGAGGUUGUGGGGAUCUUACAAGUAAAAUCCCAGAUGCAAUUGGUAGACUAUCCUGGUUGAGGAUCUUGGACUUCUCUGGUACUCGUAUUUGUAGAUUGCCUGCCACGAUCACUCAUCUCUCUCACUUGGAAGAGUUACGUGUCCAAGGUUGUUGGAAUCUUACGGGUGAAAUCCCAAAUGCAAUUGGCAGACUAUCCUGCUUGAGGAUCUUGGACUUCUCUCAUACUCGUAUUUCUGGUUUGCCUACCACAAUUGCUCAUCUCUCUCACCUGGAAGAGUUACAUGUCCAAGGUUGUCAGUAUCUUACGGGUGAAAUCCCAGAUGCAAUUGGCAGACUAUCCUGCUUGAGGAUCUUGGACUUCUCUGGUACUUGUAUUUCUGGUUUGCCUGCCACGAUCACUCAUCUCUCUCACCUGAAAGAGUUACGUGUCCAAGGUUGUCGGCAUCUUACGGGUGAAAUCCCAGAUGCAAUUGGUGGACUAUCCCGCUUGAGGAUCUUGGAUCUCUUUGGCACUCGUAUUUCUAGUUUGCCUACCACGAUCAGUUGUCUCACUUGCCUUAAAGAACUUGUGUUGGAGAACUGUGAGGAGCUUCGACUAGUGCCACAGCUUCCCUCGAGUUUGAUAAGCCUUAUCCUUGAUGCUUAUCAUUGUGAAAUCAUCCCAGACCUCUCUAACUUAGUUACUUUAGAUCACUUGAACUUGUCCUUUCAUACGUAUGAUUUCGAGGCUCUUCACCAGUCACAGGAAAUUCUGUCCCCUUGGAAGAUGGUAGAAUCCAACCACCGGCUUCCGUCUAGUUUGUCAACUUUGCAUCUCACGGAUAUACUACCACCGCAGCAAUUUUCCAACUUCAGGAACCUGUCAAGUCUCUCCAUUGUUAGCCACUCACAUUUCCCGGAGCUUGAAGACUUGGAGAAGUUGAGGCAAUUGCCCAUGAAAGUCCGUCCAUCCCUCGAGAGAAUACUUGAUCUAUCAUGCUUGAAGAAUCUAAAAACCUUGCGUUUGUAUGGAUUGUAUAGUCUUGUGGAGAUACAAGGUCUUGGGGAGUUGGGAUCCUUGGAGUCACUAGAGAUCUACCGUUGUAAGUCAUUAGAAGCAUUACCUCAACUAUCAAAGUUGGCAAAGCUCAAUUCUUUUGUCCUAUGGUCUUGCCCAGUGCUACGGGCCGUCGAGGGUCUCGAUCACUUACAAUGUUUGGAGCAUUUGACUAUUGGGGAUUGCGUGUCCCUAGAAAGGUUGCCUGAUCAUCCAAAAUUAUACAAGCUAAACACCGAUUGGGAGUAGCCAGGAACGUCGAGUCCCUGCGUCUAUAUCAGGGGCUAGCAUCAAUCAAUGUGUUACUUAGAUUUUGUACCCUUGUAAGUCUUGUCUCUCCAUUUAUCUGUGCACAAUGGGCUCCUAAUAACGAAAGACGUGGGUUGUACAUAUAUAUUAGUUUGUUCCGCAAAUUCAAUAAUGGCGGUGAGUAUUUCAUUCUUCAUUUCUUAAUGAGAUGCACGUGUGAGUUGUUUUAGAAAAGUUUCAUAUCAGAGAAUUGAUAUGAUGUGAAGUAAUUAAUAUAUCUUAAUUGAUCCACAAUUCAUUAUCCUUAAUUUUUUUACUGAAGGUGGAUCUAAAUAAAUGUCAAUAGACUUAGAUUUUGGCUCCUCCCGGGUGAAGGUAUUAAAAAUUUGUGUCUUCUUCUCUUACUUUCGUGCUCCUAAUACUCCUAUCCAUUCCUUACUUUUAUAAUUUUAUCAAUAUAGUAAAAUACAUCUUGUAUCAUACAUUAAUUUUUUUUUUUUUUAUAAUUUUAGUUUCCUAAAUGCUAUUGCUAGAGUAUUAAGUCUUUACUUUCAAUUUUUCAAUCGUGCCUGACUUUGUUACAGGUUUUACAUGAUGUGUUUAUCAUCCUAGCGAAAAGUUAAAUUAAUGGUGGGAAAUAAUGAGGCUGGAUGGACUGAAUUAAUAUAAUUGUUAAAUGUUUAGAAUUUAUUAACAAAAAAAAAAUUUAGGGCUAAAUUGACACUAUUGCUAUAAGUUUAUGAUAUUGUUUAUAAUUUUCCUGAGCAAAGUCCCCUGCAAUAAAUGUGUAUAGCCAACAAUGAGUCACGCCUCUACUGCUUCGAAUGUGUGGUUUGAUCCGCGUGAAAGCCGGAUCAGAUUGCCACUUGUGAUGAUUAUGAUUGGGUGAUGCUUCGUGUACUAAUAUAUCUAUCUGUAUUUCCUCUUGAUUAUAGCUAAUCCUAAGGCAUCAUGACGAUGCUUGUUCAGAAGGCUCUCUAAUCUAUCGCUGUUUUCGCUAUUUGCGUUGGUUUGAAAUAGCUUCUUUUGCUUGAAGUUUAAACUCAAGCCAAGCGUUGACCUCAUUAGUUCCAAGUCAAGGGUUACAAGCUUGAAUUUCUCUAGAACUGGUUACUUACCUCGCAAACCGAUAAUUUAGAUGUUAAAAUUAAGGUUUACCUUAUAUUCUUAUUAUUUUGUGCUCGUAUGAACCUGCGAGGGCUCUUCUUGGCUGUUCCUUAACAAUAAGUUAACUCCACGCGACCGCCACUUGCCAGAUCUAAUUCCUUUGAAAACCUCCAGUGUUCUGACUCUUUUUGAGCACUGCAGGACUUGUUCUUUGACUUUUCUCCUAUGGGUAUUGUCUUCAGCCCUGCCCUCCACUUAGCAAUUAAUACGAAAGGAUCGAAUCUUAUUGGAAUUCUUCCAAACCUGGGUCGGCAAGUGGGGAGUGAUGUGAGACGAUGAAGCUAUGGGGAGAGAGAGUUCGUGGAUAUUGUCUCUUGCGGACGUGAAAGCACUGCAGGAAAUUGCUGAACCUGCGAAUCCUUGCACCCGAGGGCCUGAUUUUGCGUCUGGACUGGCCACACUAGAUUGAUCGGGACUGUGAACUCGCUCGAGGUGCUGAGAUGGCCUAUGGAAAACUUCGCCCAUACCAGCGCACUGGGAUCUCAUUGGAGCUGGAACGUUGCGAAGAGGCUUGCUGGUGUUGCUUGGAUCUCACUGGACAGAGGAGACUCGGCUGGGAACAAAGGUAAAGACAGAUUGGAGAUCGCCAAAAGGCAAAAGCAGCUCAUGAAAGAGAUUUUGUAUUUAAAGCCUCCCUGGCUGGGACGGUAAUUGAUGACUUCUGCACUUUUUUCACUGCGACAAUCGGUCUGGAGCACAAAGUAGUAAUGGGAUAUGUAAAGAAAGGACACAUAUCUGGUUCUGGAUUUGAGCAGCUUUUGAUAAAAGGAGGUUACGCCUAUUUCCUAUGGCAUAGUAGCUGCUAGUGCUACUGACAUUUACAUGUUUCUAUUUUCCACAUUGAUUCAAUACCCUAAUUAACCAUUUCCUCCUACCAUAUGCUGCACUUUUCUAUUUUUUUCCUUUCCUUCUUAGUUCGUCUACUUGCUGUUUUUGGCAUAACAAACUUCCGAUGCCAAACCUGGUCUCUGUAAUAAACUUGCCCUGGAUAUGCAAAUCAACAAAGAUGAAUUGUUUAGCGAAAAAUCAGGGUAGAAGACUCUUGUGGACUGGUUUUCCUAUGUAUCUUUUCAUUUUUUAGUACAAUUUUUUAGUGCAAUUUAUGUGCCUUUUUAGUGGAGUUCUGUGGCCAAAAACAUUGUAAUGAAUUACUGAGAAUACAAGUUCAAAACUUCAUGAUACCUAAGUGUUGUCAUAAUCGUAGGUAAUAACAGAGAGGCAGUUUUCAUUGAUCAUGCUUUUAGCUUGCUUGCGUCCAACCACAUUACGGUCAUCCAGAUGUGGUACAGACGGCCACAAGAGCUAGCGGAGUUUCUUGUGCAAGAGAAUGAUGUUUAAACUGAAGCUGAUAGUAUCUACCAGGUGACUAACUGGAACUCCUCUUGAGAUUACCAAUUUGUACAGCCUGAGAACUUAGAUAAUUCCUGUUUUUGGGAUACAAAGUUUCAGUUGAAAUUUCUGGAGAAAUUGGAGAUUUGAGGUCCUUUGACUUCUCAAAACACCAAGAAGAUGACAUUCGACACGUAAAGUCACAAGCAAUUUGGUCUUAGAUUUGUGUUGGACCAAAUUCGACGAAGGGAGGGUCUACUUUGCAAUGCAUUAAUCUAAAUUUUACCAUCUACUUCAAAAAAACAUUGCAAAAAUUAUUCACAUUAGGUCCGUCAUGCCACAUUUUGAUUAAACGACUAUAUUAAUAAAUUAUCAAAAUGUUUAGGACUAAAUUGGCUAAAUUUUUUUUAAAUAAUUGAAUUGAUUGUUGUCUAGUAGAUUUAAAAUUGAAUUAAUUGUGGUUAUUCUAAUUGGUCAACAACAAUCAAAAUAAACUAUAAGUAAACACUUAAUGUGCAAAUAGUUUUUUAUACGCCACUAAAAAUUUAGGAUUGCAUUGGCUUGAGUGGAUUUGUUAAACAUCACCAAAAGUUUGUCCCAUUAAUGUGUGAACAAUUUGCUAUCCGUCUAGCGUAUAUUGCGGCUUUUGUCUUCUUUUGACUAACCUUAACUUUUUUCUUUUUUUUUUUGGACUCUCUUAAUUGACGCCAACGAUUUAACUGAGGCUGGGCACCGGGCCUUGCUUAAACAUGCAUGGCCUGAGCGUGCCAGGAUCGGCACAUUAUUUUGUAGGCCCAUUUGUCGGGUCUUGUUCAUGGUUGGCCUUGGCCCGAUUUUUAAAAGGAAAAAAAGUUCAAUAUAACUAAUUUUUGUUAGCAAGAAAAAUAAUUGAGAAAGUUGAUGAAAAAUCAUUAAAAUUAUACCAAAUUAAGUACAUGUACAUCUUCAUAUAAUUUGAAAAAAAAAAGUGUACACAAGUUGCACCAAAAGAAAAUGCAUAAUAAAUAAGUUAUUUUCAGCAUUAUAUCCCUCACUAUAAUCGGGUGAUACAGUAUCAUCAUUAUCCUUUGGCUCAUGUGGGGUGCAUUCUUCUAUAGUUUCUUACAAAAACCAAUCAUGUCGUACCACUACCAAAUUUAAAACUUUAGCAUAUUGUUAACAUUCGAACUUUCUUGAAGUUUUAAGUAAGAAAAUUCAUUGGUUCAAGAUCUCAAAUUGUGGUGAGUCUCAUUUCUUAAAAAAAAAAAAAAUCGGUGUAAUGUCCUUAGCAUCUCAAUUGCAUGCAGAAAUUAGGAGUAUUGCAUUUCAUCAGUAAUUAGGCGUCAAUUUUUCAAUAAACCAAGAGUUGAUUUUUUGAAUUUGGUGGAUAUUUUGGGCUAGUCAAACCCAAAAAAUCAACUCUAAGUAAAAAGAUUGCAAAAAAAAAAGACAUAAAAAAAUUGUAUAUAGAUGUCAAUUUAUACAAUUUAGAUAGGUGCGUAGGAUUAGGCCUUUAAGUUUCGAAUUGUCGUAAAAAUGGCCAACCGGUUGAAUUUUUUGUCAAACCUUCAACCGAAAAAUCAGAAUUUCAUUAGUUUCUAAUCCGUUUUUCUUAUACAUUUGAUUUAAAGACUGCAAAUUUAGAAGUUUUCAAUCUGAUUAAAGAAAUCUCAACCUACGGAACCAAUCACUCAUUUAGAGUAUGAUAUUUGGCACAUAAGAUUAGAAUUACUUAAACUCACACUUCGUGCCACUUGAUGUAACCGCACAAAAUCCUAAAGAAAAAAAAAAUGUAUUCUUCUACCCAUUUUGGACGGGUAGCGGCACAUGUAAAAGAAGAAACAAUCCCUCUUUUAUUGAUCAAGGUUUACACCAUUUUUUUUACGGAGAGAAAAUCCAGAAGAAAUUCCCUCCAGAAGUUGGCUCUCCCGAGUCAGCCACCGAACGACACCACCGUACGCCGUUCACCAUCCCCCAUCAACACACCUCCACUCGCUGGCCAAUGCAGAACCGAGAGGGACCUUUUCUCAAAGCACGUGAGAAAUCCUCCUCAAAACCAGUUCCCGACGUCUUCCAUCUAUCUUGAACACGGCUGAUCAUUGCUUGUCACCGUCAGCUAUGGUUUCGAAAGGGUGCCCAACGCGCUCCGCUCUGCUCUGCUCGGGUUCAUUGCUGAAAGUCAGAUCCUUUCGUUGGCCGUGACUUUGAUCCUCAACGACAACCAAAGCUUCCGAUCCAGUUACUGAUGACAGUUUUGCAAGGGUGAUUAUUGGCGAGCAAAAUGAGCAAGAGUCACGGAUAUGCAUAUUGUCGAAUCUCUAUUAACGUAUUUUCAGGUGCUUGGAUCGGCCUUGGUGGUUCUUAAUAUACUAAAGAACGUUCUGCAAUAUCGGGGGGCCUUAUCUUGGAAGGCCCGUGAAUGGACACGGCGGUAUUCCGGAGGCGGUCAAAUGGCGGUUGCGGGUAGUAUAUGAACGGUUCUAGCUGAAUCAUGGUCGUUCGUAGAUGUCAUCUUAGAUUUGCGCGUGUUUGGUCAAUAUAGAGAGAGAGAGAGAGAGAGAGAGAGAGAGAGAGAGAGGGGAUGGGCUUUAUAUUGGAAAAUAGAAUUAGAGUGGUUCAGGGCUUAAUCCAUAAUUGGCUUAGUACAGUCGUCCUUCAAGAUGGGCUUAAUUAGGUUUAAUGAACUUUGGGCUUGAACAGUCUUAACUGAGCUUGGGUUUAGUUUAGUGUGAUUUGGUUUUGGGCUGAGUUUGUUCUUUAUUGAGUUGGGCUUACACUAACUGGAAGACAUUUUGCUCAACACCAACGUAGCUGAGAGGAUUUCAAACCAUUCUCAGACAUCUUACAAUUUUUUUUUCCCUUUUCUGUCCUCUAUGUAACUUGUUAAUUAUUGGGGGAAAAACAAACAUAAUCGAUGAUGUCAUAAAAAUAAAGCACCCACAUAUUAAUAUCAGACACUGCUUAGAAAGAGGAGGGCCAGGUGUGAAUAGCCCUUAUAGCUUUGGGCUGAAUGCAGCCCGAGAGAAAAAACCUUGAAAAGGCACUAAAACAUGAAAUUUCUAAUUCAAAUAGAUUAUAAUUGAACAUUGAGACAAACCGAUGGCUAUGAGAGGCUCAAGUUUAAGCUGCCAAAGUAUGGAACGAACUAAGCUCGAACUUAGUGAUACUUGAUUUGAGAGGCUUCUCUAAGCUAAUUAAACUUUUUUAUACUACAACUGCUUGAGACGAAGCAAGUUAAACUUUGAUCAUGAAAAAAAUCUGACCUAACUCAUGCAUUUAAUCCCCUCACACAUGUUUGUUAGGGACUCGAAACAGAACUGUUUUUUUUUUCUUCUAAUCACUAGAUUACAUGAAUGAUUGUUCAUUUAUUAAGGCUUGCUUAGAUCAUGGGAAUUCUCAAUUAAACCUGAAAAUUGUUUAUUUAUUUGACCAAACCCUUCUCUUUCCAUGGAAAAUAAGAAAGCUCCAGUUUAAUGAAGAAAAAGAAAAAGAAAGCGUGGUCUGGACUCAAUGCAGAUCGCAAGGACUGUCAAACGAGGGAAAAAGAGAAGAACUUGCUUCGUGAGUUCUUCCUCGACUCAGUAAAGUUCCACGCAUUCACUUCACCAAUAAUAGUGCAUCGGUGCGGAAGACGCGAUUGACAUCAAAGGACGGGAAAACGCCAAGCCAAGCCGACUUUCGAUUAAGACAAGCCGAGGAGGGAAAUUCAUGUGUUCAUGUGGCUGGUCGAUAGACAUUGUUUUUUGGUCAUUAUCUCAUAAGAAUUGCGAGGACAAUGACGUAAUAACAAGAAGUUGGUGAUAUCCAAUCACUGAUGAGUUUCAUGCACAAGAGAGCGUGGACUUGCGAAGUCUAUUUAUUUGUUUAUAAGUAAGAAUUUGUAUUCCAAAAAAUAUUGUAAGUGGAGCAUGUCAUCAAGCAUCACGAAACAUAUCAUGCAUCAACCAUCCUUCUAAUGUAUAGUAGUUUAAAAAAAUCCACAAUCAAUUUCUCGGUAAAAUCUACAUAUAAUAAUCUGAAUCUAACAUCUCAUAUGAAUAAACAACUAGGACGAUAAACGAUGCUAGCAAAUAUUUGGACAAAACCAAAAUACUCUUGUGACAUGUGAACGAGCCAUAAAGCUUCAAGAUGCGAAGGUAAAAAUCGAAGUCAAUUGCUUUAAUUAAUUAAGCCGUAAUACUUUUUGGAAAAUUGUAUUAAUUAUGAUUCCUUUGACAACAACUUGCUAAGACAAUCAAGGGUGAAAAUCUAUUUAUUGAGAUCGAAAGCUGAUGAGGUCUAGAUUGUACAAUUGAGCAACCAAUCAUAUAUAAAAGAGUAUGUCCAACAUUCGUCAAUUAUGAUUUCAAUAUCAAGAGAGAUUAUCUCAUCUAUUUUUAAGAUGAAGUUAUCACAAAAUUAAUGUAUUAUGAUUGUAUAUGUGUCCUACGAGAGAAUUAUUGCCCGACAACAUUGAUAGACAAGAUCAUCCGCAUAAAAAUUCUCAACUAACAGCAUGGGAAAUUUCCAAACAAACACACUAGACAGUUCAUGGUACUUAGUACUUACACAACCAACUUUUGUUUUUAUUUUUUUCCUCUUAUUUCACUCGAACAGCCAAUGUUUCUAUCUGUAAUUUUGUCCACCUUCCAGAUUCUUUCUUUCCUUGCACUCCAACUUGACUUGAACCUGCUGACGUCUACAUUUCCUGUUCAACAAUCGGAAGACUAAUUAAUUAAUUGAUUAAUUAAUUAUUAAUUAUAUUUGUUUGUUGUUUGUUUUUUAAGCAUUCCACAAGCAAGAGGAAAUUCAAGUUUGAGCACAUCAAUAUAUUCAGUUGGAAUCAACUUCACUCAAAAACUGUAAUGGAUCAAGUAUAAUAUAUUAACUACUCUACUCCAUAUCAAUUUUCCAAUAUGGUGUUUUUCUAACAUAAUUUUAUAAGCGCUAAGUAUAUGUCAAGACAAGGCAUUUUAAACUUUAGUCAUGCAAAAAAUCUGACCUAACUUGCACAUUGAAUCCCCUCACACAUGUUUGUAGGGACUCGAAACAGAAUGCUUUUCUUUUUUCCCUAAAUAUAGUGUUAAUAGCUCGAUUACAUUACUAAUCACUAGAUUAUAUGUGUGAUUGAUUAUUUAUUAAGGCCUAAUUAGCUCUCAGGAUUUCAAUUAAACCUGAAAACUGUUUAUUUUAAUUGACCCCCUUUCCUUUCCUGGAAACUAAAACUCGUCCAACAUGGGUCGGACUCCAUUGGCAAGGAUGGUCAAAUGAGGAAAAGAAAAGGGAGUAACUUGCUUCUUGAGUUCUAUACCUUGACUCGGUCAAGUUCCACGCAUUUAGUACACCAAUAAUAGCGAGUCAGUGCAAAAGACGCGACUGAAACAAAGGACCGGGCAAAACUUUCGACUAAGACCCGCCGGGGAGCGAAAUUCAUGUGUUCACAAAUCACCGAUCAGUUUCGUGCCCAACAAAUAGGGAGGUCUUGCGAAGUCUUUUUAUUUAUUUAUAAGUAAGAAUUUAAAUACCAAAAAAUAUUAUAAGUGCACCAAGUCAAUAAACACCGUGAAACUAAUGCAUGAUAGUUUGAAAAAAAUCCAUAAUCAAUUUCUCCAUAAUAUCUAUAUGUAAUAACCUAAAGCUAACAUCUCUUAGAUAAUAAAUUAUGCUAGGGGUGAGUAUGGUCCGAGUUGGGCCGGUCCACCCCCUAACCCUAGGAUCAACCCGUACAGUAUUGGUCCUCAAUUUUUGGGACCGAUGACUGACCCUAUUGAGUUUGGGACCGAAGACCGAACCGACCCAAUGGGUUUAGUCUUCCAGGAUUAAUCCGAGACCAAUAGAUAAUUUUUUUAUUUCAUUUUUUGUACUCCAUAAAAAGGUGAUCGAUGACUAGACUAACCCAAUAGGUUUGGUGACGAGCGAGGUUAGCUAAGAGAGGCCAGGGCGAGCAUCGAGUGUCGAGCGUGGUGAGCAACAAGUGGUAAGCGGCACGAGUGGCCAAAAGCGAGCAAGUCGAAUGUCAAAUGGCGAGUGAAUAAGUUGUUUCUAUUGAUUUUGACAAAUUGAAGAUUAAGAUGACAAAUAAGACAAAAAAGAAUGAGUACUAGAGGAGGAUGCUAUGAGGAGCUAUUUAUGCCAUUUUGGACGACGUGUGGACGACGUGAGGACUCCUCAAAAAAACAUUUUCCUCAUUUGUAAAUUAUCGUUGUUGAUGUCAUAAAAUACAUUAGAAAUCUAAGUUAUUAAAGAACAGUGUAAAAUUACUUGGACUCCUCACUAAGGAGUUGUUUAAUGUUGUUGGCCGUUUAUUUUAGAGUUUUCUCUAUAUAAAAAAUUAUCAAUAAUAUAUUAGAUAUAUAAUAAUUAUACAAUCAAGGUUGGUAUGGAUUAAACCAACCUUAAACUCUCAGUACCGAGGAUCAACCCUCACAGUGCUAGUCCAUGAAUCCUAGGAUCAAAGAUCGACCCAAUCUCCCUGGGAACCAAACUGGGACUAGCGGAGUUGGGUCGGUCUAGAGUCGGUCUAGGGUCAACCCUAGACUAAUGCUUACCCCUAAACUACGCUACUGAAAAUUUGAACAAAACCAAAAUAAUCUUGUGUCAUUUAAAAAAGCCAUAAACUUGAAUAUGCAAAAGUAAAAAUUGAAAUCAAUUGCCUUAAUUAAUUAAGCCAUAAUACUUUUUGGAAAAUUGUAGUAACUAUCAUUCGUUUGACAACAACUAGCUAAGAUAAUCGAGGGUGAAAAUACAUUUAUUAAGAUCGAAAGGUGAUGAGGUCUACGUCGUGGUAGGUGGACUGUGAGCACGUAAUCUACUUGACUUCAAAAUUAAAUAAGCGCUAAGCAUAUGUCCAAAUCUUGACAGACUUUGAGGCAUGGCAAAGAAACUGGCACAUAUAAUUAAUGCAAUUGGUUGUGCUUGCCUGAUGGUCUUCCUAUAUCCAAGUCUCAUUAGGCUAGAGUCUAUAAUUAUUAGCUGGCUUCUGAGAUGACUGACUAAAAUCAAGAUGAAGAGGAACUCGAAGGCAAUCCUAAGCAUGGAUAUUGAGCCAAAAGACGAGUGCGAUGUGUUUCUGAAUUUCAAGGGACUAGACUGUUGUGACCUCUUUUUCGGUGCCCGUUCAAGGCCAGGUGCCUACGGAGGCUAAUGGUUUGGCUAGGUCUAUUAGGCUUAGCUUGGACUCUUCCAAGUCCACCAAUUCACGACUUAAUGGUCCAAGUUUUUUUAACCUGUAAGUUAAUUUUAAAUAAGAAUCGUCACUAAUCAAUUUAGGGUGGGUCGAUUAGAAACUCAAGCGAAGUAUUGGGAGAAAUACUCGCUCAUGCGUAACCAGAGAAACUAGGUUCGGGAACUUGAUUAUACUUAAUCACUAAUGCCCUUCUGGUACCUAAUUUUGUUUAAACCCUAAUGUUUUUUUUUUUUUGGAUUUUUGAGGGGUUUUCCAUGCAUUUGUGGAGGAAAAACAUUUUUUUUAUACUUUUCUAUUUUUUGAACAUAAAAGGGAUUUUUGGACUUUUUGGUCUUUUUCUGGAAAAUAUAAAUAAUUUUUUUUUGGCUUUUUCUGAUUUUGGGAAAAUAUGGGAUAUUUUUUAUUUUUUGAUUUUUCUGGAAAAUAAGCAGCCCCCUUUGGCUGCUAAUUUUUUUGUUUUCUCUUAUUAUUAUCUAUUAUUUAUUAUCCGAAAAAGGAAAAAUACAUAAAUAGAGAAAUUAAGGCCUAAUUAAUCAAAAUUUAGGUGUCAACAUAGACACACACCUGACCUUAGCUGAUAGCCCUCACGUCCACUUGAUGCGCACCGCAUGGUCAAAUGGGGAAAAAAAAGAAAACAGAAAAAGAAAACAUGGGCUGAACAUCAUUAGCAAAGCCCAAGGAUGAUUCAAUGAGGAAAAUAGAGAGGAACUUGCUGCGUGAGUUCUAAGUUCGAGCUUGACUCAGUAAGGUUCGAUGCACUCCCUUCACCAACGAUAGUGCGUUAGUGCGGAGAUGCAACUGAAAACAAAGGAUCGUGAAAAAGCCAAGUCAACUUUUGAUUGAGACAAGCCAACGAAGCAGAUUCAUGCGUUCAUAUGACUUAUCGAUAAUCUUUCUGUGAUAUUUAAAAGGCGCGUUUAGUAACGUUUUUAUUCAAAAAUUGUUCCCGGAAUAGAAAUAGGAAAAACUAUUUAUAUUCUAGGGAAUAAUUUUUUAACAGAAGAACAUGUUUGGUAAACUUGUAUAACUUUUUUAUUUCUUUUAAUUUUUUAAUAUUUUUUAUUUUAUUUUUCCUUUUUUCCUUUUUUUCCUUUUUUCUUUGUUCCUUUUAUCCGGUCGCCGGCCUUGGCCAUGGCCGGUGACCGGCCGACGAGGGCCGGCGGCCUCGCCCAGCCACGACGAGGCUCACCAGCCCCCGAUGAGGCCGGUGACACUUCGGCGAGGUCGCUAGCCCUCAACGGCCAGUCACCGGCCAUGGCCGAGACCGGCGACCAGCCAAAGAAAAAAGAGAGAAAAAACAAGAAGUGUUUCUCAAAAUUGUUCUCGGGAACAAGAAAUAAGUUUUUUAUACUCUUAUUUUUGUUCCAAAUCUGUUCCCGGGAACAAAAAAAUAGAUUUUUUGUUCUUGAAAACAAAAAAAAAAAAUAGAUUUUUUGUUCCUGAAAACAAAAGUGUAAACAAAUGCAUUUUUGUUCUUUUUUUGUUCCCCGGGACAAAAGAACAAAAAUUUGUGUUGCGGGGAACAGAAACAAAUUUAAACAAACAGCCCCAUAGACUCUAUAGUUACUUAGAAAGUCAAUUUCCAAUUAGUGGUCAUUGAGACUCAUGGGCAAUGCGGAUUAAUAUGUAGGGAUAGAUAUUACCUCUCCUUUUUCCCUUUCAAAAAAAUUGGAAUGAUUGAAAUUUUUCUAUUUGGAAUUGUCUUAGGUCUAAUUCAAAUUACUUUAGCUGGAUUAUUUGCAACUGCAAAUUUACAAUACAAAUGUGGUUUCAUUUCUCGGACAAGCCUUAGCCUAGUGCUGCAUCAGAGGUCAUCUAGAGCAGGGUUAGGGCGAGUGAAUAUAAGAUUGCAGUGCGAGAUUUCGAGAAGCUUGAGAUGAGCUUCGUGUUUUUGGUAAAGAAGAUGAUCUGAUAUUAGUCUUUAGCAUGAGAGAUAUCUAUAAAAAAGAAUCUGCAACCAUCAACUUCCGUGGGGGGGGGGGGGGGGGGGGGGAGACGGUAAAAAAGGAAGCUGUGGACGCACCUUGUUCCAAUCCCAAUGCUCCCGACCAUGUCCCGACCGCUUGCUACUAUUCUGGGGUUUAGUGGUUUGCAUAUUUGAUUGCUACUAUUCUGGGGUCCGCUCUUUUGCGGAAACUUAUCAGGAGAAACAAAAAUUUCAUUUUACAGUGUAAUGCGAUAAACUCUUACCCAUUUUUUUUUUUCAAAUACCCAACUGCCCAAUUAAUAUUGUUCCUCUUUUCCCCAGUGGCUCGCAUCUUAACUCCUGUCUUUCCUCUCUUUCUCUGAAAAUCACCCUCAUCCUCCCUACGUUUCUUGAUUUUUCUUCAUUUUGGUUGCAGAGCCAAAGAGAAACACUUGUCCUCGAGAAGCGCUAGUCGGAUCUUCUUUCAUCAAGUCUUGUCGCAAUUAGCUCUUUUUACAGGCCGUGGUUAUAUUGCUGGUGAAUGCAAUAGUAGAUGAUUGGCCGCAAAUUGGACUCCAUCGAGGCGCCAUUUUUAUGACAUUCUGAACUUCGUCGUGUCAAGUGAACUGUAAAUACGUAAUCUACUUCACUUCAUAUUUAAAUAAGUGUUAAGUAUUUUUACAAAAAUUGACAGACCUUGAGGCAAGGGAAAGAAACUUGCACUUAAAAAUGUUGGAUGCAAUUGGCUGUGCUUGUUUGGUGAGAUUACUAUUUUGAAGUCUCAUAAGGCUGUAGUCUAUACUUAUUGGCAGGAUUCUGAGACGACUGACCAAAAUCAAGAGGAAGAGGAGCUCUAGGUAAUCUUGAGCAUGGAAACUAAAUCAAAAUUCGAGUAUGAUGUGUUUUUGAAUUUUAGGGGACUGGACGUGCAUCGGGAUUUUGCUUCUUUCCUUUGUACCAUGUUGAUGGGCGCCAGAGUCGAUGUUUUCUUAGAUGACAAAGAACUCCAAAAGGGUGAAGAAAUUGGUAGAGAGCUUUUGAAAGCGAUUGACAAGACUUGAAUCUACAUACCUAUCCUCUCUGAGGGUUAUCCUACCAGUUCGUGGUGUUUUUGUGAGGUUGCACACAUGGUAGAAUGCACAUCAAAAUCAAAGGGGAAUAAAGUGAUACUCCCCAUUUUCUAUCACGUGGAUCCUACUAAUGUUAAGCUCAAAACCCAAUUGUACAAGAGAGCUAUAUCUGAGCACAAGAUGAAGUUUGCCUCCGAGGAAUUGAAGCGGUGGGAAAAUGCCCUUGUAGAGGUUGCCCAUAUAAAGGGAUGGCAUCUUAAUGUUAAAAAUGACGAAAGGUAAUUUUCUUCGACUUUUUGGUUAGCAAGCCCAAUACUUACAUUUCAUUGGAUGAAAUUUACUCCCUUGAAAUUUCCAAAUAUUUUUGGCUAUUUUUUGCUAAUAUUUGCCUUGGAAGUUAGUGAAAGCUAGACCCAACACCCGAUAACCCGCGUAACGAACCGCCACCCCGGCAAGGCAUUUUCCAAUUCUUGUUGGGUUAACCCAAUAUGACACGAUAGGUAAUACCCACUUCACACUUAGUAAUAACUUUUACUUAAUCAUGUCAUCACAAUAGAAGAGGAAAAUUGUCCAAAAAGUCUUAAAUCUAUUGCGCUUUGUCAAUCGAAUCUAGAAAAUUGGACUUUUGCACUCUAUUGGGAGGUUAGUGAAGAUUGCAGGUUUGUCGUUAAGGGGGUGCUAGGAGAUAGAGGUGCCUCCGCACUCUCUUGAAGGGCUUAAAGUUUACUCAACCGUGUUGAUGUGGGUGUUGUGAUAAAGGAGCUUUCAUACCCUUGUGAAAAAUAAACCCGUUGGUUUAGUUGGACUUGAAAUGUUAAAGACCGUCAAUCUACCGGAUUCAAUUGGAAAUUUGAAGAAGUUGAAAGUAACUAGAAUGGACUCUUUAGUAAUAAGAAAGUUACGUAGGUCAUAUAUAAGUCCGACAGGUGAAAUUUCCAGUGAAAUUUCCUGAUUUCUCAAGAUUUUGUUAGGAACUCGUGUCCAAUUUGCUUAUCUCGUAAUUCAAGUUCUGUAGCAAUCAACAUAUUAAUUUGAAUAGAUCCAUGGAUUUUAAAUAUUUGUUCAUCAAAGAGCUAAUGGCAAAUGAUCCUUCAAGCAAAUCCUUGUAGUUCAUCAUAGCCAGAGGCAUUGAGUGGGGGAAAAUAGACCAUAAGUUCUUUUUUUUUUUUUUUUUUUCUGUCUCUUCUUUGGUGUAUGAAUUAAAAUGAUCUCGGGUUAUGUUUCUUAGAGUCACCAAUGUGAACUUUUCGUUCUUUGUGUGUUGCCGCAACCCUGAAGAAGUGGUCAAAUUGACUAUUGAGAGGUUUCGAGACAUCUGAUGGAUGUCAACGCCAGAUUUUGAUAGAAGUUUAAUUCAAGAUGGUUGAUAGUCGAUACACGUUGUAAGCCUGUACAAAAUUUUGGGAGAACGCAGAUAGGCACAAGAUCUCUUCUAGAAAGUUAUCUAACUUUCCUAGCACAAAUACCUUGAGGAAUUUCAACAUAAAUCUUAUGGACGUUUACUAAACUUUAGCGUACUUGCUAUCAAGCCAAUGAAUUUUGAUUUCUUUCAUUAAGAGCAGGAAACUUUACCAUUUUUUUUCAAUCUAAGGAUGCAUUUUUGCUAGAUUCUGCAUAAAUUGAAAAUCUUCCAAUGUUGACAUGGUGAAAAUGCGGUUAAUUUUUCUGAUGCCAUGUAGCUACACAUGUUCACUCAUCACUAUCAUGUGUCCACCACAUUAAUACAUCACUAGAAAAGUGAUUGUUGCGGUUAAAAAGUACAUCAAUUGUAAAAAGAAGAAGAAGAAGGUACAGUGCUAUGAGUGGUAGAAUAAUUACAAAAUCUACCAAAAUUCAGUCACAUAUAAAUAUAGAUAUUAAAAGUAUUUGCAUUACUAGUAUUAAAAUUUACAAAAAAAAAAAAAACCAAUUAUUAUUAUUUUUAAAAAAUGGAACCUGGCUCGGCUCGUUUUUCUUUUUCUUUUUCUUUAACCCACGCGGGCCGGCCCACGAGCGGGUCUUGUUCUUUCCUCACGUCGCGCAACAGCGACAUACAGAAGCAUAUCAGCAAGAACAGAAGCAGAGCAGGCCGCGGCGGCAGCACAAUCCUAGGGUUAGGGAUCAGUCGACCAUGGCAGGCUGGCGGUGGCAGAAGCCAUGUGCGCCAGCCUGUAGUCUUUGAAGAGAAAGAAAAUCAGCCAAAAGGGUUUCGGGGAAGAGCUUGAGAAACGGAGAGAGGAGAGCUUUCUUUUUUUUCUUUUUUUUUAUAACAAGGGGCGACAGAGAGAGGGUGAGGGCUCCAAACAUCUCGGCCACGCCCGGAUCCGUCCGACGACCUCUCCCGGCGCCGAACAAAUAAGCCUCGGCUGUGCUAUUGUCCUGUUUUGACUGCGCCAGGCUGGAGCUCGUGGCCGUCCGGUUCAGGCGAUCUCCGGCCCCGUCAGUCCUAUGACCUGUUGUCAUUAGUAUUUGCUUGUCUUCCGUCGAGAACCCAGCACGGGGUUGAGUCCCGUUCGAGUCGAAAACUCCAUUACCAGUGUCGCACGUCCCUUGUUUGUGAAAAUGCCUCAACUAGAUCCGCAAACUUUUUCUUGAGUUCGAUUUGCUUCAGGAAACAUAGGUCGUUUCGCGCAUCCUUUGUUUGUGUCGUGACAGGUUCGCGGAGCAGUAACGUUUACAGGGACUGGGGGUCGGCUUGGCCGAGGACAACUCCGUGUUGCUCGGACUUCGACUAAUGGAGGAGUCAGGGUCUGUAACGGUUUGGUCUGAGUCGGGUCUGUCGAGCACAAAUCGCUCAUGAAGACGCUCCAAUAGUCAAUGGUGGUCGUUGGAGGAUCGAGUGAUCCUUGAUUUAAUAUAGGAUAGUUAGCGUUCUGUUGUUCUGGGUUUAAUGGACGCCGUUGGUUUCGGGGAAUGCUGGAGAAGACGUGACGGAGCAAGCGUGGAAGGCGAUAGGGGCAUAAUGGAUUUUAGUGCAGGUGGGCGUGGUUCUAAUUAUAAGUGGGUUGGUGUUUCCGGGCUUGGAUUGACUAACUGAAAGAGGGCUUCAGUAACGGCUUGGUGUUGCUUCAGGAAGAGAGUGGGCUUGUGAAGUUUUAAUUAAAAUAGGCCCAAUGGUAAGCCCAUUUGAAGCAUGACCUUUUAUAACCCAAACCUGAGCCGUAAAUUAAGCCCGCGACUCACGGCCCAGUACAUCAGGCCCAGUCCGUAUGAGGGCCUGGCAACCCGGGCCGGAUACCGGAUCCGGAUACCGACCCGGGUCCCUAUUUCCAUAUUAAAAAAUAAAAUAAAAUAAUUUUUUUUAAAAAUUCCAAAAAAUAUAUCUUUUCUAAAAUUAGGAAAAAGCUUUAAAAUUAUUUUUGAGUAGUUUUUUCUUAAAAUGUGUGAAAAUCUCUAAUAAAAAAAUUGUGCUCAAAUUUGAAUAAGCUUUAAAAGUUUUAUAAUAGGGUUUAAAUAUUAUUUUUUUAAGAUAAAUGCACUUGAUUGUGCAUUUUAAAUAUGUUGGUGCAUUUUAAAUAUGUUGGUUAUGGUUUCCCUUUAGUCUAGUUAGAGAUGGCAUUUGUCUUGUUUUUUAAUAUUGGAUUUUUGUUUUUUCUUGUAAUAUAUCUAAUGCUUUAUUUAUUUGCUAAUUGUUAUUUUAAUGAUUGUGCAUUUAUAUAAUCACCUCACACGUUAAUGAAUAGAUUUAGAAUCAAUCCAAAUUACUUAACAAGCAUUUUGAAAUGAAUAAUAUUAGGUAAGGAAAUUGCAUUAAUUGUAACUAAGUUCCCAGCCAAAUGGAGCUUAAAUGUUUUGUUAAUCAUAUGAAUGAAAAUAUUAAGUCAACUUGGGAGAAGGUGUGUGCUAGGGUUGGUCCCUUGUUGGAGAAAUUGUUUACCAGCUCAUAUGCUUCCUUUCUUUAUAGCUCUUCGAGAGUUUAAAGUUUUAUGAACUCAAUAAUCUUGAGUCUCUAUUAGCAGAGAAAUCUAGAUGUAGAAGCACUAAGUCUAACUUCAGGUGGCUAUAGCCGCAACUUUACACCCGACGAGUUUGUUGCUCUACCAAAUCUAAGGUUCCUUUGAGUGAAAGAGUUUGAUUUUUGUGACGACUUUGAGAAUCUUCUUUCAAAGCUAAGAUGGCUUUUUUGGCAAACAUGAAAAACGACUUUCCACUCUAACAACUUUCAUUUUAGUAAUUUGCUCAUGCUUGACCUUUCGGAUAGCAAUAUUAGAGAUGGAUGGGGGUGGGUGGAGCCAAAUGAAGUUUUGACUUGCCUUAUUCUAUGUAAUUCUUUAUGGUCAUUACCUCAUUCGUGAUGAUAGAAGCAAUAUAUAUGCACUUUAUUCUUUGUAUCAUUACCUCAUACAAUUUACCUAAUGGUUGGAUGCACUCCUCGUUUCAUUUGAGUGUAGAUCAUAUUUUGCAUGAGUAAAUCCUAAGUCUUUUUAUGUCAAAGUAAAACACAAUUAUGUCCCACAUAAAAAAUGCUUCAUGUGGAUUCUAACCUUUGUUUUUUAGCUCUGAAACUGAAACUUGCUUAGACUUUGGAAAUGGCGUACUCAAAUAAAAGUAGUAAAUUCCAAUAAAUUUAAGUGCCAUUUUGCUAUAGUAUGCGUCAGAAUAUGAUUUGAAAGACGUAAAGUUUGAGUCGAGUAAUAUAAAAGUCAAUUGUUAUCAAGUUUGAGAUUGGUAACAUUUAACUUGAACCAAGUAAAUGAUCACAAGUUUAUUUGGAAAAGCUACAUUGAUUAUUUGAAUUAAGGCCAGAUUGAGCUUCAUAAUACUUUAUUCAAGCAGCUCACUAGCCUAAUUUAAUAGCUGUUUCAAAUAGCUAAUUUAAUAGCCUAAUUUAUGUUAAUGAACUGUAAACAAAAUAAAUUCCAUGACUUUUACUCUUCUAUUUUACCUGGGUUAAUGAACGAAGGCUCAAACUUUACAUUGAAUCAAAUCAGGUCUCAUACAAAUCUGUAGUUCACUUCGGGGUUGAGAACAAAUCUGAUGGAGCUCCUUCUCCAUUUCUAACGUAAUGUAUUUCUUCUUUAAACUUCUAUAUUUACUGUGUUUGACUCACAUUGUUGCACGAUCUUGAGAAUUACUAACCAAAUCAAUUCAUAAUAAUUUUAAUGUAUAUGCUAUGUAAAUUAAAUGCCUCUCUCAAUCAUUGAGUGCCGGACACCCCAAGUGUCAAAAUUUGGCAUGGAUGAACAGUGAAGUACCAAAACUUCCAAAAGAUACACUUAAAUGCCAAAAUUGAAGAAGAAAAUACUCUUAAGUACUAACGGCAAGAAAUUAUGGCCAAAAUAUUAACGUCCCAUUUUCUAACGACUUUUUUUGUUGACUAGGCAAUUAUUUUUAAAAAAUUAUUCAUGCGGCGCUGACGUGACAAUUACUUUUUUGAAAAAAUUAUCCACGUGACAUUAACGUUGCUAGCUUGUAGAGGUAUCAAAAUGGGUCGUUAAUGGAUGAAGCCUAUUUCCUAAAGCACCCAUAAUGGAUUUUAAUGGGUCAAGACUGAGAUAUAUGGGUCUUAAAUGAGUCAAAAAGCUAACCCAUUUAAGACCCAUUUAUCAACCCAUUAAAAAUAAACCCAUUUAUUUUCACCAAAAACCUCACAAUCUCUCUCUUCUCUCUUUAACUUUACAAAAAUAAAUUUUUUUUAAAUCGAAAUUAUAAUUAUUUUUUAUUUUAAUUUUCUUUCUUUCUUCUUCCUCCAAUGGCCGGCGAUCGGCUAGGCGAGCCUCGAGCUUGUCGAAUUUGGUGAGGCGGAGGCCUAGCCGACGCCGGCAAGUUCGAGUCUCACCAGUCGACACUCAGCGAGGCUCGAGCAUCGCCGUUCUAGCAAGACUCGAACUCGCCGGCAUCAGGCGAGGCUCAAGCCUCGCCAAAUCCGGCGAGGGGCAAGCUCGAGCUUGCCCAAUGCAGGGAGCCUCGAGCUCACCAGAUCUGGCGAGGCGAAGACCCCGCCAACGUCCGACGAGGGGCGAGCUUGAGCUUGCCUGACGCCAGCGAGCCUCGAGCCUCACCAAAUCCGGCGAGAGGCGAGCUCGAGCUCGCCCGACAUCGGCGAGACGGAGGCCUUGCCGACGUCAUGGGUUGGGUAUGGGUCGGGUAUGAGUAAAAAAUUUUGUAUUGCAAUAAAUGGGUCAUAAACGGGUUAAAUUAGUCAAUUUGGGUCGGACCAUUUAUGACCCGACCCAACCCAUCCGUUUAACGGGUAUACUAGCUUGUCUCAAAACAACAUUGUUUUGUCCCAAAAAUUAAUUUUUAAUACAAAUAUUAAUUAAAUUAAAAUAUCUUUAAAAAAAAAAAGGAGGGGAGGGGAGCAAAUCAGUGAGGGCCUUUAUGACCCUUCUUGUUGUCGUUGCCCCACCAUCGCUGGAAAAGCCUAGCGACGAUGAGGCAAGGGUUGGCCAAGGUUGUUGGGCCUUCGAUUUUAUCCCCUAUUUACUACGGUGACGAAGAAUGCCAACAAGCCAUUGCCCAAAGAGGCUAAGGACCGUCACUAGCUAUGGCGAGGCUAGGCGACCCCACCCCAGCCAACAAUGGCCUUUGGCCCAACUGGGUGAGGGCUAGCAACCCUCACCGAAUCUAGGAAAGGGUCGUGAGCCCUUGCCCUAGAUAUAGGUGAGGGCUUGGUGGUUAGCCAGGGUUGCCACCUACUUGUUGGGGCUUGGUGACCCAGCCGACCAUCACCCCAUCGUUAUCAGCCUUUUCAGCAAUGGUGGGGUGGUGGCAAAAGUGAGGGUCUCAGCGAGGGCCAAACACUGCCCCCUCCCCCUUUUUAAAUUUAAUUUAAUCAAUAUUUAUCUUAAAAAUCAAAUUUUGGGCAAAACGAUAUCGUUUUGCACUUUGAUUGCUGAGUAGACAACUCUGAUGAGCUAUAUAGACUACAUUUAUUUUUAAAAUAUGCCACAUCAGAUUUUUGACUAUUCUCAUCAGAGUUGGCUGUUGACACCUAAAUUUAGACGACCCGUUUAGUCAUUUAUCGCAUUAAAAAUUAGGGAUUAAUUUUUAACCCCUAAAAAAAUUAUUAUUAAUUAAUUGCGUAGCAUAUAAUUUUAUGUGCAUUUAUUUGGAUCGAUGACGAAUGUGUUUGAGUCGAUGGUUCUGAGCUUCUAUUUGGUGAGUUGACAAAAAAAAAUUUGGCCAAGCCCAUUAUUCCUUUGAUGGCUAAAGUUAUGCAUGCAAAGAUUUCAUUGAAAUGCGCAUGAUAUUUGAGUGGGGGCUGAAUCUUUUAGCUAUGGGAAAGAAAUAAAGGGGAAAAAGGAAAAUGAAAGUAGAUCUGCAAGUUCGCCUUGCAAGUUCGCCUCUUCGCGCAAGGAAAAUAUAUAGAUUACAAGAAGUGGGAUCGGUCAACAUGGGGAAUAUAAUCGAGACCAUCUUUAGGCACCCACGGGCACAAGCAAAAGGAAAGAAGUCAGAGUAAAAUAUAUCUUGAACAUUCCUCAGAGGAAAGGAAAUUGGACACGGCAAGAUUUAAAUCAAUUAAGAUUGUCUCAAAGAGGAAAGAUGCGUAAGAAGCAAAAAGAAAGCAAGCAUAAAAGCCAAGAAAGUGGACUAUCUUCCGGUGGGGGAAUACAUAGAGAACACACGAGAGAGAGAGAGAUAAGGAGCUCUCGGCCAAGCCUUGGCCGAGACGUCCUUCUUGCAGCCCGCCGCCGUGCCUUGCACUGAAGUGAGCCCAAGCCUUGCUGUCCUUGCUUUGCCGCGGCACCCGACGACACCCGCCCGCUGUCCAUCGUUGCCAUCGACACUGAGGUGCUGCCGCUCAAAUCAAGCCAUUAUGAGGAGCUGUUGUCUCCAUCUGCUCCCGUGCUGCCAAGCCCGACGUGAGCGACGACCAGUGCCACUCGUGCUGCAAACCUGUUGCUGCACUGACCAGGGACGAUACGCUUGACGACGCUGACCGCUACCUGCUGUUCAAGCCCAACGCCAAGCUACUGCCCCAUCCCGCGUAGGCUCAAGCCAACGUCGACGAUUUUGCUGUGCUCCGAAGUCAUCGAGCGCCACCCACUGCACCUGAGCUUCGGUCCUACACCUCUUGCGGCGUUGACCAGCGAAGAAUGGUGACUUUGUGUGAACUCCAGCAACGUCCAGCGAAUCCAGAAGUGUCCUUGUAUUGAAGUCUUAGUGGGUUCCCAAUCAUUCCCAAGCCCAGCAGGUCAAGCGUUGGUCCUAUCCGCGUUUAUUCUUUUCUGCAUAUUUACUGAUAUUCAUCAAGCGGGCGACACAUCUUUGAGCGUGGACUUCAUGAAGGAGAGGCACCUCAUUGUGGAGUCCAUCCUGUCGUUGUCACUACCGCGAGCAGCACCUUCCUUGACGGCCGCCUCGUGAGUUUUGCCGACCACCAACUUUUAAUCACCGGUUACUCACCAAGCACCCAUGAAGUCUCGGUAAUACCUCAUUUGUUGAUCCGCAAGCCUUGACUCGCCGAGAAGCACCAUUGGCCACCGACAGCUCGAGCCAAGAGGUCCACAUCAACAUGAGCAGUUGCUGCUAUGAGUCACUCACCACCCCCGUUCACCCGUGAGGAGCUGGUUGCGAUCCGGUCCGAUUGCACUUAGUCCAAAUUUGGAAAGAAUAUCUUCAAAUUAGGUAAAAUGCUCAUCUCUAUUAUAUUUGGAUAUUUGAUUGCCUAAUAUAUGUCUAUUUAUAUCUAGUGUUCAUAUCCAUGAGUGAUGGACAUAAUUUUCAAUUAAGAUUUAUUGCCUAAUCCGCAACCGCACGGAUUUUUUAUUCCAUCUAUAAGGCUUUAGAUGGAAUAAUUAAUCACGCGGGAAUAAAAUUGAUAUCUUGAUCUUUAAUGCUUAAAAUCAAUUUAUCGAUUUUAUUAGCGAAAUAAUCAAGUUUGAUUAAAUAUCAUUUCCAGAUUUGAGCGAUGGAUAUUAUCCUUGGUGAUCACGAAUGAUUUGGUGUUUGUCUUUUAAUUGCUUUGUUUAUCCCAAAAUGCAACAAAAAUCAUCAUGCAUAUGUCAUGUAGAAUUAGGGCAUAUUUUGUACGUCAUUGCAUAUUAGGGUUAAAUUGCACUUAGUUUAAUUUUAGAUAACAUUUUUCCUUAAUUUAUUAUAAGUUUAGGUAUUUUUUAGAUAUAUAUUACAUUUUAGGAUUAUUUAGGUUAAGAUAAUGUUUUAGUUUAAAUUAGGAUUUGGCUCAACCUAAUUCCUAAUAUAAAUUAAAUAGGAUCUUAAUCUAGCUAGAUAAUUUUCACAUUUUACCUAAUUUCGAAUUUCAUGAAAAAUACAAAAAAUGACAUAGGUUGAAUUAGUUUUAUUUUCUAGGAUAGAUUGCAUUUUUUUAGGAAAAAGAAAGAAAAGAAAAAAGAAAAAAGAAAAAAUGUCAUAUGCACGUCAUUAGGAUUGGAUUCAUACAAUGCACGUCAUUUAGUGAUUUUUGUUAGAUUCAUUUAAUUAGAAAUUGCCCGUCAUUAGAAUUAGGUCAUUAGAUUAAUUUAGAUUGCAUAUUUAAGUGUUCCAUUUAUUUAAUUUCGAAUCUCAUGGAAAAUACAAAAAAAAUAUUUUUAAGAAUAAAUCCAUCUCAUGCUUCAGGAUAGAUUACAUGCUUAUUUAUGUCAUAUCACUUAGGUCAUAUAGCUAAGUCAUGUUGCAAUGUCAUAUCAUUUCAUGUUAAAUUAGUGGCAUGCAUUGCAUAAAGCAUGAUUAUCAUUAAUUAAGUGAAAAAAAAAAAAAGAAAUUGAGUGUUAAUUAGAAAUCAUAUCUAGGGAUGAUGUGAAUUCUGAUCUAACAACGCAGAUGCUUUUAUUGCUAGGAGGUAAGUUCUACAAUUUAUUCAUUGCUUUCUUGGAUGUUAAAUUGGUGGUUUGCGCACCCGCAUGAUCGCUUCACAUGUUAAGGAAAUAAAUUUAAAAUCAAUCCAAACUGCUUGCCAAACAUUUUUCAAAAAAAAAAGAAAGGUACCGAAAAGGCGUUAGAGAAAUCUAGUGUAACCAAAUCCCCGAACUCAUAAAUCUCUAGUUCGUAGAAAUAAAGUAAAUCUCACAUUACUUUACUUGGGUUUUUAAUCGGCCCACCAAAAAUAGAUUAGUGACGACUCAUAAUUGAAAAUCAUUUGUAUGUUAAGAACUUGAAUAUAAGUCGCGAAUUGGUAUGUGCUUGGGAGAGUCUGAGUUAAGUUUAGGCUUAAUACUCCAUUAGCCAAACUUUAGGUGAUUCAAACCCGAAAAAUUGACCGCAACAUUGGCACUUAAGUGUCCAAAUUAAAAAAAAAAAAAAAAAAACACUUGAAUGUACCUUUUGAAACUUUUGGUACUUAGUAUUCAUCCAUACCAAGUUUUGGUAAUUGCGGUGUACUUUAGCCCUCAAUCAUUUCUUAAAUUUUCUUUUUUGUGACGAAAAGUCGAGCGGAGCUAAGUUUAUCCAAAUUCACGUUCAAUAAAUGACGUUUGGUCAUGUCCAGCAACCAUCCAGCACCGAUCAAGGCAUUCGUGACCAAGACACAAAAUCAUUUUACAACAAACUAGCAUGUAAUCGAUGUAACGUUUUCCUACAAAAGCAUAUGAUGAGCCAGUGCAAUCAAGAUGAGAGCCAAUUUCCAUCAAAUCAUCAUCAAAUUGAGGUGGCGAAAGCAAGAAUAGCAGUCAUGAAUAAAAAUCCUGCAAGUUUCAAGGCACAGCAUCAUGGUUAAUUCGCUAAAAAAAUUAUCACCAAUUCACCAUAACAUUCUCCUAAAUCGUCAUACAUGUUCAUAUAAUAAAAAUGGCAUCACAAAAAGUCCAGAUUGUACUCCAAUUAUUUAAGCCAGCAAGUCCAAAUUUCAUUCCAGCAUAAUCAAACAUGGCCAUGUACCUAAUUCUUCAAAAUUGACACGUAUUCUUCACAGCCACUCAUUGCCCACUCAUUGUAUGAAAAUUACAUGCAAACAUAACCAAAUUGGAACUAAAUUGACAUCAAAACAGUCAUGACCAGUAAGCCACAAAGUUAAUUCUAGCAGGUUCAAGUUCAGAAGGAUCCUAUUUGACGAGAAAUAGAUGUAUAUCAAUUAUCAGGGGUAUCCAUACUCAUGUAUACGCUCUUAAAGCUUUAAUAACAAACAACUGAUGCCAAAACAGCCUUGGUCUCAUAUAGAACCGACCAAGCUGAGGGAGGAAUAUCGAAAUGAUUUUCAAAGCAUAAAGUCAAUACACUAAUGAGGAGGCUUCUUUUAUUAACAUAGUCAACCAUGAUUCAAAAGUACAUGUAAGCUCAAGCGACUCUCAACAAUCAUCCUAAAGUACCUUAUGCAAAAUACAGAAGAUAGGAUCUCAGCACAUUCGUUCACAGAAAAGACAUGAUCCAGAAUUCCCUCUCAGGAAAAGAUAUGUAUAGCAAAUGAGAUCUGCGCUCCAAUGUAUAAGUCCAGAUGGUGAGUUUAUGCCUCAUGGAUGCAUCAGGGACCAUCAACGAGUAUUUACAAUUCAGCACAUCAACAUUUUUUUAGCUAAUUUGACAAAGUCAAACUCAUUGCCUGCGAACAUCGGAAGUGCAUCAAGACUGAGAUUUUCGGGAAUGGACUCAAAAGUGAAUAUCAAUUAGAUUUACUUAACCUAUGCAACCAGUAUAAAGAAUCAAUCAAGCAGACAGAAUGAUUACAAUCAAAUUCGAAGUCAUGUUCAUACUUAAUACGACUCAGGCAUUUCACCAAACAACUAAUGAGCAUUCAAUCGACAGGCACAACGUAACAAUGAGAUAGUGAGAAUCACAACCCAAUCAGUAAAGAUCAUCAAGCUAGAUUCUAACUCGUUAAUAUAGUCUCGAUCGUGAACAAUUUUCAUGCUAGCAACAACGAAGCCCUCGGCUUCUAUCUUAUACUCGUAACACUUAAAAACAGAGCAGAGAGCCUUUACCUUAGCUAGAAGCGAUCGUCGGUCACAUUCGGUCGUUCAACCAGUCAGAGGAGGCCGUGGAUGCGUUGGCAAUGAUGAUUGAAGGCAGCGAAGGAGAAUUGAACGGGCCGUGAGUGCUUCGAGCACUCUGAUCGGAUUUACAGAGCAGAACCAAGAAAGCCCCAUUCAACGAGAUCUUUGACAAUCUGAAGAGACCAGACUUCGGUGACAAUCUAGGAAGUUCCAAAAUAAUCGAAGGAAAAAGCUCGGCAAAGAAGGAAUAUGGAUCCUGAGACUGGAGUUGAGCUCCUGAGUAGAUAGCGUCAUUAGAAUCGGAGAUGCGUUGAGGCAUACCCCGGUGACACAAGCAAGAACAUGGAGAAAUCAAUAUCACUGAUUGAAUCGCGCAUGGAAAAUCAGAGAAGAAGAGGGUGACUUCACUUCCAUGCCAUUGCAGUAAUCGAAGAAAUGAACAGGAAGGAGGAGGUGCGUUCGUUGGAACAUAACAGAACUGAGAAACGUGGAAUCCGCCGGAAUGAAGAGAGGCUGAACAAUCCCAAAAGGUUGCCACUUGCCAGGCCGAGCCUUAAUGGGUUCUGAUCUUUGAUUGGGCUAAUGGACUGAAAUCGUGGACCUGGGUUAGUGGGCCGAACGAAGCGGGCUUAUUGGAUCAGGGCCUUUCCUUCAUGACCCAAUUGGACCCUUCGACUAUUUUUCUUCUUCUCUUUUUCUCUUCUUGCAUCUUUGCUUUUUUUUCCCCUUAUUUUCCUUUUCCUUUUUGUUAUUAUAUGUAUUGUUUACGCAAAGUCUAUAUGAUUUGUCGACAAAGAUCUAAGUGCCCACAAGAUGUGGGAUCUUUCAAAGUGGGUCGUGAGUGAAAACCUGCGAUUAGUCUUAAAAAGAAGGGAAUAAGCUGCAACCAUUGGGCUCUCUUUCCCAUCAAUGCCCUGUUUUAAAAAGAGAGUGAGAACAGGAAAGGGGACCAUUCUCUUUAAAGCAAACAGCACUGAGCCAAAAAGGCACUUUAUUAAUAAUCUGAACGCACCUCAUUCAACAGUUAAAAAAUAAAAAAUAAAAAAAUUCAUGGUGAUGCAUAAUUGAGUUGUCCAAGGUAAUGCAAAAGUCUUACUUUAAUGCCCGACAACACAAAUUAAAUUAAGCCAUACUUUACAAUCGCAGCCGCUGGUUUGCAUAAUUGAGUUGGCCAAGGUAAUGCAAAAGUCUUAACAUCACUUGAAAAUGCACAUAAAGUUCCAAAGACAAAGGUCCACAAUCAGACAACUAUAAAAUACCUUGGACAGCCUUCUUUAUGAAAAAGAUGCUCCCGGUGUAGCCUAGACUAAUGAGUUACUUAGGUCCUACAUGGUAAAUUGCCUAUUUUUUUGCUCUUUUUCUUUUUUGUUUUUCAAAAUUAAAAAAGAACAGAAAUCUAUUUGGUAAGAUCAACUAAUUUUUUUUUUUUAAUUUCUCGAAAUAGAAAAGGAGCAAGAAAAUAGAUUUGGAACAAAAAUAAGAAGUAGAAAAAAAAUGUAGCUUCUUCAAUUUUUAGAAAUAAGUCAGUUUUUUCUUCUUCUUCCUCGCCGUUUGUCGCCCCCACUGCAUGUUACUGCCUACCUUUGCUUGCCACUACCGCCAUUGGUUGCUAGACCAAAAAGAAGAAGAGAGGAAAAAAAGAAAACCUAAAAAAAUUAUUAAAAAUUAAAAGAAAUUUUAUGUUACAGAAAAAAAUUAUAGGUCAUAUCAAACUCAUUCUUAUUUUUUUUAUUCCAAGAAUAUAAAUUUUAUAAAGUUACCAAACACAUUUUUUACCCAGAAAUCAUUUCAAAGAGUAUAAAUAGAAAAUGACUAUUUCUGAAAAGGAAUUGUUCUCCAAAACGGAAAAGUUACCAAGCGCACCGUAGCGACCGGGGGCGACACUGUUGCCAACAAUAAUGAGUGGUGAAGAAGAAGAAGAAAAGGAAAAAAGAAGAAGAAGAAGAAGAAAGAAAAUGAUUUAUUUCUAGAAAUUGUUCAUAGUUAGAAACAAAAAGUUACUCUUUUUGCUUCUUAUUUUUAUUUUAAAUUUAUUCCCAGACUAUUUUUCUAUUCCAAGAAGUAUAAAAAUUAGUUGACGUUACUAAAUGAAUUUCUAUUUUUUUUUUGAAAGAACAGAAGAACAAAAAGCCCAAAGAAAUUGGCAAGUUGCCAUUCUCUUUAAAGCAAACAGCACCGAGUCAAAAAGGCACUUUAUUAAUAAUCUGAACGCACCUCAUUCAACAGUAAAAAAAAAUAAAAAUCAUGGAGAUGCUAAGACCUCGUUUGUAUAAAGAUUUAAAGUGUAAUGCCACCAAUUCUUUACAUUUAAUAUGCGACAAUACAAAUUAAAUUAAGUCAUACUUUACAAUCACAGCAACUGGUUUGCAUAAUUGAGUCGUCCAAGGUAAUGCUACAGCCCUUGAAAAUGCACAUAAAGUUCCAAAGACAAAGGUCCACAAUUAGACAACUACAAAAUACAUUGGACGGCUUUCUUUAGUAAAAGAUGCUCCCGGCAUGGCCUAGACUAACCAUCUCUAUGAGUUGCUUAGGUCCUACAUGGUAACUUGCCUAUUUUUUUGUUCUUUUGUUUUUUUUUUGUUUCCCAAAAUUAAAAAAAGAAUAGAAAUCCAUUUGGUAACCUCAACUAAUUUUUUUAUUUCCCGAAAUAGAAAAAUAGUUAGAGAAUAGGUUUUAAACAGAAAUAAGAAGUAGAAAAAAAUGUAACUUCUUGAUAUUGGGAACAAUUUCUAGAAGUAAGUCAUUUUUUUCUUCUUCCUCACUAUUUACCGCCCCCACCACAUGUUGCUGCAUACCUCCAUUGGCCACUGCCACCAUUCGUCGUUGGACCAAGAAGAAGAAUACAGGGAAAAAAAGAAAAACUAAAAAAAUUAUUAAAAAUUAAAAGAAAUUUUACGUUAUAAAAAAAUGUGGGUCGUAUUAAACUCAUUCUUAUUCUUUUUUAUUUUAUUUCAAGAAUAGAAAUUUUUAUAGUUACUAAACGUGUUAUUUUACUCAGAAAUUAUUCUAGAGAGUAGAAAUAGAAAAUGACUAUUUCUGAAAAAGAAUUAUUUUUUGGAAUAUAAAUGUUACCAAAUGCACCCUAACGACUAGUAGCGGCACUGGUGAUGACAACGAUGAGUGGUGAAGAAGAAGAAGAAAAGAAAAAAAAAAGAAAAAAAUGUCUUAUUUCUCGAAAUUGUUUCUAUAAACAAAAGGCUACUUUUUUUUGCUUCUUAUUUUUGUUUCAAAUCUACUCUCCAACUAUUUUUCUACUCUGAGGAGUAGAAAAUUUAGUUGACGUUAUCAAAUAGAUUUAUAUUCUUUUUUUUUUUUUAUUCUGAGGUACAAAGGAACAAAAGACCAGAGAAAUUGGCAAGUUGCCAUGCAGAGCCUUAAAUGCCAAAAUUUCUAAAGCAUAUACUUAAGUGCCAAAAUUGAAGAAGAAAUGAAUACUUAAGUGCCAUAGUGAGAAUUUCUGCAAACUAUUGAUGUAGCUUUUUUUGNNNNNNNNNNNNNNNNNNNNNNNNNNNNNNNNNNNNNNNNNNNNNNNNNNNNNNNNNNNNNNNNNNNNNNNNNNNNNNNNNNNNNNNNNNNNNNNNNNNNNNNNNNNNNNNNNNNNNNNNNNNNNNNNNNNNNNNNNNNNNNNNNNNNNNNNNNNNNNNNNNNNNNNNNNNNNNNNNNNNNNNNNNNNNNNNNNNNNNNNNNNNNNNNNNNNNNNNNNNNNNNNNNNNNNNNNNNNNNNNNNNNNNNNNNNNNNNNNNNNNNNNNNNNNNNNNNNNNNNNNNNNNNNNNNNNNNNNNNNNNNNNNNNNNNNNNNNNNNNNNNNNNNNNNNNNNNNNNNNNNNNNNNNNNNGUAAUUAUGAUCAAGUAGGACCUCUUUUAUUUAGACAAAUACAUACGAAGUUACCUAUUCCAUCCCGACACUUCUAGCAAUAUCAUGAUAACGAAUGUUUCACUUACAAUUUUUAGUGGAUUAAUAAGAAAAGGAUGUGGCAAAUUUUCCUUUAACUCUAAAAGGGAAAAAAACUCACCCGAGCCUGUUAUUUUGGCUUGACUAAGAAUCAACUUUUUCACUUUCUAUAUAGAGUAUUCUUUCAAAUAUAAAAAAGAAAAAAUCUGCUGUAUAUAUAUUUAUUGUAUAACAUGAAAAUUUCAGGUGGUAAAAUUGAAAAAAUAAAAUAAAAAUCAAAGCAUGAGUCGCAAAGUUUGUAAAAAAAUUAAAAGAUAAAACUCAAUCUGAACAUAUCAAUUAGUUGAUUGAAAAAACACCAUUGACUAUCCAACCACGUUACUUAACGUGAUCCUUUAGUUGCGAAAAGAAGGGGGAACUAAAAAAAAAACUACCUUUCCUCUGUCUUCUAACUCUUGUAAUCUGUUUUUUUGUUUGACCAAGUGCGAAUAGGUCAGGAGAAAAGAAAACAAAAACCAAACCAUUUACCAUUUACUAGGUUAUAAAAAAGGGCAUAUACUCCCAAAUUUGAGAUAAAUCUAGAAAAUAUCCUCCUAAUGCUGUUAAAACAUGGAGUAUUCUGUUAAUUUCUCUCGAAAUUUCAAAUUUACCCCCUUUUUCUCAUUGUUUGUGGGAUUUUUCCUUUUUUAAUCUUCAACGACCUCCUGUUUGAUUAUACUAAUAUUGGACCAUGUGAGUCAGAUGUGACUGGUGAUAUUGGGCUUUAAUGUCAAAAUAUAUAAAGUACUUUUUUUUUUAAAUUUUUGGCUCAAUAUUUUAUCUUUCUCCAUUUCUCUUGUGAUAGACAAGCCUUAAGAAAAGAAGGAAGAAAUGCAUCAAUAUUAAAACGUUUUAGUAAAGUAGCAAUAAAGAAAAUAGUCUUGGCCUAUAAGAUAAGAAGUUUUUGUUGGCAUAAACAAAGAAAUAAUAGUCUUGCUAAAGGCCUGCAGGUGUUUACUUACACUCUGUACUUAUCUGUUUUUUCCCUUAUGGAAGAACUCGGUUAGAUUUAAUUCUGUUCUUGCAGUGCCAUUUGAUUGCAUAUAUUCUAUAGAUGUUAGUAAGUUUUAUUUUAUUUUAUUUUAUUAUAAUGGUCUAAAAAUACCAAGAAAUAAUGUGCAGCAAAAGCAAAACUAACUUUAAUCUUAAUUGUUGGGGAUAAGUGAACAAAAAUUUCCUAGAAUUUGUCGUAAAAGUGCAAUCAAAUUUUACAAGUUUCAAAUGGUAAAAUAAAAUCCUAAAAUUUAUUGAUUUGGUGCAAUAAAAUCCCUCCAUUAACUCUGUUUGAUUUGGCUAACAAAAAAAACUAAUAUGUUAUUUUUAUUAUUUUAAACACGUGGCACUGAUUUGGCCCUUAAUGAUUACAAUAUCGGAAAAAAAACUUGAAAAUUGAAAAGAAAAAAAGAAGAAGAAGAAGAAGAAAAGGAGGAUAAAAAAUAAAAAGAGAAGGGUAACAGAAAAAAGGACACGAAUUAAAAAAUAAAAAAGUUGAAAGUCUAAGUGAUGAAGGAUUAAAGGAUAGGCAAAAGGAAGAUCCGCCAGCUUCCGUAUAGUUUUUUAGUCACUUUCAUGACUUUGGCAUAACAAAUCAUUGGCAUUGUUUUCAAACUUGAAGAACUUACGGGUUCUGGAAGUUCAUAAAUGGUCGAUUGCACACUUCACGGUCCUUGUAGACUUAGAGAUGCUAGAAGGUAUUGAAAUUAAUUUUUCUAUAUAUAUAUCAAUUGGGAGAAAUUCUUACAUAUCCUGCUUGAAGAAUCCACCCUACUUUGUUUCGAUUCAAUUAGAGAGCCUUCUUUAGAUUGAAGGUUUUUUGUGUAAGAACAAUUGCGGCCUAGAUGAUAUUGUCAAUGGCUUAAUAUUUGUCUACAUGCCAAAAACAUAUUGGUUAUGAAAAUUUGCAUUUUUUUUUAAUGAAGAUAGCAUAUGAAAAGUCACAACCUUUAUGAAGAUAGAAAAUUCUAUGUGCUUUAAUUGAACACUUGUCGAAAACAUCUAUUGAUAGCUUAUAAAAGAAGCCUAGUCCUCUCUCCACCCAUCAAGAAAAAGAAAAGUUAUAUUCUAUUCUUUAUCAGAUAAAAUACAUUAAGAAAAAAUGGGUUAAGGGAGAGAAAUCGGAUUUUAUCGUUUCUCCUAUUUUCACAAUAAUCGAAAGCUCAAGAAUAUUACAUUUUCAAGGUUAUUUAUGGAUACAAGUAUACCUAAAUACCUCUUGUCAUGAAUAAAUUAUGAAGAUCUAAGAUUCUUUUAUUAAGAAGUUCCGUAUUAUCGAUUACAUUAUUGCUAACAUUUGGAAGAAUCAGAAUCCUUGAGGAACCUAGAGAUACUGGGAGUGGUUCAAUGAAAGAACACCAAAUCUUUUGAAGUUGAAAAAAUCUAGGGCGUCUUAACAAGAUUUUUCCUCGGAUGCUUGAUUAAGACCCCUUAUUGGAAUACCAAUCACAGUUUAUUGUAUCAUUUAAUAAAAAAAUUAGGUUUGGUACACAAACAUGACUUUUCUCCAGUGCCAAACUUCACGCCUCCCCCAGGUGGUCACUGGCUUGGAGCUAGAGCUUUGCCUAACCUGUUUUUGUUUCAUUCCUUUUUUUUUUUUUUGUACUCUGCAUUCAUCUGACUCCAUUUUCGACAUUGUUAGGUUCUUUUCGUGUUUUGUACACACUUACUCCGCGUGUGCUUUUUUUCGCUAGCUUCGAUGAAAAUGGUAAAAAAGAAUCUUUACAAACACAUAUGCUAAAUGGAAAAAAAUUAAUCAAUGGAUUGUCAUCGUUUACACUUCUUCAAUAAAUAUAUAACGAAAAACCAAUUUAAUCUCGCCAUCUCCAUACCAUGUGUUUGUUAUAUUAAAAUAUUACCACUACAUGUCAUCUAAUAGUUUAAGAUUUUUGAAUAGUUAGUAAUGGUCCCAUACAAUAAGAGGUGAUGACUUCAAAUAUUUCCAAACCCAUAUUUGCUUCCAAUAUUAUAUAUUUCCACAAUUUAGUCUUAGGUUAAACUCCAGCUAGUGCGUGGGGGGCAUAUUAUUAAAUAUUAAGACCACGCAAUUAUUUUACGGCUCAAAUUUUUAGAACAGUUAAAAAUUUUAUUUAUUGUUUAGUUAUCUAUUAUUCAAAUGAACCAAAUGUCUUAAGUAUCCAAUAAUACAUACAAAUAUACUUUGUGGCUUUUGGCAUUUGAAAGAAUGACGAAAAUUUUGAUGAAGGGAGGGAUGCGUGAUUAAAGUUUUACGAAAUGCCUUUGAACCGGAGAAAACUUGAUUAAAUAUUAGAACCUAUAAAAGUUUUACGAAAUGAAGCGUUAUCUUUGUUGACAAUUGAAAUUUUCCAAUUUCUCCUUUUUUGUAUGAUACACAGUUAUUAUGCUUUGUUAUAGUGUGUGGCUUCGGCGAAAUUUUAAGUGAAAGUUUAAGUUGAAUGUCUAUUGAGUCCAGUCUAUUAUAGAGAGAUAAUAGCGUUAAUGGAGCUGUGAGAUCCACUUUUUUUUCAUUGAAUCCCAAAAACCGACAGAAAAGAUACCGCAAGGUGCUAAGUACGGAAUGACCAAGGUAUUACUUUCACUGUAACUCACGGUAAUUUAAACUGAAACAAAAAGUGAUGACUCAUAAAGAUAUAUUUAGAUGGAGCGACUAUAACAUUUGAUUGUUUUAUAAAAGGUGAACAAUCGAAAAACAUUUCUCAAUUUUCCUUUGUGUCAUUUAGGAAAAAAGAGUUAAUAGAAAAUGCUUUAUUGUCUACAAAAACCUACAUUUAAAUGUUAUUAUUGAUGAUAAAAAUAUUAUUUAUUGGUUCAUUUUCUUGAGAAAUACAUUUUAGUAUUCGUAUAAUAUGUUUAUGACUUUUUUGAUAAUUUUUCCAAAAAAUGCUCAAGCACACCAUCAAAGACCUUCUUUUUUUGUUUUGUUUUGUUUUAUUUUGUUUUUUGUCUUUUUCAUUGUCUCUUCUUUUUCUCUUUAGAAUUACGUCUGUACUAAUAUAAUCGUGUUUUCAAUUGGAAUACGCUAAAGAUGAUUGAUCAACAUGAUUCUAUUGGAAAUUUAAAGAAAUAGAAAGAAAAUGAGGAUGGACCCCUUAGUAACGAGAAAGUUAGAAGAAACCAUUGGACAGCAGAAGAUGCUUGAGGAGUCACAUGCAGUGUACUGAGUAAAAUCCCUCAUUUAAGUACUAAUCAUAGUUUAUUUAAUCGUAUGAUAUAUAAAUAAAUAAGGUUCAGUAUCCAAACAUGAUUUUCUCUCCUAGGCCAAACCUCACACGUCCCCCGGGUGGUCGCUAGCGGCUUUUGUUUCAUUCCCAUUUGUUUUAGCACUUUGAAUUCAUCUAAAUCCAUUUUCAAUGUUAUUAGGUUCUUUUUCGUGUUUUGUACACACGCCACGUGUUCUUUGUUUGCUAUGGUUAUGACAAAAAGAAAAUAAAAUUAACAAAAAUAAGAAACGAAAAAAUUUGUUUAUGUUAGUAUUGGCUAUCCAACUAGCACGACCGACAACCACAUUAGCUCAAAAUUGACCAAAAUGACUAAUUGGGUAAAUUUUAAAAAAUGUUUAGGAUUAAAUUGAUUUAAUUGAAAUUUCCUAACUACAUUGGCAUUAAUAUAAUAGGUUUAUGACUUUUUUGAUAAUUUUCCUAGAAAUUGCUCAAUAGCACACCGUCAAAGACCUUCAUUUUUUGUUUUGUUUUUUUUAUCUGUUUCAUUGUCUCGUCUUUUUCUCUUCAGAAUUAUGUUUGUUUAAAUAUCAUUGUGUUCAAUUGGAACGGUUAAAGAUGAUCGAUCAACAUAAUUCAAUUGGAAAUUUAAAGAAAUAGAAAGGAAAUUAGGAUGAACUCCUUAGUAAUGAAAAAGUUAGAAGAAGCCAUUGGACAGCUGAAGAUGCUUGAGGAGUCACAUACAGUGUAUAUUGGUCUGACUAAAAGCCCUUAUUGAAUCAUAGUUGUUGACACCUAGAUUUUGACGGUCCGUUUAGUCAUUUAUCGCAUUAAAAUUAGGGUUUAAUCAAUAAUUAAUUAAUUGCAUAGCAUUUAGUUGUAGGUGCAUUUAUUUUUUAUUUGCAUUUACUGGACCGGUGAUGGAUGGGUUGAAUCGGUGGUUUUGAAUUUUAAAUUAAUAGGCCGGGCUAGGCCCAUGAAAGGAUAAAAUUAACCCAAACCCGUCGUUGUUGUUUAAUUGAUUAUCUUGUGAAAAUUUAAGAUUUGAUGCGAUAUUAUGAUGAUUUUUGGAAAUUUAAAAAUCGCAUUGUAAUCUUAAAGUUGGGAAUAUUAAGGAGGAUAAGGAAUAUUCUAAAAUAUUUUGUUGCGGAUGGAUAUCUCGAAAGAUUUUAGAAUUGAAUAAUGGAGUUUUAUCUAAAGUGAAUUAUUUGGAAAAUCUUCACAAAAAAAUUCCAGUUUAUCUUCAAUCGCUGAGUCAGCAUAUAAAAUCUUCAAUGAUCGAGCGAGUCAGCUUGGAAGAUUUUAAUAGAUGAUUUCAAUGGCCGAGUGAGUCAGCAUACACAAUAAUCUCGAAAGAUGAUCUUCAACGAUUGAGUUGUUAUGCAAAUCUUCGUAGGUUGAGCAGACUAAGUUUUCACUCUAUAAAUAGGGGUGGCCUUCUCUUCGUCCGGGGGGAGCUUCUUUUUAAAAAAUUCAGAAAAAGUGAAAGGGGAGAGAAGCCAUCCGUGAUUCCGUGGAGGUUAAAAGGAAAGAAGAGGAAAAAGCAAAAAGCUUCUGCAGAAAAGCGAAGGAAGAGGGAGAGUGACGUGAGAAGAGAGAGAGAGAGGAGAAAAGUAAAGGGGUGAUUUGACCCCUACUGUUCAUCGUCUUCCCAACUUGCUGCCCACGUUGCUGUUCCAGUCACGACGCCAUUGAUCCGACGCCCUCUCUGCUCGACACUACCGCGCCUUGCCGCUCACCCUCUUUUGGAGCGUCCGUCCGUGCACACUGCCUCCACUCAGCCGACGCCGCCUGGAACCCGAAGCCCACGACCUGCAGCUUGCGCCCGGCGGCACAGUGGUCUGCCUCCACUCAGCCUACGCCACCAUAUCAGCCCGUGCCCCGCCGCCGUUGCUGCUCUGAUUUGCUGACCCACGACGCCGAAACUAAACGCCGAGCCACUACGCACCCGUGGGACAACAUUGCUGCGACCCGCAACCCCGCUGUUCGCCGGUCACUGACGCCGCGCCUCCCUGUUGCUGCUGCCGCCCAGUCCGCGCCAAAACUCCGACGCCGGCUGUCUCCUUCGCCCGUGCCGCUCCUGUCUCGCCUGACCCGUGACCAGUUGGGCCUGCCUUCCAUCGCGACACCCACACUCGGAGUCUUCCACCAGUCUUCGCCCGAGCUCUGAACCCCGAAGACCCAACCUCCGGUGACCCACCGAAGCCGCUCGACCGUAGGUGAAGAAAGCAGGAAAAGGAAAAAAAACAAAAGGAAAAGAAAUUAGGUAGCUUUAUUUCUAUUUUUCUAUUUGUUUUAUUUAUUUCUUUUAUGUUUUGGGGUGAUCUUUAUUUUAUGGAUUUAGUAUGCAUUAUCCGCAGGGAUUUUGUCUGGAAUUAUUAUAAUUAUUAAUUUGAUCUAAGAGACAUUGAAUCAUUUUUUUAAUUAUUUUAAUUGUUGGGCUUUCUGAGUGAAAUUUUAAUUGUUAAAUCACAAUGAUUAUUUAAUUUGGUCCGUAAGACUUCGGAUCAGAUUUGUAAUUAUUUUGAUCUCUCUGCUGUGAUAACUAUGGUUAGAAUAACCGUUAAUUUGACCUGUGAGACAACAUGUUAUUUUUUCGAUUAUUUUAAUCAUUUAUUGCUUGAUUUUGUUGAUAGUUUAGAUUUAAUAAUUACUUAUCUCUUAAAAAAAACUAAAAAAAUCAUAAGAUAAAAAAAAUCAAAAUUCUGCAUGAGUAUAUAGGUUUAGUAAAUCAAGCACGUAGGUUUAACAAAUUAGGAUUUUCUUAGGAUUGCAUUUUUAAGAUUGCAUUUUUAAGAUUGCAUUUUUAGGAAUAAGUUAGGAUUGAACCUAAAUAUUUUUUUAGGGUUUUAGAUAAUGUUCGCAUAUUCUAAUUAUCUCAUUUUCCCAAAAAAAUAGCUUUCUAAGAUAGGAUAGGGUUUAAGUCAAACUAAUCCCUAGAAUAAAUUAGAAAAUUAUCAUUUUUAGAUAGAUUAAUUAAGGUUUUCAUGAAUUCUGAAUUUCAAUAAAAAAAAUGCAAAAAUACUAGGUGCAUGUUAACUAGUUUGCAUAAUAGGAUUAUUUAAUCAGAACUUGUUAAUUAGUGAAGUUAGGUCAUGAGGUGCAUAAUAAUUAGUUUGCAUAAUAGGCCCAUUUAAUUAAAAUUUGCAUAUUAAUAAGAUUAAGUCAUUUGGUUUAAAAAUGCAUUUUCAUAAAAUCAUUCUAACUUUUAAGAAAACCCAAAAAAAAAAAAAUGAUUGCUUGCUUUGUGUGAUGCAAUUUAUUUAUUUGAUUGCUUUAAUAAUGGAUGAGCACCCGUGUGGUCACCACAUUUGCAUGAUAGUAAUUUAGGUUAAAAUAAAUCAGCUGCUUGCAAAAACAUUUUGAAAAAUUAAAAAGAAAUGGUACCGAAAGGGCAUUAGAAAAUUCUAAUGUAACCAAGUCCCCGUACCCUUAGUCUCUGGUUCGUAGGAGUAAAAUAAAUCUCCCUUUAUUUUACUUAGGUGUCUAAUCGACCUACCAUAAACCGAUUAGUGGCGACUCCUAGAUAAUCAUCUUUUGCAUGUUAAAAAAAAUUAAACCUAAGUCGCGAUUUGGUAUGGGCUUGGGAGAGCCCGAGCUAAGUGUAAAAGCUUAGCAGUCCAUUAACCUAGUCAUAGGUGCUUCACACCCGUGAAAAUCUGGUCGCGACAAUAGUUUAUUUAAUCAUAUGAUAAAUAAAUAAGGUUCAGUAUCCAAACAUGAUUUUGUCUCCUAGGCCAAGCCUCGCACGUCCCCCGGGUGGUCAAUAGCAGCUUUUGUUUCAUACCCUUAUUUUAUUUUAUUUUAUUUUUUGCACUUCGAAUUCAUCUGAAUCCAUUUUCUAUGUUGUUAAUGUUCUUUUUCAUGUUUUGUACAAACUCACUCCAUGUGUUCUUUGUUUGCUAUGGUUAUGACAAAAAGAAAAUAAAAUUAAGAAAAAUAAGAAAUUGCAAAAUUUGUUUAUGUUAGCAUUGACUAUCUAACUAGCACGACUGUCGACCGAUGACCACAUUAGCUCAAAAUUGGCCAGAAUGACUAAUUGGUAAAUUAUCAAAAUGUUUAGGAUUAAAUUGGUUAAAUUGAAAUUUCUUAAUUGCAUUGGCAUUCGUAUAAUAGGUUUAUAAUUUUUUUUUUUAUAAUUUUCCUAGAAACUGCUCAACAGCUCACCAUCAAAGACCUUCAUUUUUUGUUUUGUUUUGUUUUUGUUUUUGUUUUUAUCUUUUUCAUUGUCUCUUUUUUUUCUCUUCAGAAUUAUGUUUGUUUAAAUAUCAUUGUGUUUUCAGUUGGAAUGGUUAAAGAUGAUCGAUCAACAUAAUUCAAUUCAAAUUUAAAGAAAUAGAAAGGAAAUUAGGAUGAACUCCUUAGUAAUGAGAAAGUUAAAAGAAGCCAUUGGACAGCUGAAGAUGCGUGAGGAGUCAUGCAGUGUAUAUGGGUCUGACUAAAAGCCCUUAUUUAAUCAUAUGAUAUAUAAGUAAGGUUCAGUAUCCAAACAUGAUUUUGUCUCCUAGGCCAAGCCUCACACCUCCCCCGGUUGGUCACUAGCAGCUUUUGUUUCAUUCCCUUUUUUUUUUUUUUUUGCACUUUGAAUUCAUCUGAAUCCAUUUUCUAUGUUGUUAGGUUCUUUUUCAUGUUUUGUACGCACUCACUCCACGUGAUCUUUGUUUGCUAGUAACGACGAAAAGGAAGAAUUUGAGACAUAUGCUAAAUGUAAAAAUGAUAAAUGAAUGGUUAUCAUUAACACUCUUCAAUAUGGGCAUGUUUUCACUAUAAAAACCCACCCAACUACUAUUCAAAUCUGGAAUAACUCAACAAAAACAAAAUGAUAAAUCAAUCUGGAAUACCUCUUGAUCUCUUCUUAAUCCCGUCACCACAAUACUAUCUGCUGUCUGAAAAAAUUAAAUUAACUUAAAUUUUGGAAAGUACUCUACAAAUGUACUCUUUGAUGUUUGGCUUUGCAAUAAUUUGACACGACUCCAAUGCCAUCAAAUUUCAACUGCAUUAGUUACUUGAAAAACUCGAUGAUAGUAUAUAAUAAGGUAGCUCUUUCUUUCCUCAUGAACUGUUAAAACUAAAAUCGCCGGUAACACCUUCAACUUCGCGGUAAAUUAGCUGUCAUCUUUGUUCUUUCAACUCUUUGUUUUCCCCUUUAUUGAAAUAUUAUGGGGCAUAGCAGUAGCAGUUCAAGAAUGGAUUUUAUUGAAGAAGAAGCAACACUUUGGGAAGCACAAAACAAUGUCCGAUGAGUUUGGAAGAAGCAACGCCGUCAUUGCUCUGUUUAUUAUCAUUAUUCGUUACGUUUAGAAUCUUAUUGUUAAAUACACCAUUGAGAAAACAGUUAUCAAGUUUACCGUACAUUAAAUUAAUUUAUGUUUUCAAUAUUUGGGAGGCCUUUUUAAAUAUAUGUUACAAAGAUUCUGAUACCCGUAUACAUUGAUUGAGGCAAAAUAUUAUAUAUGUUGUAUUUCACCUCAUUUGUAAGUUCCAAAAUAAGUUUUGAUAAACUAUUAAAAUAGUUGGCACUUUGAAACAACGAAAUAAAUGUUGGUAAAUGAAUUCCAGUAAGAGUUGUUAAUUUUUCAUAUGAGCUGGUAAUCUUAACAGGCAGAUAACAUCUGCAAAUAAAUGUCAGUAAAAUAGUAAAAUAAAAGGUGAUUUCGAAGCAAUUGAAUAGAUGUUGAUAAUUCAAUCAAGUAAAAGUUAGUAAAUUUCAAACUAUAUGAUAACUUAGUCUGUGAAAAGUUGGUAAAUCACUUAAAUUGAUAUGUAAUUUGCUAUAAGAGUCAGUAGCUUUAAUCAAUGAACUGUUGGAAACAUAUUACAAACUAAAUAAGUUGCCGGUCAAAAUUUAAUUACUGAUAAAUGAUUUACCAAGGCGUUUAAGGAAUUACCAAUAUGAUGGGAUACAUAAUUUAGAGAAAAUCACUUUAAGAUUAUAGCUUUUUUGGUAAAUUGUUUGUGAAAUAUCAAAGGCUAUUCUUCUGUUGCAAAGAAAGAGGUCGGAAGAAGAAAAACCUGAACCAACCUAUAAAUCGCAUGUGCUUUUAAAUUUCAGACCAAUCUAGCCAAUGUCCCCUUUAACCCCGUUAAGACAUGCAAUAUUCUGUUAAAUUUCUCUCGAAAUUUCAAUUUCGCUCUUUUCCGUUUUCUUGUUUUAUUUGUUUGCUGGAUUUUUCCUUUUUUAAUCUUCGACUAUCUGUCGUUUACUUUUACUAGUGUUGGACCACGGGCGUCGUACAUGACCCGGUGAUACUGGGCUAUAAUUUUUCUCCCAGGAGGACUUUGCCCUUGCGCUCCUAUUGUUGACUCCUCUCGGUCUCCGUCCGCCUCCUCUUCGUCUACUUGAGAAGUUUCAGGCUCCCUUCACUGAACCGUCCCAAUUUGCUCUUUUCACAGAACGCUUCUCUUCUUCGGGUGAAUACAGCUGAGAGGAUCGGCCCACCGAUGGGAUCCAAUGGAGUUCAGGCUCUAAUCACCAACCUCGCCUUGACUGUAGCAAGAGUGUAAGUGCUCUAACUCCGCUUCUUUUCGAUCUCUUGUUGACUGAUAAUGCACAUUGAAACCAAAUUUUGCUUCUGUAAAUGUUUGAUACAUUUCAGCCUGCUUGUUCAGUUCACAUUCCUUAUUUUACGUCUCGUUCAGGUUACAAGUCUGUAAUUUUUGUCUCACGGAAUCGAGGAGAAGUAGGGACUCGGAGUCAACCACGAGAACGGACAAUGGGUCUGGAGAAGAGGAGGAGGCGUUAAGGAGGGACUCUGAGUCAACCUCAAGAGCUGAUAAUCUGUCUUGCGAAGAGUAUGAUGUGUUCCUAAGUUUCCGGGGACCAGAUACUCGCAAUGGGUUCGCCAAUUGCCUCUACCAUCGCUUGAGAGAUGCUGGAAUCCACGUUUUCUUUGACAGCGAAGAACUCCGAGUCGGUGAAGAAAUUGGUGGAGAGCUUUCGAAAGCACUUGACAAGUCUCGAAUCUAUAUACCUAUCUUCUCUAAGGGUUACGCAAACAGUUCAUGGUGUCUCCGUGAGGUUGCGCAUAUGGUAGAAUGCACCUCAAAAUCAGAUGAAAAGAAAGAGAUACUUCCCAUCUUCUACGAUGUGGAUCCUGAUGAUGUUAAGCUUAAGACCAAGUUGUAUAGUAAAGUCAUGCCCAGGCACAAGAAGAAGUUUGGCUCCGAUAAUUUGAAGCAGUGGGAAAAUGCCCUUGUUAAGGUUGCACAUAUAAAGGGAUGGGAUCUUAAAGGCAAAGGGUAAAUUUCCUCAACUUUUUAUGGUUAAUAUGCAUAGUAUUUACAUUUCAUUGAAUGAAAGUUUGUCCCUCAAAAUUCCCAGACAUAAAGCAUUUGGACAUUUUUAUUUAAGAUUUGCUAUAGAAGUUAAUGAAAGCCAAAGUCAAACAACUGAGAACCCACAACAGAUAUUGGAAAAUGGCUGAUUUUUUUUAAAAGCACAACAAAUCGGGUCAAACCCAACCCAAACAAGGCAGUUUUCCAAUUCAUGUCGGGUUAAGCCAACAUGACCCGACAGGUAAGAUCAACUUUUUACUUAAUCAACUAUUCUACUUAACCAACAUGGAAGGGGGAGGUGUGGGGUUCAAAUCCUCACCUCCUCAGGGGGGAUGGGGUGGGGACGCGUAAGUUUCAGGAGUGGGUUUUGACUCUCACGUCCUACAAGAGGCAGAGCAAAAGUCUGAGAGUAAGUGUAGAGUAGGAAUAGAGUAGGACUGACCAAAAAAAAAAAAACUAUUUUACUUAACUGUAUUACCCCAAUAAGUAUAGUGGAAAUAGUGCCAUUUUCUGUAAUUUUCACAUCCUCUGGUAAUCACAAAUCUUGUGCAGUGACUAACUUGUGUGAAAUUGUUGAAUUAAUAUGAGUAUUGCAAUUUUAAAAUUAUACCAAGACAUGAUUAGAAUUUUUCCUAAAAAGCGUGCAUAUUAACAUUACAAAAGUGCACAUGCGAUGCAUCUAUGCAAAAAUGGGACGUUCAAAAGAUUUUACUAAACUUCCCUGUUAUGAAAUAUUAUAAUUAUUAUUUAAUGAAAAGAAAUCGUUGACAUAAUAUGAAGAAAUCACACUGUGAAAAGAACAUAUAUAUUCAAGAUUUAUACGGAAGGGGUAAUGUAACUCAAAACCAAUAUCUACGGACAAGCGUCUCCAUGCACUAGAAGUUCGGCCCUAGUGGAUUGAAGCGGUGGAAGAAGGCUCUUGCAGAGGGAAAUUUUCCUGCACUUUUUCUUUGGAAGAAGCUUUGUGUCCCAAAAUUUUCAUACUUAUAUCAAUGUGGCAUUACAUUAGAAGGUAAGGGAGUCUAGACUAAAACUGUGCUAGAGAACCCUACAAAAGGAAAAUGAGGCGUGGGUGAAGGUGUACUUUUUUCAAACCCGCAAAAAACUUUGUAAAACCCAACCUGUACCCAAAAAUUUCCAGUUCAACUAAUUAUAAUGAUUGAUUUCCAUUUGUUUAAGUUGUUGAAAUAGCUGAGUUAUGUAUUCACAUGUUCCCUAGAGUUCCGGAGUCUAUCAUGUCUUUGACUGAAACGAAAUUUUCAUGCUUUGCUAGCCAAGGAGAACAAAUUGAAUCGAUUGUUGAGGUGGUUUGCCGUAACCUCAAUACAAGACACGUGAUUGUGACUGAUAAUUUGGUUGAAGAUAAUGAUCAGAUGGAAGCCAUAAUGAAAUUGUUGGAUGUGGGCUCUGGUGGUGUACGUUUUGUUGGUAUCCAUGGCAUGGGUGGUGUUGGAAAAACAACUCUUGCCAAAGUCAUGUUCAACAAACUAUCUUCUCACUUUGAACGUUGUAGUUUCCUUGAAGAUGUUCGAGCAUCAUCCCAAUCUCAUGGUGGUCUUUUAGAGUUGCAGAAAAAGCUCUUGAUAGAUUUGGCCGGUCAUGGGAUCGCUAACCAAAUUAAAGAUGUUGAUGGUGGGAUCAAGAUGAUCAAAAAAGCAUUAAGUAAUAAAGAAUUACUCAUAGUUCUUGAUGAUAUAGACAAGAAAGAGCAACUUGAAAAACUGGCAGUUGGAAAAUCUGAUUGGUUUUGUUCUGGUAGCAGAAUCAUUAUCACAACUAGGGACAAAAGCAUUCUGAUGACUCAAGUGGGCUCAUCCAGUAAUGAGAUCCUCAACCAACCUAAAGAAAUUUUGUGUUAUGAAGUUCAUGGAAUGAGAUUUGAUUUAGCACGUCAUCUAUUUUAUAAGCAUGCAUUUAGAAGUAAUUCUGUUGUGGAAGAAUAUGCUGCUCGUUCAAGAGAAAUUGUUAUUGCAGUGGGCAUGCUUCCUUUAGCCAUCGUGGUGAUAGGGUCCAAUCUUUUUGAUUGGGGCAAAGAUUUGGGGCAUUUGGAUAAAAGAGAAAUAUGGGACGAGACGCUGAAGAAGUUAAAGGAAGGUCCUUUUGAGGAUGUCCGAGAUACAUUAAUGAUAAGUUAUGAACGAUUGGAGGAUAAGCACCAAGAAGUAUUUUUGGAUAUAGCCUGCUUUUUCAUUAAUACUGACAAAACAUAUCCGGUUAUCAUGUGGAAGGAUUGUGGAUACUUUCCUAGCAUUGCAAUGAGGAUUCUCUCUCAAAGGUCCUUGAUCAAAAUCAGAGAUGAUAAUAGGUUUUGGAUGCAUGACCAAGUUCGAGACUUUGGAAGGUACAUUGUUCGUCAAGUAUAUCCUCGCAAGUUUUGUAGGGUGUGGAUCCAUGAGGAUGCCCUGAAACUAUUGGAGGGAAAAAAGGUAAAUAGAACUGCACAUGUUUGAAAAUAUUUGGUGCAAGAAAUUCUUUGAAAUUUUCUUUCCCAUUUAAAGCAGCAAUUUGGUUAAAUAUGCAUUCAAUAGAUAACUUUGUUUAACCUCGCUUUGUCUUGCGGGGGUUGCAUCUCUCUGUCAAACCUUCUGGUCAAAUGUCUCAAAGUUUGAAGAGAGCUAAAAGAGAUUGCCUGACAGUUGGCUUUAUUUUCUUGUAUCUAGUUUAUACAGUUUACGUGUGAUCCAAGUAAAAUGAAAAGACUUGCUUAAUCGAGAAUUUUAAAAUUAUUUUCAACCCCGAUUAUUUAGAACAAUCUAAUAAGAGGUUGAAUUAAUAUGCAAAUUAUAUUUCCCGAAAAGUAGAAACUCGAAAAUAUGAUACAUUUAAACUCGAAAACUAGAUUAUGUAGAAGAGGAGGAAACAACUACUUGUUGGGAAAAAGAGUGCCAUUGUUCUGGAAAGUUUAUGUGGCAAGCCCAACUAUUGGCGAAACUGCUACCGUGCUUCUAGGUCCUCUCUUUUCUCGCUCUGUACCAUAUGCCGCAUGCUCAGUAUUGUGUCUGCCAUAUGCAGAGGAAUGAAGAUAUGGUGGCAUUAAGCCUGACUUUCGAUGGCUGCAGCCGCAGCAUUGCAUGUGAAGAAUUAGCUGCUCUACCAAAUCUAAGAUUCCUUCGAGCAAAAGGCAUUAAUUUCUUUGGCAACUUUGAGAAUCUUCUUUCGGAGCUAAGAUGGUUUUCUUGGGAAAUUACACAAAUGGAAUUUUAUGAGGGGAGUUUUCAUUUCGCUAAUUUGGUUGUGCUAGACCUUUCAAGGAGCGAUAUCAAAGACGAUUGGGAUGGGUGGAGCCAUAUCCAGGUAUGAUAUGCCUUAUUCUAUUCAUCUUUAUUCAAUCUUUAUGGAUCAUUCAAUGAAUCGUGCACAUCAGUGGUGUGCUCCCCUGAUCUAAAUUUUUUUAUGUUAGUCUAACAUCUAAAAUCGACUUCAACCAAGUAAACACAUUUGAAAAGAAAGAAGAGGAAGCUAUACAAUAACAUGGCAUCAGCACAUCAUCCCAGUAAAUGAUAUCACAAGCAGAAUACCAUUGUUAUUCUAUAUUUCCUCCAUUCACUACAGACUGCCUUAGUAAUCGAGCCACGGAUAAAUGUGAUAUCGUACAAUCCGUACUAGCACAAAUCAGCACCUAUGCUCACCAGUCCAUGUUACUAUCCAAGCAUCCGCCAUCGCAUUGUUUUUUAGGAGUUGAAAACUCGCCUACUUCGGAGUUUGAACUUUGGAUGCUUCAUGGCUAGUCUGAAGACCUUUAGUUGAAAUUUAGACGGCCUUCACCUUUUCUUAAGAAGGGAAGAGCUGGCAUUGGUGUUCCUUUGGUUCAGCCUUGCACGAUACAUCUCUUUUUUCUACGACAAUUUCAACACUUGAUCACCACCUAGUAUUGCAACAUCUAAAUUUUCUUUCAUGACGAUUUACAAUAUCUUUUUUUUUUGUGACUUAAUUACGACUCUAUGUUGAGAAGAUAUGCAAAUGAGGGUUAUAUAGAAGUGCCACGUUCUCGUAUAGUUGAUAGACUCAAAAUAUAGUUCCACGAAUAACGUUUUCAAAACCAUGGAAAAAUUCAAACUUCAAGGUCUAUUUACAAGCAAAUUUCCAUAAAAUCAUUGCCGAAACAAAAACUCGUUCGUGCGUUGUAAACCUGAACGAUAGAUGGCAGAUUUGAAAUAUCAUUGAUAGGUAAGAAUUGAUUGGCAACUUUUUAGUUCGAUUAAUUAUCAACAAAAUAACAAUUUUACCAUCAUCAAACCUAAUAACGGAUUGCCAAUUGUUUUUUAAUAUUACAAGUGAUCCCCUUCAUUAAUUAGUAGAUAACGGAUCGCAUAGACACUUUACUAAUAGUGUCGUUUAACUAUUCUAACUUGCAAACAAAAUUUUAUUUACAAUGGCAAAUAGUUAGUUGAUUAUGACCGUCACUUUGAUUUUACUUAGUACCGAGUUUUAUUUUUCAUUAACAUACAAAUAAAAUAAUUAACAUAUAAGUUUGAAAUAGCCUUGUAACUACGAAAGCUUUGACAAACGAGCACGUUUUUCAGCUAGUAAACUACAAAUUGCUUACAUAUUUUACUAGUAGUAUUGUUUCCCGGCUGUAACUUAUGAACAAAAAACCUAUUCUUUUACUGUGAAUUCAAGUAGAUUAUUAAAUUUAUUUCAAUUUUUCAAGUACCAACUCAUAUAAGUCAGUAAAAGACUAACGAAAUAAUCGAUUUACCAAGCUUGCCCUAGUAUAUCAUAAACAGCCUUUUGACAUUUCACAAAUGAGCAGGUUUUCCAGUUGUAGAGUAUGGAUUGAUUGCUUAUAUACUUUACUAGUAGUAAUGGUUGCCAUUGAUAUUUUUACGAAUAAACUGGUUUAACACAAUAUAUCUCUAGUAGGUUAUGAAUUUCACUACAAUUGACCAUUUCACCGAUAAGAAUGAGAAUAAUUACUUACAUAAAGAAUCUUGGAUGAUUGAUGUGUUUCAUUCUUUUCAAUUCCAUAUUUUCAUUUUUUUUUGCAGAUGACAAAAAGAUUAAAAGUUCUAGAUUUAACGGAUUGCACAAAGUUGCGGAGGACACCCAACUUUUCUAAUUUCACAUCUUUGGAGACAUUAGUACUAGCUCGGUGUUCUAACUUAUUCACAAUUCACCCCUCCAUUUCUAAGCUUCAACUCUUGGAGACUUUGAAUAUCAAAGGGUGUAGUUCUCUUGGGGAGUUGCCUGAAGAAGUCUGUUCUCUACAAUCUUUGAAGCAAAUUGUCAUGCCCCAAAAUUUUCAACUCAUGAAGCUUCCGGAGAGAAUUAGUAAUUUGAAAUCUUUGUCGAGUUUUGGAUUAAACGAGCACCCUAAAAUCUGCCAACUUCCAGACUCAAUUGGAGGGAUGGUGAAUCUUACGUACUUAUCUUUACAUGGGUGUGUGGGGAUAAAGAAACUUCCAAGCUCAAUUGGGGAGUUAAAAAUGUUGGUAAAGUUGCAAAUAUCAACGUUAGGCAUAGUUGAACUACCCGAUUCUAUCGGAAACUUAAAGAAACUACGGGUGCUGCUGUUAUGUAGAACGAAGAUAAAGGAGUUUCCUCGUACUAUUGGAGGGCUGGAGAUGCUUGAAAGUAUAAACGCCGAUAGAUCUUGGGAUUUGACAGAUAAAAAUUUGGAGGAAAUUGGGAAGCUAUUUCAUUUGACAACGUUGAACUUAGCAUUUACUAGUGUUUCUAGAUUGCCUCCAGAGAUUAGUCGCCUCCAUCUCCAAAAACUUGAAGUGGGUUCGAUUGAGCUUCGACAAGUGCCUGCUCUUCCAUCAAGUUUGAAAUUCCUUGCGGUUCAAGCUCUAGACUUCUCUCUUGUCCCUCACCCCUCAAGCAUCACCGAUUUAGAACAUCUAGAAUUACAAAGAUUCAGCAAUUCAACAAAUAUACCUCGCUCUACUUGGCAAGACUAUCAUUCAAAAGUUGAAGCAGCUAUGCUGAGAGAGCAACCGUCCUAUCAGCUUCCAUCUCGUUUGUCGGCCUUGAAACUCAGGGGUAUCAGUCCACUGCCACAUUUUUCCAACUUAAUAAAUUUGACAGUUCUGCAUGUAAUUGACUGUGCAAUAUCACACCUACCUAUCAAUCCAGGCCUAACACAUUUGAGGGAACUGUUCAUACGUAGAUGUAAAUCCCUUGAGAAAAUACCUGGUCUAUCACUCUUAAGGAGUCUGGAGCGCUUGGAACUGAAGGGCUUGAAUAGGCUAGUUGAGAUUCAAGGAUUGUCGGAACUGGAAUCUUUGCAGUAUCUCCUUCUUUCCAGCUGUGAUCUUAUAGGACAGUUACCCAACUUAUCCAAGUUGGGUAAGCUGCAACAUCUGGAGCUAGAAGCUUGUCCAAAUUUAAGAGCCAUUGAAGGCAUCGAAGGCUUAGAAAGUUGGGUGUUGGAUAGUCAUGGCCGCACUACACUGGAAAGAUUAUUGGAUGUCUCAAGAUCAACUUGGCUUUCCCAUAGGUUACCUAUGUAUGAUGUGUUCCUGAGUUUUAGGGGAGGAGACAUUCGUUUCGGCAUUGUCAGUUUCCUUCACUAUUGGAUGUUACAAGAUCGAAUUUCUGUUCAAAGUGAUGACGAUGAUUCAAAGUCCAAUGAAAGUAUUGGAGAAGAGAUUCUACAAGCACUUGCUAACUCCAAUAUCUAUAUACCCAUCUUUUCUAGAAACUACGCUUCCAGUUAUUGGUGUCUACGCAAACUUACCCACAUGGUAAAAUGCACAAGAGAAUUAAAGGGGAAAAGAAGAAUCCUCCCCAUGUUCUACGACGUGGAGAUUGAUGAUGUUAAACUCAAAACUGAUUUAUAUAAAAGUGACCUAGACAAGCACCAGACGAACUUCGACCACAGUGAAGUAAAGGCAUGGAAAGAGGCCCUAAUUGAGGUCGCAGCAAUGAGUGGGUUCAUCUUGCGAAAUAACAGGUAAUUUUGCUAUUUCGCCACUAAAUCAUGAGCUAAAUAAGUCAUUCAAUUGAACUUUCCUGACACAGAGAAUUUCCAAGUUACUGCAAUGUAACUCUUUCGCAUGCAGAGUUGUCCACUCAAGCAAAUUCAAUCCUAUAGAAUGAGAAGUAGAUCCUUCUAAUUUGUAAUAUCUGGAGGAACUCUAUGGUCCAACUGAACAAAAUUGCAUACUAGUACAGCUGCACAAAUUUUUUUCUAUUGUUUUGUUGUCUAAUAAAUCAAAUCAAUAAUUAGAUUAUCACUUUAAGGAGAAGAACACCACAAGUAUCAUAACUUUCGAAAUGAUUACUCGAGUGCCAUAUAACUUUUUAACUGAUCACUCAAGUGCCGUAACUUUUUUAAAAUGUUCACCAUAAAUGCUAUGUCACGUCGAAUUUUCGGCACUUGUGUGAACGUUUUUUUUAAAAAAAAAUUGACUCUUUUAAUGAUUCAUGGAAAGUUAUGGCACUCAAGUUUUUUUUAAAAGUUAUGGUACUCAAGUAAACAUCAUAUGAAAGUUAUAGUAUUUAUGGCGUUCUUAUUCAUCAUUUUGUUAUCCUUUAGAUUUCUGUCUAUCCAACUAAAAUGAGCUGUCCUUCAAUUAUGCACUGCUGCAGCUACGAAGAAGUACUUCAAUUGGUUACUGAAGAUAUUUAUAAGGCAAGGAAAUUGUUAGAUGCUGACUCUUGAAGCCUUCUUUUGGUCGGUUGUCAAAGAAAAGGUGAAUGUGUUUGCUAUUAAUGUAAUGAAAUUCUGCCCCACUCCAUUCUUAUUCUAUUGUUUGGAGGAUCUAGAUAUUUCAUUUCGUAAUGAAAUUGGUUUGCGAUGCUAAUGCUUAGGUGCAUUAUUUACAAGGUGAAUGACGAGUACAUCAGUGAAGUCCCAUGUUUUACUAGAGGGUUAAGCUUAUACGUCAGUGUGCACAAGGUUGCUGGACAAUAAUAGAAAAGGAGCUUCCAUAAUCGCUGGUAGAGUUGGACUGUCAACUGUUAAACAUAGUUGAUCUACCUGAUUUAAUUGGAAAUCUAAAAAGAACUUAAACUAACCAGAAUGGACUUUUCAUCCAUAAGAAUGUUGUUACCCAAUGCUAUUGGACUGCUAUAAAUGAUUGAGGGGUUAGGUGCCAGAAAAUGAGUCUGAAGGUUGAAAUUUUUGGUGAAUUAGGUGACUAUUCAAACUGUUCGAGGAUUUUGGGCAUAACACUCAUCGAAGUUGUCUAUGGAUUCCCCACGAUGAUCUAUUCUCUCUCCCAUGUCCAUAAACAUUUUUCUGGAUGCAAUGGAAUUUGACAGCCACCCCAAGCUUUUUCAAUCCGUCUUUGUUUUGAUGCAUCUACAACCGGUUUGUUCAUGGCCUCAUGAAAAUGGUUAAUUUAGAUUUAUGGACAGACCUGACCAAUAUCUAACAGGUUCCAUGUACUUUGUCAUUCUUGCCACUUUGGCUUAAGAAAUAUUGCUUUUUUUCAAUCUUGAAAAACUCUUUGGUUCUCGAAGUUCAUGAAACUCAGAAGCAUUAGUCCACUGCCAAACUUUUGAAACAUAAUGAAUUUGGCAGAACUGUGUCCUUGGACGUCCAAUGUCAAAGCUUACCUGUCUCUCCAGAACUAAUACAUUUGAGGGGACUGAAAAGAAUUGGAUUUGAAUUCCUUGAGAACAUACCCUGUCGUCUCUCUUGAAGAGUCUACCACGCUUGAAUAGGCUAGUUGAGAUUCGAGGUUUGUUGAAACUGGAAUUUCUAUUAGUUUGUUUGGCUUUUUUAGUUUUUCUUUUCUGAUGUGGUGCUCACGUACGCCCCAUCAUCGCCACUUGUCUCAAUGCGAUGCAAGCCACCAUGUAGAAUAGCUAUCUUCGAUAGCAUGUUGAGCCAAACUUGGCUCAUAAGAGAAGGGCUCAUAAGAGGAAGGGGUAGUUAUUUUUUAAGUGAAAAUAACUAUUGUAUAAAUAUGAAAAAUGAGAAAUGUUAAGAAUAGAAUAAAAACAAUACGUUCAUUCAUUCCCUUGAAAUAACAGUGUACUCCUUCUUGAAGAUCGGAACUCCAAGGCUUCAAUCAAUUCCUCUGAGACUACAACAAGUACUUAAUCUGUGGUAAAUAAGAUAUGUUUGUUUUCGUGAUAUGCCUUUGGAUUGGUGUUACAUGUUUCUAGGCAUGUUUCCGCGUUUGUUUUCGGUAUUCAAUCGUUCGAGUAUCGAUUCAUCUUUCAAAAACCCAUUUUCAACAUUGGUAUUAGAGCAAUGUUGUUCAUGUUUUCCGAUCAUUAUUGACAUUUAUAAUUUGUUUUUUAUUGAAAUUUUGAGAAACGUCACCGUCUGACGUUUGGAGAUGGAAAUCCCGACACUGGCAUACUAUUCACCCCUCCCUUUUGAUUUUCUGUGAGUCAAAACUUAAUUUUGAAAGUGCAAGGUCAUAGUUUUUGUCGAGAUGAGAAAAACGAUAGAUGGCUUGCCAUCGGGGGCUGCCGAAUGCACCCUCAAGCGCGGCCCGAAGGAGAAGACUCAUCAACAUGUGCGCAGCAUGUGCGCAUGGUAAACCACAUGCACAUGCAUUGCACAUGCGCGGUAAUUGCACGCACAUUCUCAUGCACGUGGCAACCGCCAGUGCAUGCACGGUAUGCGCAUUGCAUAAGUUUACUCUUUUGCCCCUGUUUUCUUUACAUUAUUACCAUUUUGCCCUUGUCUAUUUGUUUUUACAAUUAUGCCCUUAUUUUUUAAUCAAUAUUACUGUUUUGCCCCUCAUAGACCUAGCUGACCCGUUAACCCAACCCGGUCAUCCAUUGACCAACAUUGAUCAUUGACCUACCAUUGACCAACCGUUGACUGGCAUUGACUGUUGAUCGAUGUUGACCAUUAACUGUUUCCCAAAAGAAAAAAUGGAAAAUGCGUUUUUCAAUUUUGUUGUGGAUUUUAUGUAAUCACUUUUGUUCUGCAUUUGUUGCAGGAACAAUGAUGCGUUCUAUAUGCACGCCUAUAUUCCUGAGAGCGGACGAACAAAAAGUGAGACUUAAAGGGCUAAAAACAAAACUAGCUAAUUAUCGGUGGAAUGAUAGUGAUGUAGUGUGACACAUGAUCAGGGUCAACCAGAUAAUACAAUGGAUCAUAUGAAAUAAUUAUCUUAUGCUAAAUUUUCAAAAGGUACCAGCUCUAAUGAACAUUCUUCCAUCAUAAUGGUAACUAGUGUUAGAUCGCCCAUGGGAGGUCAACGUUGUCACAUCCCGAUCCUCCAAGCGCGCGAACAUCCCACUCUAGUCGAUACAAAUGCGACUUCCCAGGACACGUCGCCGACCCAUUCAAUUUUUAUUAUGCAUGCGGAAGCGAAACAAAUCCCCUGACAAUAUUUAACUUGGGAUAGAAAAGCAGGCAAUCAAUCACAACCAAACAAGCUUUCUAUAAACGCAUAGGUUUAUAUACAACACUGGAUUGUCUACAAAAUAGAUAGGCUCAACAACUAGGGAACUGUCCUAUGACCAACUUGUCAGACAUGUUCAUCGAUUCUUCAGCCUCCACCUUCCGAACUCCAGGACUUCCGGUCCUCCACGACCGUCAUCUAGGGACCUGAAAUAUUAUCCCACAACCGGGAUGAGACUACGUCUCAGCGAGUCCUACCAUCUAAAACUCAAUUAGGGAGAAAAUACGCCUCAGGGUGCUCUAGCCACACAAAUAGAAUAGAGGACUUACCUCGCCUCAGUCCCUUUCCUGCACGUCAGUACAAUUCAUAUUCAAACAAUGCUCGCACAAGCUGAAACUACCGACAUACCCAUCGGUCUAUCAAUUCAGUCAAUCCAAUUGAUAUCAUACGAUCCACACAUCUAUCAAUUCAUAUCAUCUAUUAAACCAUACCAUCUAUUCAUCCAUCAAUACAAUUACGGCUCGCACAAGCUGAAAUGGAUGCAAUGCUCUCACAAGCUGAUAUAGAUGGUAGUUCGCACAAGCUGAUAUAUACAUAGAUGAUAGCUCGCACAAGCUGAAAUAUGAAUCGUUGCUCUCACAAGCUGAUAAACGAUCAUUGCUCUCAUAAGCUGAUAAAUGAUCAUUGCUCUCACAAGCUGACAUACAGUGCUCAUACAAGCUGACAAUGAUGCUCACACAAGCUUAUACAUAUAUAAACCAAUUGCUCGCCAAAGUUGAUAAUUCAAUAAUAAACCAAUUCAUACCUCAAUUCAAUCAAUCAAUCAAUCCAAUCGAUUCAAACUAGUCAUACAAAGCAAUUACGGUGCUAAAAGCCAACACUGGGUAUUUUCAAGUUAAAUACCACAACUUCAUCAAUUUCACACAAUUCCACACUUUUGGAAUUAUUAACCAUAAUCAUCAAUCACUCAAUUUCUCAAUUUAAACAUACAAUUAACACAAACCGACCGCACUGCUGCGAUCAGCGCGAAAUUCUAACGACCGGCCAUCCCGGCAUAAUUUUCGAAAUUAUUAAAUAACUAAAUUUAAUUCCGAAAAUUAAAUAAUGAAAUAUUAUUUUAUAAUAAUAUAAUUUAAUAAAAUAAUAUUUAUAAAUUCGAAAUAAUUAUUUAAUUAAAAAUAAUUAAUUAGGGCUUAAACUAGAUUACACUAAUUUAAACAUACAAUUAGCCCUAAUUAAACAUCCAUUAAACUAAUCACACAACUAAUCUAAUUUACAUUAAAAUAAUCUAAUCUAACCACCUAAACCUAAUUAGACUAAUCUAAGCACCCCUUAAGUGUCAUUAACUCACUAAGCAAGAAUUAGAGGAUAAACUCACCGGUUUUGCGCGCCGGUGAGUUCACGGCGACCCCGACACCAAGGCGGUCGAUAAAUCCCAAAGCGGCGACACCAACGGAGGCCGGGAAGGGCUUGAAAACAGGCCACAAAGUCUCCAAAACCUUGCUGUCUUCUGCUUCUGAUCUGGACUGAACUGCAGAGAAGAAACCAGCAACUUCAACGGCGAAAACGGGCCGAUCGGAGCUCCGGCAAGCGGGUGGUUGGCAACCAAUGGCUCCCGGGGGUCUUGGGGAUCGUGUAGGAGGUUGGGAUGGGCAAAGGAAGGGUCGGAAAGGGGCGAAACAGCAAGAAAACGCGAAACAGGCGGAGCAGGGCGGAACCAGACGGUCCGGCGAGCGGCAGCUUCGGGCGGCCGUACGGGUCGGCCGGAGAAUCGUUCCGGUGAGCGAUGAGGUGCUCCAAAACGGUCUGGAUGUCUUCUUCAUGGCGAUGGGUGGCUCGUUCGCUGAUUCAACCGGGAAGUUAACUUUUUACUCGGAUCUUUGGCGAAAGGUCGGCUGGAGCAGAAACUGGAACGAGGGGAAAACAAGGGAGGAAAACGGCCGACGGUGGCCUUCCGGGCGUGCGACGAUGGAGGGGCUGGUGAGCUCGGUUUCCUCUGGUUCUCUUGAGCUUUUCCUAAGCCUCAACCAUGGAGAAAGCCAUGAAUGAAGGAAGAAGAUGGUCUGCUGAAGAGGGGGGCCUCCUUGGUGGCUCACUAGAGCUCAACACUUGUCUAAACCUCAUUUGCUUUGCCCCCACCAUGACAUCACAUGACAUCAUCCACUCUCUCUCCUCAAUCUUCCUCCACAACCUUGCCAAUAGGUGCAAAAUAGCUCUCCCCCCAUGGUAUACGAAUUUCAUACAUUUGUACAUCAAAUUCAAUCAAUUCUCACUCAAUUCCAUCCAAUUGAAGUUCAAUUAAAUCAACCCAUGUGUCCUCAGCCUUCUCAUGACAUUUGCCCGUCAAAUGAUCCAACUUGCAUCCCGAAGAUUCGAUUAAAAACGGCCCUCUGACAAUCCUGAACAAAAACGGCAUUACUUUGCUUUUCCGCCAAAAAUCUCGGUUUGUAGAAAAAUCUUCUAGAGAUGAGUCGACAUUCCUAAAAUGAAUUGUGGCUUGACAGAACUUCCAAUUUCUGUAAUCGGGUUCAAUUUCACGGUUAAAUUCCAUCUAGUGCGACUUUAGCGCGUCCUAAUCUACCGGGUAGCUUUUAGGAAUUUUCUAUGCAAUUGACCUGUGGUUGAUUAUUCUCAAGCCACAAAUUGCAUCUUCGACACAUUGACGACUCUUGGUUGUCAUAGAAAUCUCAAGGUUUCAAAUACGGACACAGGGUACCAAAACGAUAGAGAAAUCGGUCUAGUGCCGAUCAACAAGAAUUAUGCAAUUAGGUGGAAUCACCCACACUGAAUUACAUGGUUCUGUUGAAUCGACCUAUCUCCGAUCUCUAAUCAGUCUGUGCCGUAAUGACCCUUGCAGAUUAGUACGGUCGAGCAGUCGGUUCCUGGUCGAAUUCUCAAGUCUAUUGCGUUUAGAUUCCUUAACGGCUUCACCUGAUAGACUAGUUAUCUCGUGAGUGGCCAACUCAGAGAAGAAAGCUAUAGACGUGAAGAUGAAAUGCCCGACUUAUUUAAUUGAAACCAGAAUUGGAAAAUCGGGAUGUCACAAACGUGGUUUUAGAUUAUAAAAAGCUUGUAGUGGCUUUUGUGAGAGAUAACUAUAGAAUUGAGGCACAAAGACUUCAACCGUCAAGUUGAGUGUCACUUGGCGUAGAAUGAGUGUGCCUUGGAGGAGCCAUAAGGCUCUUUGAAGGUCUUUCAAUGAUUGCCCAAUGUGCUUUUAGAAUUCUCAGAGCAAUUUACUAAGAGAUUAGAAGAAACUUUCCCAGUUUAUGAGAUAUAUAAGCAUCUUUGAAUUUAUUUAUUGUUUUUCUUCGAUGGUUUGAGAUAUUUUAGGUGUAAAUAUUUCUUUCUAUAUUGAUGUUGAUAUGUUUCCUUUGAAUAUAUAAUUUCAUGUAAAUGACAUACUUAGUUAAUUAAAAUUCAAUAUUAUCUACUGUUGCAAAAUAUUAUGUUAAUGUACAAUUAUUUGUGGGAAGUUCAAGAAAGUUUUAGUGACUUUGGUGAAGUUAUUUUUGCAUAAAUGAUUAUAUUAAUAAUAAUUUCGAGUUAGGAUUUUUGGAUGAUGAUUGGAAACAAUAGUAACCUUUUGAUUCUAAAACCUUAUUUAAAAUUAUUCAUUAAUAUGAUUAGUUCAUGCAAAAUAGAUGCAUAAAUGAUAGGUAUUAAUAAUUCGUGCAUGUAUAUCUAAUAUGUUCAAAACCAAUGGCUUCGGCAACUAAGAGCAUAGUAGUUGAGUUGAACAAAGGAGAGAAAUUGAACGGUGAGAAUUAUGAGAUAUUGAAUAUAAAAAUUCAAUAUAUGCUAGAAAAAUAAUAAGCACUAAAAGCUCUUAACUUAGUAAUGGAAGAACUUGGGGCUGCUAUACAUCACCUUGAGCUAGUAGAGAACUGCCCUAUGGCAUUUGAAUGGGAAUUAAAUAUUUGUUGUGUUGGUUUUAGCUUAGAAUGGGCUUCAAGCUUUAAGCGCAAGCGCAUUGAUUCGUUCAAAAUGUGAAAAUACAAGAAAUCAAGUUAUUCAAGCAAGAAACUAAGAGUUGAUUAACAUAAGAGAGGAAAACAUCCUCGAGUGAAGAGAAUUUCAACGGUAAAGUGUUACAACUAUGGUCAGAAGAGUUACUAUGCUUGUGAUUGUUGUUAGCCAAAUAAGGUAAAUACUUAUUGUAUUCUUAAGAACUUUGCUUAUGAAUCAAAUUAUGUAUUAUUAACUAAAUCUAAUCCUUUGUGGACUAUAGAUUUAGAAGCAAUAGGUCAUAUAAUGAAUGAUAGAAAAUCCUUUUGGAAUUUCAACGAGUACUGAUCGGAACAAAAUGAAUCUAUAUAGGAAACAACUCUAAAAUUGAAGUAAAAUGAAUUAGUACCUAACAAUUAAAUAUGCAUGGUGGAUGUACUUGGUUCGUACAUUAUGUAUUAUAUGCUCCAAGAAUUCGUCGGAAUUUAGUGUUUAUGUUAAUGUUGAUUAAAUUAGGUUUCAGUUUAAACUUUCAUAAUAAUUGUAUGGAUUUGUAUUUGGAUACAAACUACUAUGGUUGUAAUUAUUUUUUGAAUGGUUUUAUUACAUUGGAUGUUAACUAUGGUAAUAUCAAUGUUUAUUAUUCCCUCUUCACGUCUUCUAAUUCAUAUAAUAAUGAUGUGAAUAUAUGGUAUGCUAGAUUUGGUUAUAUUGGCUAACAACGUAGGAAUAGAUUAGCCGAAAAGAACCUGUUGGAUAACAUUGAAAUAAUUGAUUAGUCCAUAUAUGCACAUUGGCUAGUAGGGAAAACGACAAGGAAACCAUUUGGAAAAAGUAAAUAAAAAAAAUUGAAUUUCCUUUGCAAUUAAUCUAUUCUGACAUCUAUGGUUCAAUAAAUAUGAGAGGAAAGCAUGUGACUGUUUAUUUCAUCAUGUUUAUAGAUGAUUUUACUCAAUUCGGAUAUGUUUAUUUGAUUUCUCUUAAAUUUGAAGUAUUGAGUUUUUUCAACAAGUUUAUGAGCUUGGUAAAAAAUCAAUUAGAUAAGAAAAUAAAGUAUUGAGAUCCGAUUGAGGUUGAUAAUAUCUAUUUAAAGAGUGUAGAAAUUUAUGCAAUGAAAAAGGAAUAGAAAAACAAUUGUUUAUUCCCUAUACCCCUCAAUAAAAUGGUGUUGUGGAAAAGGGAAACAAAACUCUACUGGAUAUGAUUAGGUCAAUGAUGGUUCAUAUUAACUUACCUACCACAUUUUGGAGUGAUAUUUUAUCAAAUUCUACCUAUAUACUUAACCGUAUGUUUUCCAAAUCAGUUACUUCUACUCCAUAUGAGUUAUGCCGCCUAUGCUCAUGAGCCCUCUCACAAGUAUGGGAAAUUGGGUUCUAAGAACAAGAAGAGUAUUUUCAUAAGAUACUCAGAACACUUGAAAUAGUAUGUAUUUAUAUGUGAGUAGGAAAGUGAGAAUAUAAUUGAAUUUGGAUCAUGAGAUUUAACAUUCUUAAAGAAUGAAGUUCCUAAGAAUUGUGAAAUAGGUGAGGACUACUCCCUAGUUGAAACCUUGGAUCGAGAUAAUGAAUUAAAUAGAGAUUGUCCAGGUGGAAGUAAUAUGAUAAAUGAGAAAUUAAAUUUGACUCAAUCUCAAUUACAACCACUCGAUAAGACGAUAUUGUCAUUAUCUAAUUCAAGUGAGAGCAUAAUGAAGAAUAAUGUGCAAAGUGGAUAAUAUUUUGUACGACAAACAAGUGGCAAAAGUAUUCCCUAUAAACAUUUUGACAUUGAAGAGGAAACUUUUAUGCUUGCUCAACGAGAUGAAGACGAGCCAAAUAACAUAAAAGAGGAUCUAAAUUGUCAUAAUAAGGAAAAAUUGAUGCAUGCAAUUGAAUAAGAAAUGGAGUUAAUGAAGUCAAACCAUAUUUAGAAAUUGGUUGAUCUUCCAAAAGGACGCAAAACCAUUUAGAACAAAUGAGUUCUCAAAAUAAAGCGUAAAGGUGAUGGCUCAAUAGAAAGACAUAAGGCUCGUCUUGUGGUGAAUGGGUAUAAUCAACAUGAAAGAAUUGAUUAUGAGAAAAUAUUUUCCCUCGUAGUGAGAUUUUCCUCAAUUCGUUUUAUUUUGACAAUAGUAGCUAGUGUGGAUUUUGAGUUACAUCAAAUGGAUGUAAAAACUGAUUUUCUCAAUGAAAAAUUAAAAGAAGAAGUUUAUGUGGAAUAACCGCUAAUUUCAUUUUGAAAAGCUAAGAAUAAAAGAUAUGUCAACUUUUGAGAUCAAUAUAUGCCAUUAAUCAGUUAUCGAGAUAAUGAUAUAUGCCACAAUGACAUAUGAUUUUACAAUUAUUGAUGAAGACCAUUAUGUAGAUAUCAAAAGAUCCAAAGAUCAAUUUGUGAUCAUAUCAUUAUAUGUUACCAUGAAUGGACCUAGACUUUGAACCAGGGAGGGCCAAGUCAAUUUUCUGCAGGUAUGCCUUCCCACAGUGGGCGAACAACCCGUUCAAGCCCUUUAGGGAUAGCCUUUAGCAGAAAACCACCCAGCCCUUUAGUUCAGAGCCUAGAGACACUCAGAGAUGCCAGGAUGGAAACGUUUCUAAUCUACCCGAGCUGCAUUUCUUGGAGGAUCCUACCAGGCUGGAGAAGAAGAGGAGUUUAGAAAGCCAUAGAGAGGUUUUCCACAAAACACAUAUUUUUCUUCAGGGGACUCUGCCCAACACAUUACACCCUCCUCGCCUUUUAUAGACAAUAAGAGGUCACAAAGACACUCACAAGGACCAUGCUCAUGGGUCCAGAUACAAAUAAAGGCACCGGAAACUUCUGGGAGGGAAUUAUUCGCACAUUAUGAAUAGUGACUGUACUGUGAACAGUACUUUCCCUAGCCUAGUGCUACAAUAAAAGUGAUUUGCUACAGUGAAAUUGUACAAACUCAGUGGUCUCGUCCUUCACGAGCAUUAUAGUCAUAGUCGGAGUCAUCCGAGCUGUACAUUGUUGCUAGGCAAUGUGCAUCAUAUUUCUGCUCAAGGGCUUCAAGGUCUUCAGGUGAUAAAAUCUGGUUGAGCUGGCGAGAUGAGGAUGCGGAGGCUUCUUCAUGAGCCCAGUGGGAUGCUUCUUCUUUGGCCCAAUUUGUGUUGUCACUUGUUGUGUUGGCAGGAAUGCUUGGCUGAGGCCAAUUGGAUGGUUGUGCAUAGAAGGAUGUGUCCAUGUUCUGGGAUAAGGACGAAGGUCCUAGAUCAUAGGGAUCUUGGGAAAGAGGACCUCCCCAAUGUGCAUAGGGGUCCUGAGUAGCUUGGACAACAGUAUCUGCACUUGUCAUUUCAUGAUCUUGGGAUGAUACAGCUUGUCUACAUUGCCUGAGUGCUUCCUUAGCCUCUGGUGCUAGGUCAUAAUGAUCCCACGUAGUGGGUACAUUGUUCCAUACAUCUUCAAGAAUGGUCUUGUUCUCUUGGCACAAGAUUCUCUGGAGUUCUCAGUAUUGGUGUCCACAAUAUCUAACAGAUCUUGGAUAAGAUUUGUGAAUCCGAGCUUCUUGAUUGUUUAGGUGAGGUCUAUAGGAUGUGGUUCCUAUAUCUUGUGGAGCAUCGAUGAUGUUGUCAUUGUUUCUGAAAAAAUGCCAUGGACGUCUGAAAAACAGGAUAGUAUGGACUUCAGGAUUUGGGGUCAUGGUUCUCAAUUCUUUUUCCAAGAGAUGUUUCUAGUGAGUAGGAUUAUAGAACCAAUUAAGAAAGUCUAAGAGAUUCUUGUCACUUUCUUUCUCAACAUUUCUUCCGAGUAAGAAUAUCCUGGUAAGGUUGACAAUGAAUCUUCUGGUUGGAAUUUCAAUAGCUAUUAAGUACUUAUUGGUUAAGUACGGUAAUAACGUCUUGAGUUGAUCUGGGAAAUCAUCUUCCUUCUAGAUAAGGGGAUGAAUGAAUGGAUAAUUCAAAUUUAGCCCAAAAGGAUAAAGAAUCGAACAUCCAUUGAAUUUGAAUAGAUCCGUGUGGCAUUGCCACAUGAGAUUUUCCAUGUUUUCAGUGAGGCUGUCAUUCUGGAUUUGUUCUACAAUCUUCUGGGGAUAUUUCUAGCUUGGUAAAUCUUUGAUCUUCUCAUUCUUGUAUUUUACUCUAUGAUUGAGAAUGUGAAAAGCAGGCCUCUUGAUAUACAUGUUGAUUUCGGCUGGUGCUUUUGGUCUUGACAAGAAGCCGCAAGCACAUUCUUUUGCCCGGGAAUAUGUUUGGUUUCAAAAGAAUAUUUUGACAACCAUUCAGCCCAUCGAAGCAGUUGGGAGUUUGGAAUAUGCUUUUAUUUAAACUUGGUCAUUUGAGGGAAAGAUGCCAUAUCUAAUUCUACCAGGAAGUGAUGGCCGAUGAGGUGAAAUUCAAACUUUUUUAUUUCAUUUUUCACUGCUAGAAUUUCUUUUAAAGUGGAACGGUAAUGCAUUUCAGCUUGAGAAAACUUUACACUUUUGUGAGUACAAAGAUAUCUCUUAUCAUCAAUUUCUUCAAAUAGGAUGGUUGCCUAGUAUUCAUCACUAGCGUCAGUUUGAAGGAUUCUCUUUCCGGUUGAUGGUAAUUGCAAUGGUGGGAGAUUUUGCAUAAUCUCCUUGAGCUCAGCAAUUGCUUUAGUCUGAGGUUUUCCCCAAUGUGGGAGAUUCUUCUUCAGCAUGGAUUACAAAGGAAUCAAGAGCUUUGCAAUGUUUGGGACAAAAUCCCUAAGAUAAUUGAUUAUCCCAAGAAAUUGUUGAAUUUGUUUUAUCGUGAAGUUAUCCUCAGGAAACUUCAAUAAUUCUUGAGCGGUAUAUGGCCCUGGGUAGUAUGUACCUUUGUUGAGAUGCAUACCAAGAAAUUCAAUUUCUGUCUAGGCAAUAUUCAUUUUCCUCUGGGAAAGCAUAAUACCAUACUUCUUCACGAUUUCUGCGAAUUGCUCAAGAAGUCGGCAAUGUGACUGCUCAUCAGGACUAUAGAGAAGAAUGUCAUCAAUGUAUACAGCUUCACUUGACAAGAUUGGUUGGAAAAUACGACACAUGGCCUUUUGGAAAAGGGAUGGUGCUACCUUUAAACCAAAAGAAAGAACUUUUCACUGGAAGUGCUAGUUAGGGAUACAGAAUCCUGUUUUGGAUCUGUCUUCAGGAUGGAUGCCCAAUUGCCAAAAUCCGGCUUUGAGGUCAAAUUUAGAAUAAAUGUGGGCCUUGGUUAAACCAGUAAAGAGGCAAUUUCUGGAGGGCAAAGGGAAUUUAUUAUCUUGGAGAAAAAGGUUGAGGGGUUGGUAGUUGAUUACUGGCCUCAUUUUUCCUCUGUUCUGCUCGGCACGCUUAUUGACAUAAAAGGCUUCACAAGCCCAUUAAGAAUUGGAAGUUUCAAUAAGGCCUUGCUGCAGUAAUUCUGAACAUUCCCUUUGAGCUAAAGCCAAGUAUUCUGGCUUCAUUCCCAUAUGACUCGCCUUUGUUAGAUUGAUGUCUUCAUUCUUUUUGAAUGGAAGACGGACAAAAAACUCUGGAUUUUCCCAUAGAGGAUGAGAACAUUUAUGAGUGAAUUCAGAAUGGGAUUCUGAACAAGAUUCCAACAAUUUUUGCAUGAUUUGAUUUAAUAAACUCAUUUGAAUAGAAAAGAGUCUCUGAAUAUUGACAAACUCAGAGAAUUGGUCUCUAUACCCAAGACCUUUUCCAGGAAUGAUUCAAAGCUGAGAAAUUUGAAUCAUGAUGUCCCAACCAAUGAUUAAGUCUUUGUUGGGAAGAUUGGAUCCAAAGAUUUUUGUGGAUAUUGAACACUGAGGGAAGAACUGGACAGUUAUGGGGGUGGUUCUGACAUUCGUGGAGAAAGUAUUUCCUGAGGCAGAAUUGAAAUAUCGGAUAUAAGGAGUCCAGAAUUCUUCAGGAAGAACUUUGGUGUCCAGUAUUGAACAACUUGCUCCAGUAUUAAUGAGAGCAAUGACAUUAAUUGGUGGCAAACUUUGAAGUAAGGAUUUUUACGGGGAAAUGAGGACAAUGAGUCUGACUCAAAAAUAUGUCAGAGCUUGGUUCUGGAGAUGUGAGUGAUAUAUGAAAAAUAUCUUCAAACUCAGAAUCUGACUCAGUUUCACUAGAAGUGGAAUAAUAUGGAAUGACACAAAGAGUUUGUUCGCCUGGUUCUUCAUCAACAAAGAAUAAUGAUUCAAUAUCAUCAUUUUCAAGAGAAAUACCUGUUUCAUUCUCAAUUUGAUGUAUCAAAUGAUGUUGACCUUUUCUAGCUUGGGGGCAAUUUUUGGCAAAGUGCCCUUUCUGGUUGCAGAUGAAGUAGCGAUUUGAUUUUUUGAGGCCUGUAUGAUCUUUCCUCUUACGAAGGUAUUGCCAUUUCUUCUUUCUUCGGAAGUGCUUACGGCCAUGUUUGGAUUUCUUUAACCAGAACUUCUUGAAGUGUUUCUUCUUUCGAGAAGACUUUCCACAAGUACCAUCACAGUCUUUCUUGGAACAUUUGAUCUUUAACUUCUGGCGAGAGUAGGCUGUCUCGAGUUCUCUCUCAUUUAUGAUGUAGGUAUGGACCAUCUGGCGUUUUAGGCACAAUUCUUCAAGGCAUAGACAGAUUUCUUGCUGUAUUUCUCCCAAGGGAAUAUCCUGUACUCUCCUUUGUCUUCCAAAAAAGGAUCUUUCAACCAUCUGGGAUAGUUCUUUAGGGAUGGAAGUCAGGAAAACAUGUUUUAGAUUUGGAUCUGCUCCAAUCUGAUAAAAAAGUUGAAGCAUUUGCCGAUAAUGCUUAUCAAGAUAUUUCUUUUUGAGGGAGCAGCAUUUUCUUUCGAAAAAUUCUCUUCUUUUCAUUUCUAUGAGGUCAGUGAGUUUCCCUACAAAGAAAUGAUAUAAGAGAGUGAUGGCAUGGCUAAAAUCAGGUGACAUUAAAAAAUGAUUCUGGUCUUGUUCUGAAACAGAUUUCCACCAAAGUUUGAGGCUUCCUGUGAACCUCGUCACAAAAUUGUAGAGGGCAUCAUUCAUAUCAUAGUUGGUGAUAGACUGAGUAUUUAACCAAGUAUUAAAUUCCUCAAGUCUUUUUAGCCAUUUAUGGUAGGGGAUGUCAUCUAUCGUGAAAAACUGUUUUGAAGCCAUGGACACAUGGUGUCCUGGAUUGUUCUGAACAAUCUCUAGGUCAGAGUAAUUUGAUUCCAUUUCCUGAUUUGGAGGAUCAGCCAUAAAUAUGGAUGAAGUUACUGGUGCAAUAAGAAGGGAAUCAACUUCAGGAAUUGAAAAGGAUGAAGAGGAGGAAAAUGAUACUGAUUCUGAUUCAGUAUCAGAAGUGAUAGGAAUAGUUUGUUCAACUGGGAGUAGAAUCUGAUCAUUUGAAAUGGCAGGAUCAGGCUGUUUCUAAGUACCCAAAUCCUUGAGAAAAGAUUCUAGCGGAUUGGAUAACAUCGUCUGAUCUGGCCUUUCUUUUAUAACGAUCGAACUUUAUUCUGUAGGCAUUUUUUCUUUUCCUCUGUCCUUUUGUAGAUUUUUGUGAUGAUUUCGCAUUUCUGCCAUAUCUGGUUCUUUUCUGAAAGAAUCUUCUGGGAUGGUAGCAAAAAUAGACGGCUAGGGUUUUGGAGGCAAAUACCCAGUUCUGAUAGGAGGUGCCAGUGGAUCGAAAGGUCUAAACGUUCCUUCUUCAAGGAGUUGGAUUUGCCUUUUGAGCUUUUCUAUCUCCGGCUUGGGGCUCUCAAGAUGAUGAUACCCUAGAUGUUGUCUUGAUUCCAAGGCAUUUAGCCUCUUUUGGAAUUCAGAAAUCAUUUUCUUGGUGGUUUCAUCAUACUUUCGAAGGUCUUGUUGCACAUUUCCAAUCUUGGAAUCAAUUGCUUUGAAGGCAUUGUUUUGUGCUAACAAAGUCUCCGAUUGCCAAUUUAAAACAGCUUCAGCAGCAGGAGUUCUUCUCUGUCUUCCAUGUUCAUCCACAUCAGUGGGGGCAGCUAUCUUAGGAGUAUGAUGAUAUCUGCCUUGUGGAUCAAUGAAUUCCUCUGGAGGAAACGAGAGUUUUGAACUUUUUCUAACAAGAGGAGGAAAGUCUGUAUCAUAAAACAUAGCAAUGUAAAAAGUGGAUGGUAUUUCUGCUGGAACCUCAAGUGGGUAAGAAUGCUUCUUAGCCUAUUAUAGGAUUGGUUUGUAAAACGGGGAAAGAACUUGUUUUUUCUGAGGAGGAGAUGGUGGCGGUGAUUUUGAUAGAUCACAUGAAACUUGGGAUGUAGUACUAAACUCCGGUGGUGGAGGUGGUGAAUAAGAAACUAUAAACUGGUAUUUAUCACACUUACCAAGAGUAUGAACGGAGGGAUCUCCGUUUAAGUACUUUUGGUACACUUUAUCCUUUGGCCUUUUUCGACGAGGUGGAGAUCUUGCAAGAGGAUCUACCUCGUCAGGGGAGUUUGUACAAUAGGAACAUUGGCAAAAAGGAUCCCAAAAACAAUGACCAUAGUUGUCUUUAUAGUAAUGGACAUGAUGUCCAUCACCAUUAAAGUGUCAAAUAAGUUUUUUUGGAUCUGGCUCGGAAAUUGCUUCUGGAACGCAUGAUUCAAUCAUGAAGAGGGUUUGGAAGAUAGAAUUACUUUCUUCCUUUUCCUUGUCAAAUUUGAUGGAAACAAUUCCAUCAUUUUUUCCGAAGAAACUCAGAGUCCGUAGACUGGAAUGGCUUGUUAUGCUGAUGUAGCUUUUCGUAAUUGGCGAUCCAAGUCUCUGGGAGGAGCUCGGCUAACGUAUCCUUUGGGAUCUGCCUAGGAACAUGGAUACAUGAUGCUUGAUCAUUUUGCAUGGAGAUAAACAAGGCAUCUUCAUUACCAUUAUUGAAGUUGAGAUCAAGAGCAUGGUUCUGCACUCGAUAAACCAUCUGGUAAUGUAGGGUUGCAGCUAUAGAGUCAGCAGUUUGAGGAGCUCCAAUGAGCUGAACUUGAACUUUUAAGAAAGAAAGUAGCUGAGGGUCUAAAAGAGCGAUGUUGAAAUUUGGAUAUAAAGUCACGAAGACUGUUCCAGCAUUCAAAGUAGUUUGAACAGUACCAAUGCAGGCAUGCUGGUACUGUAAAAACCUAGUAUCCAACAACGCAAUUCGUGCCACAACUGGCAAACCUUUACGACCAUGGAAGGUAAGAGCAAGACGAACAGCGCCAUAAUGGACGUGAGUAUAUCCUUGCUGAGCCCAUUGUUUGGGAAACUCUGGGGGGAUCUGAAGAGUAACAAAAUACUCAUUUUUAGUAGCAGGAAUGGGGUGUUGGUCGAAUUUGGAGGACUGGACGUACUCCUUGACUUGCUUUGGGGUUUGGUGAAUAAGUUGGUUGAUGGAGCGGAUGGGUGAGAAAGAUGUGUGUGGUUUGACAAAAGCGGAGUAAGGGUUCAUGAGGGGGAGUUGGGUUUCAAAGAUCUUGGUUUCAUCACUAAGAGAGACUUCAUAAAGGUAAUCUAUCUUAGAGGCAUUAGAAACACGAAAUUUUGGAGAGGUUGAAGAUGAAGGAGAUGAAGUAAGAGAAACUGGUGCUUCGAGAAUUUCUGGUUCGGUAGACAUGAUGAGAAGAGAUCUUCUCAGCACUGAAUUCACCUACCAAUCGCAUGGAACGGAUAAUAUUAGGAACGAAACCAUGGCUUUGAUACCAUGAAGGAUCUAGACUUUGAACCAGGGAUCUAGACUUUGAACCAGGGAGGACCAACUACUGUUAAGAGUUGGUUAUCUUACAACUUUAACAUGAAAGAUAUGGGUAAGGCUGCAUACAUUCUUAGAGUUAAGAUUUUAAGGAAUCAUUUGAAGAGAUCAUUGUCUUUUUUACAAGAGAUCUAUAUAAACAAGGUUCUUGAACGAUUUUGUAUGAACCUAUAAAUAAUCUUAUUGCAAAAGGUAAAUGAUUGAGGCAUAGAUUUUGUCCAAAAACUCCACAAGAGAAGGAACAAAUAAAAUACGUUCCUUAUUCUACUACUGUUUGAAGCUUAAUGUACGCUAUGAUGUGUACAAAACCUUAUAUAUGUUUUAUAGUUGGAAUAGCAAGUAGAUACUAAUCUAAUUUUGAACAAACAUAUUGGAAAGUUGUUAAAAGAAUACUGAAAUGAAAUACGUUCCUUAUUCUACUACUGUUGGAAGCUCAAUGUACGCUAUGAUGUGUACAAAACCUAACAUAUGUUUUAUAGUUGGAAUAUCAAGUAGAUACUAAUCUAAUUUUGAACAAACACAUUGGAAAGCUGUUAACAGAAUACUGAAAUGAAAUAUGCUUCUUGUUCUACUACUGUUGGAAGCUUAAUGUACACUAUGAUGUGUACAAAACCUAACGUAUGUUUUAUGGUUGGAAUAGCAAGUAGAUACUAAUCUAAUUUUGAACAAACACAUUGGAAAGCCGUUAAAAGAAUACUGAGAUAUUUAAAAUGAAUUACUAAUUAUAAACUGAAUUAUCAAGGAAAUGAUUUACAGCUUGAAGGCUAUUCAAAUAUUGAUUGGAGAGGAGAUUUAGAUGAAAAAAAAUCUACCUCUAGAUUUGUUUUCAAUUCAAACUGAAUAAUGGUGCCAUAUCUUGGAGCAAUAAGAAACAAACGUGUAUAGUCUUGUCCGUGAUGAAAGCUAAGUUCGUGGCAUUAUUAACAGUAAUACAAAAAGGUGUUUGGCUUUAGAGAUUUUUGGAUCAUUUAGGUAUUAUUAAGAAUGUUGCAAACUCAUUGUUGGUUAACGGUGAUAACCAAGUAACAAUAAUGUACACCAAGGAUUCAAAAUAUCAUGGUAAGACCAAAUAUAUAAAUGCCAAGUAUAAUUUUGUCAAAGAUAUAUUUGUACAAAAAGAUGUGAACAUACAGUACAUAUCUACGCAUAUAAUUAUAGUAGAUUCUAUGACGAAGCCAAUACCUAGAGAUGUAUUUUAUAGUCAUAUAAAAUCACUAGAACUAUGUAGAGGCUAAUGUACUCAAUAGUAUAAUUUUCCUAAAUGUUCACAUUUAAUGAAGUUAUCUUUCAUUAUUAAAACCUAUGAUUUUUGUUUGACGUUUAUGCAUUUUAAUACUCAGUGCAUCAUAUAAAAUUGAGAAAAUAUGUCGGGCAAAUAAGAGGUUAGCUUACUCUCACAGGUAAUCGCCUGUAUUUACUAUGUGAUAAAUAGAGAUGAGAUAGUUUUUAAACUUAUUAUUUAAGUAAUAAUCGAGAGUUCAAGAUUAAAAUAUCGAUAUAACUGAGUACUAAGAUGAGAACAUAAUAUUUACUCUGUCUGAAAGUAAAAUAAUCUACAUAUUUUACUUUAUUUGUCUUUGAUAUCAAAUGUGAGUUCUGAUAAAUUUUUGAAAGAGUAAAUACGUGAACUCAAAUUAUAUUAGGUAUGUUUAAACUAUCAUAUGUAUGAUAUUAAAAUUGAAAACAUACAUUCCAUAGAAAAUGAGUUAAUACCGUAAUACGUAUUUCAACUACGUAGCAUGAGACAACUAAUAACAGUGGCAAAAGUUUUGAUCUCAACUUUUAUGCCGAGUGAAACUCUUUAGGAAAAAAGUUCCUCAAUUAAGUGCCCUCAUGACUCUUCCUUAUUCUCAAGAUUUUUAUUCAAUAUUUGCUAUCUUAGAAUGUUGUCAAUGAUUAUGAAUUGAUUCGAUUUAAUUGGACAUUUCUAAAAAAACAAGUUCAAUUAAAAUUAAGAGUUUCAAGAAAAGAAAAAGAUUGAGUUUGAGAUAUCACAUUCUAAUUUUGUAUUCACUGAUUGACCAAUUAUGAUUGUUGUGGGAUAAUCAUAAUUGUAAAUACAAUAUAUCAUUAUUAAAAGGAGAUCAAGAGAAAUAUAAAUGUGUUCAAUCAAUUUAGGAUACUGCAUAUUAUAUUUACUUGAAAACGUAAUACCCAUUUUGACCUACUAUAUAAUCCUAACAGAUGUAUGAGAACGAGCUCUUAAAGUAUGUUGGUCACACGGAUUAUUUACCGGUAUAAAUGUUGAAGAGAGAUGAAUAAAGAGUUUUAUUAAGCCCAUCAUGUGCAAGUGGAACAUGAUGGGUUUUUUAUUUAAUGGGCUAAAUCAAGCUCAUCUGCCCAUGUUAAGCCAAACCCAGCCUAUAAAAGAAGGACUAAUGAAAGAAAUGAGCAAUUAUUUUUUAAGUGAAAAUAACUAUUGUAUAAAUAUGAAAAAUGAGGAACGUUUAGAAUAAAAUACAAAUCAUACAUUCUUUUCCUUCCCUUGAGAUAAGAGUGUACUCAUUCUCGAAGAAUGGAACUCUAGGGCUUUGAUCAAUUCCUCUAAGACUGCAACAAUACUUAAUCUGUGGUAAACAAUGUAUGUGAUAUAUUAUUUGAUCGGUGUUACAUGUUUCUGGCCAUGUUUUCGCAUUUGUUUUCGGUAUUCAAUUGUUUGAGUAUUGGUUCAUCUUUUAGGAAUCCGUUUCCAACACCACUAAUACAAGGUAGGGUUUUUUGUGACCAAAAAAAGUUAUUUUUUGGGAAAAAAAAUUAUUGGUUUCACAUUGUAUACUUUUAGGUUCUUGAUAGAAUUUUCUCUGGAAUCUAUUAAAGAUUUAAGGAAUUAAGUGUUAGCUUUGUCGACUACUGUAAAAAUUUCAAUUUCUCCAUUGUCGGAGAUACAUAGCUGUUAUUCUUUUGUAUAGAGCGUGUGGGCUUUGGUGAAAUUUUUUAAUGAAAGCUUUGUUAAAUGUCUUCAAGUCCACUCUAUAAUAGAAAGAUAAUAGCAUUAAAGAAGCUGUCGGAUCGAUUUUUUUUUUUUAAUUGUAUCCAUAACAUGACUGAAAAGAUAGCCAAAAAAGUGAUGUGUAUGGAAUGAAUGAGGUAUUACUUUCAUUUUAACUUAGGGAAUUUGGAACUAGAGCAAAAUUAAUGAUACUCAUAAAGAUACGUCUAGAUGGAGUGUCUAUAACAUUUGAUUGUUUCAUCAAAAAUCAACAGUUGAAAAGAAAUUUUCUCGAUUUUUUACUUUUUUGUAUCAUUUAUGAAAAUUAGUCAAUAUUAAAUAUUUUCAUAUUGACUAAUUCCUGCAUUUACAUACUUUUGUUGAUGAUUAUAAACUUUUUUUUUUUGGCUCAUUUUCUUAAACAAUAAAAACAACUGAAAGUAAGAAUUGUUUUUUUUUUUUUUUAUUGUUGGUUUACUGAGAAACGACUGAAAUGUAAGAAGAACAAUAUAAUCUAAGCAUGUAAUAUAUCGUGAAAAUAGAUAACAUUCUGUAAGUCAACAAUGUUAACUAAAAAAGAAUUCAACAACUAUGGAGUAAAGGGAAAUACUGUGUCAACAGAAGUUCAAAUCUUUUAAAAUCUUCAAGGAAACACUAUGAAAAUGCCCAAAGAGUACGAGAAGCACAUUUGUUAUACGUAGGAAAGAUAAAGAAGUUCAUAUAUCUUUCCAGAGUGAUUGUUUUUUAAAUAAAACUGAUUAAUGUCGUUUCUAUCAGCACAUCACUAGAAACAACUUGUAAGAAUAUGCACUAAUUUUUCAAGAUCUUAAUUUGAAGUAUGGAUUAGACACAUGGGUUUGGAAUAGUGGCCAAUGAAACAAUUGAUCGUUAAGUGAUGUUGUCAAGUGUGGUAGGUGGAUCCAAUUUCAUCCAUUACAUCGAGAACAUUUACUUCGUAUCAAUAUUUGAUGAUGAUGCUUAUACUUAUUUCCACGAGCUUGACAGAUAAAUUAGAAUAGUUGAUUGGGUCGGAUUUGAAAUGGUUAAAGAUCGUCAAUCUACUUGAUUUAGCUGAAAAUUUUAACAAAAGCGAAGGGAAACUAGUAUAAAAUCUAAGAUUUAGCUCAAAUGUUAUUUGAUUUGCUCAUCUCACAAUUUAAAUUAUUAUCGAUCUAAAUGUCGUUUCAGAUAUAUCUAUGGGCUUCAAAUGUUGGUCUAUCAAUGAAGUAACGUAAUGAUAAUCAGAUCCAAAUUUGGCAAUUGGAUCUGGCUCCACCCAUUCCAUCAAGAAUAGCUGCUUCAAAUUGGUUCAUGAAAUUUCUGGAGCAUCUUAGAACUUUUUUCAAAUUGAGCAAUGUUCGACCAAAUUUUGGUGUAGCUGUAACCAAAAGUUGUCAUUGUAUAUCCUUUUCAUACGUGACUGAUGAAAACAUACUAUUUGUUUCGUUGUGGAUUGUUAAAGCCCUAAAAAGAGUUCUUGAAUCGACUAAAGAAGAAGUCCUUGAGACAUCUAAAACAUGAUCAUCACAAUAAUGGACUAGAAGAGGGUUGGGGUGUGAAUUGAAAAAAAAAAACACAAGACUGGAAAUCUUUCAAGAGAAAUCAUACAAUUUUGGGAAUGUGGUCAAAUCUUGGUAAAGGGAAAGAUUUGCGGGGGUUUCAAAAACAGAAAAAGAAAACAAAAGAAUCGACUGGAGAGUGGACGAUAUUUGCAAGUAUUUCUGAAUAUAGCAUUUUUUUUCAUCAAUAACGACAAAAUAUAUGUGGUUAUCCUGUGGAAUGACUAUAAUUGUUAACCUCACACACAAAUAGGAGAUGAUAAUAGGUUUUGGAUCCAUAACUAGGUUGGGGAAUUUUUUUUUUUUUGGUCAAAAUGUCAGACUGCAUUCAGAUGAAUGGAACAGUACAACCCGCUGCAAUAGUGUCCAAGUAAAGAAGAUCCAACAAAAAGGGGUGGGGGGAAAGUGGCCCAAUUCGGAGAUAAAGAAUCGUUGGUAUGGGCCUUAGCAGCCCAAUCCGCAGCAAGUUCGCUUCACGCCUGCAAAACCUAACUUGAAGAUGAGAGAAACAGGGGAGAAGUGCGGCGGCUUCAGCGAGUAAAGGUCGGACCUCCCAUGGCAUCGCUUGAGGAUCAUUCACGGCUUCAACCAACAUAAGGCAGUCUGAUUCGAUCAGGAGUGGAGCUUGAGUCUUGCCGUGUUGUAGAAGAUGGUGCAGAGUUAUACUUAGCGCCUAGACCUCAACCUGCAAAGCCGAGGAAGUUGCAACACCUCUGGUAAAUCCUUCUAUCAUUUUGCCAGUAUGGUGAUAGCAAAUAUAUGCCAUUGAACCUAUCACGCUCCGAUCCUCAGGCACGCACACAUCCUUUACCUUUGGUCGAUUUUAAAAUGCGAUAUCCUAGGACUACAUAUCGCCGACCCUUUCCUUUUCAAUAGCACAUGUGAAAGCAGUUAUAAAAAAUCCCUAGACAAUAAAGCGAUGGGAUAUAUAAGUAGGACUAGAAAAUUAAACUUGAAAACCAACACCCUUAUGUACAUCUAUAAUGGCUCAGUAAUACAUGUACAUAUACAAACCAUGCUAAAAAGGUUGGUUUCUACUCAAAUAGAUUCUACAGCAACAGUCAUCAGGAUUCUACUCUGGAUCAUCCUCGGGGUUCUCCUUCAGAUACUCCUCUUCAAGUUCUUUCUCCUCAGGUUCUUCAUCAGGGUCCUGAAAUGUUGUCCCACAACUGGGAUGAGACUAUGUCUUAGCAAGUUCUACCCAAAAAAACCCGAUUAGUAAACUAAUACACCUUAGGGUUGCCUAUGCACAACAUGAGUCAGAGGACUUACAUUGACCUUAGAUUCCACCUACAUAUUAGCACGGAUCAAAUAGGCACCCAAGUAAUCACAUCACUGAUUGAAGCAUCGAUCAAAUCGACCUAGUCGAUUACACACCAACAAGACCACUCACGGUUAUUUCCAUUAUUCCAACCAAUUUACAACAUCAAUUCAAGGUAAUGAUCAAUCGACCUAGUCGAUUAUGACUCAAUCAACUAUUCGGCGAUCAUUCCAUUCAAUCAACUAAUUCACAAUACCAAAUCAAAGCAAAGUUUAAUCGACCUAGUCGAUUACAUGUCAAUCGGACCAUUUAUAGGUCAUUCACUUCAUCCCACAUAACCUCUAAGGCUCCAAUAGCACACUUAGUCAUAGAGCUCCAUUAAUACUCUCGGGCGUCAUUUUCGCCAAUGUGACAUAAGUAAUAGACAGUCUACGUGCGUUCUUUAAGGCGCCGUUUUCACACAGUGAUAUCCUUAAUCAUCGAACCACACUUGUUACAAGUCAUAGACAGUUUACGUGCAUUUUUUAAGGCGCCGUUUUUGCACAGUGAUAUCCUUAAUCACUGAACCACACCUGCCACAAGUCAUAGAUAGUUUAUGUGCAUUCUUUAAGGCGUCGUUUUCGCAUAGUGAUAUCUUUAAUCAGUGAACCGUGUCUAUCUAUACUUCGUACCUGAUCGGUCUCAGCCAAUAGAGUUCUCAAUUCACUCUCACGACUCUCUCCACUUUACAGCUCAUCAAGGCAUUAUAAAUGCUAAAUAGCCAUACUCAGCCACUUACCAAUCAGUCAUUCAAUUCCACUCAAUUUCAAUCAAUUAAGGAAUAAUUCCUUAAAUUGCACAAUCAAUUUAACUAAUCACAAUGUGGAGUUCAAAUAAAUAAACGAAUUGCACCACGACAAUCAGUACAAAAUUCUGUUCACCGGCUAUCCCGGUUGAAUAUCCAAAAAAUAAAUAAUUUAAUAAUUAAUUUCGAAAAUUAAGUAAAUAAAUACAAUAAUUUCGAUUUAGCACAAUAUAAAGCUCAAUUAAAUAAACAGACUGCACCACGAUCAUCAGCAUAACAUUCCGGUCACUAGCCAUCCUAGUUGAAUUUUCGGAAAAUAAAUAAUUAAAUAAUUAAUCUCGAAAAUUAAUAUUUAGUUACUAAAAAUUCCAUUUAGGCCCAAGUUGCCUAAUUAAAAACCGAUAAGGGUCGGGAAAAAUCCUGAGAAGCAUUCAAUAAAUACUAUAAGCAAUUCUCUAGUUAAGUAUACUAAUCACCUGUCUAAUAUGCAAUGCAAUUAACUAAUAAUUGCUAAUACAUUCUAAUCUAACCACAUAAUUGCACUUAAUUAAAUAUAAUCAACCUUUAAGUAUAAUUAGUACACUAAAAAGGCAUUAGUGAGCAAAACUCACAAAAACGACGGGAUCGAUGCGAGGAUCGACUUUCCUCAAGGCAGGUUGAGCAUUCGGGUUCGGGAAGAUGGCCAAAAUAGGCCAAAACGCUGCUGUCAUACUCAUUUUUGCACUCUUUGUUCACUGCUAGUUGGGGUCGGAUUUGGGCUCGGGUUGAGGCGACAACUGACCUAGAUGGACCGAGGGGCUAAGCCAAACCUAGGCGGGGCUUCACGGUGGCUGGAGAUGGGAUGAAUGGCUCCGGCGGAGCUCCACCAGAUCUAAAAUAGUCACUGGAAUAGAGAGCUGGACGAGAGGGCGGCCAAGGCGCGCAGCUAGCAGCAGCGGGUGAGGACGGCAGCACGGCGGCGAAUGGCAGAGGGCGGUGGCGUCAUGUGCGGUCGUUGGCUGCUCCAACAUCCUCAGAUCUGCUGGGUCUUUGAGCAGCAACCAGAGAUGGAUGAGAGAAGGCUUCGAUGAUGCAAGAUGGAGAGAAAGAGACGGAGGUGAGGAUGGCGGCCAAGGAGUAGCGACGGCGUGCGGUGUGAGGCGGCGACGACAGCUUAGCUCCGGCGUGAUGGCAAUGGCAGCUCCGUCUUCACUGGUCUUCAGCUUCUUCGGUUGCUGCUGAAGACCAAAACACAAGGAAGAGGGAGAUGAAGGAGGUGCUCGACGGAGGAGUGAGGGGAAACCGGUUUUCUCUUCCUCUCUCUCUCUCUUUGGUUCCACCAACUUGGCCCACCACCUAGCUAUCCUCCACCCACAUUUUCUUGACCAAAUAUGCCCCUUCUAGAAGCAUUUAGGUAGGCCAAAAUGUUGAGUAUAUGUGGCAUACGAAUUUGUAGGCAAAAUGGCACAAAUCAGACCCCAAUCCUUCUUCAAACAAUUUCAUCCGGCCUUUGAAAAUUCAACCGUCAAGUUUUUGGUCGAACUAGAUUUCUUCCUCUCCAAUAUAACCCACUUGUAUCCCAAUUGCACAAUAAAAACGGUCCUCUGCAAAUUCUGAUAAAAACGGCCCUAACUCAACUUUUUCCCAAAAAGUCUCGAUUGUCAGAAAAAUCUUCUGAGACUGAGUUAACGUUCCUAAAAUUUAUUGUGACAAGACAGAAUCUUCAAUUUCUGAAAUCAGACUCAGAUUGGUAUUAAUUUCACUCGGGCGCGUUUUUAGUGUAACCUAGGCUACCAGGUAGUUUUCAGAACUUUUUAGGACAAAUGAUGCAUGGUCGAUUCUCUUCGAGCUACAAUGAACCCAUUUGACACAUUGGCGACUCAGUUAUCAUGAAAAUCUCGAGGAUUCAAAUAUGGACACAGGGUACUAAAACAAUAGUAAAUCAAAUUAGUGCCGAUCGAUGAGAUUUUCAUUUAGUGGGAGUCACCCACGAUCGGUCAUUCAUCUCAGUCAAACUAACCUAUCUCUAAUCUUAAUUCAAUUUUUAACUGUGCCGUAAUGAUCUCUAAAGAUGAGCAUGGUCGAGAAGUCGAUUCAUGGUCGAAUUCUCAAGUCUAUUUGCCUUAAAGUCCUUAAUAGCUUACUCAGCUAGUCUAGUUAUAUCAUGAGUGGCCAACUCAGACAAAAACACUAUAGUCACGCCGAUGAAAUGCCCAAUUUAUCUAAUCGAAGUCAGAACCCGAAAAUCUGGAUGUCAUAGAACUAGUAGUGCUUGCUAUUUGAAAAGCCCCAUCGAUGUAAAUCUUUAGGACGCCUGGAUCAGGAGGCCGCCAUAAUGUGCUUGGAUCUGAAUGAUUUCGCCCUGAUCUCACCGAGAUUGAAGAGGAGUUCUGAGCAAUUCGAGCUUGGGCGAAGGCUGCAUCCAUGACAGAGGUCGGAUCAGGGCUUUGACGACAGAAAAUGAACUUGUUGCGUGCCUUCCACAUCUGCCACAAGAUUGUGGCUACAAUCUCCAUAUCAGGUGAGGUCUUCGUAUUUGCAAAUCUGUUUGCUAGCCAUGCAUCUAUACGUUGUACUUCUGUGGGUAGAAUUCGUAUACCAAUCUGUGGGCGAGACCAAAUUCUGAAUGUCCAUGGACAGAGUAGAAAGAGAUGUUCCAUCUGUUGGAGAAAUCUUCUUGAAGUAUUUUGAAGUUGACAAAACGUUUCUAUCAGUCUAGUCUAAAGGUUUGCAGACUCUGUUAUUUAAAGUCUGAAGACCUCCGGACAGCCAGACUCAAGACUCAAAGUCUAUCCUCAUUGACAGUCUCUAAUCCGUUGAAGAAAGGUUAUCCAGAACUGGAUGUUUCGUUAAGGAUUCAACCUUAUCAACUGGAGAAGAUCUCGUGGCUGGAAAAGACGCAACAGAAUCCUUUGAUUGAUCAAGAUUGAUUUGAUGAUUCGAUGUUUGUCUAAAUAUUAUUGGAAUGUUCUACUUAUGGAAACCGAGAUCCUGAUUGUAUGGGCGAACAGGAUUGAUGGGCUAUCAACACGUUCCUUAAAUAGCUCGAACAAUCUUCCUAAUUGAUUCCGUCCAACGGGUAGAUUGGAGGAAUUCCUUUGGUAAGUGCCAACGGGUAUGAUGGCAUAAAGGAGUAUAUAAGGAAGACGGUCUUAGUUGUUCGAGGUGUGCGCGAUAGAAGAAUUCCAAAGUCUGAAGCUCCUUUUUGUUUAGACAAUUCCUUGAGCGAAUACUUGUAUACAAAAGAGAGUCUAUAUUUGUGAGAAACCUUGAGGAGGUGUGGUAGAACAUCUACACUGUGGAAUCAAGGCUAAGCUGUGCUGUAACUUCUCUUUUGAUCAUAGUGAAAUCCAGCCGGUGGGCUGUCAGUGCGGAAGAGUGGACGUAGGCUUGGAAUAAGCCGAACCACUAUAAAUCCUGUGUUCAAUUUUCUCUUCCUCACUCUCUCUACCUCGAUCGUAUUUCAUUUUGUUAAUCAAGAGAGAAUUUCCAUUAUAUCGUUUGCCAAGAAUCGCUUCCGUAUCUCAAUAAAUUGUUUGUGCACCUAUUCACCCCCCUCUAGGUGUUUAUACUAGCUAUCUCAAUUGGUAUCAGAGCCCGUGUACUCACUUUAUUUGAAGUGUUUUACUUCAGAGUUAAAGAUCCAUGGCUAGUAUGCUAGCACCGGGGCUGAUGGAAGGGCAAAGCAAUACCAGACCACCCUACUUUGAUGGAAAGGAUUACAACAUCUAGAAAAACAAGAUGAAAGCUUUCCUACGAUCAAAGGAUCCUCUGGAAUGGGACGUUGUAGAAAAAGGAAUUACUCCUACAGCUGCAUCAGUCUCUGAAAGAGGGAAAGAAACUAUUGAGACCAGUGGAAUGACUUAGGAAGAGAUAAACAAGAGACAAACACUCGAUGCAAAAGCAAUUUACUCUUUAUAUUGUGCUUUGUCACCAACUGAAUAUAAUAGAAUAUCUUCUUGUGUUACAGCAAAAGAAGUCUGGGACAGAUUGCAUAUCACCUAUGAAGGAACAGAUCGAGUGAAGGAAACAAGGAUUAAUAUUCUUCUCGGUCAAUAUGAAGCCUUCAAAAUGAAACCAGGAGAAUCUAUAACUGACAUGUUUAGCCGUUUUACAGAUAUUGUCAAUGGUCUUGAGAAUCAAGGACAAAAAAUUUAUGAUCCCAUGAAGGUAAACAAGCUACUGCGUGGACUCUCCAAGGAUUGGAAUCACAUAGACUUCGAUAAGAGAGACGCAAAGAAUUAUGCCACUAUUUGUUGACGAGCUGAUUGGAACUCUUCAGUCUUAUGAAGUGGAACGGAUCAAUGAAGAUGAAGAUCCAAAAGGUAAGAAAUCCAUUGCAUUAAAAUCAAAUGAUGAUUCUGAUGAUACAGAUUCUGAAGAUGAUAUGGACGAUGAGGAGCUUGCUCUCAUGAUAAGAAGAUUCAGAAAACUGAAUAGAAAAGGAAGAAGGUUCAACUCAAAGAAACAAAGCUUUCAAAGACAGUAGACCAAGUCUGUUGAUGAUGAGGAACCAAACAAAGAUGUAGUCUGCUUUGAAUGUAAGAAAAAGGGACACAUCAGACCCAACUGUCCUCUUCUGAAGAAGAAGAGAGGAAAAGCUGAAAAAUUUCGAAAAGCUCUCAAAGCCGAAACCUGGAGUGAUACAGAGUGUGAAGAAAGUGAUGAUGAAUAUGCCAAUCUAUGUCUGAUGGCACAAUCAGACUCAGACUCUGGAUCAGACUCAGACAGUGAAUUUGAGGCAAGUAAUUUUAAAAUUCCUGUCAAAGUUUCUAAAUACAUUGAUGAACUGUGUUUUAUUCUUAAGACUUCUCUCAAAAGAAUUUCCGAACUGAAAAAGGAAAACUCAGCUCUAAAACAAAAGGAAAAUGUUUCAGUAGAAAGAGUUAAAAAUCUAGACUUGACUGUUUCCACUCUUAAAGAAAAUGAAGAUAAUCUUUUAAAAGAAAAUGCUCUUUUAAAAACUGACUUAUCAAAUACUUCAAAGAAAUUUUCAAUAGGGUCUGAAAAACUUGAAAAAAUUAUUUCAGCUCAAAGACCUUACUUCAAUAAGUCCGGUCUAGGUAUGACAGUAGAAACAAUUCCCUUGAUUGAUUUUCCUAAAGUAAAAGAAAGAAUUAAUAAAAGACCCUCGAGAGAGGGUUACAAAAAUCAUUUCAAGAAAGUUUUUGUAAAAUCUGUAGGUAGAAAUGCUCUCAGAUGUUCAAAAUGUAACAGUCCGGAUCACUUUGAAAAGGAGUGUCCUAAGGUUUGGAAACCUGUUAAGAAAGUAUGGGCUAAUACUGUUUAUCUUACUAACACCAAAGGACCCAAGAAAGUUUGGGUACCAAAGAAAGCUUGAGACUUUAUUUUAAAUGCGGGUCUCCGUCAAGAAAAAGGUAAAGUGGUAUCUUGACAGUGGAUGUUCAAGACACAUGACAGGAGACUCAAAUUGUUUUAUAAAGCUUGCUCAAGUAAAUGGUGGAAAAGUUUCAUUUGGAGGAAACAGCAAAGGAAGUAUUGUGGGAUUUGGAACUGUGAAAAUUGGAACUCUCACAAUAAGUAAUGUUUCCUUAGUGGAAGGACUCAAUUACAAUCUUCUCAGCAUUAGUCAAUUAUGUGAUACUGGUUUCAAGAUCUUCUUUCAAGAAGGAACAUGUUCUGGAAUCAGUAAAGACUCUACUCAGUCUUUCAUGGGUCGAAGACAUGGAAAUAUCUAUCUUCUGGAUGUGAAACCAAAUGAAUCGCAAUGUCUUAUCUCAAUUCAAGACGAAGCAAGCCUAUGGCACAAAAAGCUUGGUCAUGUCAACAUGAAGCAAUUAGCCAAAAUCUCAUCAAAGCAGCUUGUUCGAGGUCUACCCAAAUUGCCAUACCAAAAGACUGGUCCAUGCACUCCAUGUAUUCUGGGAAAGCAGGUAAGAAAUUCAUUUAAGCCAAUAAAUCAUGUCUCUACUAAUCAUGUACUACAGUUGCUGCAUAUGGAUCUCUUCGGACCAACCAGAACUCAGAGUAUUGGGGGUAAGAAAUAUUGCUUAGUAAUUGUGGAUGAUUACUCCCAUUUUACUUGGGUAUAUUUUCUUGCAAGUAAGUCUGAAACCUUCUCGUAUUUUGAAAAAUUUGCUAAAAAGGUUCAAAAUGAAAAAGGAUGUGUUAUCUCAAGUAUAAGAGCAGAUCAUGGAGGUGAAUUUGAAAAUCAAGAUUUUACAAAAUUUUGUGAUGAAUCUGGCUUUAAGCAUGUGUUCUCCUCUCCAUAUACUCCUUAGCAAAAUGGAGUUGUGGAAAGAAAGAACAGAUCUCUUCAAGAAAUGGCUAGAACUCUUUUAAUUGAAAGUAAGAUUUCUUCACGAUUUUGGGCUGAAGCUGUUUCAACAGCUUGCUAUAUCAUCAAUAGAGUCUUCUUAAGACCUAUUCUAGAAAAAACCCCUUAUGAGUUAUUCAAAGAUAAGAAGCCAAUUGUUUCAUACUUUCAUGUAUUCGGUUGCAAAUGUUUUAUAUUGAAAAAUGCAAAAGAUCGAGUGGGUAAGUUUGAAGAAAGAUCAGAUGAAGGUAUCUUCCUUGGAUAUUCUUCAUCAAGCAAAGCCUACAGAGUCUAUAACAAGAAGAGUCAGUCUGUGGAGGAGUCAAUGAAUGUCAAAUUUCAAGACUCAACGCAAAAUGAAUCAAGUCAGACUCAUCAAGAAGAGUCUGAACCUGCUCCAGACCUUUCAAAGCUUUCAACUCAAGAAGCAUCUCAGACUCUGGAAGACCAGCAUCAGAUUGUUCGUGAAGAUCUAAAUAAAGAAAGAGAUCAUCAACCAGACAAAUCAGCAAGUAACUGGAAGCAUAAGUCCAGUCAUCCCAAAGAUCUUAUUAUUGGCGAAAUUAAUGAAGGAAUUCGCACCAGAUCCAAAAGGCGAGAAGAGUCUAGUGUUGUGGCUCUCGUUUCUGAAAUUGAACCAAAGAGCAUAGAAGAAGCUUUAUCUGAUGAAAGUUGGAUUGAAGCUAUGCAAGAAGAGCUCAGACAGUUCAACAUUAAUGAUGUCUGGGAAUUGACAUCCAAACCAAAAGGUAAAACUGUUAUUGGAGCUAAAUGGGUGUUCAGAAACAAGAUGAAUGAGAAAGGAAAAGUCGUACGAAACAAAGCAAGACUCGUGGCCAAGGGAUAUACGCAAGAAGAAGGAAUAGACUAUGAUGAGACUUACGCUCCAGUAGCAAGGUUAGAAGCUAUUCGACUAUUACUUGCGUUUGCUUGUUAUAAGAAUUUCAGGUUAUUCUAAAUGGACGUCAAAAGCGCCUUCCUAAAUGGAUUUAUCCAUGAGGAAGUUUAUGUGGAACAACCACCAGGGUUUGAAGACCCAAAGAAGCCAGACUCAGUCUUCAGACUGAAAAAGGCUUUGUAUGGUUUAAAGCAAGCACCUCGGGCUUGGUACGAAAGAUUAAGUAAGUUUUUAUUUCAAAAUGGAUUUGUUAAAGGUAAAGUGGACACUGCUCUUUUUAUUAAAAAAGAAAGCAAAAGUUUUCUGCUUGUUCAAAUAUAUGUGGAUGAUAUUAUUUUUGGAUCCUCUAAUGAAAGUCUGUGCAAGAAAUUUUUUAAGUCUAUGCAGGAUGAGUUUGAAAUGAGUAUGAUGGGAGAAUUAACAUUCUUUCUUGGACUUCAAAUAAAACAAUUGGAGGAAGGAACUUUUAUUCAUCAAGAAAAGUAUGCAAAUGAUCUAGUAAAAAAGUUUGGUCUGAACAAUUGCAAAAAGACUGACAUGCCAAUGUCAAGUUCGUUGAAGAUAGACAAAGAUGAAGAAGGGAAGAAAGUCGAUCAAAAGCUGUACAGGAGUAUCAUCGGAUCUCUUCUUUAUCUUACUGCUUCUAGACCUGACAUUCUGUUUAGUGUUUGCAUUUGUGCCAGAUUUCAAUCAGACCCAAAAGAAUCUCAUUUGAAUGCUGCGAAGCGUAUUAUUAAAUAUGUUUCAUCAACUUCAAGCAUCGGUCUUUAGUAUCCUAAGAAGGGAGACUUUAAUCUUAUGGGAUAUUCAGACGCAGAUCUGGCCGGUUGCAGAGUUGAUAGAAAGAGCACCUCGGGAACUUGCCAAUUGCUUGGAAGCAGGAUAGUGUCUUGGUUUUCAAGGAAACAAAGCACUGUGUCUCUUUCAACAACAGAAGCAGAGUAUGUAGCUCUUGGAAGCUGCUGUUCGCAAAUUCUAUGGAUAAAACAACAGCUAAGAGACUUUGAAAUUGAAGACUCAUGCACGGAGAUUAAUUGCGACAACACCAGCGCUAUCAACCUCACCAAAAAUCCAAUUCUCCACUCAAGAGCAAAGCACAUAGAGAUUCGACAUCACUUUAUUAGAGACCAUGUUCAAAAUGGAGAUGUUUCAAUUCAAUUUGUUGACUCAAAGAAUCAACUGGCGGACAUAUUCACAAAGCCUUUGGAGAAAAAUCAAUUUGAAUCUAUACGUUCCAGACUCAACAUUUUGAGGUAUGAGGAUAUCAAAGUCUAAAGACUUUCAGACUCAGACUUACAAGACUUUAUCUGAAAGAUAGUCUUGGUACGACCGUCAGACUGUAAGUCUUUCUCUUCUCAAUCUCAUAUUGAAAAGGUACGAUCGUCAGACUGUGUUUUAAUUGUUGAUAUAUUUAAACGACGUAAUUAUUGCAUCGUUUCAUUUUCAAAAAGGAAGUUAAUUUUGAAAUGACUAUUUUUGCGGAAAAAGACAGUUAUUUUGAAAAGGCAUCUUUUUAUUUCCUUUGUGACGGUUCGUUUAUCUUUCUUUUUAACCGAUCGGGCACUGUCAAUUCCUCUUCACUUUACUCUAAAAAACCCUAGAAAGCAUCGAUCCUCCAUUCCCAUUUGGUUUCUUUGUUUAAUCUUCAAAAAGUUGUCAUCUUUCCUGGGAAAGUCAAGCAAGGAAUCUUCCAAAAACUGAGAAAGAUGUCAUCUUCAAGAAAGUCUUCGAGAAUCGCAAGCAGGGGACCACGGCAAAUGAGUGAGGGGCCUACGCACUUCGAUCUUACUGAAGAAGAAGUGACUCCAGAACAGCAAGCGAGCCCACAACAUUCUCAGCAGCGUCAUUCUCCUCCAUCUAGUCCUCAAGGCGUUGAUCAUCAACAACAGGAAGAAAUCAUCGAGGAUGCAGACCCAAUAAGAGUUCAAAAGCCCGCUUUUAUUUGCAAGCUAUAUCGUGCCUUAAAAGGAAUUCAUACUCCUUUGAACUAUGUUGAUGACUUUCUUAAAGACAAAGGAUAUAGGAAUGAAUAUAUCUUUCUGCGAAAAAUAGAAAGUUUGGGAAUUGCUCGUAAAGGGGUGGCUGAGGAAUCCCUUGCGAAUAUCCCAAGUGAUCCUCAUGACUGGGGGCCGAAUCCUGUAGAUGGGAAUGAUGAUGAUAAUUUGUACAGCCUAUUUCAACCGAAAAUGGGUAUUGCGGCUGAAAUUCAAGGGAAAAGGGGAGAUUUGUUCAGAUCAAAGGAACAAAAGGAUCUGUACUCGAAAUUGCUGAAGCGUGGGGUAAUAAACCCUAGGAGUGUGGAUUUUGAUUUUCUGGAUGCUGUGAAUGUGAACUUGAGGGAAAAGUUCAGUUAUCUUCAACUUGAAAAGUUCUGCUCUAACUCUACUGAGGCCUAUGCUGGAUUAACUGCAUAUUUCUAUUCAAAUCUUAGCUUUUUGGAUGCGAAUAGAUUCUCUUUCAGCGUUAAAGACCAAGACUAUGUUGUGGAUAUGAAUAUGCUGGCAGAUGUGUUAGAAGUUGAGAGAGGCAGAUAUCAACCAAUCAAAGUUUCCAUUGCUCGGGCCACACUAGAACUGGUGAAGGACAGGAGAACAGAUGAGAAAAUCACUUACUUAAGGAUGAGUGCAUUCAACAUCUUGCUUCACAAGAUUGUGAUUAACUGCCUUCAACCGAAAUCGACUUCCAAAACUGAUGUUUCAAGUUCAAAGGCAAAGUUGAUGUAUGCCAUCCUCUGUGGAAAAAAGUUUUCUCUCCCUCAUACUGUUAUGUUUCACAUGAAUAGAGCAGUGAUGAAGGACAGAGGUCAACUUCCUUACCCAAGCCUUAUUACAAAGUUAUUCAGACACCUGAAUAUUCAGCCUCCACAAAUCUUUUGUGUUCGACCAUGCGAUCAUAUGGUGGUAGGACUGAAAAUGGUGACCAAAAUGCGUCUGAAGGAACUAAGCAAGGAGUUGGAGAAAUUCAAGGAGAAGACUCUUGCCAAAUCUCAUCUAAUCUCUUCUGCAUCUAAGAGAAAAGGGAAAGAGCCCAUGGUUGCUCCAUCCAAAAGAAGAAGAGCUCUCCUCGUUGAGGAUGUAGAUGAUGAGGAAGACAUCACCAUCUCUGCAUUGGCUUUGAAGAAUUUGAGUCGUCCUGUUCCACAGAAAGAAUCGGAACAAAUGACGAAAGAAGCAGAGGAGAAGGAAGAAGAAGAAAGAGAAGCUGAAAAAGAAGCUGAAAAAGAAGCAGAGGAGGAAAGACCUGAAGAAGAAAGAAGAGAAGAAGGAGAACCUGAGAAAAUCUCUUCUCCACCUGUAGGCAUGGAAAUAAGGGGGAGAUCAGGAGAAAGGAGUGAAGUCUUCAUAUCCUAAUGCAAGUGAAGGAGUCAGUCGCUCGCCUGCAGACCCAGAGGAUGUUUAUGCAUCUCAUUUUCCAGAGGAAGGUCAUGAAGUUUCAUCGCCAAACCUGCGAGAUUAUGCUGAUCUACCAUCGUCUACAUUUACUCCAUUAGAUCGAGCCGAAGCAAGUACUCAGACUGAUAAUGGAGCAGAUUUUCGCAGAAUCAUGGAUAUUCUCUUGGAAAUGAGAGGUCAAAUUUAUGCCUUGGGAUGCGAAGUUCAAAGCUUGAAGAAUGAAAGUCAAGCUUCUUCCUGUUCAUUGAAUGAUAAAAUGCAAGCCCUCUCUGUUCAGAAUCAGGCUAAUGCUAAGAGUGAGGAGAUUGCACAACUGAAGGAAGACUUCAAAAGGCUGGAAGGCAUCGUUCAGUCUAUGGAAGAUUUCCAGCUUGUCCGCAUUCCCAAGCAAUCUUGACUUCAUCUCAUCCUUUUUAAUGAUGACAAAAAGGGGGAGAGAUGCAAGAUUUGAUUAAAUUUUCAAUCAUUAAACUUUUAACUGUUUGUUGGAUUGUUUUGUUGUUUAAAACUCUGUUUGACUUUGUUUUGUGUCUGGAUGAGAACUGAACUAGACUUGGACUUGACUGCUUCUAUUAACUAGUAUUGAUAUCUUAUGGAUGGCUUUUCAUAUAUUAGACUAACCUAUUUUCUGUGGUUGCAGAUUCUAGUGUUAUUCUUUUAAGCCAUUUAUCUCUAUAAGAUAUGCAUAUGUGUUUGAGAAAUGUUUUGCAAGUCAUAGUUAUCCAAAUAUGCAGAAAAGUUUUGUCACCAUCAAAAAGGGGGAGAUUGUUGGAGAAAUCUUCUUGAAGUAUUUUGAAGUUGACAAAACGUUUCUAUCAGUCUAGUCUAAAGGUUUGCAGACUCUGUUAUUUAAAGUCUGAAGACCUCCGGACAGCCAGACUCAAGACUCAAAGUCUAUCCUCAUUGACAGUCUCUAAUCCGUUGAAGAAAGGUUAUCCAGAACUGGAUGUUUCGUUAAGGAUUCAACCUUAUCAACUGGAGAAGAUCUCGUGGCUGGAAAAGACGCAACAGAAUCCUUUGAUUGAUCAAGAUUGAUUUGAUGAUUCGAUGAUUGUCUAAAUAUUAUUGGAAGGUUCUACUUAUGGAAACCGAGAUCCUGAUUGUAUGGGCGAACAUGAUUGAUGGGCUAUCAACACGUUCCUUAAAUAGCUCGAACAAUCUUCCUAAUUGAUUCCGUCCAACGGGUAGAUUGGAGGAAUUCCUUUGGUAAGUGCCAACGGGUAUGAUGGCAUAAAGGAGUAUAUAAGGAAGACGGUCUUAGUUGUUCGAGGUGUGCGCGAUAGAAGAAUUCCAAAGUCUGAAGCUCCUUUUUGUUUAGACAAUUCCUUGAGCGAAUACUUGUAUAUAAAAGAGAGUCUAUAUUUGUGAGAAACCUUGAGGAGGUGUGGUAGAACAUCUACACUGUGGAAUCAAGGCUAAGCUGUGCUGUAACUUCUCUUUCGAUCAUAGUGAAAUCCAGCCGGUAGGCUGUCAGUGCGAAAGAGUGGACGUAGGCUUGGAAUAAGUCGAACCACUAUAAAUCCUGUGUUCAAUUUUCUCUUCCUCACUCUCUCUACCUCGAUCGUAUUUCAUUUUGUUAAUCAAGAGAGAAUUUCCAUUAUAUCGUUUGCCAAGAAUCGCUUCCGUAUCUCAAUAAAUUGUUUAUGCACCUAUUCACCCCCCUUUAGGUGUUUAUACUAGCUAUCUCACCAUCGUCUCUAGUGUUUGAUUAGAGCAUAAAUUGCAUUCCGGCUCUAAGUUGAUGUGUCUAUGAAAAAGAUUGUCUUUGGUGGGCAGUGCGUUCUGGCAUAUAGACCAAAAGGAAAAUUCGAAUUUUGGGUGCUAGGUUAAUUUUCCAAAUUCUUCUCCAAAGGAUCUGAGGUGUUUGAAAGGAAGAUGAGGCUCUAUUGUCGUUAGUACUUGGGGCUACAUGUCUGAUAGUAUGGUAGUCGCUUUUCACUAUAUAAUGACCUUGUGUUGUAUUUGUCCAAAUUAGUUGAUCUACUGCAUAAUGAGGCCUUACCUGGAUGUUAAGGAUUUCUUGUGUAGUCUCAGCAUCAAAAUAACAUUAUAGUAAAGUAACAUUCCAGUGAUUGUAUUCCGGUGCAAUCAAGAUAGCCACCAUAACAAGUUCAUCUCUAGCAGCAGGUCCGCCUAGCAUUCCUCUUGGUAUCCAUCGAUCUUCGCAAAUUUUGAUCUUUGUCCCAUCGCCAACCGACCAUUGAAGCUUUGGUAAAAUUGAGUCCCGUCCUAAUAGUAGGCAGCCAACCCCAGGAAGGUUGAGCACCUUUAUCAGCAUAUCUAAAAUCCUGUGAAUGGAAAUAUAGACCCUUAAAGAGUUUGCUCCACAAAGAUAAAGGUUGUUGGAUUAAAUGCCAGGUUUGUUUGCCAAGCAUUGUUUUAUUAAAUGCAAUGAGAUCUCGAAAUCCGAGGCCUCCCUUUUCCUUCCUACUCUUUAGUACUUCCCAUUUCUUCCAAUGAAUACCUGACUUGCGACAAUCAUUCUGCCACUAGAAUCUCACUAUCUUCUUUUUUAUUGGAGUAACAUAGUGACAUAGGAAUUUUAGAAAUGGACAUGGCAUACUGUGGUAUCGCCUGAACAACAGUUUUGAUCAGAAUCUAUUUACCACCCUUCGAUAUAAGGUUUUAUUUCCAUCCUUCAAGUUUUGCAUUCACUCUCCCCAAAAUCUAGGCAAACAUGUCCCAUUUAGAGCGUCCCUAAUCUGACGGGAUAUCUAGGUAUUUACCCGUCCUAUCUAGCACAGGGAUUCGAAAUUCCUUCGCCCGGUUCGGGAAUUUGGAAGGUACCCUAUUGUUAAAGAAUUCAUGAGUUUAGUUGGGUGUUGAUUUGUGGGAAAGCCCUAAAACUAUGAGAGAGAGGAGGUAAAUGCAAUGAAAACUUUUAACUUUGCCACAAUAGAAUUUCCUAGUCACUGCAAUGCAAACCGUUUCACAAAAGCAACCAAGUACGCUCAAGUUGUUACUCCCGCUAUGUUUGGAAAAGUAUUCUAGGUGGGUGUGAAGAAAAAGAAGGUGCAGAAAAUAUAUUCUUUGUGUUGGUUGGAAUCACUCCAAUGGACUAUGAUUUUAGUGAUUGGUACAUUGUUUGAUAGAUUUAAAACGAAAUUCUACUAGCUUGUUCAUGUGUAAGAUCUAGGAAAUCAUUGACCGCCCGUUUUAAUGUUACUCAAGCAUUUGGUCGGCUCACUAUCAAAGAAAAAAGAAAUGGAUUUCCAUUGAUUUAUUCCACGUCAUAAAAUUCUGCAAAGCUGCAUUCAUUUGCUUUGCUAAUUAUUAACGAUGUGAAAAUUUCAUUUUGAAAUGAAAAUGGAUUAUGAAUUUAAUGUUUGGUACAUUGUUUGAAAGAUUAAAAUGAAAUUAGACUAACUUGUUCAUGUAUAGGAUCUAAAAAAUCAUUAAACUUCCACUCUCUAUCGGGCGGUUAGCGAAGCUUGCACGUUUGUCAUUAAGGGGGUGCCGGGAGAUAGAGGAGCUUUUGAAUUCUAGUGAAGGACAAGUUAAAGCUUACACAUUUAUGUUGAUUUGGAGCUUCCAUACUCAUGUGAAAUUCAAAUUGUGGAGUGAGUUGGACUUAAAAAUAUUAAAGAUGGCCGAUCUAUUUGAUUCAACUGGCAAUUUAAAGAAAGUAAAAGUAAUUAGUGUCGCAACCUACUGUUUCCAUUUAAAGGGAAACGGUAUAUAGGUUUAAGGGUAUUGUUCAAAUGAUGAGCUUAAGGCACUUGAUUAGAUAUGGGCCCUCCCAGCUCUUACUCCGUUCGACAUUAGAGUAUUUAAUGUUAAAAAAAAAAAUUGACGCUAUAAGUAUUCUCAAAUAUGUCACCACUAGCCUAUUAAAAUCGGCUAGAAACCAAGCAAAGUAUGUGACUAUACCUCAUUUCCUACGCAAUUAGAGAAUUUAAAGUCGGAGACUUGAUUAAACUAAUCUUGUUCAACAAGAUGUUUAUCAAAUUAGAUUGAUUUUAAGCCUAUCCAUUAACAUGUAAUGCGAUCAAGUAUGGUGUGCAAUAAUUAAAAUAGCAAUCAAUAACAAAGGAAGUAUUAAAUAAAUUGCAAGAAAAAAAAAGAAUCUAACACUAAUAGAUAAGAAAAAUCCCAUUCCUAACUAGACUAAAGGGAAACAAUAAUCAACACAUUGAGAACAUGUAAUCCAAUGAUAAUCGAAAUAGAAAUGUGCAAACAAUAACCUAGCAUUUGUCUUUAAGAAUAUUCAAAACUUUAUUUCUAAACUCUAAGAGCUUGUUUAAUUUCGAGCGCAAUUUUUUAUCAAGAAUUUUCAUACAUUUUAAGGGGAAAAUACUACAAAGUUAACUUUUAAGCUCUUUCCUAAUUUUUAGAAGAAAUUAAUUUUUUAGGAAUUUUCCAAUUUUUAAAAUAUUUUUCAAUUAAAAAAUUUGGUUUUUAAUUUAAUUCUUUUUUUAAAUAAAAUAAAAUAUUCCUUUAACCUAGCCCGAACAAGAGUUGUUGUAGUCUUUCUAGCUUGGGCCUCGGACGCAAAUCGGGCUAUUACACUAGGCCCUUCCUUCCGACAAGGCCAAUCUGCUAAGGAACAGAUUCAGCCCAAACAGUCACAAACCAGACCCAACCCCAUUUCUUCUAACUCAAAUCGAGCCCAAGUCUACUCACAUGUAGCCUCAAGCCCACCACGGUUGAAUUAAACCUGAAUCUGACCAAGCCCACCCAAGGUACUCAAACACGUCUUUCUUUUGUUCUCUGUCAUCUACGCCCACUCACAUUCCCAAAACUCCAAACUCUUCACCGCAUCGUUCCCCAACGUCAAAAUUCCUUCUUCUCUUUUAUUUCAAUAUUAAGGUUUUUGGAAAAGAAAAGAAAAAAAAAAAAGACACACCAAAGGGAAAGCUCACUUGUUGACAAAGCUCUCAAGGCACUAAGCCAAGGCUCACUGUUAUCCACCACCCCGUAGCCACGACAGCCCGAAAACUAAUGGUCGAACUUUUUACUCUAGCAGCGCUAGAUCUACAUCUCUGACCACCAUCGUCUAUCGCUUACCAUAUGUCGAUCUAACACCACCGGGCCAUCACUAACCACCACAGUGGCUUACCACUGAAAAAACCAAAUUCGCUCCCAACAUCUACCAUCACUUUGGCCACUCAUCCACGUUCAAUGGAGGAGACGCAACAUAUAUCAAACAAAGUGCAACACAGUGACUUCAUUGUCAAUGAAAAUCAAGUUUAACAACUAGUGAACAAACAAGCCACAUCAAGACGCACCUUCAGAUUCGAACCAAAACAGAAGUCAUUUCUUAAACACUUCUUGGAAACAUUUCGUCGAGCAAGUCUCAGGCGUUCAACUAAAAGCGAUAUGGCAUGUCGAUGACCCAACACUUUGGUGUCAAGUUCAUCCUACAUCAAUCAAUCAAAGGACAUCUUAAGUCGAUGAAAAUAUUUUAGACAGAUCCUUGACAUGCUUUCAUAGAAACAAACCAAACCUCGGUCUCAUUUUUACAACAACACUAACUGAGGCAUUAUAUCGACUAUCGAGCAUUUAAAGCACACUCACUGAAAGAGAAAGAAAACCCAAACUGAUGAGGCUCAAACUUGUUGGGAUUGUCGGAUUCCCUGAAAUCGGAUUCGACACUAAAUCAAACCCUUAAACUUAUGUGGAAGACGAGCCCAGGAAAAACAUGUAUCACCGAUCCUAAAGCAUAUCACGGAAUUGAGCGUACCUUGUUAGCCACAGAUUAAACACCAAUGCUGAAGAUCGAGGAAGAAAUUCUGAUCCCGUUAGAUCCGAUGAUGUCAAUUCGCCUUGAAGGGAAGAUGGGUGUCGCCUCUUGCGCACUGUUCUUUCUUUUGGAACGUUUUUUAGGGAGAGAGGGAGGAGGAACGUACGUAAUGCCAAAAGGUGCGUUCCUCCCUCUUUAUUUCCCCUUAUAUACGUCCCCUCCAAAAAGAAACGUGUCCCUUCAUCAUAUCCCUUCAUCCAUGGACUCUAAUUUUGUGGGCCGGGCUUUUAGGCCCAACAUGGGCGAACGGGCCAACUUAGGCCCAUCACAAUAAUAAUAAAACCAUCAUCUCCAACUCGCACAUGGUGGGCCGAACAUGAUCCUUUUUACCUCUCUUUAACAUUCAUAUCGGUGAAUAAUCCGUGCGACUAGCAUACUUUGAGAGCUCGUUACCAUACAUCUGUUAGGAAUAUAUAGCAGCUCAUAAUGGGCAUCACACUCUAAGUAGAUUUAGUAUGCAGUACCCUAGAUCGAUCGAUCACAUUUAUAUCUCUCUUGAUCUCUUUUAAGCAAUGAUAUAUAUUGUAUUCACAAUUAUGAUUAUCCCAAAGACAGUCAUAAUUGGUUAACCAGUGAAUACAAAACUACAAUGUGCUUCUACAAAAUCGAUCUUCAUUUUUCCUUCAAACUCUCAAUUUCAGUUCAGCUUGCUUUUCUAGAAUUGUCCCAUUAGAUUGAAUCAACUCAUGACCAUUAGCAACAUCCUAAGAUAGCAAACACUAAAUAGAAAUCUUAAAAAUAAGUAAGAGUCAUGAGGGCACUCAAAUUGGUCGUCAAGAGCCUCACACGGUAUAAAAGUUAAGAUCAAACUUUUACCACUCUUAUUGGUCGUCUCAUGCAUACGUAGUAUCAAAUAUGUAUUACGGUAUUAACUCCUUUCCCAUGGAGCGUAUGUCUACACCUUCAAUACCGUACAGAUGAUAGUUCAGACAUACCCAAUGUCUAACUUGAGUUCACGUUUCUACUCAUUCACAAAAUUCAUCAGAACUCACAUCUGGCAUCAUAGACAGAUAAAGUAAAAUAUGUGGGUUAUUUUACUUUCGGACAUAGUAAGUAUUAUGUCAUCAUCUUAACACUCAGUUAAGGCAACAUACGUAUUUUAAGCUUGAGCUCUCGAUUAUCACAUAGAUAAUAAGCUUAAAAACAGUCUCAUCUCUCUUUAUCACACAGUAAAUAGAGGCGAUUACCCGUGUGUGACAUCCUGAAAUUCGACCCCGUUUCGAUAAAAUGAAAUGUGCAUUUCGUCGACGUGACUAUGGUCCUUUUUCUCUGAGCUGAUCACUCACGAGUUAGCCAACCUAUUGGGCGAAGCCGUUAAGGGAUAUAACCGCGGUAAAAUCCCUAAAAGCUACCUAAUUGGUUGGAUUGGACUAAAAUCGCGUCCGAUCGAUUUUAAUCAUGAAAUUUAAUUCGGUUUUGGGAAUCGAAUAUUCGGACGUGUCACAAUUCAUUUUUAGGACCGUCUCAUCGUCUAUCAAUUUAUUGCCGAGUCCCAAAUUUCAAUAAAGAAAUUAUCGGAGGAAGAAUCGAAGACCAAAAGAAAUUAAAAAGGGAAUGAGAAAAGGAAAAUAAUAGAGGUAAUGAGAAAAUGGUAUUUUCUUAUUUAAAAUAUUAUUUUCCUUUCCCUUUUUCUUUCUCUCUCUCUUUUUCUCUCUUUUCUCUCUCCUCUCCCCUCCCCAUCGUGCGGACAGCUUUCUUUUUCUCCCCACCGACUGCUCUCUCUCUUAGCUGUCUCCCUCUUUGUUUUUCUUUUUGGACCAGUCAAACUUUCAUCUUCUCUCUCUUCCAUCUCUCCAUCUCUCUCGACUCUCUUUCACCCCCUCUGUUUGAGCGGAAACAGAAGGCAGAAGAAUAAGUGGAGACGGCAGCACCGAGAGGGGAAGACCGGAGCAGCUCGCCGUCACUGACCGUGCUCCGCCGCUCACCGCCCGCCUUCGCUUCUCUCUCACUCUCCUUAGCCGCCGACACCCUCUCUCUCUCGGUACUCUCUCUCCUCUGGUUCGAACGAAUUAGCAAGACAGAAGCGGACCGAAGCAGGAGCAGCAGCUAGCUGCUCGUCGCCGCCGCGCCGGAGCCGGACCUCCGUUCGCUCGACGCCCGCCCGCGCGACGCCGCGCGUUUAGUCGCCGCCCCUCGCGCCCAGGCGUCCCUCCCCGAGCGAACCAGCCUCUGUUCAGUUCGAUUUUGCCCCGACCAGCCGCCUCCGGCCACCGCCUACCUCCGUCCGGCCACCUCACAGCUCCCCGGCGUCCCCCUCACCUUCCGCCGGCCUUCCCUCGCCGUUUUGGCCGCCGGAUCUGCUCCGACCAGCCAUGGGCAGAAACCCACGAAAUGGGUUUCCAGCACUUCGAGCCCGCUUUUGGGCCAUUUCCCGGCCCCGAACCCGAGGCCCGCUUUGGAGUUUGUCGUUCCUCGCAUCGCCGCCGUCGGAUUGAUCCGAUUUGCGCGCGAUUUGGUGAGUAAUCUCACUAAUCCUAGAUCAGUUGGCUAAUUAUGCUUAAGGUUGGUUUAGUUUUAAUUAAUUAUGUUUAGGUUGUUAGAUUAGAAUAAAUUAGCGAUUAUUAGUCAAUUGUGAUGCGAUUUAGAUAAAUUGAUUGCGCAAUUAGCAAGUAGACGUGGUCUACUAAUUAUUGGAAGUGCCUCGGGAUUUUUCCCAACCCUUAGUGGGCUCCAAUUAGGCUUUUCGGGCCUAAGUUGAUUUUUUUUGUAUUUAAAUAUUAAUUUUCGGAAUUAAAUUAAAUAAUUAUUUAUUUUCCGAAAAUUCAACUGAGAUGGCUCGGGACCGGAAUAUUGUGCUGAUAACCGUGGUGAAGUCCGUUUAGUUAAUCGGGCUUUAUUUUGAGCUAAAUUGAAUUUUUAAUAUUAUUUAUUUAAUUUUCGAAAUUAAUAAAUUAAUUAAUUAUUUUUUUGGAAAUUAAGAUUUUGAUGGCCGACGACCGAAAUCUCGUGCUGAUUGUCGUGGCGCGGUCCGUUUAUUUAUUUGAGCUCUACGUUGUAUGGAAUUGAAUAAAUUGUGAUAUUUUAAGGAUUUACCCUAAAUUGAUUGGAAUCGAUUGAGAUUGAAUUAUUGAUUGGUGAUUGGCCAAGUAUGUUAUUCAGCAUUUAUAAUGCUUUGUUGAGUUGAUUUAAUUAUUUGAUUGAGAAAUCGUUGGGCAUUGGUUGUCGGUAUUGAAAGAAGAAUGGUAACCACUUGAAAGACGACACGUGGGCUCGGUGAAUUGGAAUGUCACCUGGAAAAUGCACGUGAGUUCAGUGGUUGAAUAUGUCACCUUGGCGAAGAGGUCGCCUGAGAGAAUGCACGUGGCUCGGAGACUCGGUAUGUCGUCCUAGAGAAUGCACGUGGCUCGGUGACAGAGUUUGGCAUCUAAAAGGGCACGUGGCUCGGUGAUCUGAUGCGUCACUUUGGUAAGCGAGUACCUUAGAAAAUGCACGUGGGCCCAGGCAUCUAAAAGGACAUGUGGCUCGGUGAUCUGAUGCGUCACUUUGGUAAGCGAGUACCUUAGAGAAUGCACGUGGGCCCAGGCAUCUAAAAGGACACGUGGCUCGGUGAUCUGAUGCGUCACUUUGGUAAGCGAGUACCUUAGAGAAUGCACGUGGGUCCAGUAUUCGGAAUGGCAUCUAAAAGGGCACGUGGCUCGGUGAUCUGAUGCGUCACUUUGGUAAGCGAGUACCUUAGAGAAUGCAUGUGGGCCCGAGCAUCGUAAAAAGGACACGUGGCUCGGUGGCUUGAUGUACCACCUUGGCGAAGAGGUCGCCUUAGAGAAUGCACGUGGGUCCGAGGUUUGAGGCACAUGGCUCGGAGACUUGGAAGGUCGUCCUGGAGAAUGCACGUGGCCUAGCUUUUAAAUAUCCCACAGUGGGGAUUGAUUUGUUUGACAUGUAAUCGACUAGGUCGAUGUUUUGAUUUGAUGUUGUGAAUUGAUUGACUGAAUGGAAAUGACCGUGAGUGGUCUUGUUGGAAUAUAAUCGACUAGGUCGAUUUGAUCGAUGCUUUGAUCAGUGAUAUGAUUGCUUGGGUGCCUAUUAUGAAUUGUACUGACUUGCAGGUGGGAUCAGAGGCCAAGGCAAGUCAUCUGCCCUGUGCGUGUUUAGGCAGCCUUUAGUAUAUUGAUUUACUAAUCGGGCUUAGUGGGGUAGAACUCGCUGAGACGUAGUCUCAUCCCAGUUUGGGGAAACCAUUUCAGGACCCCGCUGAAGAGUUGAGGAGGAGGAAUCCGAGAAGGAGAACUCGGAGGUGAGAUCUGAAGAGAAGGAUUUUUGGAAGAAGAAGAUAGUCCCGAGAGGGACCUUGAGUACGGCCCGGAUGGCUGAGAGUUUAUCUUCUUUUGAGAUCUCCUUUUUGAUGUGAAUAGUUAUGAAGUGAUUUAUGGUUUGUAUAAAAGUUUGGUUAUAAAUUUCAAUAUGAAAAAUAUGGCCCUGCUUUUCUAUCCCAUCGUUUUAUUGUCUGGGGAUUUUAACAGCUUCCGCAUGUGCUUAAAUAAAUGAAAGGGUCGGCAAUACAUUGUCCUGGGAUAUCGCAUUAUAAAAUCGACCUAAUAGAAGGAUGUGCACGUGCCCGAGGAUCGGGGCGUGACACCGUGUGAGUGGGCUAAUCUUAUAUCUGUCUGACAUACUUUCUCAACUUAAAGUAAUGCACUGAGCAUUAAGAUGCAUAAAGUUCAAACAAAUAUUCAUAGGCAUUAAUGAUGAGAACACAAAUUCAUCAAAUGUGAACACUUAGGGUGUGACACCCCUCGACGGCCCCCGAUCCGAUUUGGGUCGCCACAGUUUGCUUACCAUUUACUUUCCUAAUAACAUGUCACUCUGAUACCAUUUCAAUUGCAGCGGGUCCAUACAACAUAGGGGGUUUACGUUUUUUUUUCUUUUUUUUUUUUGAUAGGUCCCUUGCGCAAUUCACAUACGGAAGCACAUAUAACAAACUCCCUUCCCUACAUUCGGAAAACGAUGCACACCUACUAAAUAUCUUAUAUAAGUUAAAACCAAAUACGUUUAUUUACAUAGAGUAGAUGGACAUCUUUAGUCGGUACAUCAAAAUGCCGUAGUUUUCUAUACUCGGCUACACUUCAAAAUAUGACCGACAUCUUCUCCCACAAUCGUAUGCUUAAGGUCCAUCAACCAGUGUCGGCGUCCAAAGGUUCCCUCCUUUGCUAUUCUUCUCCUCGCGGUCAUAUCCAACCGCUCAAACCAUCUACUAAUCUGAAAUGUUAUUCCCCAAAAGGGGUGAGUACAACCACUCAGCAAAUAGGGAAAUCCAAUAACAACUCAAUGCAUCAGGCAGAUCAUACAUGCAUUGCAGGCGUUACUUACCUUGAAGCCAUGCGCAUACUAUCAUGCAUCAUCAUAUCAAUUUAUAAUACAUACAUGUACAUCAUCAUCGUAUCAUACAUGUCAUCAUCGUCAUGAACAUCAUUACAUCAUACCGUGUCAUCAUCAUCAUGGCCNNNNNNNNNNNNNNNNNNNNNNNNNNNNNNNNNNNNNNNNNNNNNNNNNNNNNNNNNNNNNNNNNNNNNNNNNNNNNNNNNNNNNNNNNNNNNNNNNNNNNNNNNNNNNNNNNNNNNNNNNNNNNCAUAUAUCAUCAUCACAUAUCAUCAUCAUGCAUAUCAUCAUGCAUAUCAUAUCAUGGGUGAUCAUCAUAUCACAUCACAUAUCAUCAUCAUCAUCAUCAUGCAUAUCACAUCACAUAUCAUCAUCAUCAUCAUCAUCAUGCAUAUCAUAUCAUGGGUGAUCAUCAUAUCACAUCACAUAAUCAUCAUCAUCAUCAUCAUGCAUAUCAUAUCAUGGGUUAAUUUUCAUCUUUUAUCUUUAAAUUUGAUCACCACAUCACCCAUUUCUCAUAUCAUCAAUUUCAUCAUCCCCUCGGGCAAAGACCUCUGACAGGGUUCCCGGCAUUCCAGCCAUCCCAUGGCCACCGGGCUUCCGGCCCCCCACAUUCCGGGCAUCUCGCAUCUCAAUUAGUAUCACGAGGCAUUCCCUUCGGGCAGAAACCUCCGACAGGGCUUCCGGCCUUUACCCUCUAGCUAGGCAUCUCGCACCCCAAUCCUGGCAUCGCGAGGCAUUCCUUUCGGGCAAAGACCUCCGACAAGGCUUCCGGAAUUAUAUACCGACAUACCACCAGGCCUCCCCUGAAAUUACGUACCGUAUACCACCGGGCAUCCCGACACUCCCGAGGAAUCUCUGGAAUUACGCCACUAGGCCACUGAGCAUCAUCAUCCACCACAACCACUUCCUCACUUAUCAUUAUCCACAUUUACCAUUAUUUUGAUCUCAAUUUAACAUGGCAUAUGGCGUGACAUCAAACAAGUCAUACUUGGCACACAUGCAUCACAAUUCAAUGUCAUACAUACACCAAUAUCAUAGUCAUAUCAAGACUUUAUCACAUGUGCAUCUCAAUUCAAUAUCAUAGACAUAUCAAGACUUUAUCACAUGUGCAUCUCAAUUCAAUAUCAUAGACAUAUCAAGACUUUAUCACAUGUGCAUCUCAAUUCAAUAUCAUAGACAUAUCAAAGGUUUAUUACACAUGCAACAUAAAUUAAUUAAAUGGAAACUAUGGCCAAUGAAAUAAUUCCUUUUUAUUUAUUUAUUUAUUUUAUUUUAUUUAUUUCUAUUUAUUUAUUUAUUAUUAUUAUUAUUUUUUAAAAUAACUAUAAACUCCCAAAAUUAUAAAAAUUCAAGAAAUUAUUAAACAAACCCAUAGGAUGAUAAUUACUUGCAAAAUUCAUGGCCAAAUUGAAUUUUUAUAAAAUUUCAUAAUUUUCCCAAAACAUCCUAUGCUUCUCGGAUGAAACCAGAAUGCACGGUUUCCGAAUAAAUUCGAUUAAUAUAUCCAUAUGGCCUCCAAAAAUUACGAAAUUUUACAGAGUGAUGACCAAGACAUUCUCGCACAACUUUCAUGAAGAACUCCAAGCCAGAUUCUUUUGAGAUUAUUUUAUACAACCUCACGAAUCUUCUGGAUCCAUUACCGCAUCGUCCAGUGAACACAUCUCCAAAAUAUUGAGAUUUAACCUACCUAUUCUCUUUCUUUUCCUCUGAAAUUUGGAUAUGUUAUACAUCAAGGUAUCCUCUACAAUUUUCAUGAGGAGAUCCAAGUCAAAUAACCAGAUUAGAGUCAUCAUUUAGGUCCUUGAAGUCUCGGGUAUCUCAAAAUACAUCACCAGAAUCAUCUUCUUCAAGAUCUAGUCGAUUCACUAGGCUAUACUUGUUCAUUUCACUUCAAAUUUGAGCAUGUUGUAUUUUAAGAUGUAUUCUAUAACUUUCAUGAAGAAACCGAAGUGAUAUUCUCAACAAAAACCAACAUACAACCAUGAAUCCAGCAAGAGGUCAGUAAAAACUCUCCAGAUCUGAGGUCUCCGUAUAACAAGACUUUAACCCCUCAAAUCUCCAUCAUUUUCCACUAAAUUUUAGUAAGUUAUAUUACAAGAUGUUAGCUACAACUUCCAUGAAGACAUCGAAGCCAAAAUCGGACUCCAAACACACAUGCAAGCUCAAACAAGUUUCUGACUCACAUGAUCCGAACGAAAACAGUCACACUACUCACACACCACACAUCCAAGCUUCGGUUUUUGACAUCUAUCACUCAAGAUUUCAACAUGCAAACAACAUAUAAGCAUGCAAGAGAAGCUAGAGGACUCCACUUGCCUCUAGACCGGACGGACAGCAGCAAAAGAGACGGCACACCGGCGACGGACGAACGGCGUGCGGGCAGCAACGGUUCCUUCUCCUCCUCUCUCGGCCUCCCCUCUCUCUCGCAUCUCACUCUCUCGGCUCACUCUCUUGGCCGAACAAGCCACUCUCUCUCUCUCCCUCACUCUCUCUCUUUUUGGUUGUAUAUAUUUGCAUGCACUCUAGGUUUGCAUGAGGGACAAGUGUAAUUGUGGAGGAAGACAAGUGUCCACCAUGCUUCACCUCCUCCAUGCCACUUGUCCUAUUGCAUGCAUCAUGGGCCUUGGAGUUGGGCUUGGGCCUCCCCUCCUUGGGCCGGCGACUACUCCUGUUCUUGGGCCACUAUUGGGCCGGCCAACUUGGCCCAUUAAAGGCUUAGGCCAAAUGGGUCUAAGGCCCAUUCUAAAAAUUGACAUUUUCCUCUCUCUUUUUUUUUUUAAAAUUUCUUUUAUAAAUAUUUUAAACUUUAAAUUUUCCACAUGGCCAAAGUCUUUCGACAUUUCAUUUAUUGAAAUUUAAUUUAUAAAGUGCAUGGCCAAGCAUAGAUUAUUAAUUUAUCCUACAGUCCUAAAUUCAAAAUUCAUAAACACAAGCACAAUAACACCUAGCCUUAAGAAAACUAAUGGCUAACACAUAGACCAUAGGUAAUUUCAUUACCUAAUCAUAGGCUUUAAUUUCUCUAGAGGAUGACUUGAAUUUUGGGAUGCCACAUAGGGAAAUUACAAUAUUCAGUACAUCAGCCUCUACGCAAUCCUAGAGAUUUUACAUGACCACAAAACACAUCUCUAGGUAUUGACUUUGUCAUAGGAUCUGCUGCCAUUCUAUGUGUAAUAUGUACUGUAAGUUCAUAUCUUUUCGUGCAACCAUAUCUUUGAUAAAAUUAUACUUUGUAUCUAUGUGUUUGGUCUUGCCAUGAUAUUUUGGAUCUUUAGUGUACGCUAUAGCUGCUUAGCUAUCACAGUUAACUAAUAAUGGACUUGCAGCUUUCUUAAUAACACCUAAAUAAUCCAAAAAAUCUCUUAAGCCAAACACAUUCUUAUACUGCUGCUGAUAAUGCCACAAACUCAACUUCCAUUGUGGACAAGUUAUACACGUUUGUUUCUUACUGCUCCAACAUAUGGCGCUAUUAUUUAGUAAGAAAACAAAGCCAGAUGUAGAUUUCCUUUCAUUUAAAUCUCCUCCAUAAUCAAUAUCAGAAUAGCCUUAGAGUCACAGAUCCUUUCCUUGAUAACUCAGUGUAUAAUCAGCAGUUCCCUUUAGAUACCUUAGUAUUCUUUUAACGGUCUUCCAAUGUGCUUGACCUGGAUUGGAUUGGUAUCUACUCACCAUUCCAACUACAAAACAUAUGUCAGGUUUUGUACACAUCAUAGGGUACAUCAAGCUUCCAACAGCACUAGCAUAAGGAACAUGUUUCAUUUGUUCAUUCUCUUGUGGAGUCCUUGGAUAUAGUCUAUGGCUCAAUCCUUCACCUUUUGCAAUAGGAGUGUUUAUGGGUUUACAAUAUUACAUACGAAAUCGUUCAAGAACCUUAUUUAUAUAUGUUUCUUGCGAAAGAGAUAACAAUUUCUUCGAACGCUCUCUUGAAAUCUUAACCCCAAGAAUGUAUGCAGCCUCACCCAUAUCCUUCAUCUCAAAGUUGGAAGACAACCAACUCUUGAUAGUAUUAACAAACUCCAUACUGCUUCCAGCAAUUAGUAUAUCAUCAACAUAUAAUGAUAUGAUCACAAAUUGAUCUUUGGAUCUUUUGAUAUAUACACAAUGAUCCUCAUCUAUCAUUGUAAAAUCAUAUGCCAUUAUGGCAUUAUGAAAGCGUAUAUACCAUUGUCUCGAUGACUACUUAAGGUCGUAUAUCGAUUUCAAAAGUCGACAUACCUUUCCUUCUUGGCCUUCUUUAAUGAAACCAGCAGGUUGUUCCAUAUAUAUCUCUUUCUCUAAUUCUCCAUUGAGGAAAGCAGUCUUUAUAUCCAUUUGAUGUAACUUAAGAUCCAUACUUGCCACUAUUGCUAGAAUAAUGCGAAUCGAGGUAAAACUCACUACAGGAGAAAAUGUUUCUUCAUAAUCAAUUCAUUCUUGUUGAUUAUACAUCUUUGCCACAAGGCAAGCCUUAUGCCUUUCUAUCGAGCCAUCAGCUUUUCGCUUUAUUUUGAGAACCCACUUGUUUCCAAUAGCUUUGCGUCUUUUUGGAAGAUCAACUAGUUCCCAAACAUGGUUUGACUUCAUUGACUCCAUUUCCUCUUCUAUUACAUGAAUCAAUUUUUCCUUACUAGGGCAAUUUAGAGCCUCAUUAAUAUUUCUUGGCUCUUCCUCCUCUUGCGGAGCAAUCAUAAAAGUUUCCCCUUUAAUAUCAAAACGUCAACGGGGAAUACUUUGGCGACUUGUUUGCCGUAUGGGAGAUUGUACACUUUGCACAUCAUUCCCCAUUAUACUCCCACUAGGAUUAGAUAAUAAUGACGUCGUCUCAUCAUGUGGUAGUAAUUGAGACUGAGUUGAAUUCAAUUCAUCACUUCUCAUAUUACUCCCACUUGGACGAACUCCACUAAUAUCAUUAUCUUGAUCUAAGGUUUCAAAUAGGGAGUAAUCUUCCCUUAUUUUGCCCUUCUUAGGAAAUUCAUCCUCUAAGAAUGUGACAUCCCGUGAUUCAAAUUCAGUUAUACUCCCACUUUCCUGCUUACCUAUGAACACAUACACUUUCGAGUGUUCGGAGUAUCUUAUGAAAAUACUCUUAUUUCCUUUGGGACCCAAUUUCCUAAACUUGUGAGAGGACUCAUGAGUAUAGGCAGCACGACCCCAUGGCUUAAGAAAACUUAAGUCCGUUUUUCUACCUGUCCAUAACUCAUAUGGAGUGGAAGUAACUGAUUUGGAAGGCACCCGGUUAAGUAUAUAGGCAACAGUUAACAACGCAUCACUCCAAAAAGUGAUAGAUAAGUUAGCAUGUGCCAUCAUGGACUUAACCAUUUCCAGACCAUUUUGUUGAGGAGUACUUGGAAGAGACAAUUGUCUUUCUAUUCAUUUUUCAUCACAUAACUUUUUAAACUCAUCAGAUAAAUAUUCUCGACCUCGAUCAGAUCUUAAUACUUUUAUUUUCUUGUCUAAUUGAUUUUCUACCAAGUUCAUAACCUUUUGAAACAACUUAAUGUUUCAGAUUUAUGAGAAAUCAAAUAGACAUAUUCGAAUCGAGUAUAAUCAUCUAUAAAAGUGAUGAAAUAAACAGCCCCAUGCCUUCCUCUCACAUUCAUUAGACCACAAACGUCAUAAUGGAUUAAAUGCAGAGGAAAUUCAGCUCUUUUACCUUUUCCAAAUGGUUUUCUUGUCGUUUUCCCUUCUAGGCAAUGCUCAUAUAUGAACAAAUCGACUUUUUCAAUGUUGCCCAACAAGCCCUCUUUGAUUAGUCUAUUCAUACGUUGUUCGCCAAUAUGACAAAGUCUAGCAUGCCAUACAUUCACAUUAUUAUCAUACGAAUUAGGAGAUGUGAGAAGGGAAUAACAAACAUUUACAUUAACAUAGUCAAUAUCUAAUACAAUGAAAUCAUCCAGAAAAUAACCACAACCAUAGUAGUUUGUAUCCAAAUACAAAUCUACACCUCUAUUAUGGAAGUUCAUAUUAAAACCAAGUUUAACCAACACCAAAAUAGACAUUAAAUUUCGACGAAUCUCUGGAGCAUAUAGAACAUCAUGUAGGAACAAGGUGCGUCCACCACGCAUGUUCAAUUGGCAAGUGCCAAUCCCUUUAACUUCAGCUCUGGAGUUAUUUCUCACAUAGAUCCACUUAGUUCCAGUUGGUACUCGUCGGAAUUCCAAGAAAGAUUCUCUAUCCUUCGCUACAUGGUCUGUCGCUCAUGAAUCUAUAGUCCACAAAGGAUUGGAUUCAGCCAAUAAUACAGAACUUGACACAUAAACAAAGUUCUCAAAUGUACAAGAGGUGUUUACCUUUUUCAGCUCACAACAGUUGCGAGCAUAGUGACCUUUCUUGUCACAAUUGUAACACCUCACCCUUGACAUUUUCUUCACUUGAGGACGUUUUCCUCUCUUGUGUUGGUUAACUCUUGAUUUCUUGCAAUAAGGACUUGAUCCUUUGCAUUCCUACAUAUUGAGCGAAUCAAUACGCUUGCGCUUAGAGCUCAAAGCCCUUUCUGAGCUAGAACCAGCAUUGCAAAUGUCUAUUUUCGGCUCAAAUGCCGUUAGGCGGUCCUCUACUAGCACAAAGUGGCACAUGGCAUUCUCAAGAUCUUCUAUAACAUGGUCAAGAGCUUCUAGUGCUUCUUGCUUUUCCAGCACAUAUUGAAUCAUCAUAUUCAAUAUUUCACAAUUGUUGCCGUUCAUAUCAGCAAUUAUGUUCUUAGUUGCUGAAACCAUCGAUCUGAACACAUAAGACAUAUAUGCACGAAUAAUUAAUGCCUAUCAUUUAUGCAUCCACUUUACAUGGACCCAUCAUAUCAAUGAACAAUUUCAAGUAAGGUUUCAAAAUCAAAAGGUUACUAUGUUUCCAAUCAUCCUCCAAAAAUCCUAACUUAAAACUAUUAUUAAUAUAAUUGUCUUAUGCAAAAUAAAUUCUACGAAGUUACAAAAACUUCUAUAAACUACCCACAGUAGUCAAUAAUAACAGAAAGCAAAUAAUAUUUGACAUUCAAUAGAAUAAUAAUGCUUUCACAUAAUACAACUAUUCACUACACUAAGUAAUAUAUACAGAGGAAAAUAUCAACAUAGAAAGAGAUAUUUACACCCAAAAACAUCUCAAACUAAUCUAAGAAAUAAAUAGGGAAUGUCUCUUCUAAUCUAUCAGUCAAAAUAUCUAAGAAAUCUGAAAGCACAUUUGUCAACCAUGGAAAAACUUUUGGAGAGCUUUCAUGUCGCCUCCAAGGCGCAUUUAAUCUGUGCCAUGUGGCGCUCAAUUUGAGGGUUGAAGUUUUGGUUAACUCAAUCCUAUAGUACUCUCUUACAAAAGUUACUACUAGCCUCCUAUAACCCGGGACCACGUUGACCUCCCAUAUGCGAUCUAACACUGCUUGCCAUUCAGGUGGAAGAGUGUUCAUCAAGACCGGCACCUUCUCAAAAUCCGACAUUAGAUAACCAUUCUAGAUGAUUUUCUGUAUCAUUUGAUUGACCCUGAUCACAUGUGAUACUAAAUCACCGUCAUGCCAACGAUAAUUAGCUAACUCUGUCAUCAACCUUUUAAGUCUUGCACUUCCUUCGUCUGUUCUCGGGAAUGCAAGUAUCCGAGCAUAACAUAUCAUAGUUCCUGCAACAAAUGCAGAACUAAAAAAUGGAUCACUUAUAAUCCAUAAUGAACAUAAGGGAAAAUACAUAACUUUCCAUGAUUUAUGCAACAAAUACAGAAUAAAAAAUGGAUUACUUAUAACCCACAAAGACAUAAUUGGAAAAUAAACAGAUUCUUUUUUUUUGGGUCAACGGUCGAGGUCAAAGGUCAACGGUCAACGGGUUGCCGGGUCCGGUCGGGCCGGACGAGCCGGGUCGGACCGGUCGGACCAGGUCGGACGGACCGACCCGGCACAUGCGACACGCGUGCAACUGACGUCAUGAUGACGUCAACUGGCGCGUGCCUCGCACACACCAUUGACGGCCCCCCGCUCGCGUGCGUCGCAUGUGCGUGCGUCGGCCCCACGCGCAAGUGCGACACACGCGUCUGCGCGUCUGAUGUCCUUUGGCGGCGUUCCACCACUCGUCGCGCUCGUCUUGACGAGACCUUCCAUCCAACGCUAUUAGAAAUGGAUCUCGACUUAUAGAAACUCGAAAAAGUGAAUGAACAGUGCUUGGGUGUCGGGAUUUUUCCACCCCGAUCGGUGUCGACUGAUUAAUUUCACGAAAAUUAACAAGAAAUCAUCCAUAAACAUGAAAUGGGUCGUGAAAAACAUGGAAAAUGAUCAGGAAACAAGAACUACAGCUCUGAUACCAAUGUUGGGAUUGUCAGAUUCCUUGAAACCGAAUUCGACAUUAAAUCGAACCCCUAAACUUAUGUGGAAGACGAGCCCGGGAAAAACAUGUAUCACCGAUCCUAAAGCUCACCACGGAAUCGAGCGUACCUUGUUAGCCACAGAUUAAACAUCAAUGCUAAAGAUCGAGGAAGAAAUUCUAAUCCCGUUAGAUCCAAUGAUGUCAAUUCGCCUUGAAUGGAAGAUGGGUGUCGCCUCUUGUGCACUGUUCUUUCUUUUGGAACGUUUUUUAGGGAGAGAGGGAGGAGGAACGUGUGUUAUGCCAAAAGGUGCGUUCCUCCCUCUUUAUUUCCCCUUAUAUACGUCUCCUCCAAAAAGAAACGUGUCCCUUCAUCAUAUCCCUUCAUCCAUGGGCUCUAAUCUUGUGGGCCGGGCUCUUAGGCCCAACAUGGGCGGACGGGCCAACUUAGGCCCAUCACAAUAAUAAUAAAACCAUCAAAACUCGAGCCCAAAUUUGUGACCAUCAACAAGCAACAAUCUAAAAUAGCAUAGCACAAACAAAUAGGGACGAGACUCACACGAACCGGACAACAACGCGAGGCAAAACAGGGCACAAAAAUGGGGAAAAGCUGAGGGCUGUCGGCAUGCUCCCUACCUGGCUUGAUGACGGCGAAUGGGGGCGAGCUCGAUAGAUCGAACUACGUCUGGGGGCCCCGCACGCCCCCCGAACCGGGAUCCUCGGGAAAUCAACGUGACUCGAAACAAGCGAAAAAAAAAAAAUUGAACAGAAACCUACCGUGGGGAGAGGCACGUGUUGGCGAGGGUCAGCGGCUGAGGUCCAAGCGCGACGGUUACUAGAGGAGGCCCUUCACUCACAGCCUCACUUUUUGCUCCCUACUUCUCGCUCUCUCUGUCUCACUCUCUCCCCCUUUCUCUCUUCUCCUCCAAUCCCCCUAGGGUCGCUCUCCUCUCUCCCUUUUAAGUUGCCCAAUGCGCAUGGCUUUCUACGAUGCUAGCUAACCUUGCCACCCUGACCCCUUACCGAACGUCUUCGCGCGACACUCCCUGCGGUUGUACUGUUCCCCAUCGAACCAGUGUCCUCGUCGCGCUCCAGAGGGUGCGAGGGAAAGAGAGGGAAGAGAUGAGCAGCGCUCGGGAAAAAGAGGAAAUGAAGGAAGCUGGGUCGGGCCGAGAAAUAGAGAAUGGGCCGAUCCAGACGGAAAAGGAAGAGGAAAAAGAAAAGAAUGGGCCGAGUCAACCUGGCCCCGCUUAUUUUUAAAUAAUCUUUUUAAAAUAUUAAUUUUUCUUUUCUUUUCUUUUUGUUUUUUGUUUUUGCUAUUUUUCUAAUAAAUUCUAUCACUAUUAAUACAAAUGCUCCUAAUAUUUAUAUGCCAUUCAAUUUAAAUAGAAAUUAUUUUUGUUUAAGAGUUAAUGAUUAAUUCCUACUUUCUAUGCAAUUCAAUCCUAAAAUAAUAGCCAAAAUUUAGUUGUUGACAAUCUGAAUAGAUUUUUCAGUAAUGAAAAAGUUAUGCGGCUCGUAUACAGGCCUAACAAGUGAAAUCUCAGUUGAAAUGAGGAGACUAUUCCGUUUGAGAAUGUUGGAUUUAAUCAUUCUCUAAUACUAUUUAUGGAUUCCCAUGACCAACGGUUGUUUCUCGUCUCCAGAGAAUCUCUCCAGGGUUGCUAUUAGAUUCAAAGCUUCUCUCUAUGGCCUAUCCAUCUUUCUUCCAUGGGCUAAUAUUACAAAAAUUCUAAAUUGAUAUACCCAUGUCACAUUUACUCAGACUAAUUUUUUUAUCAACAAAACUCUUAAACCAAUAUGCUUGUGCUUCCUUUACCCACUAACUAUAUUUGUAUCAUAAAAAAUAAAAAAAACACACACACAAAUAAGUACUACUGCGACCCCCUUCCAAGCAAGUGUCGACGAAAUGACAAAUUUAGAGUUAAUAUUGAGUUGAGGACAAUCUUUACUCAACUCAAGUUUUCCCAAUCCCUUACCUCAUGCGACAUUGUGAUUCUCAUUUAAUUUCGAUCAGCUCUAUGAGAAUUCUAUAUGAAAAGUGUGACAUCCUGAAAUUCGACCCCAUUUCGAUAAAGUGAAAUGGGCAUUUCGUCGACGUGCUUAGGGUCCUUUUUCUCUUAGCUGAUCACUCACGAGUUAACUAACCUAUUGGGUGAAGCCAUUAAGGGACGUAUCUGCAGUAAAAUCCCUAAAAGCUACUCAAUUUGUUGGAUUGGACUAAAAUCACGUCUGAUCGAUUUUUAACCAUGAGAUUGAACUCGAUUUCGGGAAUCGAAUUUUAAGCGCGUCAUAAUUCUUUUCUUUUUUUAGGACAUUGUCUCAUCGUUCGUCAAUUUAUAGACGAGUCCGAAAUUUCAAGAAAGAAAUUAUCGGAAGAAAAAUUGAAGAUCAAAAAGAAAUUAGAAAGGGAAAGAGAAAAGAAAAUCAAAUAAGAAAAGUAUUAUUGUUUAUUUUUCUUUUUCUCUCUCUCUCUCCCUUCUCUUUUCUUUUUCUCUCUCUCUUUCCUCCCUUAUUUCCCCCUCCCCCUCGUGCAAUUUUUCCCCCACCGCCUGCCCUCUCUCUCUCUUUCUUCUCUCUUUGACUGGUCAAUACCUAUCUUCUCUCUCUCUUCUCUCUCUUCUCUCUCUUCUUCCUCCCCCACACGACCGAACUCUCCCUUUUUCUUCUUCUCUUUCUUAUCCGAAUUGCAUCGUAGUAGUUACAGUGUUCAUCCUGGAAGUAUUAGGAUGUGUCAAAAUCUGAGUCAACACUAUUGGUGGUCAGGUAUGAAGGCGAACAUUGCUAAACAUGUCACCAAGUGUUUGACGUGUCAACAAGUAAAAGACCAGCAUUGCAAACCGAAGGACUUCUGCAACCUCUCACGAUCCCAUAUUGGAAAUGGGAGCAUAUCACGAUGGAUUUUGUGAUUGGACUACCAAUGAGUCAAAGAGGAAAUAAUUCAAUUUGGGUAAUGGUCGACAGGCUAACAGAGUCGGCUCACUUCAUUGCAGUUUGAAAGGACCUGAGUCUGGAUAGACACGCUGUCUUGUAUGUACGUCGGGUGGUUCGUAUGCAUGGAGUGCCGGUUACGAUAACUUCCGACAAAGACCCGAGGUUUAUUGUUGCUUUUUGGAAGAGCUUGCAGAGUGCUUUAGGUGCAAAGCUUCAAUACAGUACGGUGUAUCAUCCUCAGACGAAUGGCCAGUCUAAAAGGACAAUUCAGACUCUUGAAGACGUGCUGAGAGCGUGUGUAUUAGACUUCAAAGGAAGUUGGGAAGAUCAGCUUCAUCUGGUGAAAUUCGCCUACAACAACAGUUAUCAGCAGAGCAUUAAGAUGGCUGCUUUUGAAGCGUUGUAUGGCAGAGCGUGCAGAACUCCAGUGUGUUAGGAUGAAGUCGGACAAAAGGAAGAUAACAGGCCCAAAGUUGGUUCAGCAAUCAGUAGAUGCCAUGGCAGUGAUCAAAGACAGAUUAAAGACAGCGCAGAGCAGGCAGAAAAGUUAUGCAGACAAGCGUUGAAGGUCUUUGGAAUUCCAAGUUGGUGAUCACGUUUUUCUGAAAGUGUCACCAAUGAGGGGAACUUCGCACUUUGGUAAGAAAUGAAAAUUGAGUCCGAGGUAUGUAGGUUCGUUUGAGAUUCUUGAAAGAAUCGGAAACCUAGCGUAUCGUCUUGCGUUGCCGCCAAAAUUGGCGCAAAUGCAUGACGUCUUUCACGUGUCGAUGUUAAGGAAGUACGAGCCUGACCCGACCCACGUGCUCAAUUUCGAGGAAUUGGACGUGGAUGACCAUGUGUCAUACGUGGAAAGCCCGGUUCAUAUUGUUGAUCGUAAAGAGCAAGUUCUACGUACAGAGAUCAUUUCGUUGGUCAAAGUGGUCUGGCAACACCACGGUGUUGAAGGAGCGACUUGGGAGACUGAAAAUCAAUGAGACAAUUGUACCCCCGCCUUUUUGAUCAAAGUGUAAUGGUUUAAAUUUCGAGGACAAAAUUUUUAUAAGAGGGGAAGAGUUGUGAUAUUCGGAAAUUCGACCCCGUUUCAAUAAAGUGAAAUGGGCAUUUCGUCGACGUGCUUAGGGUCCUUUUUCUCUUAGCUGAUCACUCACGAGUUAACUAACCUAUUGGGUGAAGCCGUUAAGGGACGUAUCUGCAGUAAAAUCCCUAAAAGCUACUCAAUUUGUUGGAUUGGACUAAAAUCACGUCUGAUCAAUUUUUAACCACGAGAUUGAACUCAAUUUCGGGAAUCGAAUUUUAAGUGCGUCACAAUUCUUUUUUUUUUUAGGACAUUGUCUCAUCGUUCGUCAAUUUAUUGACGAAUCCGAAAUUUCAAGAAAGAAAUUAUCGGAAGAAAAAUUGAAGAUCAAAAAGAAAUUAGAAAGGGAAAGAGAAAAGAAAAUCAAAUAAGAAAAGUAUUAUUGUUUAUUUUUCUUUUUCUCUCUCUCUUUCCUCCCUUCUUUCCCCCUCCCCCUCGUGCGAUUUUUCCCCCACCGCCUGCCCUCUCUCUCUCUUUCUUUUCCCUCUUUGACCGGUCAAUACCUAUCUUCUCUCUCUCUUCUCUCUUUUCUUCCUCCCCCACGCGACCGAACUCUCCCUUUUUCUUCUUCUCCUUCGUGCAAACCAGAAGCUGAGGAAGAUCAGAAGCUGCAGCCCACCGUCGUCGCCCGUCCCGCCGCCACACCGCACUUGCGACGCCCACCCGCGCAACGCCGCGCGUUCUGCCGGCCGUCCCUUGCGCCUAGGCGUGCUCCCCCGUGCGACCCAGCCACUGCCCAGCCUCCGUCCAGCCCCGUCCGGCCACCUCCGGCCGCUGUUCAACCUCGUCGGACCUCCCCGGCGUCCCCCUUGCUCUCCGUCGGCCUCCUCUCGCCACCCUAGCCGCCGGACGAGCUUUGUCUAGCCAAGAACAGUGGCUGGAAAAGUGGGUUUCCAGCCCUAUUCAAGGCCGUUUUGGGCCAUUUCCGAGCCCCAAAUCCGAGGCCCGCUUUGGAGUUUGUUGUUCCUCGCAUCGCGCCCGUCGGAUUGAUCCGAUUUGCGCACGAUUUGGUGAGUAAUCUCACUAAUCCCGGAUUAGUUGGCUAAUUAUGCUUAAGGUUGGUUUAGUUUUAAUUAAUUAUGUCUAGGUGGUUAGAUUAGAAUAUAUUAGCAAUUAUUAGUCAAUUGUGAUGCGAUUUAGAUAAAUUGAUUGCGCAAUUAGCAAGUAGACGUGGUCUACUAAUAAUUGGAAGUGCCUUGGGAUUUUUCCCAACCCUUCGUGGGCUCCAAUUAGGCUUUUCAGGCCUAAGUGGAAUUUUUAGUAUUUAAAUAUUAAUUUUCGGAAUUAAAUUAAAUAAUUAUUUAUUUUCCGAAAAUUCAACUGAGAUGGUCUGGAACCGGAAUUUUAUGCUAGUGAUCGUGGUGAAAUCCGUUUAUUUAAUUGGGCUUUAUUUUGUGCUAAAUUGAAUUUUAAUAUUUAUUAAUUAAUUUUAGAAAUUAAUUAAUUAAUUAAUUAAUUUUUGGAAAUUAAGAUUUUGAUGGCCGACGACUGAAAUCUCGUGCUGAUUGUCGUGGCACAGUCCGUUUAUUUAUUUGAGCUCCACGUUGCAUGGAAUUAAAUAAAUUGUGAUAUUUUGAGGAUUUACCCUAAAUUGAUUGGAAUUGAUUGAGAUUGAAUUGUUGAUUGGUAAAUGGCCAAGUAUGUUAUUCAGCAUUUAUAAUGCUUUGUUGAGUUGAUUUAAUUAUUUGAUUGAGAAAUCGUUGGGCAUUGGUUGUCGGUAUUGAAAAUAGAUUGGUAAUCACUUGAAAGAAAGCACGUGGGCUCGGUGAAUUGGAAUAUCACCUGGAGAAUGCACGUGAAUUCGGGGAUUGAUUAUGUCAUCUUGGCGAAAAGGUCGCCUAAGAGAAUGCACAUGGCUCGGAGACUCGGUAUGUCAUCCUGGAGAAUGCACGUGGCUCGGUGACAGAGUUUGGCAUCUAAAAGGGCACGUGGCUCGGUGAAUUGAUGCAUCACUUUGGUGAGAUAGCACCUAAGAGAAGGCACGUGGGCCCGGGCAUCGUAAAAAGGACAUGUGGCUUGGCAAUUAUUACAUCGCUUUGGCAUGUAGGAUGCCUUAGAGAAUGUACGUAAAUUGUUGAAUAUUGAUCAUGCCUGUGUGGUGAUAGUUGAUCAUGCCUAUGUGGCGAUAAUUGAUCAUGCCUGUGUGGCGAUAACUAAUCAUGCCUGUGUGGCGUAGAUUGUGCCUCCGUGGCCGUAUUUCUGUGUGUCGAGUAUCGUGCCCAUGUGGCCGAAAGUAAUUGGAAUGCCUAAAAGCCUGCUCAUAAAGUGUGUAUUGUACAUCACUUUGGCGAAUGGACGCUCGAGAGCAUUACUGUGGCUCGGUGACUGAGUGUACUAUUGGGGAUUAUAUGGUGUGGAGUGAGAUGACCUAGAAAUGGUCCAACUGACAUGUAAUCGACUAGGUCGAUUGAUCAUUGCUUUGAUUUGAUGUUGUGAAAUGAUUGAUUGAAUUGAAAUGACUGUGAGUGGUCGACUAGGUCGAUUGAUCGAGAUAUCGAUCUGUGAUGUGAUUGCUUGGGUGCCUAUUGAAUUGUGCUAAUAUGCAGGUGGAAUCUGAGGCCAAGGUAAGUCAUCUGCCCUGUGCGUGUUUAGGCAGCCUAUAGUAUAAUGGUUUACUAAUCGGGCCUUAGUGGGGUAGAACUCGCUGAGACGUAGUCUCAUCCCAGUUUGGGGAAAACAUUUCAGGACACCGAUGAGAAGCUGAUGAAGAGGAAUCUGAGUGCGAGAACUCUGAGGUGAAACCUGAGGAGAAGAAUUUUGGAGGAAGAAGAUAAUCCCGAGAGGAGUCUUGAGUACGGCCUGGAUGGAUUGAGAUUCCAUCUUCUUUUGAUAUCUCCAUUUUGAUGUGAAUAGAGAUAGAGUAUAAAGUUGUGGAGUGCUCUGGUUUGCGUUUUGUAUAAAAGUUUGGUUAUAAGUUUCAAUAUGAAAAAUAUGGCCCUGCUUUUCUAUCCCACCGAUAUAUUGUCUGGGGAUUUAUGAUUGCUUGCGCAUGUGCUUAAUAAAUGAAAGGGUUGGCGAUACUAGUCCUGGGAUAUCGCAUUAUAAAAUCGACCAAGUGAGAAGGAUGUGUGUGUGCCCGAGGAUCGGGGCGUGACAAAAAGUCACUAUCAACCUAUUGGGGUCGGUAAGAAAUCAAAUGAGGUAUGAGAAUAUACCUUACUUUCUAUGCAAUUAAAGAUAUAGGGUCGUGGCCUCUAGUGAGGUCGGGCCUCACCCAUAGUUAGCAAGACUUACCCUUACGGUCUCUGGUGAGGCCAAAGGCUCACCCUUGGCUUGCAAGUUGCCUAGGAUUUGGUGUACUAAGUAAGCGCCAUUUUGCUUAUAUAUGUAUCAAAUAUGAUUUGAAUGACGUAAAGUUUGAGUCGAGUUUAGUUAUACUCAAGUUAAUUGGAAUUAAGUUUGAGAUUGUUAACACCCAACUCGAACUGCGUAAAGGAUCACGUGUUUAUUUGCAAUAGCUAAGUAGAUGAUUUGAAUCAAGGUGAGGUUGAGCUUUAUAAUACCUACUUCAAGCGGCUCACUAGCCUUAUUUUAAUAGUCAAGUAUUUAUUUAUGUUAUGUUAUAAUUGCAUUAGUGAACUGUAAAAUAAAUGAAAAUAACAUUACUUUUAGCUUUUUACUUCGUUAGAUUUAGGGAGGGAAGGCUCGAGCUUUACAGUGAAUGUAGUUUUUCAACUAUGGGUUAAGGGACAAAGUAUAGGAAUUUUUUUAAAUAGUUAAGUAUUUGUUUAUGUUAAGUUUUUAAUUGCAAGGGGUAAUGCGCGUGGAACUUUGGUAUUGCUAGUUGGUCUCUUGUGUACAUGACCACACAUUGCAAGCCUAUUUAUAGGCUCCAUCCACUGACUUAUAAUCUUCUUGCCCUGCAUUUGUCGGAGACAUUCUUUCUUGGACAUAUUUAUGGCCACAAGCUUUAACUAACUCCAAUUAAAACUAAACUAGAGACUUGUAGAAAUUACACCUAAAGGAGUCUAGGCCAUUCUAGAAAAUUGAUCAAUAUCUCAUUAAGUUGUGCUUUUGCAAUUACUGUAAGAUCACAUUGAAUUAUAAAAAUGAGGAUUGUACAUCAACUUCCCCAAGAUAUAGAUGGUAAGAUGAUUGUCAUGUUUAAUUCUAUUUAAUUCACUUUUUUUUUUCCAGCAGGUGACAAAAAAUUUGAAAGUUCUGAAUUUAACAAGUUGCAAAAAGUUGACGAGGACACCCGACUUCUCAAAUUUCAAGUCUUUGGAAAUGUUAAUACUUGCUCAGUGUCCCAGGCUGAUCACAAUUGAUAGCUCCAUUGGUAAUCUUGAGGAACUGAAAACUUUGAAUAUCAAGCGGUGCCAUUCUCUUGCAGAGUUGCCCGGAGAAGUUGCUUCUUUACUUUCUUUGACGAAGAUUGUCAUUCCCCAAAAUUUUAAACUGUUGAAGCUUCCAGAGGGAUUUGGCAAUCUGAAAUCUUUGUCAAGUUUCAUACUAGACGGGCACCCCGGAAUCAGCCAACUUCCAAAGUCUAUUGGAAGGUUGGUGCAACUGACACACUUAUCCUUAAGUGGGUGUGUGGGAAUAAAGCAGCUUCCAUGGUCCAUUGGGGAGUUAAAGAUGUUGCUCAAGUUGGAUGUAUCAAAGUCAGGAAUAGGCAUACUACUCGAUUCUAUUGGAGAGCUAAAAAAUCUAAGGGUGAUGAGGAUAGUUUAUACGGCGAUAACAAAGUUUCCUUGUACUAUCGGGGGUGUGGAGAUGCUCCAAGAGUUGCAUGCCUUGAAAUGCUCGAAACUGACAGAUGAAAACCUGGAGAAAAUUGGGAAGCUAUCCCAUUUAAGGAUAUUGAACUUAUCAGGAACUUGGGUCUCUACAUUGCCUGAGGUGAUAGGCCUUCCAACUCAUCUCCAAACACUUCGAUUGGGUUCGUAGAACCUUCAAGAAGUGACAUCUCUCCCAUCAAGUUUGACACACCUUCAGCUUCAAGCUCGUGACUUCUCGUUUUUGCCUAACCUCUCAAGCCUCGUAAAAUUAGAAUAUCUGGAAUUAAUUAGAUCAGCCGAGGAACCUUACUCAACUCGGAUGAAAAAGCAAUUCAUUGAUCAGCUUCCAUCUUGUUUGUCAGCCUUGAAACUCCAGGGUUGUCCACUGCCAAACUUUUCCAAGUUAAAGAAUUUAUCCAAUCUGUGUGUCAAUGGAUGGCCUAUUUCAAGCUUACCUGUCUCUCAAGACCUAAUACAUUUGAGGGAACUGGAAAUAAGUAGAUCGGAAUCCCUCGUAGAAAUACCUGAUCUGUCACUCUGGAAGAGUAUAGCGCUUGCAUCUGAACAGGUUAUUCAAAAUUGUUUAGAUUCGAGGUUUGUCAGAACUGGAAUCCUUGAUGUACCUCCGUCUUUCCAGAUGUCCUUUAGUAAAAGAAUUACCCAACUUAUCAAAGUUGGAUAAAUUGCAACAUAUUGAGCCGGAAGAUUGUGAGAAUUUAAAAGGCAUCGAGGGCAUCGAGGGCAUAGAAAGCUGGGAGUGGGAUGGUCAUGGUUGCACUGUCCUGGAAAGAUUAAUGGAUGUGUCAAGGACCUGGCUUUGCCACAGAAAACCAACAUCUGAUGUGUUCCUGAGUUGUAGGGGACCAGACACUCGUAAUAGCAUAAUUUAUUUGCGUUUGAAUGGCCUGAUUUUCCUUUCCUUGGGAUGACGUACAAUUGCAAAAACAAAACCAUCAUGAAAAUUUGCUGCGAAAAAUGGACCAGUGUCACACCUACAUACCCAUCUUAAAAACUAUGCUUGAAGUCCGUGGUGUCUUCGUAAAGUUGCGUACAUGAUAGAUUGCACGUCAAAGUCAAAAGGUGAAAAUAUAGUCCUCCCCAUUCUCUUUGACGUGGACAUUAAGGAUGUUAAGCUCGAAAGCCCGUUAUAUAGACACGCCCUAGACAGGCACAGAGAUGAAAGAUACGCCGGCGAAGUGGAGGCAUGGGAACGGGCUCUUAAAGAGGUCCCGCGGGCCAAGGUGUUCGACCUGAAAACUGACUGGUAAGGCUUAUAUUCGGACUAAUUGCUUUUUAUCCUCAAAAUUAUGAGACAUCAGUGAUUCAGUUUACUUUACCAACAUUGGUUUUCGCAUGGAAGAAAUGGCAUGCAAUACGAAUGACGAAGAUUUUGAUGAAGGGAGAGAAGCGUGAUAUAAGUUUUAGGAAAUGCAUAUAAAUUGGAGAAAAGUUGAUUAAAUGUUGGAAUCUAUAAAAGAUUUAUGAAAUAAAGUGUCAGCUUUGUUGACCAUUGGAAACCAAUUUCUCCAUUCUUGAACGGUGUCCACUUAUUGUUCUUUGUUAUAGAGUGUCUAUGCCAGGGAAAAAUUUUUGAAUGGAAGGUUGAGUAGGAUGUGUUUGAGUCCACUCUAUAUUUGAGAGAUAAUAGCAUUAAAGGAGAUGUGAGAUCCCUUUUUUUUUUUUCUUUAACAGUAUCCAUAACAUAUCAGAAAAGAUACCACAGAAAGCGUUGACUAUGGAAUUAAUAAGGUACCAUUUUCAUUAUAACUCAUGGAAAUUUGAAUUGAAACAAAAUUGAUGACACUCAUAACGAUAUAUAGGUGUAGUGACUAUAAUAUCCAAUUGUUUCGAACGAAUAAACAUUUCCUAGAUUGUUUGGCUACCGUAUCAUUUGGGGAAAUGAGUUAGUAGAAAAUACUUUUAUACAAAAAUCUAUAUUUAUAUAUUUUUAUUGAUGAUAAAAAAAAAUUGUUGGCUCAUUUUCCUAAGCAAUACAAACAAUGGAAAAUGAAGAAAUAUUCUUUGAUUGCUGAUUUACCGGAAAGCAAGCGGAAUGUAAGGAGAACAAUAAUGGGAUCCAAGCAUGUAACUUUGCGGAACAAUAGACAACACUCUUGUAAGUCAACAAGGUUAACUUAAAAAAAAAAAAUCAACGAUGCUGGAACUAAGGGAAUCGAUAUAUGCACAGAAAUUCAAAUAUUUUAAGAUCUUUAAUUUAAAAUAAAAAAGGAAUUUUAAAAUUCUCAUAUCACGAGUGUUCUAAUAGUUUAAAUAUAAAUUAGAAGAAAUUGCCCCAAGAAUUGGAGAACCGCUUUUUAUUAUACGUAGCAAAGAUAAAUAGGUUUAUUUACUUUAUACAUAAAAAAAUAAAAGAGAUUAAUAUUGUUUCUGCUCGAACAUCACUAAAAUACAGCUUGUAAGAAUAUGCCUAGUUUCUCUAGAUUUUAUUUGGAAAUUUUGAACCAGCAUCUUAUUUACUUGUCACGGAAUUCAAGUUCCAUAUUAUUUCAGAUUACAUAAAUGUUAGACGUUAAAUGAUAUCCUCAAGUCUGGUAGGUGGACCCAAUUUCAUUCAUUUCAUCAAGAAUAGCUACUUCGCAUUGGUGCCUGAAAUUCUAGAGCAUCUCUAUUUCUUGAAACCGAGCAAUAUCUGAUGAAAUUUGGUAUAGCUGUGGAUCAACUGAUGCUCAUACUAAAUUCCACCGGUUGGAGUUAUGAAGUUUUUAAGUUAUUUCACCAAAUGGCCGUACAUAUAUGUUCACAGAAGUAGAUCCUCUGGUUUUACAUAUCCGGGGGGAACCAUGUGGCGAAACAGAAUUGCCUAGCGGUACACCAUAAAAAAUCUUCACUUUUUGUUUUUGUUUUUGUUUUUGUUUUUCAUUCUCUCUUCCUUUGUGCAUGAGUCGAAAGGUCUCAGGGUUACAUUUGUUGGAGGCAUUGAAUCAGCAAUUUGGUUGUCAUUUCGAUAUCACCGUGUCUUCAGCUGGAACAAUUUUUCUUUCUUUGUGCAAUACUGCAGCCUUGAAGAUGUAGUUGAAUUGGUUAUUGAGGAGGUUUUGGGUCAUCGGAUAAAAGUCAACCCAAAAGCGUUGACUGAAGUUUAGGUCAAGAUCGGUGACAGCUCGCAGACGCUGCAAGGAAAUUAUUAUAGAAGUUUUCGUUUGGUUCAUUGUCCAAGAAAAAGCGAAUGGAUUUCUGUUACAAGUGAUAAAGUCCUGUAGAACUGAUGAGUUCUUUUUCUAAUGUUUGGAGGCUCUCUAGAGAUUUCGUGUCGAGAUUAAAUUGGAUUAUGAUUCUAAUGCUUGGUACAUUUUUAAAGAUAAGAAUGAAAUUACACUAAUUUGUUCAUGUGCAAGAUCUAGAAAAUCAUCGAACUUCCGAACUCUUGAGAAAAGAGAUUAGCUGGUUGUGUCGGACUUGAAAAUGGUUAAAUAGAGUCGAUUUAUCUGAUUAAAUUGGAAAUUUAAGGAAAACGAAAGGAAAUUACAAUGUACUCCUCAAAUAAUCAGAAAGUUCGGUGAUGCUGUUGGUUAGCUGGAGAUGCUUGAGUUACAUGUAGCUAAUAAGGAUAUUGGACUUAUCAUGCUAAAAACACGGUGAAUCCAUACUUUUAAUUGGAGAGCGAGUCACGGACAUGCUUCUCCUUGUGUGGUAUUUCUUUUUAAAUGUUGGGUCUUCAAAUCACUUCGCAUUUAGCCUCACUUAAUUGAGAAUAGAUCUAGUAUUCGAUCGUGUUAACAAAAACUCGAUUUGGGCCACAACUUAACUUUCCUCCCAUGAAUUCCAAGUUCGAUCAGCUCAGGGCUUUGCAUUCUCUACGCACCACAAACAAGAAGUCUCCUGGCGUGGAAUUUUCGGAAUUUCCGCCGAGCUUUAGAGUGAGGAAUGAAAUUAGCAAAAUAAUGGCUAAUAUAUGCAAAAAGUAUCAUAGCUCAAAUGGUUGUUUUUUAGGCUAUUUAUACUUACUCUGAUUAAACCUGAGGUUCCCUAAUUUUCGAAGAUGUCGGGGGAUGAUCUCUCUCGAAGGGUGCAACUUGUGGCUCUUUGCCCACGUUUCGCCCUUGUAUGCUGAAAUAUAGGAGGCAUGGUUGUUCUGGUUCUUCAGACCUCGCUUCCACUUCCUUCUGAAUUCUUCAUCUUAUUCCCGUCCGGUCGGAAUUGAACCUUCGGUUUAUGAACCUCACUUAAUGACUUUCUAAUUGGCCACAUCAAUGGUUUCAUUUUCUUUUUCUUUUUUCUUUUUUACUGUUGUUCGGUUUUAUGCAAAGUUGGUGUUAUCAAUGUAGUCAAGGCGAUGUUAAACUUUUUUUUUGGUCAAAUCUUGGCGAAAUAUUACUGACAUGCACGCCUCAGCGUGGGCGGGAGAGAGAAUUCCUUUUGAUUUUAUGCCGACGUUUCCUAUUUGGUAGUAUGGUAUAUACUAGACAAGAUCAAGUAAUUCAUUAGUUAGAUACCAUCGAAUGACCAUGAGUAAGGAAAUGGAUGACCACGAAUUUGGAGAGGAAAUUCUACCUAAGGCAUGGCAUUGAAUAAACCUAGAAAAAAUAGGAAAGAUGAUUCAGAAGUGGCUUUGGUUUUUCUUUCUCUCAUUGGAACUUGGCCAAGCAGCCCAGCAACCGCAUUACGACGGUCGAUAUGGUCACCGAUCCAAUGGCAAUUCUUGCUCUCGCUGUCCUCUCUCCAGCUGUUUUAGUCAUAAAAUCUCAAGUUCCCGUGAUCUCGAUCGUUGAUAAUGUUGCAUCAAGAUCACCAUUGGCCCUGAUGUCAACCAUCAACAACCGCCACCACUGGCCAGUAGCACCGCGAUGACCACCGGCGGUUUUUCCCCCACUAACCUCUCUAUCAUAUUCUUUAGCCCAGUCCUACUCUUAAAUAGGCCGAACGCCGGGUCCAAUAUAUGCAAUUCACAAGCCCAUGGUUAUUUUCACCUGGGCCUCCAUUGCAACGCCGUUUUCGUGUAAAAAAACAGAGACAGUUUUUAUGUCGAAGAAUGUUCGAUAAACGACCUGUGUGACGGAAAUAGUUUGAUGCCCCUCCGACGCCAUUGAAAUCUAAUCACGUUAAUUACUUGGAGAAACACGAUGAACAGUAUACAAUAAGGUUAGCCUCUUAAAUUACAAGUCAACGACUGGGAUUUGUCCUAGUGGCUAUCCUUUCCACUUGAGAAUGAGGAGGUGGUGGUUAGGGUAGGGACGAUUUAGUUUCAGAUAUAGGUUUUGACUCUCACGCCUCACAAAAAGGCAGGAUAAAUUUUUGAGUAAUAAGAGUAGAAUAAGACAAAAAAAAAAUUACAAGCCAAAUUUGCUGUCAUCUUUGUUAAGUCGACUCUUUUAUUUUCCCCUUUAAUCAAUCUUUUAAGAAUGGAUUUUAUUGAGAGAGAAGCAACAUCAUAAUGGGGAAGCACAAAACAAUGUCCGACGACUUAACAAGACCCAAAAGGAACGUGGGGAUGCGUGUGGGAACGAAGAAAUAGAAACUCAUCUCAGACCAACCCUCGUUACAAAAUUCACUACCAUUGCUCUGAUUAUACUACGGACGCCUUAUAUUAUUCGUUAGGAAUCUUCUUGGCAGAUACACCAUUGAGAAAAGCAAUUAUCAAGAUUAUUGCAAAUAUAUAUAUAUAUAUAUAUAUAUAUAUAUCCCUUUAAAUACUUUAUGUUUUCGAGAUAUAUAAGAUCUUAUUAAAUACUUUUAGAAAAAUGAUUGGAUUCCCGUAUAGAUAGAGGUCAACAUACAUAACAACCCUGUUGUUCCAUAUAUAUCCCAUACGGUUAACAUUAACGUAAAAAUAAUUCUCAUUAUGUGUUCAUCCAAAUGCACUAUUAAGAAAACAAUUAUCAAGGUUAUCACAUUGGGAAAUGAAAACAGAUGGUUGAUUUGGACUUAAAUGAUUAAAUAUGAUCAAUCUAGUCUUUUUUGUAUGAUCAUAUUCUAUAUCUAUUUACAAGCCACGACGUGUGUUAUGUGCUGUACACAGAUUACAAAACCCUACUUCCUCAUUCAUGUGAAUCCGUCAUAGCCCUCGAGAAGGUGGGGCAUCAAACUCCCUACCUCUCCCUUCCCAAGUGGGAAGGAUAGCCACUUAGUCGAUCUACUUGAUACACUUGGCCACUUGGCCACUUGGUCGAUUCCUCUUUAAUUUGAAAUUUAGGUAAUGCUAUGGACAGCUUGAGAUGCUCGAGCAGAGAAGUCGCAUGCGGUGCAUAUGGGUCCUGACGAAGGCCCUGUAUUUAAAUACCAAUCAUUGUAUAUUUGCAUCAUGUAAAAGAUAAUUGAGGUUGACUAUCUAAAUUCACGACUUGGUCUCCUAGGCCAAGCCUCACGCCUCCCUCGGGUGGUCACUAGCUUGCCGCUACAGCUUUGCCUAAACCUGCAUUCAUCUAAAUCUAUUUCCAACGUUGUUAGGUUGUUUUUCAUGUUCUGUAUACACGCACUCCGUGGGUGGCAUUUUUUUUUUUUUUUUUUUGCUAGUGACGAUGAGAAAGAACAAUCUCCCCAAACACAAACGCUAAAUAGAAAAUUAAUAUAUGAAUGGUAAUUAUUAACACUCCUUCGAUAUGAUCGUUUUCGCUAUAAAAGCCCAGUACACCUACGAUUGAACCAGUAAUAUUUUGAUAGAAAUCAAAUGACAAAUCAACAUUUCUUAUCGUACAUCUUAAUCUCUUCUUAAUCUCGUCAUGGCGAUUCUAUAUCUAUCCUUCAAAAUAAAGAGUGGAUAUCGCCCUAAAUUUUGAACAAUAUUUAGCAAAUGUACUUUGUGACAUUUGGCCUUUGAAAUAAUUUGGUGCCCCUUUAAUGCCAUCAAUAUUCAAUCACAUUGAUUACUCGGAAAAAUUGAUGAGCAGUGUACAAUAAGAUAGCUAUUUCUUGCCCCAUGGACAAUUCACAUUAAAAUCGCCAGAAACAUCGUGAAUUGCGAGCCGAAUUAGCUGCCAUCUUUGUUCUUCAAAUCCUUUAUUGACCCCUUUAAGAAACGAUUUUAUUAAGAAAGAAGCAACACUUUGGGAAGCACAAGACAAGGUCCGAUGACUCGUAAGACCCCAAAACACGUGGGGAUGGUGGGGGAAACCGAAGAAAUAUCAUUACUAAGUUCACCACCCCUGCUCUGAUUAUCAUAAUUAUAUGUUACGUUUAGAAUUUUCUUCGCAGAUACACCAAUAAGGAAACAUUUAUCAAGCUUAAAGGUUUGUAAGGCCUUAUUAAAUACAUUUAACCAGAGAUUAAUCAAGACGAAAUAUCAAAUACGUUAUAUAUGGUCAAAUAGAAAUUGUAACUUUAACUCAUUAAUAAUCUCCAAAAUAAGUAACCACUAGGAUUCGCCCUAGUGGCUAUCCUUCUAACAUGGAAGGGGGAGAUGAGAGGUUUAAAUCCCCACAUUCUUGGGGAGGGAUGGGGUGAGGACGAGUAAGUUUCAAAAAUGGGUUUCGACUCCCACACCCUGCAAGAAGCAAGGCAAAAGUCUGAGAGUGAGGGUAGGGUAGAUAUAAAGUAGGACUGGCAAAAAAAAAAAAUCUCCAAAAUAAGUUUUGAUAAAUUAUUGAAAUAGUUGGUACUUUGAAACAAUCAAAUAACGAUUGGCAAGUGGACUCAAGUAAGAGCAACUAAUUUUUUAGUAACUUUAACAUGCAGAAAAAUCCGCAAAUAAAUAUUAGUAAAUUCUCAAAUAAGUGGUGAUUUUGAAACAAUUGAAUAAACAUUGACACCUCAAUCAAAUAUUAAUAAAGCUAAACUAGAUGAUAACUUAAUCAAUGAAAAGUUGAUAAAUCACUUAAGUUUAUAUCAGUAAUUUGCUAUAAGAGUUAAUAGCUUUAGUAUGAUUGUCGUUGGAGCAAAUAAAUAUUUUCAAGUCUCGGAACGAUUGCUGAUUUUGAAACAAUAAAAUGAAAGUCAGUGAACGGACUCAAAUCAGAAUUGGUAUUUUUCUACAAAAGUUGGUAACCUUAAUAUGACGCUACGUUACAUGACUAAACAUUGGUAACAUAUAAUACUUUGAAAAGGUCAAAUAACUAACGACAUUUCCACAUAGUGUUGGUAUUUUACUAAAACGUUACAGGUUAAAUAACUGUUGAUACUAAUACCAUCUAUUAGAGUGGGGCUGUAACAAUCCCGAUUCAAGAUCUAAGGUUGUCAUAGACUGUAUAUUACUGGGCAGAUCUACUUGGAGCUGUAGCAAUUGAAGAACCGCAAUUAGGAAGUCAAACGUUGCUAACCAUUUACACAUUCUUUUCACCUACUGAACAGCGUAGAGAAUCACAAGUUUAUUUGGAAAGCUAAGUUAAUCAUUUAAAUCAAGGUGAGCUUGAGCUUCACAAUACUUAAUUCAAGCGGCUCGCUAGCCUAAUUUGUUAGUUAAGUAUUUCUUUAUAGAUUAUUAUAGUUGCAUUAAUGAACUGUAAAAUAAAUGAAAAUGACUUUACUUUUGCCUUCUUAUUUUGCUUGAGUUAAUCAGGGAAGACUCGAGCUUUACAUUGAAUUUAGGUUUCAAUUUCCGCGUCAAAUCAAAUCUCAUAUAAAUCUGUAGUUCGGUCCAGGGUAGAGAACAAAUCUAAUGGAUUCGGAUCUUCCCUCCAUCUCCGGUUCUAUCUAAAAAUUUUCAACUUAAAACAGAUGCUCGUAUUAAAUCAUUUGCACUAUUUGUUGUACUUUAGCUAGUACGUACAUGAUGGGGUGCAAUUGGACCACACCAUUUGGACUUGAUAUGCUACGAUGAAGGGGUGUGAUGGGGUCAUAUAAAAGACCCCUGAAGACAACCGUUGGAGUGGUUGGACAAACGUAUGUUCAGAACAUUUUCUUCAUUUUCUCUCCCAUUUCCAUCAAGGCGUUCCAUUUCAUCUUUGCAAGAAUAAUAGGUAUUUAUGCUAUGGAAAUCGAGUGUUUUCCUUGUGAUUACAUCCAGACUAAUGUGAGGAAGUGUUGUUCGUGUUUCAUCAGCAAUUCAACGUUCGUUCCGGGACCAUUUGCUGUUUGCACAUCAGAAUCAAGUAAGUUGUCUUCCGCCAACAUGAAUUCCAACAUUGGUAUUAGAGCACGAUCGUGAUUUAUGCCUUAUUUUUCAUUGAGUUUGUGACAUCCUGAAAUUUGACCCGUUCCGAUAAAAUGAAAUGUGCAUAUCGUCAGUGCGCCUAUGGUCCUUUUUCUCUGAGCUAAUCACUCACGAGUUAAUUAACCUAUUAGGUGAAGCCGUUAAGGGAUAUAUCCGCGGUAAAAUCCCUAAAAGCUACCUAAUUGGUUGGAUUGGAUUAAAAUCACGUCCGGUCAAUUUUAACCAUGAAAUUUGAUUCGGUUUUGGGAAUCGAAUAUUUGAGCGUGUCACAAUUCAUUUUUAGGACCGCCUCAUCGUCAGUCAAAUUUAUUGACAAGUCCGAAAUUUCAAGAAAGAAAUUAUCGGAGGAAAAAAAAAUCGAAGACCGGAAGAAUUUAGAAAGGGAAAGAGAAAAGAAAAAAAUAAGAAUAAUGAUAUUAUUUUUGUUAUUUCUUUCUCUCCCUCUCUCUUCUUUCCUCUCUCUCCCUCUCUCUCUUUUCCCCUCCCCUUCGUGCGAGCCCCCUCUCUUAGCUGUCUCCCUCUUUCUUUUCUUUUCUCUCUUUGACCAUUCAAACUUCUUCCUUCUCUCUCUUCUCCCCCACUCCCCCACGUGACUAAAGGCCCCCCUCUUCCUUUCUUCUUUAUGCAACCAGCGAUCAAAUGCAGAAGCAGAAGUUGAAGCGGAGACAACAGCACGCCGAGACAGCAGGCAGCCAGCCGCCGUCGCCGCCCCCGCACCGCCACAGCUCGCCACUAGGCCGCCGUCCGCACCACCCGCGCGACGCCGCGCGUCCAGCCACCCGCCUCUCACGCCUAGGCGUCCUACCCUGUGCGAAUCCGCCUCUGCCUAGCCUUGUUACGCCCUUGUCCGGCCACCUCCAGCCACCGUUCGACCCCGCCGGACCUCCCCGACGUCCCUCUCACCCUCCGCCGGCCUCCCCUUGCCGCCUCAGCCACCGAACCAGCUCCGACCAGCCUAAUCCAGCAAACUCGCGAGUGGGUUUCCAGCUGGUUCGAGCCCGCUUUUGGGCCGUUUUCGGGCCCCGAACUCGAGCCGUGCUUUGGGAAGUUUUGUUCCUCACGUCGCCCCCGUCGGAUUGAUCUGAUUUGCGCGCGAUUCCAGUGAGUAAUCUCACUAAUCCUUACUUAGUGGACUAAUUGCGCUUAAGGAUUGUUUAUUUUUAAUUAAUUAGGUUUAGGUAGUUAGAUUAGUAUGGGUUAGUGUUUAUUAGUCAAUUGUGAUGCGAAUUAGAUAAAUUGAAUGUGUAUUUAGUAAGUAGACAUGGUCUACUAUUUAUUGAAGGUAGCUCGGGAAUUUUCGGACCCCUAAUCGGGCUUCAAUUUGAUGAUUCGGGCCUAAGUGGAAUUUUUGGCAUUUAAAUAUUAUUUUUCGAAAUUAAAUUAAUUAAUUAAUUAUUUUCUGAAAAUUCAACUAGGAUGGUUAGUGACCGAAAUAUUAUGCCGAUGACCGUGGUGAAGUCCGUUUAUUUAAUUGGGCUUUAUUUUGAGCUAAAUUGAAUUUUUAAUAUUAAUUAUUUAAUUUUCGAAAUUAAUUAAUUAAUUAUUUAAUUACCGAAAAUUCAAAUGGGAUGGCUAGUGACCGGAAUAUUAUGUUGAUGAUUGUGGUGAAGUCCGUUUAUUUAAUCGGGCUUUAUUUUGAGCUAAAUUGAAUUUUUAAUAUUUAUUAAUUAAUUUUCGAAAUUAUUUAUUUAUUUAUUUAUUUUUCGGAAAUUAAGGCUGAGAUAGCCAGCGACUGAAAUUUCAUGCUAAUUGUCGUAGUACAGUCCGUUUAUUUAGUUGAGCUUGAUUUUGUGCUAAAUCAAUUUAUGAGUGAUUUUAGGAUUUAUUCAUAAAUUAUUGGAUUUUGGUUAUUAAUUGGAAAAUAAUCGGGUGUCGGUUGACAGCACCAAAAGUGUUUUGGUGGGCUAUAGAGAAUGGUGGGAAUUAUGAAAAAGGAAAUUAUAAUAUGUUGGCUAAGGCCGAUCGUGUACCCACACACGACUAUUUUAUUGGGUAUGAUAAAAAUAAUGAGAAUAUUGGACGAUGGAGAUGGUAUAUUAUAUCGGCCUUCGGGCGAUAUGUCAGCUUUGGAUGAGCAGUAUACCGGUAUACUAUAUCGACCUACGAGCGAUAUGUCAGCUUUGGGUGAUGCUGAGCUGUAUGCAAGAUGAUCUCAUGUGUGAGUUUGAGAGUUAUGACAAAGCUCAAGCUUUGUGGGUUGCCUUGAAAAAAACAAUUGGGGAUACAUCUACCACUAAGCUAAGGAGACUCACCAUCAAGUUUGACACAUUUUGAAAGCGCCCAAAUGUAACGAUGAGGUAGCAUCUUCGGGAGAUGUCAAACAUGAUCCGCGAGCUGAGGUCAGCAAAUCACUCCCUUACUGAUGAACAGCAAGUUCAGGCUGUUAUAAGGUCUCUUCCUGACAAUUGAGAGCAUAUGAAGAUCAAUAUGACGCAUAAUGAGAAUAUUGUCACUUUUGAUGAUAUUGCGCGUCAUUUGGAAUUAAAGGAUGAGCGCCUAGAGGCUGCAAGAUCCUCUACCCAUGCUUAUGUUGCUGAAUCGAGUUCACGCAAAGCUUCGGGCUUCAAGCGCAAGAGGAAUCUUCGGUUCAACAACAAAGGGAAGAUGACUUAUUAGGGACCCAAGAGGGCUAAGACCUUCCGACGCAAGAAGCGUGGUGGGAAGAAGAACAAGGCCAAGAUGGAGUGCCAUAAUUGUGGCAAGAUGGUCACUUUGCUCGUAAAUGCACUGAACCGAAAAAUGUACCCUAUUACUCAAUUACUUUCAGUAAUGCUUUUGUUUCUAGUACUGUAAUGCUUGCUGAAUCUCAUCCAAUGUGGACUGUAGACUCAGGAGCAACAAACCAUGUAGCUAGAGACCGAGAAGCAUUUGUGGAGUAUCGUCGGAUACCGCCUAGAAGUGAAGGGUAUCGGUACAUGUAAAUUAAUCUUACGUUAUGGUCAAAACCUAUUCCUGCAUGAUGUCCUUUAUGCUCCAAAUAUUUGACGAAACUUGGUCUCUGUAGUUGUUCUUCUUAGCUUAGGUUAUGUAUUGAAUUUCCAUGGUGAUUCUGUUGACAUUUUAUAUGGAACAAUUUAUUAUGGUUCAGGUCAUGUAUCGAAUGGUUUUAUGGUGUUAGACAUUGACUAUGAUCAGUAUAAUAUUAAUGUUGAUGGUUGUUUUUAUUUAAUUGCAUCUUCUAAAAACGUUGAGAUUGAUGCAAGUACUUGGCAUGCUAGAUUAAGUCACAUUGGAUUGCAAAUAAUGCAAAGAUUAGCUAGAGAAUGCCUUUUAGGAUCACUUACUAAUGUUAGUCUAUCCAUAUGUGAACAUUGUCUAGUGGGAAAAACAACUAGAAAAUCAUUCGGUAAAGGGACUAGAGUUGAAUUUCCAUUGCAUCUAAUACAUUCUGACAUUUGUGGUCUUUUAAAUGUGAGGGCGAGGCAUGGAGCCUCAUAUUUCAUCACUUUCAUAGAUGACUUCAUACGUUUCGGUUAUAUCUUUAUGAUCUCCCAUAAGUCAGAAGCAUUAGACUGCUUUAGACGAUAUAUAACGAUGGUAGAGAAUCAAUUGAACAAAACAAUAAAGGCAUUGAGAACCGAUCGUGGACGUGAGUAUCUAUCGGAGCAAUUCAAGGCUUUUUGUGAUGAAAAUGGAAUUGUACGACAAUUGACUAUUCCCGGUACUCCACAACAAAAUGGGGUCGCUGAGAGAAGGAAUAGAACCCUAUUGGAAAUGGUUAGGUCUAUGAUAGCGCAAGCAAAUUUAUCUAUCUCCUAUUGGGGAGAUACGUUAUUGAUUGCUACCUAUAUACUUAACCGUGUGCCCUCAAAAUCGGUCACUUCCACCCCUUAUGAAUUAUGGAUUGGUAGGAAACCAGACUUGAGUAGUCUAUAUUCAUGGGGAUGUGCAGCUUAUGUUCAUGAUUCUUCCCAUAAACAUGGCAAAUUAGGUCCUAGAGGGAAGAAAUGUAUCUUUAUAAGAUAUUCCGAACACUCUAAAGGGUACGUGUUCAUAGGUGAACAAGCUGAUGGAAGUGUGACCGAAAUGGAGUCACAAGAUGUCACGUUCUUGGAGAACGAUUUUUCUAGUAGAUGUGAGAUUGAUAAGGACUUCCAAUUAUAUGAGAUGGAAGAUCCUGAUAACACACCCACUGAUGUUGUAGAGGGAAAUGAAGAUUUACCUCAACACACAAAACUUAGUGGGAGUGUUGCAUCGCCUGAUGAAUUGAAUUCAAGAGAAAUUCAAUUGCGUAAAAGUAAUCGUAAAAGUAUUCCCCGUCGUCGUUUUGAGAUUGAAGGGGAAGCAUUUAUGAUUGCUCAAAAUGACGAUGCCGAGCUUAAGACUGUUCAAGAGGUUCCCUCAUCCUCUGAUAAGGAAGAAUGGAGAAAAGCUUUGGAAGACGAGAUGGAGUCAAUGAGGGCAAACCAUGUCUGGGACUUGGUUGAUCUACCACACAAUCGUAAGGCCAUUGGAAACAAAUGGGCUUUUAAGAUUAAGUGAAGGGUGGAUGGAUCCAUUGAAAAGUAUAAGGCUUGCCUUAUGGCAAAAUAUUAUACUUAACAAGAGGGUAUAGACUAUGAGGAAACUUUUUCACCAGUUGUAAGGUUUGCCUCAAUACGCCUUAUUCUAGCCAUCGUUGCACAUUUGGACCUUGAAUUACAUCAAAUUGAUGUAAAGACGGCAUUUCUCAAUGGAGAAUUAGAUGAGGAAAUCUAUAUGAAACAACCAAUAGGUUUCAUAGCUAAAGGUCAAGAGCAUAAAGUUUGCAAGCUUCAUCGCUCAAUAUAUGGCCUUAAGCAAUCAUCUAGACAGUGGUAUCUUCAUUUUCAUCGAGCAAUAAUAAAUUUUGGUUUCACGAUGAUUGAAGAAGAUCACUGUGUAUAUGUCAAGUGGUCCAAAGAUAAAUUUGUAAUUUUAUCACUUUAUGUGGACGAUAUUAUAUUGGCUGGAAAUGACAAGCUUUUGGUUAUCACCAUAAAAGAAUGGUUGUCCUCCAAUUUUAAGAUGAAAGACAUGGGAGAAGCUGCUUAUAUAUUAGAAGUUAAAAUCGAAAGAGAUCGAUCAAGGAAACUCCUUACUUUAUCACAAGAGUCUUAUAUUAUGAAGAUUCUUGAGCGUUUCAAUAUGCAGCACUGUAAUCCCAUUGAUACCCUUGUCAUGCAAGGUGAAGGUCUAAAUAUUGAGAUGUGUCCUAAGACUCUAGAAGAAAUUAAAGUGAUGGAAACUGUUCCUUACGCUAGUGCGGUCAGAAGUUUGAUGUAUGCUAUGAUGUGUACUCGACCCAACAUAUAUUAUGCCAUAGGAUUGGUGAGCCGAUAUCAAUCAAAUCCAGGUCAAGCACACUAGAAAGCAGUGAAGAGGAUUCUGAGAUACUUGAAGGGCACCAUUGACUAUCGACUUUGUUACUAAGGGAAUGAUUUACGCCUAUUGGGUUAUUCAGAUGCCGAUUGAGGUGGAGACCUGGAUGAGCGUAAAUCAACUUCUUGAUAUGCGUUCUUGCUCAAUGGAGGUGCGUUUUUUUUUGGAAUAACAAGAAACAGACAUGCACGGCCUUGUCUACAAUGGAGGCAGAAUUUAUUGCAUGUUCUGCCACAGUGCAAAAAGCAGUAUGGCUAAAACGUUUCUUGGAAAAUUUAGCCACUGUCACUGAAGUUCCAAGACCGGUGACAGUUUAUUGCGAUAGUCAAGCAGCCAUUACCUAUGUGAAAGAUCUCAAGUAGCAUGGAAGGACAAAGUACAUUGACAUAAAGAAUAAUUUCAUCAGAGAUAAUAUAGCGCAGAAAGAAGUGAUCCUGUAAUACAUUUUAACUAAUAGAAUGGUUGCUGAUCCAUUUACGAAGGCCAUUCCUAGAGACAUAUUCUUGACCCAUAGGAUGUUGCUAGGACUGCGUAGAAUGUGAUAUCUGUUAUUGUAGAGGAUCAUUGAUUUAUGUAUUUGUGGACAGAUGUAUUGUACUUGUUUGUUUAAUAUUGAUUUAAUGUUUUAAUCAAUAAGUACAAAUCCACUAUGAGACUAGCACAAACGAACAUAUAUUAUUGAAAAGUAUGUCAGCAGGCAAUGAUUGGCUCACUCACAUGAGCAAUCGCCUCAAGUGCUUUAGAAAGCAUGUUGGGAUGAGACAUUAUGUACAAAUAAAUGCUAGAGAGCAAGUUUAGUACAUAAAAUAUGUUGCCUUGAUUAGAGUCAAGAUGAGGUCUGUGAUUUAUUUAUAAUAAGACCGAACAUGAUAAUCCCAUAAUCAUGUAUGCCUGUAAGAAGCCGGAUGCAAGUACUUAAUUGGGCGCUAUAGAAAGCGAGCUGAUAUAGCACUCGGGCUAAACAUGAGUACGUGAGAAGCACGUGACUAUGUUUAAGCUAAGAUCCGUAUAGUGGAUAUAUUUAAUAAAUGACAUACGCUCUUAUAGAAAGAGUAAUCCACUAUAGCAUGUAAUUCAUACUACAUGUGCAUUAUACGACCAAUAAGGGAAUGUGAGUAAAAUUAUCCCUAUUUACUCAUCGUGUGAGCCAUUGAGGUAAUUUAUAAUUUACCUCAAUUUUGUGCCCUAUGUUAGUUUUGACUAUGUUCUCGAAGUGAAAGAUCAAUGUUGCUAUUUUAGCAUGUUACGGGCGAUCAUGAAUGGAUAUGGCCUAUGGGACGUAUCUAGGAAAGUAGUUGUUUUGAAAUUGAGAGAGACAUGAGUGCGAAGGAAGACUAUUGUUGUUUUACAUCUAUCACAUGUAUUUACUGGUCGAUCAAUUAUAUCGCCCUAUGUAGUUGUGGAUGUAAUUGUAAAUACAUGGUGUUUUUUAGAAUAAUCAAGUAUAGCUUUUAAGGGAUAGGUAUACUUGGAUUGAUGUAACAAAAUAUGUAUGGGGUACUGUGAGACAUCGAUUGUUUAUUUCUUUUCGGGGUUGUAGCUAUUAUGUUAUCCCUAACAGGUGCAUAAUUUGAGCUCCCAAGUGCAGGUGUACUCACUGGUCGCACGGCUUAUUUGCCCGUAUGAAUUGUUUUGUAAAGUUGAUGAAUGUUGAUAUUCUUAUAUUUUUUAUAGCCCAUCAUGUCCGAGUGGGAGAUGUUGUACUUUAGCUAGUGCGUCCAUGAUGGGGUGCAAUUGGACCGCACCAUUUGGACUUUGAUAUGCUACGAUGAAGGGGUGAUAUGGAGUCAUAUAAAAGACCCCUGAAGACAACCAUUAAAGUGGUUGGACAAACGUACGUUCAGAACAUUUUCUUCAUUUUCUCUCCCCUUUCCAUCAAGGCAUUCCAUUUCAUCUUUGCAAGAACUGUCACGCCCCGAACCUCGAGCACGUGCACAUCCCACUACGGUCGAUAGAAAUGCGACUUCCCAGGACACGUCGCCGACCCAUUCUUUUUAAUUGCACAUGCGGAAGCGGAUAAAUAAUCCCCAGACAAAACUUAAUUGGGAUAGAAAAGUAGGAUCACAUUUUUAAAACCAAUCACAUACUUUUUAUACACAUCAAACUAGUUCAUUUACAGGACUAGGCUAUUUACAAAAGAUCUAUUGAAGAUCAGUCCUCAAAAACUAGGCUAUCCUAAGAUCAGCUAGACAGGUCCAUUCGCCAGCUCUUCAGUCAGGAUCGGCGAAGUCAAAAAUCCUCUCAGCGACCCUCACUGGUUUACCAAAAAGCUCCGGAGGUUCCGCCAUCUAGGGACCUGAAAUAUUAUCACACAACCGGGAUGAGACAAUGUCUUAGCGAGUCCUACCCUCUAGAACUCGAUUAGGAAGAAAAUAAGCCCCAAGGUGCUCUAGCCACGCAAAGAGAAUAGAGGACUUACCUCGCCUCAGUCCUUCCUGCACGUCAGUGCAACUCAUACGUCGAUAAAUUCAUACCAUAUAUCAAUUCAUAUCAUCUAUCAAUUCAUACCAUCUAUUCAUCCAUUAAUAAAUCACGGCUCACACAAGCUGAUAUAGAUGGUAGCUCGCACAAGCUGAUAUAUGCAUAGAUGAUAGCUCACACAAGCUGAUGUAUGGAUCGAUGCUCUCACAAGCUGACAUAUAUAAACCAAUUGCUCGCCAAAGCGGAUAAUUCAAUAAUAAACCAACUCAUAUCUCAAUUCAAUCAAUUCAAUCGAUUCAAACUGGUCAUACAAUUCAAUUACGGUGCUAAAAGCUAACACCGGGUAUUUUUAAGUUAAAUACCACAACUUCAUCAAUUUCACACAAUUCCACACUUUUGGAAUUAUUAACCAUAAUCAUCAAUCACUCAAUUUCUCAAUUUAAACAUACAAUUAGCACAAUCCGACCGCACUGCUGCGAUCAGCGCGAAAUUCUAACGACCGGCCAUCCCGGCAAAAUUUUCGAAAUUAUUAAAUAAUUAAAUUUAAUUCCGAAAAUUAAAUAAUUAAAUAUUAUAUUAUAAUAAUAUAAAAUAAUAAAAUAAUAUUUAAAAAUUCGAAAUAAUUAUUUAAUUAAAAAUAAUCAAUUAGGGCUUCAAUUAGAUUACACUAAUUUAAACAUACAAUUAGCCCUAAUUAAACGUCCAUUAAACUAAUCAUACAACUAAUCUAAUUUACAUUAAAAUAAUCUAAUCUAACCACCUAACCCUAAUUAGACUAAUCUAAACACCCCUUAAGCAUGAUUAACUUGCUAAGCGAGGUUUAGAAGAUAAACUCACCCGAUUAACGAUCCGAACGGCUCAAAACGACAAGGACGACACGAGGGUCGAUAGUCUCCAAGGCGGGCCUAGCUUUCGGGGUCGGGAAGCCGACCAAAACGGGCUAAACCUUCGCUGCGAUACCCAUUUUCCAGCUCUCUGUUCACUGCUGGUUGAGGCCGGGAAAGGGCGGAUCCGGGGCUGGUUGGGUUCGGGAAUGGGCGGAGGAGCUGCAGCGGUGCUGUACGGCCAACGGCGGGGCCUCACGGUGGCCGGAGGUGAGCUGAACGGCUUCGGUUGAGCUUCCCCAGAUCUGGAAUGGUUGCUGGAACAGAGAAGCCGGCGAGAUGGAGACUAAGACGGACGGAGCAGCGGUGAGGCGACGGCGGUCCAAGCGGAGUCGGAGGGUGGCUGGACGGAGACGGAGGGAGCUCGGCGGGGCUGGGACACGCCUCGAGCAGCUUGGAACAGGGAGCUCGGACUGUGGAACAGCGAGAACGCACGGCGACGGGCUCGGGUGCGCGCGAGCAGCUCCGGUGGCUGGUGGGCGUGCGACGACGGGGCUCCUCGACGGACUGCUGGUCGAUCUCCGUUGCUGCUGGUGGCGUUCAAAGAAGAAGAAGAAGAUGGAGAUGGAGGAGAGAGCGUCGACGGAGAGGAGGGGAGGAAGAAGAAGACCGGUUCUCUCUCUCUCUCUUUCUCUUUUUCUUUUUCUCUAAUCCCUCACACAUGGCCCACCAUGACCUAGGAUGACCUCACAAUCCACUCACCCAAUCCACCACAACCUCUUCCAAUGGUUGCAAUUUCAUUUUCCGCCGGGGUCCAAUUCUUGUACACUUAAUUCAAUCAAUUCUCAAUCAAUUCCAUCCAAUUGAAGCUCAAUUAAAUUAACCCAUGUGUCCUCGGCCUUCUCAAGACAUUUCCCCAUCAAAUGAUCCAACUUGCAUCCCGAAGAUUCGAUUAAAAACGGCCCUCUGACAAUCCCGAACAAAAACGGCCUUACUUUGCUUUUCCGCCAAAAAUCUCGGUUUGUAGAAAAAUCUUCUGGAGAUGAGUCGACGUUCCUAAAAUGAAUUGUGACAUGCCAGAACCUUCAAUUUUUUUGAAUCCGGGUUUAAAAUCAUGGUUAAUUUCAAUCUGGCGCGAUUUGAGCACGUCCUAAUCUACCGGGUAGCUUUUAGGAAAUUUUCAGUGCAAUUGACCGUGGUUGAUUAUUUUCAAGCCACGACAUAAAUCUUUGACACAUUGGCGACUCUUGAUUGUCGUAAAAAUCUCGAGGUUUCAAAUACGGACACAGGGUACCCAAAACGACAGAAUAAUCAGUUCAGUGCCGGUCGACGAGGAUAUUGAAAUCAGGUGGAAUCACCCACACUCUAAUUACAUAUCUCAGUCGAAUCGACCUAUUACUGAUCUCUGUUCGAUUCUGACAGUGUCGUAAUGAUCCUUGCAGAUUUAUACGGUCGAGCAGUCGGUUCAUGGUCAGAUUCUCAAGCCUAUUGCAUUUAAAUUCCUUAACGGCUUCACUUGAUAGACUAGUUAUCUCGUGAGUGAUCAGCUCGGAGAAUUGAACUAUAAGCGCGUCGAUGAAAAGUCCGUCUCAUUUAAUUGAAAACAGAAUCAGAAAUUUGGGAUGUCACAACUCUUCCCCUCUUAUAAAAAUUUCGUCCUCGAAAUUUAAACCAUUACAAUCCUUGAAUAAAAAAGGUGGGGGUACAAUUCUCUUAUCGACUCUUCACUUUCCCAGGUUGCUCCUUCAGUGCCAUGGUGUUGCCAGACCACUUUGACCAACGGAAUGGUCUUGGUGCGCAGAACUUGCUCUUUGCGAUCCACGAUCUGAACCGGGCUUUCAACGUACGACACACGGUCGUCCACGUCCAAUUCCUCAAAAUUAAACACGUGGGUCGGGUCAGGCUCAUACUUCCUCAACAUCGACACGUGAAAGACGUCAUGCACUUGCGCCAACUUUGGCGGUAAUGCAAGACGAUACGCUAGAAUCCCGAUUCUUUCUAGAAUCUCAAAGGGACCUACGUACCUCGGACUCAGUUUUCCUUUCUUUCCAAAGCGCGAAGUACCCCUCAUUGGCGACACCUUUAGAAAAACGUGAUCACUAACUUGGAACUCCAACGGUCUUCGACGCUUGUCUGCAUAGCUUUUCUGACGACUCUGAGCGGUCUGUAAUCUGCUUCUAAUCACUGCAACUGCAUCCGCUGACUGCUGAACUAAUUCUGGGCCUAUAAGCUUUCUUUCUCCAACCUCAUCCCAACACACGGGUGUUCUGCAUGCUCUGCCAUACAACGCUUUGAAAGGUGCCAUCUGAAUACUCUGCUGAUAACUGUUAUUGUAGGCGAAUUCGACAAGAUGAAGCUGAUCUUCCCAACUCCCUUUAAAAUCCAGUAUGCAAGCUCGCAGCAUGUCUUCGAGGGUUUGAAUAGUCCUCUCAGACUGGCCAUCCGUCUGAGGAUGAUAGGCCGUACUGUACUGCAGCUUCGUACCCAAAGCACUCUGUAAGCUUUUCCAAAAGGCGGCUGUGAACCUCGGGUCUCUGUCUGAAGUAAUCGUCACUGGCACUCCAUGCAAACGAACGAUCUGAAGCACAUACAGGUCUGCGUGUCUAUCCAAACUAAGGUCCUUUCGUACUGCAAUGAAGUGAGCCGAUUUCGUCAAUCUGUCGACCACUACCCAAAUCGAAUCACUUCCUCUUUGACUCCUCGGUAGUCCAGUCACGAAGUCCAUCGUGAUAUGUUCCCAUUUCCACUCAGGAAUCUCGAGAGGUUGCAGAAGUCCUCCAGGCUUACAGUGCUGUGCCUUUACUUGCUGACAGGUCAGACAUUUAGCGACAUGCUUGGCGAUGUCCGCCUUCAUACCAGACCACCAAUAAUGUUGACGCAGAUUCUGAUACAUCUUCGUACUGCCAGGAUGAAUGCUGUAACUGCUACGAUGAGCCUCUGAUAAAAUCUCCUCUCUAAGCUCCACAUUGUCAGGUACACACAAUCGUCCUUGGAACCUGAGUGUUCUAGCCUCAGCAAUCUGAAAGUUAGCAUUCUUCUUUUCUGUAUUCUCUUGCAGAAUCUUCUGAAUCUCUGGAUCUGUCCAUUGAAGCGUCUUGAUUCUGAUCUGAACUUCCGGCUCAAUUCUGAGGGUGGCCAUAAGGUUCGAAAGGUGGCCUACCUCAAAUUUGAAACCCGAAUCUCGAACUUUCUCAAUCAAUCUCCAUUCCUCGAGUACCAUCUGAGCUAUUGAAGACUUCCGACUUAGAGCAUCAGUGACCUUAUUUGCUUUUCCAGGGUGAUACAGAAUAUCACAGUCAUAAUCCUUCAAGAGUUCCAUCCAACGACGCUGUCUCAUAUUCAACUCCUUCUGAGAGAAUAAAUACUUGAGACUCUGAUGGUCAGUGAAGAUCUGGAAUCUUUCUCCGCACAAAUAGUGUCUCCAAAUCUUCAAAGCGAAGAUGAUAGCUGCAAGUUAUAAGUCAUGCGUCGGGUAAUUCAAUUCAUUAGGCAUCAACUGAUGGGACGCGUAUGCAACAACCCUACCAUGUUGCAUCAACACGCAACCCAGUCCAUUGAAAGACGCAUCACUGUAGAUCUCAUAACCUCCAGGACCAGACGGUAUGGUCAGCACAGGUGCAGUAGUCAGCUUCUUCUUAAGCUCUUGAAAACUACACUCGCACUUGUCUGUCCACACGAACUUCUCAUCUUUCCUCAGUAAACGAGUUAACGGCGAUGCCAAUGCUGAAAACCCUUCCACAAACCUUCUGUAAUACCCUGCCAAACCCAGAAAACUUCUGAUCUCUAUUACUGUCGUCGGUCUCGGCUAAUUGAUCACUGCUUCAAUCUUGGACGGGUCCACUGAUAUUCCUUCACCUGAAUUCACGUGACCUAGAAACGCCACACGAGUUAACCAAAACUCGCACUUACUGAACUUGGCAUACAGCUCGUGAUUCCUCAAAGUCUAUAGCACUAUCCUCAACUGUCUUUCAUGAUCUUUUGGACUUCUCGAGUACACCAAGAUGUCGUCGAUGAACACAAUUACAAACUGAUCCAGAUACUCCUUGAACACACGGUUCAUCAGAUCCAUAAAAGCAGCUGGAGCGUUCGUCAAACCAAAUGGCAUUACAGUAAAUUCAUAAUGGCCGUAUCGAGUACGAAACGCUGACUUCGGUAUGUCUUCCUUCUUGAUCCUCAACUGAUGAUACCCUGUCCUCAAGUCGAUCUUUGAAAAUAUCGACGCUCCUUGAAGCUGGUCAAAUAAGUCAUCGAUCCUCGGAAGUGGAUACUUGUUCUUAAUCGUCACUUGAUUGAGUUGACGGUAAUCGAUGCACAGACGUAACGAACCAUCUUUCUUCUUCACGAACAAAACUGGUGCUCCCCAAGGUGAUGCGCUAGGGCGUAUGAAUCCCUUAUCCAGCAAUUCUUGCAUCUACACCUUCAGUUCCUUCAAUUCAGACAACGCCAUUCGGUAAGGAGCCUUAGAGAUUGGCUCUGUCCCGGGUGCUAGCUCAAUCACAAACUCGAUCUCUCUCUUUGGCGGUAGACCUGGCAACUCUUUAGGAAACACAUCUGGAAAUUCUCGAACCACUAAUAUAUCUUCUAGCUUCAGCUCCUCGACUGUCGUAUCUACGACAGUUGCCAAGUAACCUUGACAACCCCCGUCUAACAAACGGGUUGCCUCAAGCGACGAGAUCAGAGCAAUCGAGGGUCCUCCUUGACUCCCAAUAAAUUCGAAACUCUCACCCCCUAACGGGUUAAACUGAAUCGAUUUACGAUAACAGUCCAUCUUAGCUCGUUGCUUGGUGAGCCAGUCCAUGCCAAUAAUCACAUCAAAAUCAUACAUGGCUAGGACUAUCAAAUCUAUUUCCCCCACUCGCUCACCAAUCACUAACUUGCAACCAGAACAACCCAAUGCAACUAACACCUUAUCCUUUAACGGUGUAGAUAUGCUAACCACUGACUCCAACAAUUCAGGACUUAAUCCUAUCAGCUUAACAAACUGCUCAGCUAUAAACGAAUGAGUGGCGCCAAGGUCAAACAAAGCAUAAGCAGCAUGGUCGUUCAACGAAACCGUACCUGUAAUCACAUUAGGCGCUUCCUCCGCCUGUCCUUUGGUGAUGGCAUACGUCCUUCCCUGAGCUGGAGGUCUAAUCGGUCCACCCUGUGGUGCGAUCUGCGACACAAACCCCCUAUUCUGACCCAACUGGAGCGGCGGUGGCGGCGGUAACUGCUGCGGCCCUCUCUGCUUUCUAGGACAAUCUUUGGCUAUGUGACCCUGCUGGCCACAUUCAUAACAGGCGCCCGUCCUAAAAUGGCAUGGGGCCGUACCAUGUCGCCUUCCACAGUAGCCACACGCGCCAUUCUGAUUUGGCGUUGACUUCCCAAUUCCACCCUUCCUAUUGGGCGGAACAUGAUACUUUCCUCCAUACAUCGGUUUCUUCCCAAACCGAUUACCUUCUCUGUUCGACCCAAACUGCGACCCAGAUGCGGCGACUCUCUCAUUCUGGUCUCUCUCAAUCAUCUGGACUCAUUUGUACAAGUCAUUGUAGUUCCCCAAGUUCAGUAGUAUCAGCGAACUCCUCAGUUCCGGCCUAAGCCCAUCUCUGAACCUCCUAACUCGGUUCACCGGAUUCUCGACAAAUUCAGGGGCAUACCGCGAUAGUUCCGUGAACUUCGCUUCAUAUUGGUCUACGGUCAUAGUACCUUGGCGAAGACGCUGAAAUUCUACCAUCUUCACUUCUCUGGCAGAUUUAGAAAAGUACUUGUCGUUGAAAACUUCGAGAAAGGCGUUCCACUCUGGAACUACGCCUUCAGGGAAUACUGUGUCUCUCGCGGCUUCCCACCAAAUCUCAGCAUUACCUUCUAGUUGGUAGACUGCAAGAGCUACCUUCUCCACUUCAGUGCACAUUAGCAGUGCAAAAGCCUUCUCUAAGCCCUUGGUCCAAAGAACUGCAGCUUCGGGGUCUCCUGAUCCAGUGAACUUCGGUGGAUUCAACCUCCUGAAAUGCUCCACCAACUUAUGCAUUGGUCUCCCAGCGACCACGUUCCCAGGUGGAACUUCAGCAGGUGCAACAACAGGCACGGCAACUGGUGCGGCGGCGGGUGCAACAACAGGUACAGCAGCGGUGGCAGCAGCAACGGCAGCAGCAAUAGCGGCGGCUUGAUUCUGGGCCUGCUGAUCCAUCCGAUUCCCCAUGGCCUCAAGCAUCUACAGGAUCCCGUCGAUCCUCGGAUCACCAGGGGCUGCUACCCCAGCACCAACAGGAGGUGGUGCUACUCCACUAGCGCUAGCCUCAGCUUGCGCUCGACCACGUCCACCUCGGGUACCGACCCUUGUUGGCGUCCUCCCCUGAGUAAUGAGACUCAUGGUCUUCUUCCUAGGAGUCCUCUCCUGAUCACUCAUAACGCAAGUUCUCUACAGAUACCUGCUUUCCAAUUCACAUUGAAUUAGAAUUGAGUGACCUACCAAACAAUUUACCAAUCAACUAGAAAUCACAUGCACCAGCAUGAAAUCAAAGUCAUUCCUACUAACUGUCCCAUAAACCAUCGCACCUUAUCACUCCAAUCACAGACCCGCUCUGAUACCACUUAAACGGGGAUGUCACGCCCCGAACCUCGAGCACGUGCACAUCCCACUACGGUCGAUAGAAAUGCGACUUCCCAGGACACGUCGCCGACCCAUUCUUUUUAAUUGCACAUGCGGAAGCGGAUAAAUAAUCCCCAGACAAAACUCAAUUGGGAUAGAAAAGUAGGAUCACAUUUUUAAAACCAACCACAUACUUUUUAUACACAUCAAACCAGUUCAUUUACAGGACUAGGCUAUUUACAAAAGAUCUAUAGAAGAUCAGUCCUCAAAAACUAGGCUGUCCUAAGAUCAGCUAGACAGGUCCAUUCGCCAGCUCUUCAGUCAGGAUCGGCGAAGUCAAAAAUCCUCUCAGCGACCCUCACUGGUCUACCAAAAAGCUCCGGAGGAUCCACCAUCUAGGGACCUGAAAUAUUAUCCCACAACCGGGAUGAGACAAUGUCUCAGCGAGUCCUACCCUCUAGAACUCGAUUAGGAAGAAAAUAAGCCCCAAGGUGCUCUAGCCACGCAAAGAGAAUAGAGGACUUACCUCGCCUCAGUCCUUCCUGCACGUCAGUGCAACUCAUACGUCGAUAAAUUCAUACCAUAUAACAAUUCAUAUCAUCUAUCAAUUCAUACCAUCUAUUCAUCCAUUAAUAAAUCACGGCUCACACAAGCUGAUAUAGAUGGUAGCUCGCACAAGCUGAUAUAUGCAUAGAUGAUAGCUCACACAAGCUGAUGUAUGGAUCGAUGCUCUCACAAGCUGACAUAUAUAAACCAAUUGCUCGCCAAAGCGGAUAAUUCAAUAAUAAACCAACUCAUAUCUCAAUUCAAUCAAUUCAAUCGAUUCAAACUGGUCAUACAAUUCAAUUACGGUGCUAAAAGCUAACACCGGGUAUUUUUAAGUUAAAUACCACAACUUCAUCAAUUUCACACAAUUCAAUUAAAGGUCUCAAUCACCCGUUCUUGAGAAUCAAAUAGCUCUUUUUACACGCCGUGGUUCAAAUGCGGGUUGGUUUGAGAUUUGUCGGUGAAUGCAGCGUAAAGGAUCGGCCACAGAUUGGACUCCAUCAUCUUGCUUAGAAUUAUUUCUAGAAAGAGUGCGCAUAACAGAAAUGCACGUGCGAUGCAUGUGUGAAAAUAUGCUGUCAAUCUUUGUUAAGUCAGCUCUUUUAUUCUCCCCUUUAAUAAAACUUCUAAGAAUGGAUUUUAUUGAGAGAGAAGCAACAUCAUAAUGAGGAAGCACAAAACAAUGUCCGACGACUUCACAAGACCCAAAAGGAACGUGGGGAUGGGGUGUGGAAACGAAGAAAUAGAAACUCAUCUCUGGCCAACCCUCGUUACAAAAUUCACUGCCAUUGCUCUGAUUAUUCUACGGACGCCUUAUAUUAUUCGUUAGGAAUAUUCUUGGCAGAUACACCAUUGAGAAAAGCAAUUAUCAAGAUUAUUGCAUAAAUAUCCCUUAAAGUACUUUAUGUUUUCAAGAUCUAUAAGGCCUUAUUAAAUAUUUUAAGAAAAAUGAUUGGAUUGCCGUAUAGAUAGAGGUCAACAUACACAACAACCCCGUUAUUCCAUAUAUAUCUCAUACGUUUAACAUUAACGUAAAAAUAAUUCUCUUUAUGUGUUUGUCCAAAUGCACUAUAGAGAAAACAAUUAUCAAGGGUAUCGCAUUGGGAAAUGAAAACAGACGGUUGAUUUGGACUUGAAAUGAUUAAAUAUAAUCAAUCUACUCUUUUUUGUAUGAUCAUAUUCUAUAUCUAUUUAGAAGCCAUGACGUGUAUUAUGUGUUGUACACAGACAGCAAAAUCCUACUUCCUCAUUCAUGUGAAUCCGUCAUAGCUCUUGAGAAGGUGGGGCAUCAAACUCCCCACCUGUCCCUUCCCAAGUGGGAAGGAUAGCCACUUAGUCGCUCUACUUGAUACACUUGGCCACUUGGCCACUUGGCCACUUGGUCGAUUCCUCAUUAAUUUGAAAGUUAGGUGAUGCUAUGGACAGCUGGAGAUGCUCGAGCAGAGAAGUCGCAUGCGGUGCAUAUGGGUCUUGACGAAGGCCCUGUAUUUAAAUACCAAUCAUUGUAUAUUUGCAUCAUGUAAAAGAUAAUUGAGGUUGACUAUCUAAAUUCACGACUUGGUCUCCUAGGCCAAGCCUCACGCCUCCCUCGGGUGGUCACUAGCUUGCCGCUAGAGCUUUGCCUAAACCUGCAUUCAUCUAAAUCCAUUUCCAACGUUGUUAGGUUGUUUUUCAUGUUCUGUAUACACGCACUCCGUGUGUGCUUUUUUUUUUUUUUUUUUUGCUAGUGACGAUGAGAAAGGACAAUCUCCACAAACACAAACGCUAAAUGGAAAAUUAAUAUAUGAAUGGUAAUUAUUAACACUCCUUCGAUAUGAUUGUUUUCGCUAUAAAAGCCCACACUACGAUUGAACCAGUAAUAUUUUGAUAGAAACCAAAUGACAAAUCAACAUUUCUUAUCGUACAUCUUAAUCUCUUCUUAAUCUCAUCACAGUGAUUCUAUAUCUAUCAUUCAAAAUAAAGAGUGAAUAUCGUCCUAAAUUUUGAAUAAUAUUUAGCAAAUGUACUUUGUGAUGUUUGGCCUUUGAAAUAAUUUGGUGCCCCUUUGAUGCCAUCAAUAUUCAAUCACAUUGAUUACUCGAAAAAAUUGAUGAGCAGUGUACAAUAAGAUAGCUAUUUCUUGCCCCAUGGACAAUUCAAAUUAAAAUCGCCAGAAACAUCGUGAAUUGCGAGCCGAAUUAGCUGCCAUCUUUGUUCUUCAAAUCCUUUAUUUACCCCCUUUAAGAAACGAUUUUAUUGAGAAAGAAGCAACACUUUGGGAAGCACAAGACAAGGUCCGAUGACUCGUAAGACCCCGAAACACGUGGGGAUGGUGGGGGAAACCGAAGAAAUAGGCUGUCACUUCCGGUCGAAUAUCAUUACUAAGUUCACCACCCCUGCUCUGAUUAUCAUAAUUAUAUGUUACGUUUAGAAUUUUCUUCGCAGAUACACCAAUAAGGAAACAUUUAUCAAGCUUAAAGGUUUGUAAGGCCUUAUUAAAUACAUUUAACCAGAGAUUAAUCAAGACGAAUAUCAAAUACGUUAUAUAUGGUCAAAUAGAAAUUGUAACUUUAACUCAUUGGUAAUCUCCAAAAUAAAUUUUGAUAAAUUAUUGAAAUAAUUGGUACUUUGAAACAAUCAAAUAACGAUUGGCAAGUGGACUCAAGUAAGAGCAACUAAUUUUCUAGUAACUUUAACAUGCAGAAAAAUCCGCAAAUAAAUAUUAGUAAAUUCUCAAAUAAGUGGUGAUUUCGAAACAAUUGAAUAAACAUUGACACCUCAAUCAAAUAUUAAUAAAGCUAAACUAGAUGAUAACUUAAUCAAUGAAAAUUUGAUAAAUCACUUAAGUUUAUAUCAGUAAUCUGCUAUAAGAGUUAAUAGCUUUAAUAUGAUUGUCGUUGGAGCAAAUAAAUAUUUGCACGUCUUGGAACGAUUGCUGAUUUUGAAACAAUAAAAUUAAAGUCAGUGAACGGACUCAAAUCAGAAUUGGUAUUUUUCUACAAAAGUCGGUAACCUUAAUAUGCCGCUAAGUUACAUGACUAAACAUUGGGAACAUAUAAUACUUUAAAAUGGUCAAAUAACUAACGACAUUUCCACAUAGUGUUGGUAUUUUACUAAAACGUUACAGGUUAAAUAACUGUUGAUACUAAUACCAUAUAUUAGAGUGGAGCCGUAACAAUCCCGAUUCAAGAUCUAAGGUUGUCAUAGACUGUAUAUUACAGGGCAGAUCUACUUGGAGCUGUAGCAAUUGAAGAACCGCAAUUAGGAAGUCAAACGUUGCUAACCAUUUACACAUUCUUUUCACCUACUGAACAGUGUAGAGAAUCACAAGUUUAUCUGGAAAGCUAAGUUAAUCAUUUAAAUCGAGCUUCACAAUACUUAAUUCAAGCGGCUCGCUAGCCUAAUUUGUUAGUUAAGUAUUUCUUUAUAGAUUAUUAUAUUUGCAUUAAUGAACUGUAAAAUAAGUGAAAAUGACUUUAUUUUUGCCUUCUUAUUUUGCUUGAGUUAAUCAGGGAAGACUCGAGCUUUACAUUGAAUUUAGUUUUCAAUUUCCGUGUCAAAUCAAAUCUCAUAUAAAUCUAUAGUUCGGUUCAGGGUGGAGAACAUAUCUAAUGGAUCCGGAUCUUCACUCUAUCUCCGGAUUCUAUCUAAAAAAUUUCAACUUAAAACAGAUGCUCGUAUUAAGUCAUUUUCACUAUUUAUAUCGACACCAAGCGUCAUUUAAUUUUUGAAACAUCACUUUAUAUCCCAAAUAUUAUUAUGCUUUACAUUACACUUUCUAUAAUAAUUUAUAGUGUAAAGGGACCAACUCUUAAUAUUUCAAAUACCCAACUACACUAGUUAAUUUCAAUCGUUCUUUCCAUUUGGCUUUAGUCAUUUUUAUUUUUUAUUACCUAACUUAGACUUAUUAUUCUGCGGUUCCUCUUUUUCCCAGAAAAUCACCUUAAUACUCCCCACGAGUUGGUUUGGGAUUUGUCGGUGAAUGCAACGUAAAGGAUCGGCCACAAAUUGGACUCCACCAUCUUGAUUAGAAUUAUUUCUAGAAAGAGUGUGCAGAACAGAAAUGCACGUGCGAUGCGUGUGUGAAAAUAUGCUAUCAUUUUUGCUAAGUCAACUCUUUUAUUUCCCCCUUUAAUAAAACUUUUAAGAAUGGAUUUUAUCGAGAGAGAAGCAACAUCAUAAUGGGGAAGCACAAAACAAUGUCCGACGACUUCACAAGACCCAUAAGGAACGUGGGGAUGGGGUGUGGAAACGAAGAAAUAGAAACUCAUCUCUGGCCAACCCUCGUUACAAAAUUCACUGCCAUUGCUCUGAUUAUUCUACGGAUGCCUUAUAUUAUUCGUUAGGAAUCUUCUUGGCAGAUACACCAUUGAGAAAAGCAAUUAUCAAGAUUAUUGCAUAUAUAUAUAUAUAUCCCUUAAAAUACUUUAUGUUUUCGAGAUCUAUAAGGCCUUAUUAGAUACUUUUAGAAAAAUGAUUGGAUUCCCGUAUAGAUAGAACAUACAUAACAACCCUGUUAUUCCGUAUAUAUCUCAUACUUUUAACAUUAACAUAAAAAUAAUUCUCAUUAUGCGUUCGUCCAAAUGCACUAUUGAGAAAACAAUUAUCAAGGGUAUCGCAUUGGGAAAUGAAAACAUUUGGUUGAUUUGGACUUGAAAUGAUUAAAUAUAAUCAAUCUACUCUUUUUUGUAUGAUCAUAUUCUAUAUCUAUUUAGAAGCCAUGACGUGUGUUAUGUGUUGUACACAGAAAGCAAAAUCCUACUUCCACAUUCACGUGAAUCCGUCAUAGCCCUCGAGAAGGUAAGGCAUCAAAUUCCCUACCUCUCCCUUUCGAAGUGGGAAGGAUAGCCACUUAGUCGCUCUACUUGAUACAUUUGGCCACUUGGUCGAUUCCUCAUUAAUUUGAAAGUUAGGUGAUGCUAUGGAUAGCUGGAGAUGCUCGAGCAGAGAAGUCGCAUGCGGUGCAUAUGGGUCUUGACGAAGGCCCUGUAUUUAAAUACCAAUCAUUGUAUAUUUGCAUCAUGUAAAAGAUAAUUGAGGUUGACUAUCUAAAUUCACGACUUGGUCUCCUAGGCCAAGCCUCACGCCUCCCUCGGGUGGUCACUAGCUUGCCGCUAGAGCUUUGCCUAAACCUGCAUUCAUCUAAGUCCAUUUCCAACGUUGUUAGGUUGUUUUUCAUGUUCUGUAUACACGCACUCCGUGUGUGCUUUUUUUUUUUUUUUUGCUAGUAACGAUGAGAAAAAAUAAUCUCCGCAAACACAAACGCUAAAUGGAAAAUUAAUAUAUGAAUGGUAAUUAUAAACACUCCUUCGAUAUGAUCGUUUUCGCUAUAAAAGCCCACACAACUACGAUUGAACCGGUAAUAUUUUGAUAGAAACCAAAUGACAAAUCAACAUUUCUUAUCGUACAUCUUAAUCUCUUCUUAAUCUCAUCACAGCGAUCCUAUAUCUAUCAUUCAAAAUAAAGAGUGGAUAUCGUCCUAAAUUUUGAACAAUCUUGAACAAAUGUACUUUUUGACGUUUGGCCUUUGAAAUAAUUUGGUGCCCCUUUGAUGCCAUCAAUAUUCAAUCACAUUGAUUACUUGAAAGAAAUUAUGAAUAGUGUACAAUAAGAUAGCUAUUUCUUGCCCCUUGGACAAUUCAAAUUAAAAUCGCCAGAAACACCGUUAAUUAAGAGCCGAAUUAGCUGCCAUCUUUGUUCUUCAAAUCCUUUAUUUACCCCUUUAAGAAACGAUUUUAUUGAGAAAGAAGCAACACUUUGGGAAGCACAAGACAAGGUCCGAUGACUUCGUAAGACCCCAAAACACGUGGGGAUGGUGGGGGAAGGGAAACCGAAGAAAUAGGCUGUCACCUCCGGUCGAAUAUCAUUACUAAGUUCACCACCCCUGCUCUGAUUAUCAUAAUUAUAUGUUACGUUUAGAAUUCUCUUCGCAGAUACACCAAUAAGGAAACAUUUAUCAAGCUUAAAGGUUUGUAAGGCCUUAUUAAAUACAUUUAACCAGAGAUUAAUCAAGACGAAAUAUCAAAUACGUUAUAUAUGGUCAAAUAGAAAUUGUAACUUUAACUCAUUGGUAAUCUCCAAAAUAAGUUUUGAUAAAUUAUUGAAAUAAUUGGUAUUUGAAACAAUCAAAUAACGAUUGGCAAGUGGACUCAAGUAAGAGCAACUAAUUUUCUAGUAACUUUAACAUGCAGAAAAAUCCGCAAAUAAAUAUUAGUAAAUUCUCAAAUAAGUGGUGAUUUCGAAACAAUUGAAUAAACAUUGACACCUCAAUCAAAUAUUAAUAAAGCUAAACUAGAUGAUAACUUAAUCAAUGAAAAUUUGAUAAAUCACUUAAGUUUAUAUCAGUAAUCUGCUAUAAGAGUUAAUAGCUUUAAUAUGAUUGUCGUUGGAGCAAAUAAAUAUUUGCACGUCUUGGAACGAUUGCUGAUUUUGAAACAAUAAAAUUAAAGUCAGUGAACGGACUCAAAUCAGAAUUGGUAUUUUUCUACAAAAGUCGGUAACCUUAAUAUGCCGCUAAGUUACAUGACUAAACAUUGGUAACAUAUAAUACUUUAAAAUGGACAAAUAACUAACGACAUUUCCACAUAGUGUUGGUAUUUUACUAAAACGUUACAGGUUAAAUAACUGUUGAUACUAAUACCAUAUAUUAGAGUGGAGCUGUAACAAUCCCGAUUCAAGAUCUAAGGUUGUCAUAGACUGUAUAUUACAGGGCAGAUCUACUUGGGAGCUGUAGCAAUUGAAGAACCGCAAUUAGGAAGUCAAACGUUGCUAACCAUUUACACAUUCUUUUCACCUACUGAACAGUGUAGAGAAUCACAAGUUUAUCUGGAAAGCUAAGUUAAUCAUUUAAAUCGAGCUUCACAAUACUUAAUUCAAGCGGCUCGCUAGCCUAAUUUGUUAGUUAAGUAUUUCUUUAUAGAUUAUUAUAUUUGCAUUAAUGAACUGUAAAAUAAGUGAAAAUGACUUUAUUUUUGCCUUCUUAUUUUGCUUGAGUUAAUCAGGGAAGAAUCGAGCUUUACAUUGAAUUUAGUUUUCAAUUUCCGUGUCAAAUCAAAUCUCAUAUAAAUCUAUAGUUCGGUUCAGGGUGGAGAACAUAUCUAAUGGAUCCGGAUCUUCACUCUAUCUCCGGAUUCUAUCUAAAAAAUUUCAACUUAAAACAGAUGCUCGUAUUAAGUCAUUUUCACUAUUUAUAUCGACACCAAGCGUCAUUUAAUUUUUGAAACAUCACUUUAUAUCCCAAAUAUUAUUAUGCUUUACAUUACACUUUCUAUAAUAAUUUAUAGUGUAAAGGGACCAACUCUUAAUAUUUCAAAUACCCAACUACACUAGUUAAUUUCAAUCGUUCUUUCCAUUUGGCUUUAGUCAUUUUUAUUUUUUAUUACCUAACUUAGACUUAUUAUUCUGCGGUUCCUCUUUUUCCCAGAAAAUCACCUUAAUACUCCCCACGACUCUUAAUGUUUUCUUCAUACUGAGAGCAAUCAAAGGUCUCAAUCACCCGUUCUUGAGAAUCAAAUAGCUCUUUUUACACGCUGUGGUUUAAAUGCGGGUUGUUUUGGGAUUUGUCGGUGAAUGCAGCGUAAAGGAUCGGCCACAAACUGGACUCCACCAUCUUGAUUAGCAUUAUUUCUAGAAAGAGUGCGCAUAACAGAAAUGCACGUGCGAUGCAUGUGUGAAAAUAUGNNNNNNNNNNNNNNNNNNNNNNNNNNNNNNNNNNNNNNNNNNNNNNNNNNNNNNNNNNNNNNNNNNNNNNNNNNNNNNNNNNNNNNNNNNNNNNNNNNNNUGACGGCUUGGAGGGGAUCGAGUGGGAUCUGACGAAAGAUAGCAUUAUUUCGUUGUCUCCAGAUCUCCUACAGAAGAUGAGCGAUCACAGCAAACUCAGGAGAUGCUUAUGGGAGGGAAGCUCUUGCGACAAGCCAGGCAUCAAAUCGGCUAACUGAGGUAGGUAAGAUAUUGACUCCAAUGUCUUCGUGAUUCCAAAUAUCAGUUGUCCACGGGCAGAAGAAAAAGAGAUGCUCUACUGAUUCAGGAACAGAAUUAUUGCAUAGAGAACAGUAGGGAUGUGGGGUGAUAUGGCGUUGAUAAAGAUUGAGUUUUGUAGCAAUGGCAUUUUUGCAAGCUAACCAGAGAAAAACCUUAAGCUUUGGGGCUGUACACAUAUGCCAAAUUUUCCUCCAUAACAUGGGUGGGUUAGUAUAAGAGGAUGAGGGUUGAUGUAUUGGUUGCUGAGAUUGUUUAGAGAGAGAAUGAUAACAACUCUUUACUGUGUAGGUACCAGAAGGUGUUUCUGUCCAAACUAGUUGAUCCUGAAGGAGAGACGGAUUGAUGGGGGUAUUGAGAAUUGCCUUACUGACCUGAUCAUCGAAGAAUGCAGUAACAAGGGAGGACUUCCAUUCAAAAUGCUGUAAAUCAAUGAGAUCAACAACUAGAUCAGGUUCUCCCUCCUCUGGUAAGCCUCCUAUCAGACCUAAUGGUAGCCAAUUAUCUUCUCUGAUAUGUAUCUGCGAUCCAUCCCUGACUAACCAACGUAGUUUAGGAGUAAUUGCUUGACGACCUUUUAAUAAACUCUGCCAUCCCCAAGAAGGACGAUGUCCUGAGGGAGCAGAUUGAAAAGAGGAGUAUCUAAAAUAUAAACCCUUAAAGAGCUAACUCCAUAUAGCUUGAGGUUGCUGAAAAAGACGCCACGCUUGCUUUCCAAGCAUUGCAUUGUUAAAGUUGAUUAAAUCUCUGAAUCCCAUCCCCCCUGAAACUUUCGAGAGCUUUAAUUCUGACCAUUGUUUCCAGUGAAUUCCAGAUUGACUAUUUUGUUUACUCCACCAGAAUGCUGAGAUCUUCCUUUCAAUCAAUCUGCAGAGAGAUAGCGGAAGCUUGAAGAUAGACAUGGCAUACUGCGGUAAGGCCUGGAUUACUGAUUUCAGUAAGAUUUCCUUGCCACCUUUCGAUAAAAAAUUUUCCUGCCAACCUGCUAACUUAGCAUUUACUCUUGCCAGGAUCCAGGAAAACAUCUCCUUUUUGGAACGGCCCCAAUCCGAGGGAAUGCCCAGGUAUUUACCAUACUUACUGAUAAUAGGGACUCUGAGUUCUUGUGCAAGAUUAUGUUGUAACGAAAUAGGACAGUAUUUGCUAAAGAAACACCAGAUUUGUUUCUAUUAAUGAGCUGGCCCGUAGCAACACAAUAUUGGUUUAGGAGAUUGGUAAGGUUAUGGCAUUCAGAGAUAGUGGCUUUAAGAAAAAUAUUGAAUCAUCAGCAAAAAAUAGGUGAGAUAACUUAGGACAGUCUCGAUUGAAUUGAAUCCCCUUUAUAUGGCCAAUAGCGACAGCUUGAGUGAGAGUAGUGGAGAGGGCAUUGGCAAUUAAAAUGAAGAGAUAUGGAGAUAGGGGAUCUCCUUGGCGAAUCCCUCGAGUAAGUUUAAAAUAAGGGAGCUGUUCACCAUUAAAACGAAUACUAAAAGAGACUGUAGUAACGCAAGCCAUUACCUGAGUAACCCAACUGUCAUUGAAUCCCAAUUGCUUCAAGUAGGCUUCUAAAAGGUCCCAUUCAACCCUAUCGUAAGCUUUCUGCAUGUCUGUUUUGAGAAUAAGAUUGAAGCGUUUCUUGCAUGCUCGCACUUUAAAUUGAUGCAUGACUUCUUGAACCACCAUAAUAUUGUCCUGAAUCUGUCUAUCGCUAAUAAAUGCUGCUUGCUCUUUGGAAAUCAAAAUAGACAGCAGAGGUUUAAGUCUGUUGGCCAUAAUUUUUGAGAUGAUCUUAUAAGCGAAGUUGCAGAGACUUAUGGGUCGGUAUUGUUCUAUACUUUCUGGAUGUUGGACUUUAGGGACUAGGGCAAUGAUUGUUCUGUUUAAUGUAGGGGCCAUACAACCUGUGGUACAGAAAUCUCGGACUGUUUGAAUGACGGUUGCUUUGAUAACAUGCCAGUGAUGCCGAUAGAAGAGGCCUGGAAGACCAUCAGGACCAGGAGCCUUUGAAGCUCCCAACUGGAAGGUAGCCUGGUAAAUCUCCUCCUCUGUUACCCUGCUCAUCAAAUGUGUAUUCAUUUCAGGAGUUACCACUGGUGGACAUUGGUCUAGGAAAGGCCUAAAAUCCCUGUAGCCCACAGAUCGGUAUAGCUGAGAGAAGAAUCCCUGAGUGAGUUCUUUUAGCUGUUCUGGUUCUCUGAUCCAUUGCUGGUGAGUAUCCACGAGCAUAGUAAUUCGAUUCCGUUGUCUCCUUUGCAUAGUGUAUGCAUGGAAGAACUUUGAGUUAUGAUCGCCCCACUUCAACCAUUGAAUACGAGAACGCAUAGCCCAAAACUGUUCAUCUCGAGUCCAUAGUUUCUGAAUUUCACAUCGUAUUGCAUUGGCGUACUCCUUAUCCCCUUCUUGAUAGGAUGUUCUAUUUAUAAUCAUCUGCAGUUGAGAUUGCAAGUGAUAGAUUCGUUGAUGACAAUUGCUGAACCGUGCUCUACUCCAUCUUGUUAAUUGCGUUGCAACUGCCUGUAAUUUGGACAUCAAUGAGGUACUACUAUUUUCCCAUGCCUGUUGAACCAUGUCUUUACACUCUUUAUCUUGGUUCCAAAAAGCUUCAUAUUGAAAAGUCUUUGCACGUUUGACAGAUGAUGGCCGAGCUUGCAGCAAGAUAGGACAAUGAUCCGAACCAACAGACGGAAGGGCAAAUGCUUCUGCAGAAGGGUAAGACGUCAGCCAUUCCAGUGAGCAAAAUACACGAUCCAGCCUCUCCUUUACUAGAGCAUGCCCUUCACGAUUAUUUGACCAGGUGAAUUCACAACCUUUACUUGGUAGUUCUAGUAAUGCACAAUCAUUGAUCACAUUCCGAAAGGAGGUCAUACGCGAAGUGAUUGCUGGUCGCUUGCCCAUUUUUUUCCCAGGGAGAAAGGAAAUCAUUGAAAUCACCUAUACACAGCCACGGUAAAUGAUUUGCAGCAUGAAUAACUCGGAUGGUAUUCUAGAAUUCCUGACGUAGCUGAUAUAUUGGAGGUGCGUGCAGGCAAGUGAUAUACAUGGAAGAGUUCGUCCUAGGAUCAAGUGCAACAAAAUCAACAAACUGAACAUCCGAGUGUACCAAAGUGACUUCGAAGUUAUCAUUCCAGAACAGAGCAAGACCACCCUUUAAACCAACAGGGUCCUUCACAAAAGAGUGAGAAAAUUUAAACCUACGCUGUAUCUUAGAUACGAAGUGUUUAUCUUUCUUCAUUUCCAUUAAAAACACAAAAUCGGGCUUAUCACAGGCUACCAUUGCCUUUAGGGCUUGAAUUGUCAGGGGAUUGCCCAGCCCCUGACAAUUCCAACUUAGGAGCUUCAUUUGGAACACGGUGGCUGUUGAGGGCCAGCCGCCAAAGCCCAAGGAUCAGGGAUAUCUUGUGACAUCCUGAAAUUCGACCCUAUUUCGAUAAAAUGAAAUGUGCAUUUCAUCGACGUGCCUAUGGUCCUUUUUCUCUGAGCUGAUCACUCACGAGUUAGCUAACCAAUUGGGUGAAGCCGUUAAGGGAUAUAACCGCGGUAAAAUCCCUAAAAGCUACCUAAUUGGUUGGAUUGGACUAAAAUCGCGUCCGGUCGAUUUUAAUCAUGAAAUUUAAUUCGGUUUUGGGAAUCGAAUAUUCGGACGUGUCACAAUUCAUUUUUAGGACCGUCUCAUCGUCUAUUAAUUUAUUGCCGAGUCCGAAAUUUCAAGAAAGAAAUUAUCGGAGGAAAAAUCGAAGGCCGGAAGAAAAUAAAAAAAAAAGGAAUGAGAAAAGAAAAAUAAUAGAAGUAAUAAGAAAAUUGUGUUUUCUUAUUAAAAUGUUAUUUUCUUUCCCUUUUUCUUUUCUCUCUUUCUUUUCUCUCUUUUUUCUCCCUCUUCUCUCUCCUCUCCCCUCCCCCUCGUGCGAAUCCACUCCCCACCGAUUACUCCCUGCUGUCUUCCACUCUACUUCUCUUUUAUUUUACUUUUUGACCAGUCAAACCUGAUCUUUCUCUCAUCUCUCUCUCUGGACUCUCUCUCUCCUUCUCCCCUUCACGCGUUCAAGCGAGCAAGACCAGAAGCGGAAGAAGAGAAGAAGGCAGCAGCUCGACGAAGCCACCGCCGCUCGUCCCGCGCCCCCGAGUCCGUCGCUCGCCGCCGUGCACCGCCUGCCCUCUCCUCCACCCAGGCGCUCCUCUUCCGCGCGAGUCAGCCCCGUUCGGCCUCUGCUCACCCCUGCUCCGCCUCUGUCCAGCUCGAUCCGGCCACCUCCGGCCACCGCCCAGCCCCGCCGGACCUCCCCCGUGUCCCCCUCACCCUCCGCCUCCGCCGACUUCCCCUCGCCGCCCUAGCUGCCGGACGAGCUUCGUCCAGCCAAGAACAGUGACUGGAAAAAUGGGUUUCCAGCACUGUUCAAGGCCGUUUUGGGCCGUUUCCGGGCCCCGAACCCGAGGCCCGCUUUGGAGUUUGUCGUUCCUCGUGUCACCGCCGUCGGAUUGAUCCAAUUUGCGCGCGAUUUGGUGAGUAAUCUCACUAAUCCCGGAUUAGUUGGCUAAUUAUGCUUAAGGUUGGUUUAGAUUUAAUUAAUUAUGUUUAGGUUGUUAGAUUAGAAUAAAUUAGCAAUUAUUAGUCAAUUGUGAUGUGAUUUAGAUAAAUUGAUUGUGCAAUUAGCUCGUAGACGUGGUCUACUAAUUAUCGGAAGUGCCUCGGGAUUUUUCCCGACCCUUAGUGGGAUCCAAUUAGGCUUUUCGGGCCUAAGUGGAUUUUUUUGUAUUUAAAUAUUAAUUUUCGGAAUUAAAUUAAAUAAUUAUUUAUUUUUCGAAAAUUCAAGGGAGAUGGUUCGGAACCAGAAUAUUAUGUGGAUGACUGUGGUGAAGUCCGUUUAUUUAAUCGGGCUUUAUUCUGAGCUAAAUUGAAUUUUUAAUAUUAAUUAUUUAAUUUUCGAAAUUAAUUAUUUAUUUAUUUUUCGGAAAUUAAGAUUUUGAUGGCCGACGACCGAAAUCUCGUGCUGAUUGUCGUGGCGCAGUCCGUUUAUUUAUUUGAGCUCUACGUUGUAUGAAAUUAAAUAAAUUGUGAUAUUUUAGGGAUUUACCCUAAAUUGAUUGAAUUUGAGUGAAAUUGAAUUAUUGAUUGAUAGAUGGCCGAGUAUGGCUAGUUAGCUAUUGUAAUGCCUUGUUGAGCUGUAAGUGGAGAGAGCGAUGAGAGCUAACUGAGAAAUCUAUUGGCUGAGAUCGAUCAAGUACGAAGUAUAGACNNNNNNNNNNNNNNNNNNNNNNNNNNNNNNNNNNNNNNNNNNNNNNNNNNNNNNNNNNNNNNNNNNNNNNNNNNNNNNNNNNNNNNNNNNNNNNNNNNNNNNNNNNNNNNNNNNNNNNNNNNNNNNNNNNNNNNNNNNNNNNNNNNNNNNNNNNNNNNNNNNNNNNNNNNNNNNNNNNNNNNNNNNNNNNNNNNNNNNNNNNNNNNNNNNNNNNNNNNNNNNNNNNNNNNNNNNNNNNNNNNNNNNNNNNNNNNNNNNNNNNNNNNNNNNNNNNNNNNNNNNNNNNNNNNNNNNNNNNNNNNNNNNNNNNNNNNNNNNNNNNNNNNNNNNNNNNNNNNNNNNNNNNNNNNNNNNNNGAGAGCAUUCAUCCGGCUCUGUGACUGAGUACUCGAAUGGAGAUUAUAAAGUAUGGUGUUGAUGUGACCGAGAGGUGGUCCGAAUGACAUGUAAUCAACUAGGUCAAUUGAUCAUUGUUUUGAUCUAAUGUUGUGAAUUGAUUGAUUGAAUGGGAAUGACCGUGAGUGGUCUUGUUGGCGUGUAAUCGACUAGGUCGAUUCGAUCGAUGCUUUGAUCGGUGAUAUGAUUGCUUGGGUGCCUAUUAUGAAUUGUACUGACUUGCAGGUGGGAUCUGAUGCCAAGGUACGUCUUCUGCCCUGUGCGUGUAUAAGCAGCCUGUAGUAUAGUGGUUUACUAAUCGGGCUUAGUGGGGUAGAACUCGCUGAGACGUAGUCUCAUCCCAGUUUGGGGAAAACAUUUCAGGACCCGAUAAGGAGCUGAGAAGGAGAAAUCUGGGAAGGAGAUUUUGGAGGUGAAACUUGAAGGGAAGGAUUUUGAAAGAAGAAGAUAAUACCAAGAUGGGCCUUGAGUAUGGCCUGGAUGGAUUGAGAUCCUAUCUUCUUUUGAUAUCUCCAUUUUUUAUGUGAAUAGUUAUGAAGUGAUUUGUGUUUUGUAUAAAAGUUUGGUUAUAAAUUUCAAUAUGAAAAAUAUGGCCCUGCUUUUCUAUCCCAUCGUUUUAUUGUCUGGGGAUUUUAACUGCUUCCGCAUGUGCUUAAUAAAUGAAAGGGUCGGCGAUACAUUGUCCUGGGAUAUCGCAUUAUAAAAUCGACCAAGUGAGAAGGAUGUGUGCGUGCCCGAGGAUCGAGGCGUGACAUAUCUGCCUCCACAACCGGAGUAUCAAGAAGGAGGGACUCAUCAAGAGCUGUUGAGUAUGGAAUUUUGAUUUCAUAUGGUGUGAAUCUUUUUGUUUUCUUACUGGAACCCCCAUGUGGCAUUGGCCGAGGAAUCUUCGGCCUCUUCUGCUGUUGUGUAUCCACUGGAAGAGCCUGAGUGUUUUUCAUCUUUGCUGCUGCAGGUACUAAAUCAGUAGUGAUAGCAGUUGAAGUAACCGGAUGCAGUUGCUUGGAAGUCCCUUGAGGUAAUACAAGGUUCGAAGUAACAACCUCUGUAGCAGGGAUAGGAGGGAGAGCUAGGAGGGCAGGCUGCAUUUGAGGAGGAGUUUCAAGUACUGUCUCUUCCAUUGACUCAACUUUAGGAUGAUAAAAAGCAUCCCAGUAAGGACUAAAUUGUUUAAGCUCUACUCUGAGCCAAGGUCCGUAGAUCAUCGUGUCACGGCCAUCAAAUUGUGUUUCAACAUAUGGAAACUCUGGACAGGAAGUUGCAUAGUGACCAAGCCGUCCACAUGAGUAACAAUAAUGGGACAGUCUCUCAUACCUAAAAUCAAUCCAUAAGGUUUUGCCUUCAAUACUGAUAAGUUUACCAUUUUUCAGAGGUUCUUUCAAACCUAACUCAAUCCGUAUUCUUGCAGAAAUAUCAGUUUUCACCUCCAGUACUUUACCUAUCUGGGAUGCAGCUCGACGCAGAAUAGUUGGAGAAGUCCACUCCAAAGGUAAGCCAAUAACAUGCACCCAAAACAUACAUUUGCCAAAAUCAUAAUGUUGCAAGGGAGUAUGAGGUUGCCAUGGUCGUAGGUUAACUAAGUGACCAGAAAAUAACCAAGGGCUACCAUCCAGAAUGCGACGUUUUUCCACUUUAGUUCUAAAUUUGAUUAUAUAUAGCCCUGUAUCUGCGGAAGUAAUGUCUACAUGAUCCACUCUCCAGGCUUUCUUCAUCGCAACUUGAAAGGCGGAUAAAUUCACAGAAGGAUUGGUAAAUAUAUUGCCUACCAGAAUGAGGCGACAAUCCUUUAGUUUGGCCGAUGCAGGGAUGUCAUCCCAAACCUCCAACUCUUGUUCUGAGCAUAAACGUCCCAGGCGAUUGCAUAGGGAAGCAAUUCGUGAGGUAUUAUCACUGUCUUCCAUUAGUAAAGUAAACAGAAAUACAUUAAUAUGGAGAAUUUAAAGAGCAGAUGACUGAAACUAAGAGUUGCCAAGAUUGCAUGUUACAGAUCGGCAACAUGCAGAGCAGGAAUGGCGGGGAAUUGCAAGAGAACAGAAGAACAGCGGAACCAGGGAACGGUGAUAGUUGAAAGGGAUAGAAGAAUUUGCACAUGCAGAAGGAUGAAAUACGAGGAAAAGCAGUUAAGGUGAAAUGGGCGGAGAAAGACGGUGAUGCAGAAAGACCUCAAAGAUCAGAGAAGGAACUGAGGAAAUCGAAGACAUGGUGAAAAAGCUCGAACAUCACGCGAGAGAAAACUCUAACAUAGUUGAGAGAGAGAAAAUCCCCUUCUAACAUUGUUCUCUAGUCUUCAACCACCUGUCAUUUAAUUAUACUGAAUGUUGUGCCGCAUGCGUCCCACGUGACUUGGUAAUAUUGGGCUUUAAAUUUUCCACGGGGAGGACUUGUCCCGGUCUCCGUGCACGUCCAAAGGUCUGAUCUUCGGCGACAUUGCUUCGUUUCCCAUAAACUCACCUUCGAUUUCUAGGUUACUUUCAAGAGAGAGAGAGGGCACGCACCCAAGAAGAGCACACAGACAUGGCAGAAGGUGGAAGAUAUGACAUCUCGAAUUUCAAUACUGUUUUACAUCGAAUAAAUCGAGCAUUUCAUCGAUGUGCCUAUAGGGCUGUUCUCAGAGGCGAUCACUCUCGACCGUGCUCAUCUUUAGAGGAAUUUUAAAUGAAAUAGACUUGAGAAUUCAACCAAGAAUUGGCUAAUCGACCGUGCUCAUCUUUAGAGGCCAUUACGGCACAAUUAAAAAUCGAUCAGAGAUCAGAAAUAGGUCGAUUUGAUUGAAAUAUGUGGCUAAACAUAGGUGACUCCACUAAAUUGGAAAAUUAUUGUCGGCCAGCACUAAACUGAAUUUUCUAUCGUUUUAGUACCAUGUGUCCCUAUUUGAAUCAUUGAGAUUUUCACGACAACCAAGAGUUACUAACGUGUCAAGUGGGUUCAUUGUGGCUCAAAGAAAAUCGACUACGGGUCAUUUGCACUAAAAAUUUCUGAAAGCUACCCAGUAACCUAAGUCAUGCUAAAAACACGCCAGAGUGAAAUUAAUCGCAAAUUUGAGUCCGAUUUCAAAAAUUGAAAGUUCUAUCAUGUCACAAGUCAUUUUAGGAACGUUGACUCAAUCUCAGAAGAUUUUUCUACAACCCGAGACUUUUUGGGAAAAAGUCGCCCUAGAGCCGUUUUUGUCCAGAAAAUGUCGGGGAUCGUUUUUUAUCGCAAAAUUAGGAAGCAAGUGGGAUCAAUUAGUGGGGAAAAAUACCAAUUGGAUUAAUGAGGUGUCAAUUGAAUUUAUUGAGAUCGAUUGUGUUGAAUUGAGCAAGAAUAAGUGUCCAAUUGAAGAGGAAAUCAAGCAAAUUCGUAUGCCCCCCACCACCAUGACUUUUGGACUCUCUCAAGCUUCUAGAUGGGGGAAAUCAAGUAUGGAAAAUGCUGGCGGAAGACAGCAAAUGCAAGAGGAUAGGGUCAAGGGAAUUACUUGUGAGAAAAUAAGGCCAAGUGCCCCCCCCCCCCAACCCCAUCUUGUUCCCCUCUCCUCUAGCUGCCAUCGACCAACCCUCCUCCUUCUUCAUUGUGCUUUGAAGACUUCCAAAUCAGCAUAGAGAAGUCGCCGAAGCCAGCCCCCGUCACCGAACCGCCUUCGCUCGUCGCACACCAUAGCCGGAGUCGCCACCGUUGCUCGGUGUCGCCUCUUCCUGCUCGCGACGUCUUCGCUGCUCUGGCGUCUAGCUUGCUGUCUCAGCCCAUGCCAAAGCUNNNNNNNNNNNNNNNNNNNNNNNNNNNNNNNNNNNNNNNNNNNNNNNNNNNNNNNNNNNNNNNNNNNNNNNNNNNNNNNNNNNNNNNNNNNNNNNNNNNNNNNNNNNNNNNNNNNNNNNNNNNNNNNNNNNNNNNNNNNNNNNNNNNNNNNNNNNNNNNNNNNNNNNNNNNNNNNNNNNNNNNNNNNNNNNNNNNNNNNNNNNNNNNNNNNNNNNNNNNNNNNNNNNNNNNNNNNNNNNNNNNNNNNNNNNNNNNNNNNNNNNNNNNNNNNNNNNNNNNNNNNNNNNNNNNNNNNNNNNNNNNNNNNNNNNNNNNNNNNNNNNNNNNNNNNNNNNNNNNNNNNNNNNNNNNNNNNNNNNNNNNNNNNNNNNNNNNNNNNNNNNNNNNNNNNNNNNNNNNNNNNNNNNNNNNNNNNNNNNNNNNNNNNNNNNNNNNNNNNNNNNNNNNNNNNNNNNNNNNNNNNNNNNNNNNNNNNNNNNNNNNNNNNNNNNNNNNNNNNNNNNNNNNNNNNNNNNNNNNNNNNNNNNNNNNNNNNNNNNNNNNNNNNNNNNNNNNNNNNNNNNNNNNNNNNNNNNNNNNNNNNNNNNNNNNNNNNNNNNNNNNNNNNNNNNNNNNNNNNNNNNNNNNNNNNNNNNNNNNNNNNNNNNNNNNNNNNNNNNNNNNNNNNNNNNNNNNNNNNNNNNNNNNNNNNNNNNNNNNNNNNNNNNNNNNNNNNNNNNNNNNNNNNNNNNNNNNNNNNNNNNNNNNNNNNNNNNNNNNNNNNNNNNNNNNNNNNNNNNNNNNNNNNNNNNNNNNNNNNNNNNNNNNNNNNNNNNNNNNNNNNNNNNNNNNNNNNNNNNNNNNNNNNNNNNNNNNNNNNNNNNNNNNNNNNNNNNNNNNNNNNNNNNNNNNNNNNNNNNNNNNNNNNNNNNNNNNNNNNNNNNNNNNNNNNNNNNNNNNNNNNNNNNNNNNNNNNNNNNNNNNNNNNNNNNNNNNNNNNNNNNNNNNNNNNNNNNNNNNNNNNNNNNNNNNNNNNNNNNNNNNNNNNNNNNNNNNNNNNNNNNNNNNNNNNNNNNNNNNNNNNNNNNNNNNNNNNNNNNNNNNNNNNNNNNNNNNNNNNNNNNNNNNNNNNNNNNNNNNNNNNNNNNNNNNNNNNNNNNNNNNNNNNNNNNNNNNNNNNNNNNNNNNNNNNNNNNNNNNNNNNNNNNNNNNNNNNNNNNNNNNNNNNNNNNNNNNNNNNNNNNNNNNNNNNNNNNNNNNNNNNNNNNNNNNNNNNNNNNNNNNNNNNNNNNNNNNNNNNNNNNNNNNNNNNNNNNNNNNNNNNNNNNNNNNNNNNNNNNNNNNNNNNNNNNNNNNNNNNNNNNNNNNNNNNNNNNNNNNNNNNNNNNNNNNNNNNNNNNNNNNNNNNNNNNNNNNNNNNNNNNNNNNNNNNNNNNNNNNNNNNNNNNNNNNNNNNNNNNNNNNNNNNNNNNNNNNNNNNNNNNNNNNNNNNNNNNNNNNNNNNNNNNNNNNNNNNNNNNNNNNNNNNNNNNNNNNNNNNNNNNNNNNNNNNNNNNNNNNNNNNNNNNNNNNNNNNNNNNNNNNNNNNNNNNNNNNNNNNNNNNNNNNNNNNNNNNNNNNNNNNNNNNNNNNNNNNNNNNNNNNNNNNNNNNNNNNNNNNNNNNNNNNNNNNNNNNNNNNNNNNNNNNNNNNNNNNNNNNNNNNNNNNNNNNNNNNNNNNNNNNNNNNNNNNNNNNNNNNNNNNNNNNNNNNNNNNNNNNNNNNNNNNNNNNNNNNNNNNNNNNNNNNNNNNNNNNNNNNNNNNNNNNNNNNNNNNNNNNNNNNNNNNNNNNNNNNNNNNNNNNNNNNNNNNNNNNNNNNNNNNNNNNNNNNNNNNNNNNNNNNNNNNNNNNNNNNNNNNNNNNNNNNNNNNNNNNNNNNNNNNNNNNNNNNNNNNNNNNNNNNNNNNNNNNNNNNNNNNNNNNNNNNNNNNNNNNNNNNNNNNNNNNNNNNNNNNNNNNNNNNNNNNNNNNNNNNNNNNNNNNNNNNNNNNNNNNNNNNNNNNNNNNNNNNNNNNNNNNNNNNNNNNNNNNNNNNNNNNNNNNNNNNNNNNNNNNNNNNNNNNNNNNNNNNNNNNNNNNNNNNNNNNNNNNNNNNNNNNNNNNNNNNNNNNNNNNNNNNNNNNNNNNNNNNNNNNNNNNNNNNNNNNNNNNNNNNNNNNNNNNNNNNNNNNNNNNNNNNNNNNNNNNNNNNNNNNNNNNNNNNNNNNNNNNNNNNNNNNNNNNNNNNNNNNNNNNNNNNNNNNNNNNNNNNNNNNNNNNNNNNNNNNNNNNNNNNNNNNNNNNNNNNNNNNNNNNNNNNNNNNNNNNNNNNNNNNNNNNNNNNNNNNNNNNNNNNNNNNNNNNNNNNNNNNNNNNNNNNNNNNNNNNNNNNNNNNNNNNNNNNNNNNNNNNNNNNNNNNNNNNNNNNNNNNNNNNNNNNNNNNNNNNNNNNNNNNNNNNNNNNNNNNNNNNNNNNNNNNNNNNNNNNNNNNNNNNNNNNNNNNNNNNNNNNNNNNNNNNNNNNNNNNNNNNNNNNNNNNNNNNNNNNNNNNGAACAUAGCAGAAAUCGGUGGGUAUUCAGCACUGUUUUGGCCUGUUUUGAGGUUGUUCCGGAUCCUGAAAGCUAGGCUCGUUUUGGAGAGAAUUGAGCCCCGUUGCGUCCCUAACGUUUUGAACCGAUCGGAUCGCAAAACAAGUGAGUUUAACUCACUAAUCCUCACUUAGUAGGUUAAUGAUGCUUAAGGGUUGUUUAGUUUAGGCUAAGCUGGAUUAGGUGGUUAGUUAAAUUAUAUUAGUGAAUUUAAUGAAUUGUCAAUUUAUGCUAGGUAGAUAGUUAGUGUAAUUAGUGAGUAAAUAAACUCUAAUAUUUAUUUAACGAGACUCGGAAAUUUUCCGGGUUCGUUUCUGCGUCCUAUUAGGCAUUACAAGCCUAAGUUGGAUUUAUUGGCAUUUAUUUAUUAUUUUUCAUAUUUAUUUAUUUAUUUAUUUAUUUUCUAGAAAUUAGACCGGGAUAGCCAGUGACCGGAAUUUUGUGUUGAUUGCAAUUGUGCUCUCUAUUUAUUUAAUUGAGUACUUGAUUGUGCAAAUUGAUUGUGAUUAGUGUUUGUGGGUAUUUAAUUCCAAAAGUGGAUAAUUUUGGUAAUUAACAGGAAAAUUACCGAGUGUCGAUUUACAGCGCCAAAAAUAUAUUUAGAGACUACUGAAAAUAGUGAGAGGUUCAAAAGUGAAAACCUUGUAUUUUGGCUAAGGCCGGCCGUGUACCCACACACAUGUACUUUUAUAGGGUAUGAUAAAAAUAGUAAAUUGAUUGUACGAUUGAAAUAGUAUACUAUAAUGGCUCAAUGGCUUUAUAUGUCGUCUUGGAGAAAGAACGUUAUACAAUAUCGGCUCGGUGACUCUAUAUGUCAUCUUGGAGAAAAGAAAAUAUGCUAUAUCGGCUCGGUGACUCUAUAUAUCAUCUUAAAGAAAGAACGGUAUGCAAUACUGGCUUGAUGACUUGAUAUAUCAUCUUAGAGAAUGAACAGUAUGCUAUUUAUUAGCCUUUGGGGUAAGCUACUAUCUAUAUAUCACCUAUGGUGAGUAGUCUUGGAUUUUGAUCGGACUCAUAGAUAGUAUGGAAUGAGCUGACCAGGAGAAGGUCAUGAUGACAUGUAAUCGACUAGUUCGAUUGAUCGAUGAUUCGAUCUGAUUUGAUUAGGUGUUAUGAUUGUCAGUAUUUAUUGUUUUAACUGACUUGCAGGAAGGAACGGAAGCCAAGGUAAGUCCUCUGACGCCUGGUUGUGUUAAGGCAGCCCUUAUGGCGUAUUUGCUUCUUAAUCGGAUAUUAAGGGUAGAACUUGCUGAGACAUUAUUUCACUAGUUAUUGUAUAACCAUUUUCAGGUCCUUAGAUGGUGUUGGUAAAGAACCGGAAGCCUCGAAAUUUAGAAGGUGAAGCCCGAAGAAUCAACGAUCUUGUCCGACUAGUUAGUCGUAGGACAAUUCUCUUUUGUUGAGAGCUAAUCCCUUUUGUAAACAUUUGUGUAUAGACCUAUGUAUUUAUAAAAAUGUAUUUUAUGAAAAAUUGGUCAUACUUUUUUAUCCCAUUGUUUUAUUGUUUGGGGAUUAUUUAUAUGCCUCUGCAUUCGUAUAUUAAAUAAAUUGGUCGGCAAUACGUCCUGGGAUGUUACUAUUAAUCUACCGGUGAGGGAUGGGCACGUGCUCGAAAGAUCGGGGUGUGACAGAGGAGGCGAUAUUCGAUUCCUUUUUUCCAUAACCAGCUAGAAAUUGUUGGGGCGAGUGACAAAUGUAGAGAGGAGGAACCGGUUUUGGGGAGAGAGGGGUGAACACCAGAUCUUUCUACUAUGGGUCCUCUCUAUCCCAGGAGUUCACCUCCAUCAUGCCAACGUUCUUGAUUUUUUCCUCGUAUCGAGAGCAAUUGUAGAGCCAAAAAUCACACCCGUUGUUCUGGGAUUCAUUGGUGGAUACAGGGUAGAGGAUCGGCCGCAAUUUGAACUCCAUCGAGGCAUCACCGUUUGAACUCCGUCCACUAAGCAGACUGUAAGUAUCAUCGCCUCACCCUGCUACCGGUGAGGCUCGACUUGUUCUACCAAGCUUGGCCUAGCCAAGGACCAGUGAUGCUCUGGUGAGGUCACUAGCUCUCAUCUAGCUGGUCGUUGAUCAUCCCAAGGUCGGCAACUAGCCAUAGCUUGAAGAAGAAGAAGAAGGAAAAAAGAAGGGAAAAAAGUAAGAAAAAUAUUUUUAAAAAAUAAAAGAAAAUGAUUUGGAUUAGAAAUUUUAAGAACAGUAGCAAACACAAUUCUAUUUAAAAAAUCAUUUUUGAUCAGAAAUAGUUACCAAACACACCAUAAGCAAUCUUUCCAAAAAAUACCUUGGGUGGCGUUUCUUUUGGAAAAUAUGCUCCAUCUGGCCUUAGACUAAUCAUCUACACAAGACGGAAUGAAUUAAGCUACUUAGCUUAUUUGGUGCUUUUCUAAAAGGGACACAUAAUUGACAUUACAAAAGUGUGCGCAUGUAUGCAAGCAAUAUACGUUUAAUAGAUCUUAUAAAAUAUCACUAUUAUGAAGUACUAGAAUUAUUAAAUAAAGGGCAGAAAUUAUUGACAUGGUAUGAAGAAAUUGAAUACUUUUGUGUCAAAAGAUAAAAUUAUUUUAAGAUUUGAAUUUUUUUUAGUUUGUAAGUAGAAAAGAUUCAAAUUGAAUUACAAGAAAGAUAAAAAUAGAAUUAUGAAUUUAGGUCUUUGUCAAUUGAUAAUCGAGGUUUUUUUAGAAAGAACAAAAGUAAUCAUGAUCAGAUAGGACCUCUUUGAUUUAUAUAAAUAUUUAUAUUUAUUGAUUUCAUCCCGACACCUCCAGCAAUAUCAUGAUAAUGGAUAUUUUAUUUAGAAUUGUUACUUGAUUAAAGAGGAGAUGAUGUGGUUAUUUUCCUUUAACUCCUAAAAGGAAAAAUACUCGGCCCAGCCUAUUUAUUUUGGCUUAAAAGAGUAAAAAUCAACUUUUUCACUUUCUCAUCAAAUACUAAAGUAUUCUUUCAAAUAUUAAAAAAAUGAUGUAUAUAUUUACAUAUCAAUAUUUGUAUAACAUGAAAGUUUCAGAUGGUAAGAUUGAUUAAAAAAAAAAUUCAAAGUGCAUAUCACAAAGUUUGAAAAAAAAUAUUAAAAGAUAAAGUCAAUCCGAACAUAUCAAUUAGUUGAUUGAAAAAACACCAUUGGAUAUCUAACAACGUUACUUAACGUGAUUAUUUUGUUUAAGAGAAAAACCUACCUUUUCUCCGUCUUCUAGCCCUUGUUCAAGCAACUCUUACAUUCACCCUUUGACCAAAAGAACUCUGUUGUUUACCCUCUUUUUUUUAUUUACCCCCUUUAGGAAUCGAUUUUAUUGAGAAAGAAGCAACGCUUUGGGAAGCACACGAGAAGAUCCAAUGACUUCGUAAGACUCAAAAACACGUGGGGAUGGCAGGGAAACCGAAGAAAUAGGCUGUCAUAUAUGGUCGACUAUCAUUACUAAAUUCACCGCCCUUGCUCUGAUUAUUAUCAUAAUUUGUUACGUCUAGAAUUUUCUUCUCAAACACACCGCUGAGGAAACAAUUAUCAAGCUUAAAGAUUUAUAAUGCCUUAUUGAUGCAGCUAGUAUAAGCACCUAGAAGGGGGGUGAAUAGGUGUAAAAACAAUUUCUCGAGAUACCACAACAAUACUAAGCAGACAAUAGAAAGGAAGUACUCUUUUGCUUUUCCAAAAUGAAUUACGAUCAAGGUAUAGUAAAGAGUAGGGAAGAGAAGAUUAAACACAAGGUUUAUAGUGGUUCGACUUAUCCCAAGCCUAUGUCCACUCUUCCGCACUGACAACCUAUCGGCUAGAUUCCACUAUGAACAAAAUAGAUGAUAUAGCACAGUUCUUCCUUGAUUCCACGGUGUGGAUGUUCUAUCACAUUUCCUCAAGGUUUCUCACAAGUAUAAACUCUCUUUUGCGUACAAGUUUUUCGCUCAAAUGAAUUGACUAAACAACAAGAAGUUUCAGACUUUGGAAUUCUUCUAUCGCGCACACUCUGAACAACUUAAAACGUCUUCCUUAUAUACUCCUUUACACCAUCAUACCCGUUGGCACUUACCAAAGGAAUUCCUCCAAUCUACCCGUUGGACGGAAUCAAUUAGGAAGAUCAUUCGAGCUAUUAAAGGAAUAUAUCGAUAGCCCAUCAAUCAUGUUCACCCAUACAAUCAGGAUCUCGGUUUCCAUAAGUAGAACCUUCCACGAAUAUUUCGCCAAUCAUCAGAUCCUUGAUCAUCGAAUCAAUCUCGAUCAAUUAAAGGGAUUCCGUUAUGUCAUAUCCAGCCAAGAGAUUUUCUCCAGUCGAUAAGGUCAUAUCAUUAAUAAAACAUCCAGUUCUAGAUAGCCUUUCUUCAACGGAUUAGAACUGUCAAUGAGGAUAGACUUUGAAUCUUGAGUCUGGCUAUCCGGAGUUCUUCAGACUUUAAACAGCAGAGUCUGCAAACCUUCAGACUAGACUGAUGGAAACGUUUUGUCAGCUUCAAAACAUUUCAAGAAGAUUUCUCCAACAAUCUCCCCCUUUUUGAUGGUGACAAAACUUUCCUACAGAUUUAAUUAACUUUGACUUGCAAAACAUUUCUUAAACAAAUAUACAUAUCUUUAUAAAGAUAAAUGGCUAAAUGAAUAACACUAGAAUCUGCAACCACAGAAAGUAGGUUAGUCUUGAAUAUGAUAAAGACAUCCAUAAGAUAUCAAUAGCAAUCAAUAGCAGUCAAAUCCAAAUUCACAUCCAGACACAAAAUUAAAGUCAAACAUCAAUCCAAAUCAAACAAACCAAACGAUUAAAAAUUCAAAGUUUGAUUCAAAUCUUUCUCCCCCUUUUUGUCGGCAUUAAAAAGGUUGAGAAGAAAAUGGAAUAAAGUUAAGAAUGCUUGGGAACGCGGACAAGCUGGAAAUCUCCCAUAGACUAAUCGAUGCCUUCCAACAUUUUCAAGUCUUCCUUCAAUUGUGCAAUCUCCUCACCCUUAGCAUUGGCCUGAAUCUGAACAGAAAGGGCUUAGAUCUGAUCUUUCAAUGAAACUGAAGAAACUUGACCUGCAUUCUGCAAGCUUUGAACCUCACAUCCCAGAGCAUAUAUUUGACCGCACAUUUCCAAGAGAAUAUCCAUAAUUCUGCGAAAAUCUGCUGAGCUGUCGGUCUGCGUACUGGCUUCAGCACGAUCUGCAGAUGAUGGCAUAUCAGAAUAAUCGCGCAGAUUUGGCGAUGAAGCAUCAUGUUCUUCUUCAGGAAAAUGAGAGGCAUGAAUGGCUUCUGGGUCGGCUGGAGAGCGGCUGACUCCCUCAUUAUCUCCCCCUGUUUCAGUGCCUUCAGGUGGAGAAUAGUGUUUUUUAGGCUCUCCUUCCUCUUGAUUCAUUCUCUCUUCUUCUUCAUCUGCUUCUUUUUCGCCAAGUGCUUUUUCUUCUUCUUCUUUUUCAUCCAUUGCCUCCUCAGCAUCCUUUUCUUCUGCUUCUCUUUCCUCUGCUUCCUUCUCCUCUGCUUCUUUCUCUCCUCUUUCUUUCUCCUCUCUUUCUCGAGUCCUUUGUUCUGGAGCAGAACGGCUCAGAUGUUUCAACGCCAUUGCAGAGAUGGUGAUGUCUUCCUCAUCAUCUUCAUCUUCAAUGAUGAGAGCUCUCCUUUUCUUGGAUGGAGCAACCAUGGGCUCCUUUCCUUUUCUUUUUGAUGCAGAAGAGAUUUGAUGAGAUUUUACAAGAGUCUUCUCCUUAAAUUUCUCCAACGCCUUGCUUAGCUCCUUCAGACGCAUCUUGGUUACCAUUUUCAGUCCUAUCACCAUAUGAUCACACAAUCGAGCACAAAGAAUUUGUGGAGGCUGAAUGUUCAGAUGUCUGAAUAACUUCGUCACAAGACUUGGAUAAGGAAGUUGACCUCUGUCUUUCACCACUACUCUAUACAUGUGGAACAUAACAGUGUGAGGAAGAGAAAACUUUUUCCCAGUGAGAAUGGCAUACAUCAGCUUUGCCUCUGAACUUGAAACAUCAGUCUUGGAAGUUGAUUUCGGUCUGAGGCAAUUGAUCACAAUCUUAUGAAGCAGAAUGUUGAAUGCACUCAUCCUUAGGUAGGAAAUCUUUUCCUCUGUUCUCCUGUCCUUCACAAGUUCCAGUGUAGCACGAGCAAUAGAAACUUUGAUCGGUUGAUAUCUUCCUCUCUCAACUCCUAACACAUCUGCCAGCAUAUCCAUAUCCACUACAAAGUCUUGAUCUUUGACACUGAAAGAGAAUCUAUUCGCAUCCAGGAAACUGAGAUUCGAAUAGAAAUAAGCAGUUAAUUCGGCAUAAGCCUCUGUGGUGUCAGUGCAGAACUUUUCAAGUUGAAGAUAACCGAAAUUUUCCCUCAAGUUCACAUUCACAGCAUCCAGAAAAUCAAAAUCCACACUCCUAGGGUUUGUCACCCCCACGCUUCAGCAAUUUUAAGUAUAGAUCAUUCUGUUCUUUCGAUCUAAACAUCUCUCCUCUUUUUCCUCGAUUUUCCGCUGCAAUACCCAUCCUCGGUUGAAAUUAGUUGUACAUUUUGUCAUCAUCAUUCUCAUCUACAGGAUUAACUCCCCAAUCACGAGGAUCACUUGGGAUAUUCGCAAGGGUUUCUUCUGCCACCCCUUUACGAGCAAUUCCCAAACUUUCCAUUUUUCGCAAAAAGAUAUAUUCAUUCCCAUAUCCUUUGUCUUUAAGAAAAUCAUCAACAUAGUUCAAAGGAGUACAAGUCCCCUUUAAAGCACAAUACAGCUUAUAAAUAAAAGCGGGCUUUUGAGCUCUUACAGGAUUUGCGUCUUCAAUGAUAUCUUCUUCUUGUUGAUGUCCAACAUUUUGAGGACUAGAUGGUGGAGAAUGACGCUGCCGAGAAUGUUGUGGGCUCUGCUGCUGAUCUGGAGACACUUCUUAUUCGGUGAGAUCGAAGUGCGUAGGCCCCUCACUCAUUCGUCGUGGUCCCCUGCUUGCAAUCCUCGAAGACUUUCUUGAAGACGACAUCUUUCUCACUCUUUGAAAGAUUCCUUGCUUGACUUUCCCAAGUAAAAAUGACAACUUUUUCGAAGAUUAGGCAAGAGAAGAAAACAGGAAUGGAUGAUCGAUGCUUUCUAGGGUUUUUGAGAGUAAAGUGAAGAGGAAUCAACAGUGCACGAUCAGUUAAAAAGAGAGGUAUACGAAUCGUCACAAAGAAAAAUAAAAAGAUGCAUUUUCAAAAUAACUGUCUUUUUUCCGCGAAAAUAGUCAUUUCAAAAAAUAACUUCUUUUUCGAAAAGGAAACGUUGCAAUAAUUACAUCGAUUAAAUAUAGCAAUAAUUAAUCACAGUUUGACGAUCGUACCUUUUCAAUAUAUGAUUCGAGAGAAAGACUAAUUUACAGUCAAGGUCUUGUUUGCCUAAGUCUGAGAGUCUCUAGACUUUAACUUCUUCAAACCUCAAAAUGUUGAGUUUGGAGCGAAUAAUUUCAAAUUGAUUUUUCUCCAAAGGCUUUGUGAAUAUAUCCGCCAGUUGGUUCUUUGUAUCAACAUAUUGAAUCGAAACUUCUCCAUUUUGAACGUGAUAUCUAAUGAAGUGAUGUCGAAUCUCUAUAUGCUUUGCUCUUGAGUGAAGAAUUGGAUUUUUGGUAAGAUUGAUUGCACUGUUGUUGUCGCAGUUAAUCUUCGUGCAUGAAUCUUCAAUUCCAAAGUCUCUUAGCUGUUGUUUUAUCCAUAGAAUUUGUGAACAGCAACUUCCAAGAGCAACAUACUCUGCUUCUAUUGUAGAGAGAGCUACUAUACUCUGUUUUCUUGAAAACCAAAAUACUGUCCUGCCUCCAAGUAAUUGACAGGUACCCAAGAUGCUCUUUCUAUCAACUCUGCAACUGGCUAGAUCUGCGUUUGAGUAUCCAAGAAGAGUAAAGUCUCCUCUUUUAGGAUACCAUAGACCGAUGCUUGAAGUUGAAGCAAUGUAUUUAAUAAUACGCUUUGUAGCAUUUAAAUUAGAUUCUUUAGGGUCUGCUUGAAAUCUGGCACAAAUGCAAACACUAAACAAAAUGUCAGGUCUAGAAGCAGUAAGAUAAAGAAGUGAGCCAAUGAUACUCCUGUAUAGCUUCUGGUCGACUUUCUUUCCUUCUUCAUUUUUGUCUAUCUUCAAGGAACUUGACAUUGGUAUUUCAACCUUCUUGCAAUUGUUCAGACCAAACUUUUUGACGAGAUCAUUAGUAUAUUUUUCUUGAUGAAUAAAAGUUCAUUCCUUUAGUUGUUUCACUUGAAGCCCGAGAAAGAAGGUUAACUCACCCAUCAUGCUCAUUUCAAAUUCAUCCUGCAUAGUCUUAGAGAAUUUCUUGCACAGACUUUCAUUAGGAGAUCCGAAUAUAAUAUCAUCGACAUAUAUUUGAACUAGCACAAAACUUUUGCUUUCUCUUUUAAUAAACAAAGUAGUGUUUACUUUACCUUUCACAAAACCUUUUUGAAUUAAAAACUUACUCAGCCUGUCGUACCAAGCUCGAGGUGCUUGCUUUAAGCCAUAUAAGGUCUUUUUGAGUCUGAAUACUAAGUCUUGUUUCCUUGGGUCUUCAAAUCCAAGUGGUUGUUCCACAUAGACUUCCUCAUGGAUGAAUCCAUUUAGGAAGACACUUUUGACAUUCAUUUGAAAUAACCUGAAAUUUUUAUGACAAGCAAAUGCAAGUAAUAAACGAAUUGCUUCUAACCUUACUACUGGUGCGUAAGUCUCGUCAUAGUCUAUCCCUUCUUCUUGCGUGUAUCCCUUGGCUACGAGUCUUGCUUUGUUUCUCACGACCUUUCCUUUUUCGUCCAUCUUGUUUUUGAAAACCCAUUUAGCUCCAAUAACUGAUUUACCUUUCGGUUUUUGAGUCAAUUCCCAGACAUCAUUGAUACUGAAUUGCAUGAGUUCUUCUUGCAUGGCUUCAAUCCAGCUUUCAUCAGAUAAAAAUUCUUCUAUGCUUUUGGGUUCUAUUUCAGAAAUAAGAGCCACAGUACUAGACUCUUUGCGCUUUUUGGAUCUUGUGCGAAUUCCUUCAUUAAUGUCGCCAAUGAUAAGAUCUUUUGGAUGACUGAACUUAUGCUUCCAGUUGUUGGUUAGUUUGUCAGAAUGAUGAUCACUUCCUUCACUUGAAUCUUCAACGGUUACUUGCUGUUGGUCCUUCAAAGUCUGAGUUGCUUCUUGAGAUUUAGACUUUGUAGAGUCUGGAGCAGGUUUAGUCUCUUCAAGAUGAGUCUAAAUAAAUUCAUUUUGUAUAGAAUCCUGGAAUUUGAUAUUCAUUAAUUCUUCUAUAGUUUGAGUCUUUUUGUUGUAGACUCUGUACGCUUUGCUUGUGGUUAAGUAUCCAAGGAAGAUGCCUUCAUCUGACUUUUCUUCAAACUUACCAAUUUGAUCAUUUGCAUUUUUCAGUAUAAAACAUUUGCAUCCAAACACAUGAAAAUAUGAAACAAUAGGCUUCUUUUCUUUGAAUAAUUCAUAGGGGUUUUUUUUCUAGAAUAGGCCUUAGAAAAACUCUGUUGAUAAUAUAACAUGCUCUAAAAACUGCUUCGGCCCAAAAACGUGAGGAGAUGUUACUUUCAAUUAAAAGAGUUCUAGCCAUUUCUUGAAGCAAUCUAUUCUUUCUUUCCACAACUCCAUUUUGUUCUGGAGUAUAUGGAGAGGAGAACAAUGCUGAAAACCAGAUUCAUCACAAAAUCUUUGUAAAAUCUUGAUUUUCAAAUUCNNNNNNNNNNNNNNNNNNNNNNNNNNNNNNNNNNNNNNNNNNNNNNNNNNNNNNNNNNNNNNNNNNNNNNNNNNNNNNNNNNNNNNNNNNNNNNNNNNNNUUACUUGCUAGGAAAUACACCCAAGUAAAUCGUGAGUAGUCAUCACGAUUACUAGGCAAUAUUUCUACUCCAAUGCUCUAUGUUCUGGUUGGUCCAAAGAGAUCCAUAUGCAGAAGCUGUAGUACACGGUUAGUGGAAACUUGAUUUAUUAGUUUAAAGGAAUUUCUUACAUGUUUUCCCAAUAUGCAUGGUGUACAUAGGUCAGACUUUGAUAUGAUAAAUUAGGCAGACCACGAACAACUUUCUUUGUUGAAAUUUUGGCUAUUUGCUUCAUAUUGAUGUGCCCAAGCUUUCUGUGCCAUAAACUUACUUCUUCUUGGAUUGAAAUUAAACAUUGUGAUUCAUCUGGUUUCACAUCCAAGAAGUAGAUAUUUCCAUGUCUUCGUCCUAUAAAUGACUAAGUAGAGUCUUUACUGGUUCCUGAACAUAUAGCCUCUUGAAAAUAGAUUUUGAAACCGGUAUCACAUAAUUGACUGACACUGAACAGAUUGUAGUUGAGUCAUUCAACUAAAGAAACAUUGCUUAUUGUGAGGUUUCCAAUCUUCACAGUUCCAAAUCCCACAAUUUUUCCUUUGAUGUUUCCUCCAAAUGAGACUUUUCCACCAUUUACUUGAACAAGUUUUAUGAAGCAAUUUGAGUCUCCUGUCAUGUGUCUUGAGCAUCCACUAUCCAUAUACCAUUUUACCUUUUUCUUAAUAGUGACCUGCAUUUAAAAAAGAAACUCAAAUUUUCUUUGGUACCCAUCUUUUCUUGGGUCCAUUCGUGUUAGUAUGAUAUGUGGUUUUUGCCCAUACUUUAUUGAUAGGUUUCCAAACCAUAGGACAUUCUUUUUCAAAAUGAUCUGCACUAUUGCACUUUGAACAUCUGAGAGCAUUGCGACCUACUGGUUUUACAAAGGUCCUUUUAAAAUGAUUUUUAUAAGCAUCUCUUGAGGGUCUUUGUUUGAUUCUUUCAUUCACUUUAGGAAAAUCAAUUAAAUGAAUGGUUUCAGCAGUCAUUCCCAAACCAGAUUUAUUGAAAUAAGGUCUUUGAACAGAAAGUAUUUUUUCUAGUUUCUCAGAUCCUAUCGAAAUUUUUUGGAAAUAUUUGAGAUAUCAUUUUUCAAGAAUGCAUUUUUCUUUUNNNNNNNNNNNNNNNNNNNNNNNNNNNNNNNNNNNNNNNNNNNNNNNNNNNNNNNNNNNNNNNNNNNNNNNNNNNNNNNNNNNNNNNNNNNNNNNNNNNNNNNNNNNNNNNNNNNNNNNNNNNNNNNNNNNNNNNNUAAGACGAACCAAGCCAGAGACCCUACAUUAGAGAAACUUUAAUAGGGUUUUUGAAGUUACUUACCUCAAAUUCAUUGUCUAAAUCUGAGUCUAUCUUGGAGUUUGAAUCUGAAUCCGAUUGUACCAUCAGACAUAUGUUGGCAUAAUCAUCAUCACUUUCUUCACAUUCUGUAUCACUCCAGGUUUAUGCUUUAAGAGCCUUUCGAUACUUUUCAGCUUUUCCUUUCUUCUUCCUCAGAAGAGGACAGUUGGGUCUGAUGUGUCCCUUUUUCUUACAUUCAAAGCAGACUACAUCUUUGUUUGAUUCAUCAUCAUCAACAGACUUAGUCUGUUGCUUUUGAAAAUUUUGUUUCCUUGGAUUGAAUCUUCUUCCUUUUCUGUUCAGCUUUCUGAAUCUUCUUAUCAUGAGAGCAAGCUCCUCAUCGUCCAUAUCGUCUUCAGAAUCUGCAACAUCAGAAUCAUCAUUGGAUUUUAAUGCAAUGGAUUUCUUACCUUUAAGGUCUUCGUCUUCAUUGAUUCGUUCCACUUCAUAAGACUGAAGAGUUCCAACCAAUUCAUCAACAUAUAGAGGCAUGAUUCUUUGGGUUUCUCUAAUUGAGGUCUUUAUGUGAUUCCAAUCCUUGGAGAGUCCACGCAGUAGCUUGUUUACCUUCAUGGGAUCAGAAAUUGGUUGACCUUGAUUUUCAAGACCAUUCACGAUAUCUGUAAAACGACUAAACAUGUCAGUUAUAGAUUCUCCUGAUUUCAUUCUAAAGGCUUCGUAUUGACCGAGGAGAAUGUUGAUUCUGGUCUCCUUCACUCAAUCGGUUCCUUCAUAGGUAAUAUGUAAUCUAUCCCAGACUUCUUUAGCUGUAACACAAGAAGAUAUUCUGUUAUAUUCAGUAGGUGAUAAAGCACAAUAUAAAGAAUAAAUUGCUUUUGCAUCAAGAGCUUGUCUCUUGAUUAUCUCGUCCCGAGUCAUUUGGCUAGACUCCACAGUAUCUUUUCCUCUUUCUAAGACAGGUGCAGCUUUAAGAGUGAUUCCUUUUUCUACAACAUCCCAUUCCAGAGGAUCCUUUGAUCUUAGAAACGCCUUCAUUUUGUUUUUCCAUAUGCUGUAAUCCUUUCCAUCAAAGUAAGGUGGUCUGGUAUUGUUUUGCCCUUCUACCAGCCUUGGAGCCAACAUACUAGCCAUGGAUCUUUAACUCUGAAGUAAAACACUUCAAACAAAGUGAGUACACAGGCUCUGAUACCAAUUGAUGUAGCUAGUAUAAGCACCUAGAGGGGGGUGAAUAGGUGUAAAAACAAUUUCUCGAGAUACCACGGCAAUACUAAGCAGACGAUAGAAAGGAAGUACUCUUUUGCUUUUCCAAAAUGAAUUAAGAUCAAGGUAAAGUAAAGAGUAGGGAAGAGAAGAUUAAACACAAGGUUUAUAGUGGUUCGGCUUAUCCCAAGCCUACGUCCACUUUUCCGCACCGACAGCCUAUCGGCUGGAUUCCACUAUGAACAAAAGAGAUGAUACAGCACAAUUCUUCCUUGAUACCACAGUGUGGAUGUUCUAUCACACUUCCUCAAGGUUUCUCACAAGUAUAAACUCUAUUUUGCGUACAAGUUUUUCACUCAAAUGAAUUGACUAAACAAUAAGAAGCUUCAGACUUUGGAAUUCUUCUAUCGCGCACACUCUGAACAGCUUAGAACGUCUUCCUUAUAAACUCCUUUACACCAUCAUACCCGUCGGCACUUACCAAAGAAAUUCCUCCAAUCUACCCAUUGGACGGAAUCAAUUAGGAAGAUCAUUCAAGCUAUUAAAGGAACAUGUCGAUAGCCCAUCAAUCAUGUUCGCCCAUACAAUCAGGAUCUCGAUUUCCAUAAGUAGAACCUUCCACAAAUAUUUCGCCAAUCAUCGGAUCCUUGAUCAUCGAAUCAAUCUCGAUCAAUUAAAGGGAUUCCGUUAUGUCAUAUCCAGCCAAGAGAUCUUCUCCAGUCGAUAAGGUCAUAUCCUUAAUAAAACAUCCAGUUCUGGAUAGCCUUUCUUCAACGGAUUAGAACUAUCAAUGAGGAUAGACUUUGAAUCUUGAGUCUGGCUGUCCAGAGGUCUUCAAACUUUAAAUAGCAGAGUCUGCAAACCUUCAGACUAGACUGAUGGAAACGUUUUGUCAGCUUCAAAACAUUUCAAGAAGAUUUCUCCAACACUUAUUACAUACAUUUAACUAAAGAUUAGUCGAGAUAAAAUAUUAAAUACGUUAUACUAUGGUCAAAUAGAAAUGGUAACUUUAAGUCAUGGGUAAUCUUCAAAAUAACUUUUUAUAAAUUAUUGAAAUAGUUGGUACUAUAAAACAAACAAAUAACCGUUGGCAAGUGGAUUCAAGUAAGAGUUACUAAUCUUCUAGUAACUCUAAACAUGCAGAAAUAUCCGCAAACAAAUAUUGAUAAAGCUAAAACUAGAUGAUAACUCAAUCUGUAAAAAGUUGUUGAAUCACUUAAAUUAAUAUUAGUAAUUAGCUAUAAGAAUUGAUACUUUAAUACAAUCGUCAUUGUAGCAAAGAAAUAUUUGCAAGUCUUGGAACAAUUGCUAAUUUUGAAAUAAUCAAAUAAAAGUUGGUAAACGAUAAAAAAAAGUUNNNNNNNNNNNNNNNNNNNNNNNNNNNNNNNNNNNNNNNNNNNNNNNNNNNNNNNNNNNNNNNNNNNNNNNNNNNNNNNNNNNNNNNNNNNNNNNNNNNNNNNNNNNNNNNNNNNNNNNNNNNNNNNNNNNNNNNNNNNNNNNNNNNNNNNNNNNNNNNNNNNNNNNNNNNNNNNNNNNNNNNNNNNNNNNNNNNNNNNNNNNNNNNNNNNNNNNNNNNNNNNNNNNNNNNNNNNNNNNNNNNNNNNNNNNNNNNNNNNNNNNNNNNNNNNNNNNNNNNNNNNNNNNNNNNNNNNNNNNNNNNNNNNNNNNNNNNNNNNNNNNNNNNNNNNNNNNNNNNNNNNNNNNNNNNNNNNNNNNNNNNNNNNNNNNNNNNNNNNNNNNNNNNNNNNNNNNNNNNNNNNNNNNNNNNNNNNNNNNNNNNNNNNNNNNNNNNNNNNNNNNNNNNNNNNNNNNNNNNNNNNNNNNNNNNNNNNNNNNNNNNNNNNNNNNNNNNNNNNNNNNNNNNNNNNNNNNNNNNNNNNNNNNNNNNNNNNNNNNNNNNNNNNNNNNNNNNNNNNNNNNNNNNNNNNNNNNNNNNNNNNNNNNNNNNNNNNNNNNNNNNNNNNNNNNNNNNNNNNNNNNNNNNNNNNNNNNNNNNNNNNNNNNNNNNNNNNNNNNNNNNNNNNNNNNNNNNNNNNNNNNNNNNNNNNNNNNNNNNNNNNNNNNNNNNNNNNNNNNNNNNNNNNNNNNNNNNNNNNNNNNNNNNNNNNNNNNNNNNNNNNNNNNNNNNNNNNNNNNNNNNNNNNNNNNNNNNNNNNNNNNNNNNNNNNNNNNNNNNNNNNNNNNNNNNNNNNNNNNNNNNNNNNNNNNNNNNNNNNNNNNNNNNNNNNNNNNNNNNNNNNNNNNNNNNNNNNNNNNNNNNNNNNNNNNNNNNNNNNNNNNNNNNNNNNNNNNNNNNNNNNNNNNNNNNNNNNNNNNNNNNNNNNNNNNNNNNNNNNNNNNNNNNNNNNNNNNNNNNNNNNNNNNNNNNNNNGUAAGGUAAGGUAAAGUAAUGGUAAGGAUAUAAAUGAAUUUCAAUAAGGGUUAAGCUUACCCUUUUUUUUCGCCAUAAGGCACUAUGCGUGUUUUAUUUGGAAAGUAAUAAUUAUUUUCCGUCACAUGUGCAGAAUUUCUAUACUAGAAAACAGCCUGUAACUUCAUCAUGUCCGUUAAUAUAGCAAAUAUUUGGUCUAGGAGGGCACGCUUACAGCUGCGAGCUGUAAUCUUUUGUUUUCUGGGUUAUGUUUUGUUUUGUAGCUCUUAGUUGCAUUAAAUGCAAAUGUGUCCAUUCACCGCACAUUUAAUGGCCAUCUUAAUGCUGAUCUUUUUUCUCUCGAGCUGAGCAAUCCCAACAACAUUGAUCAUAUUAUAAAGUAGUGGGGUAAUACUUCAAUUGGGUCAGCUAGAGCUUUUUAGCUACGGAUAAGAGUCAUUUGAUUGAACAUGUUAGUCAAAGAUGCAACUGCAAUUUUGAUUAAGUUGGCAAUCUCUAUUUUGAUAUGAUAUAAUUAUACAGACAUUCGCCGUUUCCCACGAAUAACGACAUUGACGAACGCGAAGGCUGGAUUUCUUAAAUCAAACCCAGGGUGUAGUCUCAGCAUCUCCGGAACUUGCCCCCCUCACAUGCAAGUGUCAAAGGGCGUGGUAGGUUGGUCAACGGGGUCGCUUGUUUCUUGAAGGGGCGCUACACCACCAUUAAUCAUCAUGAAAUUACCAACAAAAUCGAUAGUACUACUUCAGAGAGAAUUUGGUGUAUAAAUUUCAGACCCUCAGGCUUUGACUUCCCAGAGGAAGGUUCCUGCAAUGGAGAGAGACGGAGGCUCGAGGAUUGAGUACGAGGUGUUCUUAAGCUUCAGAGGGGCUGAUAGUCGUGAAACAUUCACCGAUUGCCUCUACGAAGGCAUGAAAGGUGCUGGGAUUCGCGUCUUCAGGGAUGAUGACGAGCUCCAAGUCAGGCAAAGGAUCAAGGAAGAGCUCCCUCGGGCCAUCCAGAGCUCCAGGAUCUACAUGCCCAUCUUGUCAAGGAACUAUGCAUCCAGCAAAUGGUGCCUCGUCAAGCUCACUAAGAUGGUUACGAUGGCUUCAAAGUCGGACAGCACGAAAGAGAUUCUCCCCAUUUAUCUUCACGUGAAUUCGGAUGACGUCAAGCUCAAGACUCCGCUGUAUCACGACGCGUUCGUACAGCACGAGAGGAACUUUGGGGCAGACCAAGUGAAGGUGAGGCGUGACGCCCUCAUGGAGGUUGAAGAAAUAAAGCGAUGGAGCUUGAAAUCUUAUACAGGGUAAGGAAUUUCGUAGAGUAACCUUAUUUUCUCUUCAGAUCCAUUAUAUUUGAGAAAAUAGGAGAAUGUUCAGAAAAUAGGAGAGUGAUGAGUCUCCUGUUUCUGAAUUUUUUUUCAUCAUACGCUCUUCAAUUUCAUGUCUAGAGUGAAAUGAAUUGUCUCACGCAUCGGUGCAGCUAUGGCAAACUCAUUAAAGAGAUCGUCCAGGAGGUCCUGAUUAAGCUGAAUGCCAGAUAUAAGAAUGUGACUGAACAUUUAGUCGAAGAUCAUGUUCAGAUUGAUGCGAUAAUGAAGCUGCUGGAGGUUGACUACAGUGGCGUGCGUUUUGUGGGAGUCCAUGGAAUAGGUGGUAUUGGUAAGACAACACUUGCAAAAGUCAUUUACAACAAAUUAUAUUCUCGUUUUGACCACUACAGUUUCCUCGAAAAUGUCCAAGAGAUCUCCAGAAGAUCGGACGGUAUCAUCUACUUGCAGAAGCAACUGCUGUCAAGCAUUCUCCAUUCGACGUGCAGCAACAGUAUUUUUGUUCGUGACAAUGACCAAGGGAUUGGCAUGAUAAAGAAGGCACUUUGUGACAAGAAAAUCCUCAUUGUGCUCGAUGAUGUGGAAAAAAAGGAGCAGCUCGAAAAGCUUGUUGGGAAGAGCGAUUGGUUUGAAACGGAAGCAGGGUCAUUAUAACAACUAGGAACAUGAGCGUCCUGACCGACCGGACGGAAAGAUUAGAGGUCGACGCUGUCCCAAAUCGACAUGAAGGAAUCUUGACAUAUGAAGUCAAGGAAAUGGGAUUCAGUCAAGCGCUUCAGCUAUUCUUCCGACAUUCCUUUAGAAGAGACUUUCCUACAGAAGAUUACAAUAUCCUAUCAAGACAGAUCAUCUUGAUUUUAGGGAAGCUGCCUUUGGCUAUCGAGGUGAUAGGGUCAUCGCUUUCUGGCGUUUCCACUGACAAGGCCUUAUGGGAAGAGACGCUGAAGAAGUUACAGAAAGUUCCUCCGAAGGAAGUCCAAGAGACGUUGAUGAUAAGUUACGAGGGAUUAGAACCAACACAGCGGAGAGUUCUUUUGGACAUCGCGUGCUUUUUCAUCAAAGAAAAUAAUAAAUAUCCAAUUUUCAUGUGGAGUGAUUGUGAAUUCUAUCCUCAUGACGCAAUCAGAGUCCUCCUUCUUAGGUCCUUGAUAAAUAUUGGAGAUGAUAAUAAGUUCUCAAUGCAUGACCAAGUUAGGGAUCUUGGAAGGCACAUUGUCUACGAAGAGAAUUGCAGAUUUCCUGGCAAGCGUAGCGGGGUAUGGAAUCCUUAGGAGGCAUUGAACUUAUUGAGGACUAAACAGGUAUAACUUAACAUAAUGUAAUUUAGAGGCCAUUCUGCUAGUUAUUUCCAGGAAAUAGACAAACUUCACAAGUGGCUCACAGAGUUAACUUUUUCCUUUUUUGUAUUAUUUGUUUUCAUUCAUGCUUGAUCUCUAAUGGCAGGCAAGUGAAGAAAUAGAAGCACUGAGUCUGAGCUAUAAUGGUCAAAGUGAUGGUGGUGGCUAUACCUUCACUGAUGAAGAAUUACAGAGACUACGGAGUCUAAGUUUCCUCCGAGGGAAAGGGUUGAAUUUCUUCGGCAACUUCAAAGAUCACUGUGAGCUAAGAUGGCUUUCUUGGCAUGAGUGUCCUCCAAAUUUCACAGCGAUGAAUUUUUGCCUAGUUAAUGUGGUGGUGCUCGACCUUUCGAGGAGUAAAAUUACUGAAGACCGGACCGGGUGGAGUCAAAUCAAGGUAUUAAUGUCUCCCCAUAUUGUCUUUUGAUGCUUCUAAUUCUUGGAACACAAUGUUUUUUUUUCCUUCUUUAUAUAAUGUUUAUUUUUGGUGCAGAUGGCAAAAAAGUUAAAAGUUUUAGAUUUGAGAAGCUGCAAUUGCUUGAGAAGCACACCUGACUUGUCUAACUUCAUGUUUCUGGAGAUAUUGAUUCUUGCUUGGUGUUCCAAGUUAGUCACCAUAGAUCGCUCCACUAUUAACCUACAGAACUUGAGCACUCUGAAUAUGGAAGGAUGCAAUUCUCUUUAGGAAUUGCCAGAAGAAGUUGGUUCUCUAAAAUCUUUGACGGAGUUAAGCAUGCCCAAAUAUUCUCUGCCGUGCAAGCUUCCGAAGACAAUUAGCAAUUUGCAAUCUUUGUCAAGUUUGAGUAUAAAAUGGAAUGAGAGAAUAAGCAGACUCCCAUACUCUAUUGGAGUACUAGCGAAAAUCAAGCAUUUGUCUAUAGAAGGUUGCAAAGGGAUCAAGGAGCUUCCGCUGUCGCUUGGGGAAUUAGAAUCGAUGAUUGAGUUAGAUCUGUCAUUCUCAGGAGUAGUCAAUGUACCCGAUUCAAUCGCAAAUAUGAGGAAGCUCAAAUUCAUCAGGAUGGGAAACACCAAGAUAGAAAAGUUGCCUGACGCCAUUGGGCAAUUGGAGAUGCUUGAAGAGUUACAUUGCCCAGAGUGUCAGCACCUAUCUAGUGAAAUCCCCUGUAGCAUUGGGGAAUUGUCCCAUUUAAGGAUCUUGGACGUAUCGGGCACUCGCAUCUCUGGAUUGCCAGCCACAAUGAGUCAUCUCCCUUGUCUCAAACAACUUGAGUUGAAGGAGUGCCAUGAGCUUCAACGAUUGCCAGAGCUUCCCUCGAGCUUGACAAGCCUUACCCUUGAUGUUUAUUACUAUCAAAUCACUCCAGAGCUUACAAACCUAGUUAAUUUAGAACACUUGGACUUAUCGUUCCACAGGGAUUCUCAUGGGGGCACUGGCAAGUGGAAUGAACUUCUCUCACUUUGGAAAAACCUAAAAUCUAUCCACAGACUUCCAUCUAGCUUGUCAACCUUGAAACUUACUGAUAUCACGCUGCUGCCACAGUUUUCCAGCUUCAGGAACCUGUAAAAACUCUCCGUUUCUAGCUGCUCGAUGACGCAUUUUCCAGCUCUUGAACACCUGGAGAAUUUGAGGGAAUUGUCUGUAGAAAAAUGCACAUCUCUCGUGGGAAUGCCUGAUCUAUCAAAUUUGAAGAAUCUAGAAACCUUGCAUCUAUCCGACUUACAAGAACUGGUAGAAGUACAAGGUCUGGGGGAAUUGGAAUCUCUGGAGUCCUUAAAGAUUACGUGUUGUGGGUCGAUAGAAAUAUUGCCCAACCUAUUGAAGCUAGGAAAGCUGAAGCAUUUCGAUCUGGAAUGUUGUUCGGGGCUAAGAUGCGUUGAAGGCCUAAGUGGCUUACGACAUUUGACCCAUGUGACUGUUAAACAUUGUGAGUCCCUGCAAGGUUUGCCAGAUCUACCGAGAGGGACCAAGCUAGACACGGAUUGGGAAUCACCAGAAAUGUCAAACCCUUGUGUUUAUAUCAGCGGCUAGACCAAUCGGAGCCUUGGGAUACACUCAUACAGGAGAUCGGGACAGAGUCUGAAGAUAACACAACACAGCUCUUGCUAAGAGAUCUUUAGAUGGCAAUCUCUUGAGCCGGCAUUGUAACUGUUAUAUUCGGAAUUUUUUUUAGGAAAGGACAACAAGUUUACAGAACAGUGGAUAAUCCUAAGGCGUAAGGUGUGGGCAGAUUAAAAAUGGGUCAUAAGGUGUCCCGUCGUCUUCGUCCUUAGUAUUUAAUCAUAUUAUCACAAUAAAUAUAGUGGAAAUCAUGCGUUUUUGUGUAUGUUUCCCCUCCCAUGAUAAUCACAAAAUUCUGUACAAUAACAAUCUCGUGUUAGAUUGUUGAAUUGAUAGGAAUAUUGCAAUAUUAGAAUUUAUACCAAGACAUGAUUAGAAUUGUUUCCACAAAGAGUGCAUAAUUAAUAUUACAAAAGUGCACGCACAAUGCAUUUAUGCAAAAAAUCGACUAUUAAUUUUUUUACGGAAUUUCUCUAUUAUGAAUUAUUGGAAUUACUAUUUAAUGAAAAGAAUUUAUCGACACCAUGCGGAAAAUUGAACAUAAUACGAGAAAGAAAAUAAUAUUUCAAGAUUUGUACGGAAAGGAAAAUAUUAAGCUCAGAACCGGUUUGUACAAAAAAGCGAUAUCGAAGCACACGGAGAAGUUUGGCCCGAUGGAUUGAAGCGGUGGAGGAAGGCUCUUGUAGAGGAUGCCCAUGUAAAGGGAUGGGAUGUUUUAGGCAAAGGGGAUUUUUCCUGCAAUUUUCUCAUGGUCAAUAGUUGCAAACUACAUCUGUCUGGAAGAAACCGUGUGUCCAAAUUUUCAAACUUAAAGCACUGUGGCAUUACAUUAGAACAUAAUGGAAUCNNNNNNNNNNNNNNNNNNNNNNNNNNNNNNNNNNNNNNNNNNNNNNNNNNNNNNNNNNNNNNNNNNNNNNNNNNNNNNNNNNNNNNNNNNNNNNNNNNNNAAACCUACAAAAGGAAAUGAGGUGUGGGUGCCCGCAAAAAGCUAUGGCAAAUCCAAUCUGUACCCAAAAUAUAAUUUCGAGUUCAACUUAUUAUAAUGCCUAAUGUCCAUUUGUCAAAGUUGUUGAAAUAGCUGAAUUAUGCAUCCAUAAGUUCCUAGAGUCCUGUAGUCUAUCAUGUCUCUAACUGAAACGAUAUUUUCAUGCUUUGCUGCAGCCAUCGAGAAGAAAUUGACUCGAUUGUUGAACAGGUUUCCCGUAAGUUUAAUAAAAGACACAAGAGUGUCACUGAACAUUUGGUUGAAGAUAGUGCUCAGGUGAAAGCCAUAAUGAAAUUGUUGGAUGUUAGGUCUGAUGGUGUAUGUUUUGUUGGUAUCCAUGGCAUAGGUGGUAUUGGAAAAACAACUCUUGCCAAGGUUUUGCACAACAAAUUAUCUUUUCACUUUGAUGGCUCUAGUUUCCUUCCUGAUGUUCGAGUACGUUGGCAAUCUCCUGGUGGUUGUUUAGAAUUGCAAAAAGGGCUCUUAUCAGAUUAUGUCGGUUCUAAAAAAACUAACCGAAUUAAAGAUGUCAAUGACGGGAUCGAGAUGAUCAAAAGAGUGUUAGGUAAAAAAAAAGUACUCAUUGUUCUUGAUGAUCUAGACAAGAAGGAGCAACUCGAACAGCUAGCCGGAAAAUCUAAUUGGUUUGGUUCAGGCAGUAGGAUCAUCUUCACCACUAGAAACAAAGAAGUCUUGAUGACUCAAGUGGAAUUAUCCGGUGAAGAGGUCCUAAAUCAAACCAAAGGAAUUUUGGCUUAUGAAGUUCAACGGAUGGAAUUUAAUCAAGCAUUUCGGCUAUUUUGUAAGCACGCAUUCAGAAGAGUAUCUCCCAUAAAGGGAUAUGAUUGUCUUGCAGAGAAAAUUGUUCGUAGAGUGGAUAUGCUUCCUUUGGCUAUCGAGGUGAUCGGUUCAUCUCUUUAUUGCGAAGGCCAAAGCCUGGAGCAACAUUUUGAUAAAACAAAGCUAUGGAAAGACACGUUGGAACUGUUAGGUGAAGGUCUUGUUAAGAAAGUCCGAGAUGUAUUAAUUUUAAGUUAUGAAGGAUUGGAGGAUAAGCAAAAAGAAGUAUUUCUCGAUAUUGCUUGCUUUUUCACAAAUGAGGACCAAACAUAUCCAGUUCUCAUGUGGGAUGACUGUAAUUACCAUCCUACCAGAGCAAUUGGUGUCCUUCUCCUACGGUCCUUGAUUAAAAUUAGAGAUAAUAAGUUUAGGAUGCAUGAUCAAGUUCGAGAUCUGGGAAGACAAAUUGUCCUUGAAGAAUAUCCUUGAAAAUUUAGUAGGGUGUGGAUUCAUGAAGAUGUCAUAGAACUACUGGAGAGAAAAGAGGUAAAAUGGGACAGCAAGUCACAUAAUCUUUAUUUAAAAGGAGAUACUAGUCGAAUUUUUUCCUUUAUUUUAUAGUUAGCUUUGUUUAACUUUCCAUUUGUUCUGAAAGGGAGAUAGCUGUCUCUCUCUCAAACAUUUGGGUCAAAGGUCUAGUUUAUUGGUGGAGCGAGACCAAAUAGAUUGCCUAAUAGUUAGCUUUGUUUUUCAGUUUCUAUGGAAUGGAAAAUAGUUUUCUGAAAAUUCUGAAACAAUAAAGCACCCUUUCACGUGCUCUCCGGUUGGAGUUUUUAAAUUAUUUUCAAAGAGAAUUACAGUGAAAACAAAAAACUAUGAAGAUUGGAAUUGAUAUGAUAAUAAUAUUUCUUGAAAAAAAAAGGAAAUGGAGAAAUGAUUUAGAAUAUAUCUUCAAAUAGAAGCCGAAAAAUUUCGAGAAUGGUGUGAACGAAAACAUAGAAAUCUACUUGCUGGGAAAAGGCAUGGGCCACGGUAGGUUCCCUGUUGGAGAAAUUGUCUACCGUUGUUCAUAUGCUUCCUUUUCUAUAGCUCUGUUAAGAGUGUUACCUGCUGUGCACUCAAUUAAUCUUGAGUCUCUGUUGGCAGAGAAAUGAAGAUGUAGAAGCUAUAAGCCUGACUUCUAGUGGCAGCAGCCACAACUUCACAGAUGAAGAAUUAGCUGCUCUACCAAAACUACGGUUCCUUCGAGCAAAAGGCUCGGAUUUUUCUGGUGACUUUCAGAAUCUUCUAUUGAAGCUAAGAUGGCUUUCUUGGCAGACAUGGCAAAUAGCUUUCCAGGCAAAAAACUUUCACUUUGGAGGAUUGGUUGUGCUCAACCUUUCGGAUAGCAAUAUUGAAGACAGCUGGGAUGGGUGGAGCCAAAUGAAGGUAUGAUAUGCCUUACUCUAUUUUUUAUUUUUUUUGUCAUUACCUCAUUCGCGAUGAUGGAAGGAAGGAAGAUAUAUAUUUCACUUCUUUGUAUCAUUACCUCAUGUGAUUGAUUUAACGGUUGCAUGCUCUCCCCUACUCAUCUGAGUGUAGAGUAUAUUUUGCAUAAGUAACAUUCAGUAUCUUUCUAUAUGUCAAAGUAAACACAAUUAUGUCCCACAUAAAAGUUGCUUAGGCUUUGUAAUUGGUAUGUUCUAGUAAAAGUGCCAUUUUUCUUCAACAUGCAUCAGAUAUAAUUUGAAUGAAUGUAAAGUUUGAGUCAAGUUCAAUAAUAAAAAAGUUAAUUGGAAUCAAGUAUGAGAUUGGUAUCACUCGACUUAAACAGCGUAAAAGAUCACGAGUCUAUUUGUUAUAUAACUAAGUUCAUGAUUUGAAUCAAGGCGAGCUUAAACUUCAUAAUACGUAAUUCAAGGGGCUCACAGCCUAAUUUAAUAGGUAAGUAUUUCUUUAUAAAUGAAUUAAUGAACUGUAAAAUAAAUGAAAAUGGCAUUACUUUUACUUCUUCUUCUUUUUUAUGUAACUUGAGUUAAUGAGCGAAGGCUCGAUGUUUUCCAUUGAAUCUAGUUAUAAACUAAAGUACCAAAUCUACCACCCACCUGGGUGGCAUUGCUGGCGGCGAGCUUCUCCCCCUAACGCAAGGGGAGGAGUUCGAUUCUCGGGCAUCGCAGUGAAUUUCCCGAUGGCACGUNNNNNNNNNNNNNNNNNNNNNNNNNNNNNNNNNNNNNNNNNNNNNNNNNNNNNNNNNNNNNNNNNNNNNNNNNNNNNNNNNNNNNNNNNNNNNNNNNNNNNNNNNNNNNNNNNNNNNNNNNNNNNNNNNNNNNNNNNNNNNNNNNNNNNNNNNNNNNNNNNNNNNNNNNNNNNNNNNNNNNNNNNNNNNNNNNNNNNNNNUUUCUAACAUUUAGUUUAAAGUCAAUUUACGGGCUACAAAAAUUGUCAAUUUCUAACAUUUAUUAUUCCCCCGUCAAAGGACCGCCUCACUGACAGUUGCUAUGAGUUCACCUCUUGCAAACCCUUCCCUCCAUCUCAGAUUCUUUCUAAAAAAUUUCAACUGAUAAUGGAUUGUCGAAUUAAGUUGAAGGUAGAAUACCAAAAUUAAUUUUUAAAUCCAUCACUUUUAUGUCCUGACUAUUAUAGGUUAUACAUUCACUUGGCAUAGAGAGUAAGAGAGAGUUGAGUUGGGGACACGGAGCAGAGGGGUUGAAUGCGGUGAUGUUGAAGAAUGUGGUCGCAAGUGGUGUGCUGGUAGCAAGCGGGGUUGUGUGUUGGUAUGUGGGACCUUGUGGGUGAUUUGGGAGGAAAUUAGAGUUUUCUGUGUGUUCAUGGCGAGGUUAUAGAGAUUUGUCUUUGACUUCUAGCAGGGGCCUAACUCCAAUUAAAAAAACUCAGGUUGGAGAUUAUCUGCAACAUCCCCAAAAAACUUGCGAUGUUCAAAUUACCCCAGCUUAUCUUAAAUUAUUGACUUAUGGAUAAUUGGCUUAUAAAUAACACUACAAUGUAUGCUGAUGUUUCUCGUUUAUUUUUUUACUUUAACUUUUUUCUGCAGAUGAAUAAGUUAAAGGUACUAGAUUUGACGGGUUGCAGGUUGUUAACAAGGACACCUGACUUCUCCAAGUUCACGUCUUUAGAGACGUUGAUUCUUGCUCGGUGUGUCAAGUUAACUACAAUUGAUGGCUCCAUUGGUGAGCUAAAACUCUUAAGAACUUUCAAUAUCAACGGAUGCAAGGUUCUUCGGAAGUUGCCUGCAAAAUUCGGUUCUCUACAAUCUUUGAUAGAGAUUAUCAUGCCCCAUCAUUAUCAACACUUCAAGCUUCCAAAGACAUUUGGCAAUUUGCAAUCUCUGUCAAGUUUUAUAUUAGACGAGCACCCUGGAAUCAAAAGACUUCCAAAAUCUAUAGGAAGAUUGGUGAAACUUAAACGUUUAUCUUUAUGCGGGUGUGUGGGCAUAAAGAAGCUUCCAAGCUCUAUUGGAGAAAUGAAAAUGUUGGCUGAGUUGGAUUUAUCAAAGUCGGGAAUAGUUAAAUUACCUGAUUCCAUCGGAUCUUUAAAGAAACUGAAAGUGAUCAAGAUGAGUUAUACAGUGAUAAGAAACUUUCCUCAAACUAUUGGAGACGUGAUAAAGCUUAAAGAAUUACAUGCCAAGAAAUGUUGGAAUUUGACAGAUGAAAACCUAAAGAAAAUUGGGAACCUAUCCAAUUUGAGGAUAUUGGACAUAUCAUAUACGGGUGUAACUAGUUUUCCUACAGUACUAGGUUGUCUCUCUCGUCUCGAAACACUUGAAAUGAGUUCAAGUCACCUACAAGAAGUACCAAAUCUUCCCUCAAGUUUGACACACCUUCACAUGCAAGCACCUCGCUUCCCAUCUAUCCCUAACCUCUCAAGCCUUGUCAAUUUAGAUUAUCUGGAAUUAUCUAUAUUAACUGGUUCAAUGGAGGAACCUGACAUAGCUCGGAUGAACAAUUCGUCGGAAGAGCAAUUGAUCCAUUUGCUUCCAUCUAGUUUGUCGACCUUGAAAUUAAGGGGCAUUCAUCUACUACCACCUUUUUCCAACCUAAAAAAAUUGUCGGAAAUGUCCAUAAUGGAACAUCCAAUGUCACGCUUCUCCAUCUCUGAAGACCUAAUACAUUUGAGAAUAUUGAAACUUAGAAAAUGUAAAUUGCUGGAGAAAAUACCUGGUCUGGCACUCUUGAAGAACCUAUGGUGCCUGGAUUUGAACAGAUUGGAAAGUCUGGUUGAGAUUCAUGAGUGUUGGAACUCAAAUCGUGGAGCACUUCCGUAUUGCCAUGUAAUGAGAUAGAAAGGUUACCCAACUUAUCAAAGUUAGAUAAGCUACGGCACAUUGAACUAGAAGCUUGUUUGAAGAUAAAAGAGAUCGAGGGUGUCAAGGACACAGGAAGCUUGAAGUUAGAUAGUCGUGGUUGCACUGUCCUGGAAAGGUUGCUGGAUGACCCAGGAUCAACUUGGCUUUCUCGCAGAAUACCUACUUAUGAUGUGUUCCUGAGUUUUAGGGGACUAGACACUCGUUAUGGCAUUGUCGAGAUCCUUUACAAGAACCUUGUUCAUAACAAAAUUCUGGUUUAUAGGGACGAUGAGGCGGUGAGCCAUGGCAGGGGAAUUAGCUGGGAGCUUCUACAAGCACUUGAUGACUCUCAUAUCUACAUACCCUUCUUAUCUGAAAACUAUGCUUCUAGUGAGUGGUGUCUCCGUGAACUAACCCGCAUGGUAGAACUCAAGAAGUCAAAUGGGAUAAGAAUCCUGCCCAUUUUCUAUGAAGUGGAGAAGGAAGAUGUUAAGCUUGAAAGCAAUUUAUACAGAGAUGCCCUAAGUAACCACAGGAGGAAGUACGGCGACAAAGUGGAGGAAUGGGAAAAGGCUCUUAAAUAUGUCGGGGACAUGGAUGGGUAUCACGCGACAACUAACAGGUAAUGCUGCUUUUUUAUUAAUUGCAUUUUACCUUCUAAAUCAUGAGCUAAUAAGUCAUUCAAUUCAACUUUACCACCAAAGAAUUUCAAAGUCACUGCAAUGCAAACUUUUGUUUAAAAAUAAUCAAGUACACUCGAGUAGAUUCUUAACACUCUCUUUGGAAGAGCUCUUUAGGUGGGUAAACAAAUCUGAGGUGAAGAAAACACAUUCUUUGUUGGUUGGAAGUAUUAAGAUACGGAGGGGAAGACAGUGUAGGGAUUUGAAAAAUGAUGAGAGAAAAAUGAAAAUUGGCAUGUUUACAUUGUAAGUUGGACUGCAUCUCAUUGAACAAUUACUAUAUCAUUCUUCACAAUUGUCGCUUUCUAUUACUUUUGAUGGUAUAUUGGGAAAUAAGGGAAGAAGUGUGACUUUCUCCCCUGCUUUCUUCACACCUCCGCGAGGAACAAAAUUUAUCCAUUUUCUCUUGCUCUUCCAAACAUUGGUUUUGCAUUCACAAUCAUUCCUUCCCCUAUAAUUCUUUCCACUCUGAAUCUUGCUUUCCAAACAGAGUGUUAGCGUUAAGUACUUACAACAUUGCAAUGGAUAGAAAAAAAAAAAACGGCACGCAAAAAGAAUGAAGAAGAUUUUGGUGAAGGGAGAAAAAGUGUGAUUUAUAUCAAUCUAGGAAAUUGAUUUAAAUUGUUACGAGAUGGGUAAAAGUUCAUCCAAGUUUACUGUUUGUUUGCACGAGCUUCCGUGGAACUUUUUCAUAAUAUUUAAGAUUAAAAUUUGUUACUGAGUGUAAUAACAUUAAUUAAAGGAGCUAUGAAAUUCUUAAUUCAAUUAUCUCCAUAACAGAACAUGAAAUGUACUGCAAAAGUGCUAGAUGGAAUAAAUGAGGUAUUUUCACCUCUGCAUUAGUCUAAUUUUAUUAAGAGAAUAAUUAAAAUUUAAAAAGUUAAAAUGAAAAAAAAUUAUUAAUAUGUAAGAAUGUUUAAAGAUGAUUUAAUAUGAUUAUUUUUCGAGAACAAAUGACAAAAUACAUUCCAAUCUUUUAAAUGAUUUUCAUUUUUAUCCCUACCUUUUAAACUUAUGAAAAAAAUGUCCAGCCUUUCGAAUUUGUUUCGAAUCUAUUACGAGUCUUUCGACACCAUUAAUAGGAGGGAAUGUUCCAUUAGAUUAUUUCCCGAAUUCUGACUUUGCCACUAAAAGAAAAAAGAUUAUCUUGACUUAUUAUUCCAAAGAGAAUAUAUUAGGAAAAAUAAUUUAACGUAUGUAUAACUCAAGGAAGAGUUAUUUCGCUCCAUAUCUGCCUUUUUUUGGUUUAUUCCAAGUAUUGUUGAAUUUUUUAGUAUGAAGAAAAAAAUAAAGAAAAAUGGGUUCUUCUAUAACGCAUAGUCACCUGUGCAAUGUUAUAAGUACCUAAAGCUAAAAAGGCCAAAAGGGCAUUCGAAAAUAAUUUCUUCUAUAAAAUAUAGUCUUCUCAAGAUUUUGCUUAGAACCCAUGCCUAAUUUUCUUAUCUCAGAAUUCAAGUUCUGUUGAGAGCGACAUAUCAUUUCAGUUGGUUGGAUGCAAUCUCACUGAUUCUAUCAAGAACAGCAACAUCACAUUGGUUUUGCGAAUUUUUAGGGCACCUUAAAUUCCUUCAUACUGAGCAAUGUCCGACCAAAUUCUAGCAUAGCUGUAAACCAAUAAGGUGUUGAUAUCCUUCUAUUGCGUGCCUGACCAAAAUAAACCUUUUCUUUCGUUGUGCAUUGCUGCAGCCUCGAAGGACUAAUUGAAUCGGUUACUGAAGAUGUUUUGAAAGAUCUGGAAGGUGCCGACAUAAGGAGACCUCAAGCAGUUGAAGACUAGUGGUUGUCGAUAGGAAUCUGCACGGAAAUAAGCAUCAAGGAAAAAAGAACAAAGAAAUGGAAUUCCAUUCCAAGUGACCGCACAUAUCAGCGAUGGGGAGAAUUUCCACCCCUCUAAGUGAAGGCAUACAUCGAGGGAGUUGACAGAAAACUUACGGGUAUUGCUUCCAUUUCGAUAUGACAACAUAUGUCAUUCAGUGAUUUAAACAUACAUAGAUUCAAAGUACUACAGUGCAGCCUUUGCAUCCAANNNNNNNNNNNNNNNNNNNNNNNNNNNNNNNNNNNNNNNNNNNNNNNNNNNNNNNNNNNNNNNNNNNNNNNNNNNNNNNNNNNNNNNNNNNNNNNNNNNNNNUGAAGGCCAAAUCCAAAAACACUGUAUGAACUUAUAUCUACAAGACAAAAGUAUCCCCACUUUCCAAAUGGCCCAAAAGGAUAUAUGAGUUACGGGAAAAUUACCAAAAAAUUUUUGAACUUAUUAUAAUUUUGUCAAUUCAGUUCCAAGUUUAUUUUUUUGAUCAAUUGAGUCAUAAACCUUUUGAAAUUGUGUCAGUUAAGUCCCUCCAGCCAAAAUUAGCCGACUGGCAUUGACGACAAUUUUUUAAUAAUAUUUUAUUUUUUCGAAUUAUUUUAUUAUUUUUUUAAUCUUUUUUCCUUUUUUUUUCUCCUCCUUCCUCUUUCCUCGUCCCUUCUCCUCUCUUCUUCUUCUUUUGGCUGGCUGUUCGCUAGAGCCAAAUGAAGAAGGAGGGAGGAGGGAGGAGAACAAAAGAUAAAAAAAAAAUUAAUAAAAUAAUUCAAAAAUAAAAUAUUAUUAAAAAAUUAUCGCCAUUGGCCACGUCAGUGCCAAUUUUGGCCGAAAUGACUGAAUUUGCAUAAUUUCAAAAGAUUUAGGACUCUAUUGACUAAAAACAUAAGUUUAUGACUAAAUUGGUGUAAUUAUAAUAGGUUUAGGAUUCUUUGGUAAUUUUCCCUAUAAAUCUUUACUUGAGGGAUGAAAAACCAACUUUUAAGUUUUCCAUCCAUUCAAGUUGAUGAAAUCUGACAACAAAAAAAAAAGUCGAUGAAUACGCUCGAAAUAGUCUCUUUGCAACAAUAAUUUUCGGUUUGGGGGCAAAACGAAUUCUAUUAACAACGGACUUUUUCAAUUUGGGGUUUGCUCUCUCUCUCUCUCUCUCUCUCUCUCUCUCUCUCUCUCUCUCUCUCUCUCUCGUUGAAACAGACGAGUCAUAAAUUCAGAAAUCUAAAAAACGACAUCUUUAUUCAUUGGCGAGAAACAACGUUGUUUUGUCUCGCUGACAUCACUAUUGUACUCACCCACACCAUUAGCCACGAUAAAUGCCACAUUAGCUUGCACGCACGAAAAAUUUGAUGGUGCAAAUUUUUGUAUAUAAGUAAUGGUCCGUGCAGUUUUUGGGGCCUUUGAAAAGUGAAGAUAUUUCUGUCCUCCAGAUUUAAGUUCAUGUCUUCUUUAUAAAAAAAAAAAAAAAUGCUGCAGUUAAAAUGUAAAGAAGAAGAAAAUGCUCAAAGAAAGAGGAGCACCUUUUUUCAUCAUAAGUUAAUUUAAUACCAUCAAUUUUGUUUUUAGAAUAGCCCUAAAAAUAUCUUAAAAGAAUAUGUCCCGAAUGCUCAAGAUCUUUCUUGGAACCUGCAUCUAAUAUUCCAAAUUAUUUUUUGUAGCGAUCAACAUGUUAUUGUAAUAUAGAUCCCUGGAUUUUACAUGUUGUCAACGAGAUUAUCUCCUCAAAUUUGGUAGGUGGAUCCAAUUUCAUUCAUUCUAUCAAGAAUAGCUACUUCGCAUUGGUUCCUGAAUUCUAGAGCAUCUUAAUUUCUUCUUGCAAGCAACAUUCGAUGAAAAUUUGGUGUAGCUGUAGAUUUUUUUUUUUUUUUUUUUUUUUGUAGCUGUAGAUUAAUGGGUGCUAAUACUUAAAUCUCUAGAGUCAUAAAACCAUUAAGUUUUCAUUUACAGAUGAUGUUCUCAAAAGUAGAAUUCUAUAGUUAAAUAUAUCCGGAGGAAUUUUGUGGUCGAACAAAAUUGCAUAGCCGUAUCUUUACCAUCUACUUUUUCAUUGUUUUGUUUCUUUUGUGUAGCGAGUUAAAGAUCUUCAAGUCGUUAUUUUUUGGGACAUCAGAUCAAUAAUUACAUUGUUAUUUUGAUAUCCUGUUACUUUCUGUCUGUCUGACUAAAAUGAACUAUCCUUCACCUGUGCAUCGUUGGUAGGUAUGGAGAACUAGUCAAGAAGGUUGUUAAAAGGUUCUAGGAGCAAGAGGAUUACUAGACGUUGACACUUGAAGCCAUCUUUUGUUUCUUUGUCAAAGUAAAAAAGGAUGGAUUGCUUUAUAGUUAAUAUUCCAUACAACUGCAUUCUCUUUCGAUUGCUUGGAGGAUCUAGAUAUUUCAUUUUGUCAUGAAAUUAGUUUACAGUUCUAAAGCUUUGGUGCACAAUUUACAAAAGGUUAGCAUAUCACCAUGAACGAGUGAGAGAUAGAGUUUGAACUCUCAUGCUUUAUUGUAGGGUUAGUGUCUAGGGAAGCCUUUGCAUGAACUUACAUAUAUGGAGACUUGGCAGCUAGCUUCGCUUGUCCGUCUCCAACGCCAUGAAAGGAUAAGUACGGUGAAAAAGAAACUUUCUUAUUAUUAAAUGGGAAAAGACCACCAAAAAUCCAAACUUUGUCAUGACAAAUUUACCUCAAACUUUUUUUUGUAACAUGAAGAAUCCUAAACUUUACAAACUGUGACAUAUUUACCCUAUUAAGGGUAUUUUCAUCUUAUUCUUUCUAUUUUUCUUUCUUCUUUUUUUUUCUUUUUUUCUUUCUUUUUCUCUCUUCCCUUCGUCAGAACUGACGGAGGGAAGCCGGCAUCCGAUGAGGGCUGGCCUCCCUGGCAUCGGCCUAGGCGAGGGCGACCCUCGCUCGACGCCGGCUAGGGUUGCCCUCGUCGGCAUUGGGCGAGGGCCUCCCUCACCAAAUCUAGCGAGGCCACCCUCACUCGACGCAACCGAGGGCACCCCUUGCCCAACACAGGAGAGGGCACCCCUCAUCGGGGUCGGGUGAGGCCCUCACCAGUGCCCUCGCCCGACCUGGCGAGGGCAACCCUAGCCAGCCCAAGUGAGGGCAGCCCUCGCCUGGUGCAGGUUUCCCUCUGCUGGCUCCGUCAUGGCCGGCGGAGGGUAGAAAGAAGAAGAAAAAAAUAAUGAAAAAAAAAGUUUUUAAAAGUAAAANNNNNNNNNNNNNNNNNNNNNNNNNNNNNNNNNNNNNNNNNNNNNNNNNNNNNNNNNNNNNNNNNNNNNNNNNNNNNNNNNNNNNNNNNNNNNNNNNNNNUUAAAUAGCACCCUUAUGAAUGAAUUUAAAAAACAAUCAAGGAGCCCGGAUCAAGUUGUAUUACAUGAUCCCUUGACUAUUUCAUUGCGUUAUGAAGAAGAUAUUAUAUGAAUUCUUAUCUGAUAAGAAUAUUUUAUAAAUUCUAAUCUAAUGAGAAGUAUCGUAAUCGCAUAAAGACCAUAUUUCUAGUAGCCAUGUUAAGAUAGCACAACUGAGACACAUUUAAGUGACUAUUAAUUCCCCGCACAACACGGCUAGUUUGCACGUUUGGGAAUACGUGAUGUCAUGACCUACCAUGUUCGUCCAAAGGGAAAAAGACAUAAGUUUAGAGGUAUUGUCUAAAAAAUUAAUCUACGGCCCUCAUUAUAGAUGUGGACUCUCCCAAACCCAUAUCUUGUGCAAUAUUAGGGUAUUUACAAUGAUGCUAUAAGAAUUUUCUAAUGAUAAGUCGCCACUAGCCUAUUGAGGUAAGUUACAAACCAAGUAUAGCAUGAGAGUAUACUUCAUUGCCUAUGCAACUAGAGAAUCUAAGGCCGAGGCCUUGAUUAUACUAAUUGAUCAACUAAUACCUUUUCAGUACUUAAUUUUGUUCAUUUAAAAAAAAAGUGUUUGUCAGGCAGUCUAUAUUGAUUUUUAGACCUAUCCACUAACACAUGAGGUGAUCAUGAGGUGAUCAUGCAGGUACGCAAAUAUUAAAGUAAUAAUUAGCAACCAAGAAAGUAUUAAAUAACUAAUGCUAAGAUAUAAGAAAAAUGCCAUUCCCAUUCCCAACUAAUUUAAAGGGAAAUCACGAUCAAUAUAUUGAAAGCACACCAUCAAUUGAUAAUUUGUCUCAAAGAGGGAAACAUUGGAGCCCUAUUGUAAAGACCUAAGAGUUUGUUCAAUUUUGAACUCGAUUUUUAUCAAUGAUUUUCCCACAUUUUAAAAGAAAACUACUCAAAAACUAAUUUUAAGUUUUUUUUCUGAUUUUAUAAAGAAUCUAUAUUCGAAAUUUUUUCAAAAAUAUAUAUUUUAAAUUUUAAAAAAAAAUAUUUUGUUUUUUAUGUAAUUUUUAUUCCGAAAAUAGGGAUUUGGGCAGGGCCCUCGGCCCGGUUCAAAUGUGGGUCGGGUAAGGACUCAUGGGUUUGGGUCAUGAACACUAAAAGCCUAAUUAAAGAAGUGGGCUCAAUGACUCCAACCCAUUCGGACAAGGGCCAUGAUCAAGCCCAAAUUCAUCAAAGGAAAACACUUAAGCUUACUUACACUAAGGGUCACUAUUAAGCAACUUCCAGCACGUCAAAAAAAGCCCCGCUCCGAAAUUAGCCCACUCUCUCCUUCCUAGACAUAAAAAUAACCUUAAACCCAAUAAACUAACCUAAGCCCAACAACAAAAUUCAGCCCGUACCUAACACAAGGCCCCCCACGCCUUGAGUCUACGAUGGACUCAUCUCAUCCCCUGAACAGCAGCUUCUCUCCCACGACCGAGCCUCCACCAAGCCCCACCGCCUAGACCAGCCGAGAAGCAUUAACGGCGCCCGGACCUCCACGUCCGACCACGCUUGGUGCUGGGCGAGUCACGACCGACAACCACGGCCGCCGCCGGAACCCUUUGUUCUAGCUGGCCCCCUCACGGUGGGGCCAACCUUGCUCCGAACAGCCAAACCGAGACCCACUCUAGGGUUUCGACACACCCCUACCGUCCGAAAGCCACGCCUCAGCAACACUUGCCCCCGUCGGCUCGAUCAAAGAAAGGGGCAGCGACGGCCACAGAUGAAACAACACGGCGAGAGCGAGUAUUUCCCACACAAACUUUCAAAUCUAGUUCAGGCAUUAUAUCAAACAAUUGGGGUACCUCAACCGCAGCUCGGCCCGUACCAUGACUCUCGACACGCGACGAAAAAAGAUAUCGGAAAAAAAACGAGGGGCGACGCCCGCCGGACCUCGCGGGAGCCGGACGGCGGGGAGCUCCGGUUAGGCGCGCCCAAACAGGCAAGAGCAGAGCUGAGCUUACCUGUUCGGCUUAAGGGCGUCGCUGGGAAGGUCGCCGGACGGGUCGGCGCGCGGCCGAGGCUCCCUCUCUCUUUGUCUCUCAGUCGCUCGGAUAUGUCACUCUCCGUUUGCCCUCUCUCCCCAUCCCGGUCUCAAGCUCUCCAAAGCCCCCCAAAAAUCCCCCCUUUCGACGCACGCCCCCUCUAUCCCUUUGAAGCAUCGGCUCGUGCGCGUGGCUUCUUAGUUCUUGCCUUGCCAGCUGCGAUUGCCAGCCUAGCCCCCCACCGGACGUCUCGCGCGACGCUUGUCUCCUCCGUGCCGUCCUUUUGUUCGCGUUCGUCGUUCUCGUUUCUGCAGAACGCGAGGGAAAUAGAGGCAGAGAAAGAGAAGGCUGGGCCGGUCUUGGGGUAAAUAAAGCAAAAGUGGGUCGGCCCAGGCGAAGAGAGAGAUAAAGGAAAGUAAAAAGGAAGAGGCUGGGCCGGCCUGCCCAUUUUUUCUUUAAAAAUUUCUGUUACUAUCAAUGAAAGUGAUCCUAAUGUCUAUAUACCGUGCAUUUAAUGUAAAUUAUUUUUGUUACCAGUUAAAAAUUAAUCCCUUUCGAUAAAAUUAAUGAAUGAUUAAACGGAUUGUCAAAAUUUAGGUGUCAACAUGUGAUCUGCCCUAUCUUUAAUCAAUCGGAAAUAUUAUCAAAAUCGCCAUCGUCGUGGUACUACAAAUCCAAUUAGUAUGUGAGGUACUAACACCAUUCCAAUUAUAAAUAUAGUUUCACUGCAUCUGUACAUCCCGUAAUACCUAGCAACCUUGGAAGUCCCAUUUGGAAUAAGAUGCAUAUAAAAAAUACAACGUUGUAAGCCAUUUUAUUUAAUCAAUAACCAGAACAAGCACAGAAACAAGUAUUCAGAAAAACAUAUCAUGCUAGACUCAGUAAUAGAAGGGACAAGGUUUGUCACACAUGACAAACGAAGCAAUAGUUUAAAAAGUUCAUAUUUACAGGCUGCACAGGUGAUUUAUGGAUAAAUUGAUUUUUUUUUUCUGAAUUGCAAACACGAUAUUAGAAUAUGAGAAUUUUUUGCAUAUUAUAUAUUUGUGUAUAAAAAAUUCGUAAAUCAAGACAAGCACACUGUAAUUGUAAAUAAUUCAGCACGAAAUACAAGGUGGAGAAGCCUCAUGCACUGCACGCAUGGACCAACUCGCAGCAGUGAGUGGGGCAGGCAAGUAAGAACAAAAGACAAAUGAAGCCAAGCCCACAAGAAUGGAGCCAUAAAACAAAGGAGUCCACCAUCACAUACUUAUGUCACGGGAAAUCGAUUAUAUACAUUCGCUUCUUUUCCUAUUCUGUGAUAAGCAUCUUAACUUUUUUCAGUUUGAGCAAUGUCGGACCAAAUUUCAGUGUAGAUGUAAACCAAUUAGGUUGUCAUUUUGAUAUUUUUUGUAUUGUGUGCCUAACGAAAACAGAUGUUUUCUUUUAUUGUGCAAAGCUAUAGACUCAAAGAAGUACUUGAGGUUACUGAAGAGAAUUCUAGACAUCUGAAAUAUGCCAAUGCAAUAAGUAGGAUUUGGAAAUACUUAAGCUGCUAUCAAAGACAAAAAGAAAUGGAAUUCCAUUCCAAGUAAUAUAUCUCUUCAUCUGUUUAGUAAGCGACUUAUUGUACGAGUGAAUGUUUAAUAGAGCCCAAAUUGUAAUUGUAUUUAAACUGCAAAGCUUAGUCAAAAGAUUAGUUAUGAAAAAUAUUAAGGUAAAAAGGAAAAUCGGGUCCAAGUUAGAAUGUUCAUAGAGCCUAGAUGGCAAUGGCCCGAAUUUUCGCUGGCGUGAAGAGAAACUAAAAACACGAUCUACACAAGAAUGGACUAGAACAGGGUGUGGGUGUAACUUGAAAAUACAAAAGACAGGAAAUUAUUUAAUAAAAAUCACAAAAUUUUGGGAGUGGGGCCAAAUCUUGCUAAAUGGAAAAAAAUCGCUUAAAGUUCUAUCAUAAAAGAAAAAGAAAAGAAAAGAAUCAUUUGAGAGGCCGAUAUCCACGAUUCUCUUCAUUUUCUGGAUAAAGCGUACGUUGUCCACAAAUAAUUGUGUGUUUGUGGUAUCUCUCUGUCAAACCUUCUGAUUAAAGGUCUCAAUAGUUUGUAGAGAGAGCCAAAUGAGAUUGACUGAUGGUUAGCUUAACGACCUAUGUGAAUCAUUUCUCAUAUGAAUUGGUUAUCUUGUUUCGAAAGGGUCGCCAUAACACUUGAAUUAGUAAAAGAUAACCAAUGUUCCUACACAACACUAUACAAGAUAACCAAUGUUCAAUUAUUAAAAAAUGGUGAAAAAUGUAUUUUGACACACUGGCCAAUAUUGGACUAAUGUAAAGGUUUCAGAUCUAAGAUUGGGAAACCAAGAUGUGUAUUGGCAUAUUUUAGAGAGAAAAAAAAAAAGAAAGUCAAUCUGAACAAACUAAUUUUUUUCUGUGCAAAAUUUGAACAGACUACUUAGUUGACUUAAAAAACACUAUUCAAUAUCCAAUCACUUUACUUAACGUUAUUGUCUGGCUGUAAAGAAAAAUCCCCCACCUUCUCUGUCUUCUAGCUCAUGUACUUUUUUUGGCAUGUAACAGUGAAAAGCGUGAAUAUAUUGGAAGGAAAAAAAAAACUCAAAUUAUUUUCCAUUUACUUAAACUACCCAAUGUCCUUCCAAAGCCGUUUUUUUUUUUUGAACAGAAACCCUCAUAGCAUUAAGAGGAAUAACCCAUACAGCCUGUGGCUAGUGCAUCCGCGCAUAACAAGUUCAAGAGAGCAGGGGGGAAUUAAGGGCCAAAUUACAAUUCAAGGAGGUACGAUUAUGGGCCUUGCAAGCCCAGUCAGCGACUGAAUUCGCUUCUCUUCGGCAGAACCCUAGCGUGAGAUUGAGAAAUAGGGUUAGGAGGAAGGUAGCCUCAGCGAAUAGAGAGCGAUCCGUCCAUGGCGGCUAUGAGCGGCUGUUCAAAGUUUCCACCAGAGUGAGGUUGUCUGAUUCAACGAUGAUUGUUGCAGUUUGAAGCCCUUGAUGCAGAAGAUGGCGAAGCGAGAAUGAUAAAGCUUGGAUCUCAACUUGAAGAGCAGAGAUGGCCACUACCCCUAAGGAAAAACCAUCGGUAAGCUAGCCUUGAUGAUCCCUACAAAUACAAGCUAUCAUUCCCUUGUUACUGCCCUGAUGAAAUGAUCCAUCUAUGUUAACUUUCAAUACCCGGAGAUCUGGGGGACGCCAUAGAUGGGAUCUGUUUGUGACCAAACUAUUUUGAUGCAGAUUUGAGGCUGAAGAUAAUCGAUCUGCUUGAGCGCAAGUCAGUGCUGCUUCUACAACCUAAGAUGGAUUAGGAUAAGUACCUCGAAAGACGAAGGCAUUCCGAUCGCGCCAGAUCUGCCACAGAAUAUGAGAAAAAAAGGCCAGUCGAGGUAAUCGAUUUUCUGUCCCAAUCGUGGAAGCGAUCCAUGAAUCCAGACGAUGGGUGUUAAUGGGAAAGAUUGAAACCCGGAUCUGGGAAUGAUUCCACACCUAUUGAGUCCACGAGCAGAGUAAGAGUAAAUGCUCUAAAGUUUCUGGAGUCUUUCUUUUACACAAUGUGCAGCAAGGACUGUCUAAUAUGUGUCAUCGAUACAGGUUUUCUCUCGUCGCCAAGGCAUUAUUGCAGAUGGACCAGAGGAAUACUCGGAUUUUGGGUGCAGCAGGCAUUUUCCAGAUAGAGCGCCAUAACCAGGUAGGAAUUUGGUGUGAUGAUGAUGCAUUUGAAGUUGAGAUACCUCAUUGUGUGUGAGUGAGUGCAUAAUAUGCAGAUUUGACCGUAAAUGUGCCUUGCUUGGUUGUUGUCCAUAUAAGUGCAUCUGUGGUGAAGUUAGGUCGGAGUUGGAUGUCUGUGAUCUGUUGAAUGAUUGGCAUAUCGAAAAAUCUGAAUAAUAAAUCAAUUUUCCAUGAACUGGUAGUUCGGUCAAUAAGAUCAGCUACUAGUGUAGGUUCUUCAGGGGCUUUAGGUCCAGCUAGAAUUCCCAUAGGAAGCCAUCUGUCUUCUCUUAUCUUGAUGCUUGUUCCAUCUCCCACAGACCAACUAACGUGUGGUAAAAUUGCAUUCCUUCCGCAUAAUAAGCUUUGCCAGCCCCAUGAUGGGCGAGAACCCUUGUUAGCUUUUAAAAAAGUGGAAGAAUGGAAAUAUAAUCCCCUAAAAAGCUUGCUCCAUAAAGAUAAUGGCUGAUUCAUUAGACGCCAUGCUUGCUUACCGAGCAUGGCUUGAUUAAAACUCACUAAAUCCCUGAAUCCCAGUCCACCGAGUUCUUUUCGGUUCUGUAGAUGUUUCCAGCUCUGCCAAUGCACUCCAGAUCUGCUUGUAUCAUUACUCCACCAGAAUUUGGCCAUUCUUUUCUCAAUAACUUUACAUAAGGAGAUAGGGAUUUUAAACACAGACAUUGCAUACUGAGGGAUAGAUUGAAUAACCGCCUUUAAUAGAACUUCUUUCCCUCCCUUUGAAAUUAGCUUCUCCUUCCAUCCUUCUAGUUUCGAUUGAACUCUACUCAGCAGCCAAGAAAACAUAUCUCUUUUAGAUCUUCCCCAGUCCGUAGGUAUCCCGAGAUACUUCCCACAACGCUGUAAAACUGGUACCCGUAAUUCAGCAGCUAAAUUUUCCUGAAGAUCAACAGGGCAAGAGGAACUAAAGAAAACUCCAGAUUUGUUGCGAUUGAUUGUUUGUCCUGAUGCCAAGCAAUAUUGGUUUAAAAUGUUAGAAAGGUGCUGACACUCCAACAAGGUACCAUCUAGAAAAAACACAGCAUCGUCGGCGAAAAAAAGAUGCGAUAGAGUAGGGCACCUUAGAUUCAACUUGAUACCUUUGAGAGAGCCCAUAUUCAUAGCAUUUCUUAUUAGCAAGGAUAAGAGAUUUGCAAUGAUGAUAAACAAGUAAGGGGAUAAGGGAUCUCCCUGCCGCAGCCCACGAGUUGGCUGGAAACUCGGUAAAAACUCCCCAUUCAUUUUGAUAGAGAAAGAUGGCGUGGAGAUGCACUGCAUGAUUAGAUGGACCCAAUGAGAAUGAAAUCCCAAUCGAAGUAAAUAAUCUCGGAGAAAGUCCCACUCAACACAGUCAUAAGCUUUCUGCAUGUCUACCUUUAGAAUUGCUUUAAAAUGUCGUUUCCUUUACCUUGUUUUAAGCUGAUGAAUGAUUUCCUGUACAACUAGAACAUUGUCCUGAAUCUGUCUGCCAGCAACAAAGGCGCUCUGCUCCUUGGUGAUCAGAAGAGGCAGCAAGGGUUUCAAUCGAUUAGCAAGCACUCUAGCGAAAAUUUUAUAGACAUAGUUGCAUAAGCUAAUAGGACGAUAUUGAUCCAAGCUUUCCGGGUUAGGAGUUUUGGGAAUUAGGGUUAUAGCAGUGCUAUUUAGAGAUGGAGGUAAUGUGCCAUGCUGAAAGAAUUGAUGUACUGCUCGGUGAAUGUCCACUUUAAUGAUUUCCCAAUGCGAUCGAUAGAAUAAUCCGUUCAAACCAUCAGGUCCUAGUGCCUUUGAAGCACCUAGUUGAAAAGUAGCAACGCGAACUUCUUCAAGAGUGGGUAGAGCGAGAAGGUCUGCAUUCAUUUCUGCAUCCACCAGCUGUGGACAUUGUUCUAAGAUCUGUGCAUAAGGUCUAGGCCCUGAAGUAGUGUGUAGCUGUGAGUAAUAGAUGGUAGUCAUUUGUUUGAUAUGGUCACAAUCCCUAACCCAUUGCUGAUUGUCAUCUUUCAAGAUAGUAAUCUGAUUGCGUUGCCUUCUUUGAACUGUGGUAGCAUGGAAGAACUUAAUGUUACGGUCUCCCCACUGUAACCAAUUUAUCCUUGAUCGCAUUGCCCAAUAUUGCUCUUCCCUCUGCCAUACUCGUUGAAGUUCUGUUUUAAUCCGCUGUUGGUGAGAUUGGUUUAGUGAAGUAGGUUGCUGAUUUGAUAAAAUUUGUAACUGUUGAUCUCAUUCCAUGGCAUUUUGCCUGUUGUGGGAGAAAACCUGGCGACUCCAACGUGAUAAAGCUAUAGCAACUGCACGAAGCUUGACUAAGAGAAGAGAGUCCCUUCGCGAGACUGAGUGCCAGGAGGACUUGAUCACUGUUUGAUAGCCUGGAUCCUGGUUCCAGAAAGCCUCAAAGGUAAAGAAUCUCUUUCGCCGAGUCAAACAGGGAUUUAUAUGAAUAACUAGUGGGCUGUGAUAUGAACCUACUGCAGGUAGAGCUAUCACUUGAGCAUUCGGGUAAGAGACACGCCAUUCAGCAUUACAGACAGCUCGAUCCAAACGCUCCUUCACCAAAUCUUCGGCAUCUCUGUUGUUGGACCACGUGUAAGCACAACCAUGGGAGGGCAGAUCCAUCAAACUGCAAUCAUUGAGGACUUCUCUAAAAGAAGAAAGGCGGUAAGAGUCCGCUGGCCUAGAGCCUACUUUCUCCCAUCGGUGUAGAAUUUCAUUAAAGUCGCCAAAACACACCCAAGGUAAGACAUUGGAGCUACUAAAAUGGCGCAAGGUCUGCCAAAGAUACUGACGUUCUUGAUAAACUGCAGGUGCAUGAAUACAAGAAAUCCGCAUGGAUCUGGCAUCGGAGAUAUCGAGACAGGUAAAAUCCAAAAAAUGUGGGGAGGAGGUGAAGUCUGACAGAGAGAGCCCUGCAUUCCAAAAAAGAGCUAAGCCACCUGCAGAUCCAAUAGGGGUAACUAGUCUGUGAUGCAAAAAACCAGAAGACCUUUUCAACCGAAGGAGGACUGCAUCAACGUUUUUCGUCUCCAUCAAAAAUAACAGGUCAGGCUUUUUCUUAGCCAAGAGGGCUUUUAAGGAUAGGACUGUCAGGGGAUUGCCCAAACCCUUACAGUUCCAACCUAUAAGUUUCAUCGUUGAUUUGGUGACUGUUUAGGGCCAGCCACCGUCGCCCGUAAAACUUCUUCAGACGCCUCCAUAAUUGGCGCGUCCAACAAGAGAGAGUCAUCAUAGACCCCCGAAUGCCCUCCUGGUAAGUCAUAGGGAGUAUAGCGCCUGGGUUUCUUUGCAGGACUUAUCUUACUUACCGGUCGUAUACUUGGCCCUUUUUUUGCCUGAUUAGUUAAUGUUGGCCAUUGCACUCCUUUCAUCUUCUCUGUAGCUGGGAUUAAAGCGGUGGUUAAGGUGUGUGGCUCUGAGGGAGGGAUAGUAGAGGUGUCAAAUCUGGUCUGUGUUGAGAUUGGAGUAAUAGGAUGUGGCUGAGAGGUUGUAACAGGAAUUGGUGGUAGAAGAAGAGGAAGAGGACGAAUCUCAGUGGGAGGAGUUUCAGGUAUGGUUUCAUCUCUAUCCUCCUCCAAAAUAGAUGGGCCAUAGUAACACUGCCAGUAAGGGCUAUACUUCUGAACUUCAGCUUUUAACUAGGGAUCGUAAGGAGUAGAGUCAGUUUCUGUGAUCAUUUUCUCCUCAAAGGGAAUGGAGGGGCAAGAAUCAGUAUAAUGGCCCAGUCGUCCACAAGAAUAGCAGUAAUGAGGUAAUCUUUCGUACCGAAAAUCCAACCACAAAGUCUGAUGUGUAAGUUUAAUGAGUCGACCUACCUUCAAUGGUUCAGAUAAAUCCAACUCAACGCGAGCGCGGCAAGUUUUUAGGGCGGAACCAAUGGCAAACUCAGAUUUUACUUGCAGAACAGAGCCUACCGUGCUAACAGCCUUACGUAUCAUAUCAUCAGUACAACAUUCCAAAGGUAACCCAAACACCUGAACCCAAAAUGCACAGGUCGCAAAGUCAUAGCGGUGUAGAGGGGUAUAGGCUACCCAUGGUUUAAAAUUUAUAAGAUGUCCUGAAAAUUGCCAAGGUCCUGUGUCGAGAAUUCUCUGUUUUUCAGCUUGAGACUUAAAUUUGGCUAAAUAAAUUCCGGCUUCUCUCUGUAUGAUUUCCACUUGGUCCAACCGCCAUGCCCGCUUCAAGACUGACUGAAAAGCUUGGAAAUUAAAGGAAGGGUUGGAGUGGACUUUACUAACUAACAGUAGCUUGCAUUCCUCGACUGCACCAGAUGUGGGUUCAACUCUCCAUUCUUCAAUUGCUUUUUCUGUAGAUAAUCGGCCCAGUUUUUGACAAAGUGCAGCAAUCCAAGAUGCAUCAGGAUCAUCGUCAGUAGCCAUCGAUGAAAGGGAGGUUCGACCUAAUGGAUGGAGGUCGGUAGCAUCAAAAUUAUCAACAUGCAGAUGGAGAAAGAGGGAAAGCAAAGGGAAAAGCAGAAACCCUCUGGUGAGGGAGAAGGAAGAUGAUGUGUGGAGGGGUUAACGACGUAGACCUGUGUAGGACAAGAAGAGGACAAAAUUCUGAAGGAUUGCCAUUCGCAUUGCAAUAGAAAGCAGCUGAAGAUUGCAGAGAGGAAGGAACAAAGAAGGACUCUAUCCUGCCGAUAGAGAGGAACUCGAUAAGACGAGAGGAACUCAACAAGACGAGAUAGUUGCUCUGCAUUGUGAAGUCCUUCCAAAGCCAUUUAAAACAUGGAAUGUUGUGCUAAAUUGAUCCCGAAAUUUCAAUUUUGCACCUUUCUUUUUUUUUUUUUUUGGUUGCCUGUAAGAUUUUUCCUUUUCUAAUAUUCAACUCCCCGUUGUUGGGCCACGUGCAUCCCACGUGACUUGGUCUUCACAAAUUUUCCUCGAGGAGGACUUUGCCUUUGCCCUUUGCCCUGUAUUGUUAAGUUGUUGACUCCUCUCCGUCUCCGUGUGUCUCCAUGUUCUGAUUUUUGCCGACUCCCUUCGUUUCCCAGUAACUCGCCUUCAACCUUCCUGCAUCGACUUUGCCUUCUUCUCUUCAACUUGAGAGGUUAUAGUCGAUCUUACUCCACUGCACCCUCCCAAUUAGCUCUUUUCGCAGAGCGGUUCUCUCCUGUGGGUGAAUACAGCUGAGAGGAUCGGCCCACAGAUGGAAUUCAACGGAAGUCAGGCUCUAAUGAUCAUCCUUGCAUUGACUGUAGGAGGACUGUAUGUGCUCUGAUUGCGCUUCCGUUCGAGCUAUUGUUGGCAGUUGGCAGAUGAUGGGCAGAAAAGAAAACUUUGCUUGGGGACAACUCACGAAAUCGAAGAGGGGGGGCUCGGAGUCAACCUCGAGAACAGAUGAUGCGUCUGGAGAAGAGAACGAGGCGCUAAGGGGGGACUCGGAGUCAACCUCAAGAACGGACGAUGUGUCGGGAGAAGAGAACGAGGCAUUCAACACAUCGGGAACAGAGUACGACGUGUUCUUGAGUUUCCGGGGACCGGACACACGCAAUAAUUUCACCGAUUGCCUUUACCGUAGAUUGAGACUCGCUGGAUUCCAUGUCUUUCUAGACAACGAAGAACUCCGAGUCGGCAAAGAAAUCGGUGGAGAGCUUUUGAAAGCACUUAACAAGUCUCGAAUCUACAUACCCAUGUUCUCUCAUGAUUACGCUGCCAGCUCGUGGUGUCUCCGUGAGGUUGCGCAUAUGGAAAAAUGCACCUCAAAAUCAAAUGGGAAGAAAGAGAUACUUCCCAUCUUUUAUGAUGUGGACCCUGAUGAUGUUAAACUCAAAACCGAAUUAUACAAAAAUGCCAUAGCCAAGCACGAGGAGAAAUUCGGCCUUGAUGAAUUGAAGCGGUGGGAGGCUGCUCUCGUAAAAGUUGCACGUCUCAAGGGAUGGGAUCUUAAACGGAAAGGGUAAUCUUCUUCAAAUUUUUUGGUUCUUGUUAAUGGACGCAGUAGCUAGACUUCUCAUUUGAAGAAAUUUUGUCCUCAAAAUUUUAGGAAUAAAGCAAUGCGACAUUUUUUCAUUCUAGGAAAAAAUUAAUAGGGCAAAAAGGUCCACCUCAAUUUAAUUUAUGAGUGAAUCUGAUGACUCUUACUUGAAUCCGGUCCGAUAGGUCUAGUGAGAACUUACUAACUAAAAUCUGUUCCCCUUUUUUUGGCCCAAAAAAAAAAAAAAACUUGUUUACUUAGAUAACAAGAGAACAGUUUUACCUAUUAAGAAUAUCCAUUGCGCUUCUUUCGAUUUUGCUCAAGUCCCCGAAUUUUUUCUUUUAUCUCAGAAUUCAACUGCUACAUGAGCUCAAUCCUAUAAAUAUAUCUCAACAAUACUGGCAUGUUGCUGCAUGUUAGCAGUAUGAAAAAAAAAUAUUAAAUCUUGCUCCGUCCAUUCCAUCAAGAAUAUCUCCUCCACGUCAAUCGGCUCAUGCAUUAUCUGAAUCAUCUCUCAUACAUAAAAUUGAGUGACAUCCAUGAAAUUCCAACAUGUGUAUUAACUGAUUGUGCCGCUUAAUUUCCACGACUUAUUUAACCAUAUUGUCCCUAGAGAAAGAGAGAUCUCAUAUCCAGGAGGAUUUUUACCCUUUUCUUUCAUGUCGUUGACUAAAAUAAAAAUUUUCUAUUUUGCUGCAGCCAAGGGGAACUAAUUGACUUGGUUGUUGAAGAGGUAUUCUGUAGGCUUAAUGCCAGAUGCGUGGAUGUGCCUAAACAUCUGAUUGAAGAUCAUCCCCAGAUAAAAGCCAUAACAGAAAAGUUGUAAGUUGACUCUGAUGGUGUAUGUUUCCUUGGUUGACGGCGUUAGUUUCCUUAAUGAUGUUCGAGAGUCAUCGAAGCGUGGUCUUAUAAACUUACAAAAAAAGUUAUUAUCAAGUUUUGUUGGUUCUGUGAUUAAUGACCAAAUUAAAGAGAUUGAGGAUGGGAUCCGUUGGAUCAAGAAAGUAUGUAAUACUAAAAAAUGCCUCAUUGUUCUUGAUGAUCUAGACAAAAAAGAGCAACUCGAAAAGCUAGCUGGAGAAUCUGAUUGGUUUGGUUCUGGUAGUAGGAUCAUUAUCACAACCAGGGACAAAAGUAUCCUGAUGACUCAAGUGGAAUCAUCUAAUGAACAAGGCCAAAAUCAAACCAAAGGAAUUUUGGCAUAUGAAGUUCGUGAGAUGGAAUAUGGUCGAGCACUUCAGUUAUUUUGUAAGCACGCAUUCAGAAGAGACUCUCCUGUAGAAGGAUAUGACCAUCUUGCAGAGAAAAUUGUCCGUAGAGUAGGGAUGCUUCCUUUGGCUAUUGAGGUGAUAGGUUCAUCUCUUUAUUGUGAGGGCUUGGUCCUGGAGGAACAUCUUGAUAAAAUAGAGUUAUGGAAAGACACAUUGAAGCAAUUAGAUGAAGGUCCUCACAAGGAUGUCCAAGAUGCAUUAAUGAUAAGUUAUGAUCGAUUGGAGCCUAAGAACAAAGAAGUAUUUUUAGAUAUUGCUUGCUUUUUCACCAAUGAGGACCAAACAUAUCCAAUUAUCAUGUGGCGUGACCGUAAUUACCAUCCUUACCAUGCAAUUAGUAUUCUCCUCCUGUGGUCCUUGAUAAAAACUAGAGAUGGUAAAAAGUUUUGGAUGCAUGACCAAGUUCGAGAUCUGGGAAGGUACAUUGUCCUCGAAGAAUAUCCUUGCAAAGAAAAUCCUCACAAAUUUAAUAGGGUAUGGAUUCAAGAGGAUGCUUUAAAGCUAUUGGAGAGAAAAGAGGUAAAUGGAAGAGUAUGUCAUACAAUAUUUAUUUGGAAAGAGAAACUCGUUGAAUUUUUUCUUUUAAUUUACAGUUAGCUUUGUUUAACUUCCCAUUUGUCUUCUUAGUGAGGCAGCUCUCUUUCAAACAUUUGGGUCAAAAGGUCUUGUAAAUAUGUGGAGAGAGACAAGAUAGAUUGCCUAAUAGUUAGCUCUGUUUUCUUGAUUCUGUAGAGUAGAAAAUAGCUUUUGGGAAAUUCUGAAACAACAAAGGACCGAUUCACGUGCUAUCCGAGCAAAGGCAGAAGAAAACUUGUAUGAAGAAUUUUUAAAUUACUUUCAAACAUAAUUACACAAAAAACUAAAAACUAUGAAGAUUGGAUUUGACAUGGCAAUUAUAUUUCUUGAAAAGUAGAAAAUGAGAAAGGGAGAAUAAAUUUAGGAUAAAUGUUCAAAUGGAGCUGAAAUUUUCUGUUAGUCAUGUGAACAAAACAUAUUAAGUCAACUUAGGAGAAGUUGUGUGCCAGGUUGGUUUCCUAUAGGAGAAAUUGUUUACCAGCGCUCAUAUGCUUCUUUCUUUAUAGCUUUUCGAGAGUUUAAAGUUUUAUGAACUCAAUAAUCUUGAGUCUCUGGUGGCAGAGAAAUCCAGAUGUAGAAGCAUUAAGCCUGACUUCCAAUGGCUGUAGCCGCAACUUUACACCUAAAGAGUUUGCCGCUCUACCAAAUCUAAGGUUCCUUCGAUUGAAAGAGUCUGAUUUUUGUGGCGACUUCAAGAAUCUUCUUUCGGAGCUAAGAUGGCUUUCUUGGCAAACAUGGGAAACAACUUUCCAUGCGAAUAACUUUCACUUUAGCAAUUUGCUUGUGCUUGACCUUUCAGAUAGCAAUAUUAGAGAUGGUUGGGGUGGGUGGAGCCAAAUGAAGGUAUGAUUUGCCUUACUCUACAUACUUCUUUCUGGUCAUUUCCUCAUUUGCGAUAAUAGAAGCAACAUAUAUUCUUCACUUCUUUAUAUCAUUACCUCAUGCAAUUUACCCAAUGGUUGGAUGCACUCCUCAUUCUAUUUGAGUAUAGAACAUAUUUUGCAGGAGUAAAUCCCAAAUCUUUUCAUAUCAUAGUAAAAUACAAUUAUGUCCCACAUAGAAAAUGCCUCAUGUGGAUUACAACCUUGGUUUUUUAGCUCUGAAAGUUGCUUAAGCUUUGGAAAUGGCAUAUUCCAAUAAAAUUAGCGUAUUCCAAUAAAUGUAAGUGCCAUUUUGCUUCAAUAUGCACCAGAAUAUGAUUUGAAUGACGUAAACUUUGAGUCAAGUUGAGUUAGAAAAGUCAACUGGAAUCAAGUUUGAGAUUGGUAACAUUUAACUUGAUGGUUUAUUUGGAAUAGCUAAGUUGAUUAUUUGAAUCAAGGCAAGCUUGAGCUUCAUAAUAUUUGAUUCAAGCGGCUCACUAGCCUAAUUUAAUAGCUGAUUGUCCAUGUUUUGUUUAUGAUCUAUGUUAUGUUUAUGAUUACGUUACUGAACUGUAAAUAAAUGAAAAUUCCAUUACUUUUACUUUUCUAUUUUACCUGAGUUAAUGAGCGAAGGCUCAAGCUUUACAUUGAAUCAAAUCAAAUCUCACACGGGGGUUGAAUGCGGUGAUGUUGAAGAUUGUUGUCCAAGGUGGUGUGCUGGUGGUCAAUGGCAGUGGGUGGAGAAAAACUAGGGGUGCUGGUAUUUAGUGCUUGUGGGUGAUCUGGGAAUUAGAGUCUUCUGUAUUUUCGUAGCAAUGAUACUUUAGCCUUUUGUUUAUGGACUUUUGUUAUAAGAAGGGAACUAAGGGUUUUUGAAAAUAAAGCACGUGAAGUAAAAGGUGGGAUGGUCCUUUGUUACCUGUGGCAUAAAUGUGACUCCUAACAGGGGCCUAACUCCCAGGUCGGGGAUUUUUCUAAAAAAAUUAAAGUAUGAGAGUUAUUUGCAGCAACCCUAAAAAUACUGGGAAAUUCAAAUUACCUAGAUUAUCCUAAAUAAUGACUUAUGAAUAAUAAGCUUCUUAGUAAUAUUACGACACAUGCUGAUGUUUCUCAUUUAUUUUUUCAUGUUGACUUUUUUCUGCAGAUGGAUAGAUUGAAGAUUCUAGAUCUGACGGGUUGCGCAAGGUUAAAAAAGACACCCUAGUUCUCUAAUUUCAUGGCUUUUGAGAAGCUAAUUCUUGCUAGGUGUGUCGAGUUAACCACAAUUGACCGCUCCAUUGGUAAGCUAGAACACCUAACUUCUUUGAAUAUCAAGGGAUGCAGGUUGCUUGGGGAGUUACCCGAAGAAGUCGGUGCUCUACAAUCUUUGACAAAGGUUAUCAUGCCCCAAACUUUUCAAUGCUUCAAACUUUUGGAGGCAUUUGGCAAUCUGAAAUCUUUGUUGAGUUUGAUAUUAGACGAGCACCUUGGAAUCAGCCAACUUCCAAGCUAUAUUGGAGGGUUAGUGAAAGUUACAUAUUUAUCUUUACGUUGGUGUAUGGGGAUAGAGAAGCUUCCAUGCUCUCUUGGAAAAAUGGAAAUGUUGGGCGAGUUGGAUUUAUCAAUGUCAGGAAUAGUUGAACUACCUGAUUCCAUUGGAGAUAUGAAGAAACUAAAAGUCAUUAGAGUAAGCUAUACAAUGAGAAGAAAGUUUCCUCAUACGAUUGGACAAGUGGAGAUGCUUGAAGAGUUACAUGCCAAGAAAUGUUGGGAUUAGACAGAUGAAAAUCUAGAGGAAAUUGGGAAGCUAUCCCAUUUGAAGAUAUUGGACUUAUCAUAUACUCAUGUAUCUAGAUUCUCCACGGUGCUAGGUUGUCUCUCUCAUCUCCACACACUUGAAUUGGGUUCGAGUGACCUUCAGGAGGUACCUGAUCUUCCCUCAAGUUUGACACGCCUUCACAUGCAAGCAUGUCAGUUCCAAUCUAUCCUUGACCUCUCAAGUCUCGUUAAUUUAGAUUAUCUGGAAUUAUCUAGAUUAACUGUUUCAAGAGAGAAACCUGACCCAAGUUGGACAAACAAUUUGCCAGUUAAACAACUGAUCCAUCCGCUUCCAAGUGGCUUGUCAACUUUGAAAUGCAGGGGCAUCAUGCUACUACCAUCUCUUUCCAACUUGAGAAAAUUAUCAGUUCUGUGUGUCAUUGAAUAUCCAAUGCCAUACUUCUCUAUCUCUCAGGAGAAAAUACAUUUAACAGAAUUGAAACUAAGUAAGUGCAAAUUUGUUGAGAUAAUAUAUGUGUCAUGCUUGAAGAAUCUACAGCACCUGGAACUAAACAGAUUGGACAGGCUGGUUAAGAUUGAAGGUUUGUUAGAAUUGGCAUCCUUGUUGUACUUUCGUAUUUCUGACUGCUAUAGGAUAAAAAGGUUACCCAACUUAUCAAAGUUAGAUAAGCUACAACACAUUGAGCUAGAAGCUUGUCCAAAAAUAAAAGCGAUUGAGGGCAUCAAGGGCUUAGAAAGGUUGGUGUGGGAUAAUCGUGGUUGCAUUGUACUAGAGAGAUUGCUGGAUGUCUCAAGAUCGACUUGGAUUUCCCGCAAAACACCAGAGUGCCAGGUUUCCUGAGUUUUAAUGGACCGGACACUUCUUAUAGCAUUGUCGAUGUCCUUUACAAGAAUUUGGUUUGUAACCAAAUUUCGGUUAUCAGGGAUGAUGACAUAUUGAGCUUUGGUGAUGGAAUUGGUGAAGAGCUUCCGCAAGCACUCAACGACUGCCAUAUCUACAUACCCUUCUUAUCUAAGAACUAUGCUUCUAACUGGUGGUGUCUCCGUGAAUUAGCCCACAUGGUAAAAUGCAUGUCAAACUCACAUGGGAAAAAAGUAAUCCUGCCCAUUUUCUAUGAUGUGGAGGUUGAUGAUGUUAAUCUUAAAAGCGCUUUGUACAGAAGUGCCCUAGAUAAGCAUAGGUGGAAAUUUGGCAAUGAAGUGGAGGAAUGGGAAAUGGCUCUAAGACAGAUUGCGCACAUAAGGCGGUUCAACAUGAAUGGUAACAGGUAAUGCUGCUAUCUUUUAUUAACCGGACCAAAUUGAACUUUAGCACCAUAGAAUUUCAUGAUAAAAAAAAUGUAAACUUCUGCACAGAAACAGUCGAGGACACUCAAGUGAUUUCUUAUGCUUUGUAUGAAAGAGUUUCUUAGGUCGGUGAAGAAAAAGAAGGCAAAGAAAUUUGAGGUGAAGAAAAUGUUUUCUUUGGGUUGGCUGGAGUUGUAGGGUGCGGAGGUGAAGAUAGUGUAGGGAUAUGAAAAUGAAGAAUGAAAAUUGAAAAUUGGCAUAUAUAUUUCUUUGUAUUUUGACUUCUAUGAAGUUAAUUUGUUUGCAACGCCCGAUAAAAUUCGUUUUCUGAACGAUGUAUCCAGACGAUGUAUACAGAAAGCCUAUUGUUAAAGCAGAGAAGGUUGCCUGGGCUGGACAUCUCAUUCUCCUAUGAAAAUUGAAGGAUUUAGAUAGGCUUUGGAUAAUUACUAUAUAAUCCUUCACAAUUUUGUCAAUUUUUAGUACUUUUGAGAAUUCAUUUGGAAAUGAGAGAAAAAAGUGGGAAUUUCUCCCCUGCUUUCUUGACACCUCGGCGAGAAACAUAGUUGGUUGACUUGGCAAAAAUUUAUUUUACUUCCAUAUCAGCAUCUGCAUUUUAGGAUUCAACCCAGACAUGGUAAAUUCUUUCCACUCUGAAUCUUGCUUUCCAAACGGAGUGUUUUUGUUUAGGAUACAACUAAAGAAUAGAAAACAAGGCACUCAAAAAGAACGAAGAAAAUUUCUAUAAAUGGAGAAAAAGGGUGAUUUAAAAUUAAUCUAGUAAAUUGAUUUAAAUUUUCACAAGAUGUAAAGAAGUUCGUUGGAGUUUAGAACACGUAUGAGAUUCAUGAGGUAAAUCAUUUAACUCUCUUGGCCAUUUUAAGUUUCCGAUUUAUCGUUGGUUUGAUGUUACACAAUUAUCAUUUUUUCUUAUUGAGGUAACAUAGUGUAUAAGCUUCUGUAGAAUUUUCUAAUAAUCUUUGAGUUGAAAGUCGUUUUGAGUGCAUUUUAUGAUAUAAAGUAAUGAUAAAAGGUGCUUUGAAAUAAUCACUUCAAUUGUCUCCAUAACAGGAACAUAAAAGGUAGUGCAAAAGUGUUAAUCCAGAAUAAAUGCAGUGGUUCCUGGAGUGAAAUGAAAUUAAUGAGUCUUAAAUUUAUGUAUAGAUGGAGUGACUAAGAAUGAUCAAUUUUAAGCAUAUAUACAUUGUGAAAAAUUUGAUAACACCUUUCAAGAGCCAGAAAAAUUGCUAAAAAAAUUAGAUAACAUCCUCCAAGAGCGAGAAAAAUUACUAAAAAAAUCAUAAACCUAUUACAAUUGUGUUAAUUAAGUCUUAAACAUUAUUUUUUUGGCCAAUUGAGUCCUAAAUCAUUUGCAUUUGAGUCAAUUCAAUCUAUAUGGCCAAUUUUGGUUGGCUAGCUCUAACAUGGAUGUGAUGCGGCCGAUGCUAAAGUAGACAAUUUUUAAUAAUAUUUUAAUACUUUUUUUGAUUUUUUUGUUGAUUUUUUUGAAUUUAUUUAUUUUCUUUCACUUUUUUUUCCCUUCACUUCUUACUCCAGCUAGUCACUGGACCUUGACAAUCAGCCAAAGGCGAGGGCCGGUGAGCUUGUUGACCUUGCCCAGGCUGCCUAUGUGGUUGGUGAGGCAAGGUUGAGACUUGCCUAGCCACUAGUGAGACCCAAGCCAUCGUCAGAGCUGCUAGGUUGAAGGCUGUGACCUCUUGCAAGGGCAAGUCUUGCGUAGCCCAGCCCAGCCUAAGCCGCCCUCGUGGCCUUUGGCGAGCGCAACCCCAUGGGGCAAGGCUGAUAAAAUCAACCUUGCCGACCCUCGCCUCUAGUUGGUCGUCGAGGUCUAGUGACCAACUGGAAGAGAAAGAAAGGGAAAGACAAAAAAAAAAAAAAAAAAGAGAAAAGGAAAAAGAAAUGAAAAUAACUAAAUAAAUAGUUUGAACUAUUAAAAUAUUAUUAAAAAUUGUUCACAUUAGUGUUGGUUGUGUCAUAUACGACAGCUGGUAUCUAUGUUAGUGCCAACUAGUCAAAAUUAGCUGGAUGAACUAAAUUGACACAAAUGUAAAUAUUUUAAGACUCGAUUGACAAAUAAUAAUAAUAAUAAUAAUAAUAAUAAUAAUAAUAAUAAUAAUAAUAAUAAUAAUAAUAAGUUUAAGACUAAAUUGACACAAUUGUAAUAGAUUUUGGAAUGUUUUGGUAAUUUUUCUUCCAAGAGCCUGCCAUUGAAUGAUAAACUGAAUUUUGCAACAACCAAUGUAGAAUUGUCGAUGUGAUGGUUUUUUCUACCUUGGAAUGUGCCCUUCAACCAAAAAGAAGAUCAAGUCUUUGAAUUAUAAUUAUUCAUGUAUUUGUUAUGUAUUAUGUUUUUAUUAUUUUGUACCCUUGGAAGGGGGUGUGUAAUGGGUUAAAGUGGUAUUUUUUAUUAUUUAAUUUUGUGUCCAAUGCUCCUUGCCUUCUUUAAUUCAAAUAAAAAUAAAUAAAAUACAUAAGAAGACAAAAUUUCCACCACUAACCUCAGGAUUAAUAUGAUUUUAUUAAUAAAAAAUAAUUAAAAGUUAAAAAGUUAAAUGAUGAAAAAAAGGGAAAAUUUUCAAUAAGGGUUCGAAGUGCCCUCGAUUUCUAAAAUGAGGACAUGAAGUAAAUAUAUCUCAAAUAGAAAUAUGAAGUACUUUCAUUUUCUCAAUAAGGGCAUGGAGUGGCCAUGUUAGUCUCAAAGAAGGAGUAAAACCUCAUCGACUGGUGAGAGCAUUUUCAUAAUUUACUUUUUCUUAUUUUCUUUCAUUUUUCUAUUAUUUUAUCUCCAGCCCUCAAGUGGGAGCGCUGGACCUGCCCUCUUGUCUGGUUUUUUGUUUUUAAUUUUUAUUUUUUUAGAAUUAGUCUUUUUUAUGGAAAAAAUAGAAAAAGGAAAAAAGAAAGCAAAAAAGGGAAGAAAAUAAGAAAAUAUAACGGAUAGAAAUGCCCUAGACCAGUCGAUGAAGUGAGGUCCUUCUUUGAGACUGACAUGGCCAUUUAUAGUCCUUAUUUGAAGCAAGGCUCACUUCAGGCCCUUUUUUUGAGAAAUAGAGAGCACUUCGGACUCUUAUUUGAAAUUUCCCUAAAAAAAAAGAUAAAUAAGUAUGAAUAUUUAGGAAAAAUUAUCUGAUAUGGUUAUUACUUAAAGGCCAAGUGACAGUAAAUCUCUAUAUUUUUAACACUCUCCAAUUUUAUCCUAACCUUUAAACCUAUCAGAAAAGUAGCCAAAUCUCUCUAAGUUGUAUCAAAACUAUUCCAAUCCAUUUAAUACCAUUUAUGAGAGGAAUAUUCGGUUAGAUUCUUUCUCGACUUUCAAUUUUGCCUAUAGAAGAAGAAGAUUUAUCUAGUUCUAGUAUUCAAGGGAGGACAUUUAAGGGAAAAUAAUGUAACGGAUGCAUAAGGGAGAAUAUUUAUUUAUCUUCAUAUCAGCUAAUUUUUGUUUAUUAAAUGUAUUUACAAAUUUUUGAUAUGGAGAAAAAGUGAAAAAUUAGGUUCUUCUAUGCAAUAUUCAGAUAGAUCUAGUGUGAACUUACCAAAUAAUAUUUGUUCACUUUUUUACGCCAAAAAUAAAACCUUUUCACGAAGAAAAUAAUAAAACAGUUUUACCUAUAAAGAAUAUCUAUUGUGCUUAUCACUUUGGAUUUUAUGAAAAAAUCCGAGCAUUAUGAAAAAAAAUAUAAUUUUCUUAAGUUUUGUUAAUCUUACUACAUCCAUUCCAUCAAGAAUGUAUACUUCAUAUCAGUCAGCUCAUGCAUUAUCUAAAGCAUCUCCAAUACAUCAAAUUGAGCGGCUUUUCAUGAAAUUCGAGUGUACGUGUCAGCUUACUAUUGUGCUUAAUUUCCAUCCAUAGAAACUGAAACGGUUGACUUAUUUAACCAUGGGAUCGUCAUAUCCGAAAGAAAUUUAUACCCGUCUUUCAUGUCAUUGACGAAAAACGUAUUUCUUGCUUUGUUGCAGCCAUGGAGAACUAAUUGAAUUGUUAGAGAGGUUUCACACAAGCUUAGGGGCAAAAAUGUGGAUGUCCCUGAACAUUUGGUUGAGGAUCACAGACAUAUAGAAGCGAUAAUAGAUAAAUUGGAUGUUGACUCUGGUGGUGUGCGUUUUGUUGGGAUACAUGGAAUGGGUGGUAUCGGUAAAACAACACUUGCGAAGGUUGUGUUCAACAAAUUACUUUUUCAGUUUGACAGUGUUAGUUUCCUCCACAAUGUUCGAGAAUCGUCCCGACAUAGUCUUGAUGGUCUUGUAAACUUGUAGAAAAAGUUAUUAUCGAAUCUUAUUGGUUCUGGAGAUACUAUCUGAAUCAAAGACAUAGGUGAUGGGAUGGCUCAAAUCAAGAGAGUAUGUAGGACUAAAAAGGUUCUCAUGGUUCUUGAUGAUCUAGACAAGAAAGAGCAACUCCAAAAGCUAGCCGGAAAAUCUGAUUGGUUUGGUUCGGGUAGCAGGAUCAUUAUCACAACUAGGGACGAAAGUAUCUUGAUGACUCAAGUGGAAUCAUUCGGUGAAGUGGUCCUAAAUCAACCUAAAGGAAUUUUGGCUUAUGAAAUUUAUGAAAUGGAAUUUGGUCGAGCAAUUCUAUUGUUUAGUGAGCACGCAUUCAGAAGAGACGAUCCCAUAGGAGAAUAUGAGCAUCUUGCAGAGAAAAUUGUCCGUAGAGUGGGAAUGCUUCCUUUGGCUAUCGUGGAGAUAGGUUCAAGUCUUCGUUCCAGUCAAAAAAUUGCAGAAUGGGAAGAUAGGUUGAUGCAGUUAAAUAAAGGUCCUUUGAAGGUUGUCUGCGAUGCAUUUUAUGAAGGAUUAGCAGAUGAGGAAAAAGAAGUAUUUUUGGAUAUUGCUUGCUUUUUCACCAACGAGGACCAAACUUAUCCAUAUAUCAUGUGGGAUGACUAUCAGAGUGCAAUUAGUGUCCUCCUCCAAUAGUCCUUGAUAAAAAUUAGAAAUGAUAAAUUUUGGAUGCAUGACCAAUUACGAGAUCUGGGAAGGAAAAUCAUAGUUGAAAAAUAUCCUCACGAAUGUAGGAGGGUGUGGAUUCAUGAGCGUGUUGUUGCAAUGCUAUGGGACAGAAAAGAGGUAAAAUGGAAGACUAUGUCACAUUAUUUUUAUUUGGAAAGAGAAACUUCUUGCAUUUUUGCUUUCAUUUUAUUGUUAGCUUGUUUAACUUCCCAUGAGAGCUCUCUCAAACAUUUGGGUCAAAAGAUCUUUUAAAUAGGUGGAGAGAGACCAAUUUUUCUUUUUUCUAGAUUUGUUGAGUAGUACAUUGUUUUCUGGAAGUUCUGAAACAACAAAGCGCCGUUUCACGAGCAAUCUGAGAAAAGUCAGAAGAAAGCUAGUGGUAUGAAGAGUUUUUAACUUACUUUCAAACACAAUUAGAGAAAAAAAAAACUAUGAAGAUUGUAAUUAAUAUGCAUAAUAUUUUUCUUGAAUUGUAGAAUAUGGAAAAUGGACAAAUGAUUUAUAAGAUAUCUUCAAAUGUAUGCUUAACUAAUCUUGAGUCUCUGUUGGCAGAGAAAUCAAGGUCCGGAAGCCCUGAGCCCUGAGCCGUAUAGAGACUGAAUUCUUCAGUCUCUAUACGGCUGAAGAAUUAGCUGCUGCAUCAAAAUUAAGGUUCCUUAUAAUGAAAGGCCUAGAUGGCAUCUUUGAUAAUCUUCUUCCGAAGCUAGGAAGGCCUUUUGGGGAAACAUUGGGGACGGCUUUUCAUGCAAAUAACUUUCACUUCAGUAAUUUGGUCAUGUUUGACCUUUCAGAUAGCAAUAUUGGAGAUGGCCGGGAUGGAUGGAGCCAAAUGAAGGUAUGAUAUGCCUUACUCUAUGUACUUCUUUCUAUCAUCACCUCAUUUGCAAUGAUAGAAGCAAGACAUAUUUUACUUCUUUGCAUCAUUACCCCAUACAAUUGACCUAAAGGUUGCAUGCACUCCCCAUCUCGUCUGAGUGUAGAAUAUAUUUUUCAUGAAUCAAAGUAAAAUAUCCCACAUAAAAAAUGCUCCAUGGGGUUUAUAACCUUGAUUUUGUAGUUAUGAAAGUUGCUUACUUAGGAUUUGGAGUUGGUGUACUCUUAUAAAGUAGCCGUUUUGCAUCAAUAAGUUGAUGAUUUAAAUUAAGGCGAUCUUGACCAUCAAGAGACUUUAUUCAAGGGGCUUACUAACCUAAUUUAAUAGUUAAGUGUUUCUUUAUAAUUACAUUAAUGAACUGUCAAAUAAAUGAAAAUUACAUUGUCUAUGCUUUUGUAAUUAAUUCGAGUUAAUGAGCGAAGGCUAGAGUAUUACAUUGAAUCUAGUUUUUAACCACAACGUCAAAUCAAAUCUCAGAGAAAUCUAUGGUAUAGAUUCGGGGUGGAGAACAGAUGUGAUGGAGUGCCUUUUCCAUUUUUAAAAUUAAUUUUAAGUCAGUUUUUGAGCUACAAAAAUUGUGUGAAAUCAAUUUAGCUCGAUUGGGUACCCUCCCCACUAACAGUUGCCAUUUAGUCACUUCUUGUGAUCUUUCUACAAUUUUUCAACUUAAAAUGGAUGCUCCUAUUAAGUUGAAGGUAGAAUGCCCAAAAUCAUUCUCACCUUUUAUAUCAACUUCACUUUGCAUCAUUCAAUUUUGUUAAUUUUGGUUGUUAACGUGCAAGUGUGAGUAUGCGUGUAGGCUAUUAUGCAAAUACCUAUUUUACAAAUAUCUUAUGCACACUAGAUUUUCCUAGAAAUUGCAUUGAUUAUUUUAACAAUUUUUUAAUCCAUCACUUUAUAUCUCUGACUAUUAAGUAGGCUUUACAUUACACUUGAGAGAGGGGGGGGGGGGGAGGGAGGGAGAGAGAGGUAGAGAUUGUGGUCGGAGGUGGUGUGCUGGUGCCCGGUGGCGAUGGGUGGAGAGAAACUUAGCGUGUUGUUAUUUGGGGUUUGUGGGUGAUUUGGGAAUUAUACCUUUUUGUGUUUUCAUAGCGAGGAUACUUUAGUCUUUUGGCUAUGGAGUUUUGUUCUAAGACACAUACUUCUGCAAAUGGCAAAAAACCUGAAAGUUUUGGACCUGACAAACUGCAAAUGCUUAACAAGGACACCUGACUUGUUUGACUUCCUAGAUUUGGAGAUAUUGAUAUUCGCUGGCUGCUCCAAAUUGAUUACAGUUGAUUGCUCCAUUGGUAAGCUACAGCUCUUAAAAACUCUCAAUAUGGAUAGAUGUGACUCUGUUGAGGAGUUGCCUGAAGAGGUUGAUUCUUUAGAAUUUGACAGAGUUCAUCAUCUCUGGAUCUUCUAAAUUGGUCACACUCAUGGAGAGUGUUGGCAAUUUGAAAUCUUUGUCAAGCUUCAGUGUAAAUUAUUGCAAGGGAAGCAACAAACUCUUGAACUCUAUUGGAGGAUUAACAAGAAUCACACAUUUCUCUAUAAAAGGAUGUGAGAGGAUAAAGAAGCUCCCGCACUCUCUCGGAGGAUUACAAUCAUUGGUCGAGUUGGAUUUAUCAUUCUCAAGAAUAGACAGUCUCCCCAAUUCCAUUAGAAAUCUGAAGAAACUCAAAGCCAUCAAGAUGGGACAUACAAAGUUAAAAAGGUUACCAAACGCAAUUGGACAACUAGAAAUGCUUGAAGAGUUACAUUGCCCAGAGUGUCCGGAUCUAUCAGGCAAAGUCCCAAAUGCUAUUGGGAGUCUUUUCCAUUUGUGGAUCUUGGACUUGUCAUGUACUCGUAUUUCUAGUUUGCCAGACACGAUCACUCAUCUCUCUCGCCUAGAAGAGUUACAUGUCCGGGGUUGUGGGGAUCUAAUGGAUGAAAUCUUAGAUGCAAUUGGCAGACUAUCCUGCUUGAGGAUCUUGGACUUCUCUCAUACUCCUAUUUCUAGAUUGCUUGCCACGAUCACUCAUCUCUCUCACCUAGAAGAGUUACAUGUCCAAGGUUGUUGGCAUCUAGGUGAAAUCCUAGAUGCAAUUGGCGGACUACCCCACUUGAGGAUCUUGGACUUCUCUAAUACUAUUAUUUCUGCUUUGCCUGCCACGAUCACUCAUCUCUCUCGCCUAGAAGAGUUACGUGUCCAAGGUUGUUGGCAUCUUAUAGGUAAAAUCUCAAAUGCAAUUGGCAGACUAUCCCGCUUGAGGAUCUUGGACUUCUCUCGAACUGGUAUUUCUGGUUUGCCUGUCACAAUCACUCAUCUCUCUCACCUGGAAGAGUUACAUGUCCAAGGUUGUUGGCGUCUUACAGGUGAAAUCCCAUAUGCAAUUGGCAGACUAUCCCGCUUGAGGAUCUUGGAAUUCUCUAAUACUUUUAUUUAUGCUUUGCCUGCCACAAUCACUCAUCUCUCUCACCUAGAAGAGUUAUGUGUCCAAGAUUGUUGGCAUCUUAUAGGUGAAAUCCCAUAUGCAAUUGGCGGACUAUCCCACUUGAGGAUCUUGGACUUCUCUAGAACUAGUAAUUCUGGUUUGCCUGUCACGAUCAGUUGUCUCGCUUGCCUCAAAGAACUUGUGUUGGGGGGCUGCCGGGAGCUUCAACUAGUGCCACAGCUUCCCUCGAGUUUGAUAAGCCUUAUCCUUGAUGCUUAUCAUUGUGAAAUCAUCCCAAACCUCUUUAACUUAGUUACUUUAGGUCACCUGAACUUGUCUUUUCAUACGUAUGAUCUCGAGGCUCCUCACCAGUCAGAGGAAAUUCUGUCCCCUUGGAAGAUUGUAGAAUCCAUCCAUCGGCUUCCAUCUAGUUUGUCAACUUUGCAUCUCACAGGUAUAUUGCCACCGCAGCGGUUCUCCAACUUUAGGAACCUGUCAAGUCUCUCCAUUUCUAAAUGCUCAAUGGCACAUCUCCCAGUGCUUGAACACUUGGAGAAGUUGAGGAAAUUGUCUAUAGAAGACUGUCCAUCCCUCGAGAGAAUUCCUGAUCUAUCAUGCUUGAAGAAUCUAGAAACUUUGUGUCUGUCUACAUUGGGAAGUCUUGUGGAGGUACAAGGUUUGGGCGAGUUGGAAUCGUUGGAGUCACUAUAGAUUAUCUGGUGUGAGUCAUUAGAUGGAUUACCUCAACUAUCAAAGUUGGCAAAGAUCAAACUUUUUUGGCUAGACAACUGCCAAGUGCUACGGGCUGUCGAGGGUCUCAGUCCCUUACAAUGUUUGAAGCAUUUGACUAUCAUGGGUUGCAUGUCCCUGGAAAGGUUGCCUGAUUAUCCGAGAUGGACUGAGCUAGACACCGAUUGGAAAGCACCAGAAACAUCGAGUGCUAAUUAGGAGUGGCCAAGAACGUCAGGCCCUGCGUCUAUAUCAGGAGCUAGCAUCAAUCAAUGCGUUACCUAGAUUUUGUACCCUUGUAAGUCUUGUCUCUCCAUUUAUUUGUGCAGAGUGGGCUCCUGAUAACGAAAUACGUGGCUUGUCCAUAUAUAUUAGUUUGUCCCACAAAUUCAUUAACGACGAUGAGCAUUUCAUUCUUCAUUUCUUGAUGAGAUGCACAUGAACUGUUUUAGAAAAGUUUCAUAUCGGAAAAUUAAUAUGAUGUGAAGUAAUUAAUAUAUCCUAAUAGAUCCACAAUUCAUUACCUUAAACUUUUUACUGAAGGUGGAUUUAACUACAUAUGUCAAUGAACUUAGAUUUUGGCUCCCUCCCGGGUUAAGGUAUCAGAAAUUCGUGUCUUCUUCUCUUACUUUCGUGCUCCUAACACUCCUAUCCAUUCCUUGCUUUUAUAACUUUUAUCAAUAUAGUAACGUGCGUAUAUCAUACAUUAAAUUGUCCAUGACUUUGUUAUAGGUUUUACAUGAUAUGUUUAUCAUCCUAGUGAAAAGUUAGAUUAAUGGUGGGAAAUAAUGAGGUCAGAUGGAUUGAAUUGAUAUAUAUGCUAAACAUUUAAAAAUUAUUUGGCAAAAAAAAAAAGUUCAAAACUGAAUUGAUACUAUUGCAAUAAAUUUAUGAUUUUUCCUUUUAUAUAAUUUCCUCAAACAAAGUCCUCAGCAAUAGAUUUGUAAAGCCAACAACGAGUCAUGCCUCUACCACUUCCAAUGUGCGGUUUGAUCCAUGUGAAAGCCGGAUACAAAAUUCUUAUAAAAGGUAUGAGUGACCUUAAACAAAGCUUUUUAAGGAAUUGCUCCUUGCAAUGAUUAUGAUUGGGUGAUGCUCAGUGUAAUAGUAUAUGUGUGUAUUUCCUCUUGAAUAUUGCUCAUCCUAAGGCAUCAUGACAAUUCUUGCUCAGAACUCUCUCUAAUCUCUCGCUGUUUUUGCUAUUUGCGUUUGUGUGAAACAGUUUCAUUUGCUUUAAAUUUAAACUCAGGCCAGCCGUUGACCACAUUAGGUCCAAGCCAAGGGUUAAAAGCUUGAAUUUGUCUACAACUGGUUACUUACCUCACAAACCGAUAAUUCAAAUGUUCAAAUUAAGGCUUACCUCAUAUUCUUAUCAUUUCGUGCUCAUACAAAUCUGUAGUGCACUUCUCGGCUGUUCCUUAACAUUGCUGCCACUUGCCCAGAUCUUAUUCCUUUGAAAACCUACCAUGUUUUGACUAUUUUUGUGCACUGCUUGUGGCAUCCUAAAAUCUCGUGACAACCUCUAGAGUGCCAUGAACCAUGAUUAGGUAAUGGAAGUGCCGUUUGAUUUUGCAUUAGCCAUUGAGUUAAUGAAUUUCAAUUAAUUUAAGGCCGAGCAUUGUAAAGGAUGAUUGUUUGGAUGGAGGUGUGUCUUCAAGUGACCCAAGGAUUUAUUAAAGUGCAAAUUGAUAUAGAAAUCUUAUUCUUGGUGGUGCACUUUAUAAGUAGAAUUUUAUUGAUUUAAAUUAUAGAGUUUGUGGGCUUAUAAGUUGAAAUUAGGAGUUUAUUUAAAUAAGGGUUAAAUGGAAUAGGAAUAGGAGAGGGUGGGCUGAUUUUUAGGCCCAAAAGACCAUCCAACCAGCCCACGCCAGCCCCUUGGUCGACUGGCCCAUGAAGGCCCAAGACCGGCCCAAACCUUGAAGCCCAUAAGCCUUGCAUGCGAGCUGCCAAGUGGCAUGGAGGUUGAGCAAAGUGUGGCUGCCCCCAUUGGCUCCUUUGGGCGGCUGCAUGCAAUCAAAUCAUUGAAGGGGAGGAAAGAAAAGGGAUGGAGAGCUCGAGAGGGAGAGGGGUGUCCAAAGAAAGAAGAGAGAAAGAGAGGAAGAGGAGACGCUGUCGAGCCCGCCUAGUCCCACCGUCGUUAUUGCUGUGUUUUCCUUCAAUUUGAGGCAAGUGAAGUCCUAAAACCUACCCUUUGCAUUUCUGUGUAUAUGUGUAGUAGAUGGUAAGUUUUGGUUGUGGUAGAUAGGAUGAAAUUUCGGAGCUAUGGAGAGAGAUUCGUUGGCCAUGCAUACUGUUUCUGGAAAGACCAGUUUGACCGUCCAUGAGAUUGUGUGUUGCAUGUGACUUUUUAGUCAGAAUCUUGUUUCAAUUUCUUCAUGAAAUUUGUAGCGAACACCUUGAAGAACAACAUACAAAAAUUUGAGGCAAAACGGACAAGAAAUGGUUAGUGAAAUGAUUUUUCUUUGGAGAGACUAGAUCUGGAAUUUGUCGUGAUGAACUUCAGUGGUUUCGUGGUCUGUAAAGUAACCUUCUUGUGAAAAUAUCACCUUGAUCUCUUAAUGAAAGUUGUAGUGUACUUCUUGAGGUAGAACAUAUAAAAAAUAUAGAGAAAAAAAACAAGAGUAGGUAGGUGAAAUUGUGGUCUUUCGAAGAUGGUUAGAUCUGGAAAUUUCGGUACUAGGAACAUAAGUUUUAACCGCCUAUAUUUAAUUACCUAGGAUGAAUCUGACUUCGAUGUCUUCAUAAAGUAUUUAAAUUGUGGUCUUGGCUAUCACAUAGUCGAAUUCCAUAAUUUUUAAAUGUCAUUUGGGUAUUUAAUCGAAGGUGUUUCUAAAACUGUGCGAUCUGAUGUGUUUGGACUUGGUAAUGUUGCAAUGCGUGGUCUACACCGUUUUUUAUGAGAUUCUUUUGGAAAAUUUUUCUGCAUGAAAUUCCUUUAUUUAUAUCUUGCCUACAGCAUAUUCAAAUUUCGUAAUUUUUGAAGUUCAUUUGCUUAUUUAACCAAAACAUUUUCAAAAACUGUGCAAGUGGAACGGACAGAAUUAGUAGUGCUGUGAUGCGUGGUCUGUAUUGAACUAUAUAUGGAUAUUUUGGUGUAGUGUUCUUCAUGAAGUAUCUGCCUUUAUGUCUUAAAUAUCACAUGUUCGAAUUUCAUAAUUUUUGAAUGUCAUUUGGGUAUUUAAUGAAAAAAAUUUCUAAAACCGUGCUAGCUGGAUUGUGCAAAUUUCAAAAGCUGUGAUGCAUGAACUAUCCUGUUUUGUAUGAAAUUCUAGUGGUGCUGUGUUCUUCAUGAGAUGAAUGCCCUUAGAGUUUGUCUAUGUUGUACUAAAUUCUUAGGAAUUAUUAGAGACAAUCACUAAAUUUUAGGAAAUGUAAAUUAAAAAGAAUGUUUUCUGUUUUCUAAAAUAAUAGUAAUUGAUCUUGCUGCAUAUGUGAUGAUAUAUGGCAUUGCAUAUAAAAUCAAAAGCUGAAAUUGACUUUGUUGCCAUCACAUUAUGUGCCAUGUUAAUAUUGAGACACAAUUGUGAACAUGAAUUGUGAUAAAUGAGGAUGUCGUUGGAGGUGUGAGCCGACGAUGCCCCGGGAGUGUCUGUGGGGGUACCGGAUGCUCGGUGGCCUAGUGGCGUAAUUCCAGAGGGUCCUCAAGAGUUUCAAGAUGUCCAAUGGUAUACGGUACGUAAUUCCAGAGGGAAUGCCUGGUGGUAUGUCGGUACGUAAUCAUGGAAGCCUCGGAGGUGUGUGCCGAGGGGAUUCCUCGUGAUGCCAAGUGGGAUGCGAGAUGCCCGGAGGUGUGUGCCGGAGGUUCCUCGCGAUGCCAGGUUGGAUGCGAGCGAUAAAUUAUGGGAUGCAAACAUUUGUCCCUAGAUGAAAAAUAAUGAAAUCCUUGUGAAAGAUAAGAGCUGAAAUUGAAUCAUGUGCAUGUGUGUAUGCAUAUGGCAUGAUGCAUGAUCUGCUUAUGAAAGUAAAUUGAUGCUAUUUGAUAUUGAAAAUGCGAUCAUGAAGGCAUGAAUGGAUCUCAUGGUGAUGUAUGCUUGAUAGCAUGGAUGAUACAAGUUAUGGUGAUAUAUACACGAUGGCAUGGUGAGAUAUGCAUGACUGCAUGGUGGUAUAUGCACGAUGGCAUGGCGAGAUAUGCAUGACUGCAUGGUGAUAUAUGCAUGAAUGCUUGAUGAUAAGUGCAUUGUGGUAUAUGCACAUAUGGCAUGGAGAUAUAUGCAUGAAUGCUUGAUGAUAAGUGCAUGGUGAUAUAUACACAUUUGGCAUGGUGAUAUAUGCAUGGCUGCAAGGUAAGUUAUGAUUGAAUGCAUGAAUGAUAUGUGCUUUGUUAUGAUGCCUUGAUUGUUCGGUUUGACGCAAUGAGUAGCUUGGUGGAUCUUUACUGCUGAGUGGUUGUACUCACCCCUUUUGGGGAUUAACAUUUCAUACUAGAUAAGAUUCCCCUGCUGCCACUGCCACUAGUAGAUGGAUCAAGUGGUUGGAUAUGAUCGCGAGGAGGAGGAUAGCAAAGGAAGGAACUUUUGGACACCGACACUAAUCGAUGGACUUUAAGUAUACGACUGUUGGAAGAGAUGUCGGUCUUCUUUUGAAGUACAGCCAAGUAUAGAAAACUAUGGCAUUUUGAUGUACCGAUGAAUGAUGUCCAUCUGGUUUAAGUAAAUAAAAGUGUUUGGCUUUUACUUAUAAAUGUUUAGUUAGUGUGCAUCGUUUUCUGAAUAUAGGGAAAUGAGUUGUUUGGAUGUGCAUCCGCCACAUGAACUGUGCAAGGGACCGAUCUAAAAGAUGUAAACCCCCAUGGUUGUAUGGGCUCGCUGCAAUUGAAAUGGUAUCAGAGUGACAUGUUAUUAGGAAAAGUGAAAGGUAAGUGAACUGUGGCGACCCUAACGGAUCGGGGGCCGUUCGAGGGGUGCCACACUGCUGGACUUCUUCAACUUUUCUUUUGUGGGUAUUGUCUUCAGCCUUGCACUCCACUUAGCAAUUAAUACGAAAGGAUCGAAUCUUAUUGGAAUUCUUCCAAACCUGGGCCGGGAAGUGGUGAGUGAUGUGAGGCGCUGAAGCUACGGGGAGAGAGAGUUCGCUGAUGUUUCCUCUUGCAGACGUGCAAGCACUGUAGGAAAUUGCUGAACUUGCGAAUCCUUGCACCCGAGGGGCUGAUUCUGCGUCUGGACUAGCCGCACUAGAUUGGCCAGGACUGUGAACUCGCUUGAGGUGCUGAGAUGGCCUAUGGAGAGCUUCACCCAUACCAACGCGCUGGGGCCUCGUUGGAGCUAGAACGUUGUGAAGAGGCUCAUUGGUGUUGCUUGGAACUCACCGGACAGAGGAGACUAGGCUGGGAACAAAUGUAGAGAGAUUGGAGAUCGCCAAAAGGCAGAAGCAGCUCAUGAAAGAGAUUUUGUAUUAAAGUCUUCCUGGCUGGGAUGGUAAUUGAUGACUUUCUGCACUUUUAUCACUAAGACGAUCGGUCUGAGCAAAAUCAUUGUCCAUAAGCAUACGAUGUGGGAAGACUUAAAGGUGUCGUGAGGCAUGCAAAGAAAAGAGACAUAGCUGGUUCGGGAUUUGAGCAGCUUUUGAUAGAAAGAGGUCAUGCCUAUUUCCUAUGGCAUAGUACCUGCUAGAGCUACUGACAAUUACAUGGUUUCUAUUUUCCACAUUUGACUUAAUACCCUGAUUAACCAUUUCCUCUUACAUUGUGCUGCACUUUUUUUUUCCCUUCCUUCUCAGUUCAUCUACUUGUUUUUGGCAUAACGAACUUCUAAUGCCAAAGCUUGUCUCUGUAAUGAACUCGCCCUGGAUAUGCAAAUCAACAAAGAUAAAUUGUUUAGCUAAAAAUCUGGGUAGAAGACUCAUGUGGACCGAUUUUCCUAUGUAUCUUUUCAUUUUUGAGUACAAUUUAAUAUGUGACUUUUUAGUGGAGUUCUUUGGCAACAUAUUGAAAUGAAUUACUGAGAUUACAAGUUCAAAACUUUAUGAUAUCUAAGUGUUGUCAUAAUCGAAGGUAGUAACAAAGAGGCAGUUUUCAUUGAUCAUGCUUUUAGCUUGCUUGCAUCCAACCACAUUACGGUCAUUCAGAUGUGGUACAGACGACCACAAGAGUUGGCAGAGUUUCUUGUGCAAGAGAAUGAUGUCUAAACAGAAGCCGAAAAUAUCAUCUAGGUGACUAAGGGCGUGUUUGGUAACGUUUCUGUUCCGAGAAACAAUUUUUGAAUAGAAAUAUAUAUAUAUAUAUAUAUAUAUAUAUAUAUAUAUUGUUUCUGUUCCCGAGAACAAUUUCUGAGUAUAAGAUGCGUUUGGUAACUGCAAAAAAUUUCUAUUCCAGGNNNNNNNNNNNNNNNNNNNNNNNNNNNNNNNNNNNNNNNNNNNNNNNNNNNNNNNNNNNNNNNNNNNNNNNNNNNNNNNNNNNNNNNNNNNNNNNNNNNNCCACCGAGGCCACCAGCAAGGCUCGACCUCACCCAAGUAGUGCGAGGUCGGCCUCACCCAAUGGCUGGGCAAGCUCGGCCUUGCUAAAUCUGGGCAAGGCCAACCUUGCCCAGCCCAAGCGAGUGUCGCUGUGGCUCAAUGUCUCUCUAGGGGCCGGCAAUGCUCCGGUGAGGUCGUUAGCCCUCAUCUGGCAAGUCAUCGGCGCUGGCGAUGGCCAAGGUCGGUGACCGGCAAAAGGAAGAAGAAGAAGAAGAAGAAACAACUUUUUUCUACUUCUUAUUUCUUUUUCAAAUCUGUUCCCAGGAACAAAAAUACUAUUUUUUUUGUUGCUGGGAACAAAAGUUUACAACUUUUUUCUACUUCUUAUUUCUUUUCCAAAUUUGUUUCCGGGAACAAAAGAACUAUUUUUUUGUUCCUGGGAACAAAAGUUUUACCAAACGCGUUUUUGUUCUUUUUUUUUGUUUCCCGGGACAAAAGAACAGAAAUUUUUGUUCCGGGGAACAGAAACAAAAAUAAACAAACAGGCCCUAGCUGAAACCUUUCUUGAGAUUACCAAUUUGUACAGCCUGAGAACUUAGAUAAUUCCUGGUUUUGGAAUACAAAGUUUCAGUUGAAAUUUCUGGAGAAAUUAGAGAUUUGACGUCCUUUGACUUCUCAAACUUGAGAAAAGGUCAAGCCACUUCAAGGAGAAACAGUAUACAGGACAUGAAGAUGUUGAGGAUCAGCAAUAUACCCUGGCCUCUCUCUGUGGCAUUAACAGAUAAAUUUGCGGAUCAAAUGAUGAAUUAAAUUGGUUUCUCAAGUUGUAGUGAUUGGCCUUUUGCAAAAUAUUAUUGAAGUGGACUGGAAACUCUCAUAUCUACCUCUUGUGGAAGCUUGUCAUUAAUAAUCAUAUCUUAGAAGAUGUGAGGUUUAUAGUUGUAGAAUUAAAAUUUUCUAUAAGCAUUGCAUUGAAGGUUCGCAUCCUAUUAUAGAAAAGGGAUCUUCGAAGACACGCAUGCGUAUCUUAAAAAUAACCAUGCCAGAUCUAAGCUACUCUGUAAAGGGAGAACUUUUAAGGUUGGUGUCCGCCGUGAUUUACGUUGAAAUCCCAGUUCAACAUGAUUUAGAACCGUCUCGCACGUUCGUCUCUCCGCUUCCACGUUUCUGGGUAUUUCUUCGCUCAUUCUGUCCACAACUGCUACAUAUUGCUGUUGUUGCGACCUCCGAGGACAAACCGAUCAAAGACAAAUAUAAUCUUGUCCGAAUCAAGGCAAUGUGUGCAGGCGCAAGUCUCAGAUUACUUGGUUUUGUUUGUAAGCAAUGUGAUCUCCAUCCCUUUUGAUAGCCUUUUCAUUUCCUCAAAACACCAAAGAAGAUGACAUUCGAGACGUGAAGUCACAAGCAAUUUAGUCUUAAAUUUGUGUUGGACCAUAUUCGACGAAGGGAGGCUCUACUUUGCAACGAAUUCAUCUAAAAUUUAACAUCUACUUCAAAAAAACAUUGUAAAAAUUGUUAAUGUCAAACGUCCAUCAUGUCACAUAGGACGGUCAGCGGCCACGUCAACUAUUCCCAACCUAUUUUUGUUGAAAGAUUACAUUGACAAAUUGUCAAAUGUUUACGACUAAGUUGGCCAAAAUUUAAAAGCUUAAAAUUGAAUUGAUUUGUUGUCCAGUAGAUUUAAAACUGAAUUGAUCUUUGUUAUUCUAAUUGGUCAACAACAAUCAAAAUAAACUCUAAGUAAACACUUAAUGUGCGAAUAGUUUUUUCCAUACCACUAAAAGUUUAAGAUUGAAUUUGCUUCAGUGGAUCUAUUAAACACCACCAAAAGUUUGUCCUAUUAAUGUGUGAACAAUUCGUUAUACGCCUAGCGUAUAUUGCGGCUUUUGUAUUUUGACUAUCUUACUUUAUUUUUAUUUUUUGGGACUCUCUUACCUGACGCCAACGAUUUAACUGAGGCCGAGCACCGGGCCUUGCUUGGGCAUGCAUGGCCUGAGAAUGCCAGGAUCGGCACCUUAUUUUUGUCGGCCCAUGUGUCGGGCCUUGUUCAUGGUUGGCCUUGGCCCGAUUUUUAAAAUUGAAAAAGUUUUUUUUAAAAAAACCAAUUUUAGUUCAGUUAUAAAAAGAAAAUUUAAUUGAUAAAUUUGAUGAAAAAAACUCAUUAUGUUAUACCAAAUUAAGUACAUGUACAUCUUCAUAUAAUUUGGAAAAAAAAAUUGCACACAAGUUGCACCAAAAGAGAAUGUAUAAUAAACAAAGUAUUUUCAGCACUGUUUCCCUUACUAUAAUUGGACGAUACGUUAUCAUUAUUAUCCUCUUGCUCAUACGGGGCACAUUCUUCUUUAGUUUCUUCCAAAAAUCAAUCAUGCCGUACACCUACCAAAUUUAAAAUUUUUGCAGAUUGUUGACAUCCAAACUUUCGUAACGGUCUAAGUAAGAAAAUUCUUGGUUCAAGACCUCCAAUCAUGGCAACUCUUGUUUCUUGACAAAUAAAUUAGUGUAAUGUCCUUAGUAUCUUAAUUGCAUGUAGAAAUUAGGAGUGUUGUAUUUCAUUAGUAAUUAUGCAUCAUUUGUUCAAUAAAACAAGAGUUGAUUUUUUGUGUUAGUCAAACCCAAAAAACCAAUUCUCGGUAAAAAAUUACGAAAGAAAAAGAAGACAUAAAAAAUUGCAUAUAUAUGCCAAUUUAGAUGGGUGUAUAGAAUUAGGCCUUUAAGUUUCCAAUUUUCUUAAAAAUGGCGAAAGGUUGAAUUUUUGGUUGAAUCUUUGACUAAAUAAAUUAGAAUCUCAUUAAUUUAUAAUUUCGUCUUUGUGACGUCUGAUAUAAGGAUGGUGAAUUUCGAAGUUUUCAAUCUGAUUAAGGAAAUUUCAACCAAUGAAGCCGAUCAAUUAUUUAGAGCAUGAUACUUGACACGUAAGAUUGGAGUUACUUAAACUCACACUUCGUGCCACUUAAUGCGAUCACACAAAAGCCAAAAGAAAAAAAAAAACGUGUUCUUCUACCCAUUUUGGAGGGGUAGCGGCACGUGUACAAGGAGAAACAAUCCCUCGUUUAUUGGUUGAGGUUCUUACGAGCACGUAGGGUAAUACGCCAUUUUUUUUUUCAGAGAGAAAAUCGAGAAGAAAUCCCCUCCAGAAGUUGCCUCUCCCGGGUUAGACACCGAAUGACACCACCGUAUGCCGUUCACCAUCCCCGAUCAACACAACUCCAGUCGCUGGCCAAUACAGAGCCGAGAGGGACCUUUUCUCAGAGCACGUGAGAAAUCUUCCUGAAAACCAGUCCCCGACGUCUUCCAUCUGCCUUGAACACGACUGAUCAUCGCUUGUCACCGUCAGCUAUAGUUUCGAAAGGGUGACGAACGUGCUCUGUUCGGGUUCAUUGCUGAAAGUUAGAUCUUUUUGUUGGCCGUGACUCCGACCCUCAACGACAACCAAAGCUUCCGAUCCAAUUACCAAUCACAGUUUUGUUUCCGUCCAUUAACAAUGGUGAUUAUUGGCGAGCAAAGUGAGCAAGAGUCACAGAUAUGCAUAUUGCCGAAUUUCUAAUAACGUACUUUCAGGUGCUUGGAUUGGCCUUGGUGGUUCUUAACAUAUUGAGUACAUUUUGCAAUAUUGGGGGCCCUUAUCUUGGAAGGCCUGUGAAUGGACAUGGAGAUGGUAUUCCUGAGGCGGUCAAUGGCAGUUGCGGGGUGGUAUAUGAACGGUUCUAGCUGAAUCAUUGUUGUUCAUAGAUGUCAUCUUAGAUCAUGUGUGGGUUUGGUCAGUAGUAGACUGAAAAUUAUAUAUAUAUAUAUAUAUAUAUAUAUAUAUAUGUAUGUAUGUAUGUAUAUGUAUAUGUAUAUGUAUAUGUAUGUAUGUAUGUAUAAAGCGAAGGGGGCAGAAUAGAGAAUAGAGGAUGGGCUUUAUAUUGGAAAAUAAAGUUGGAGUGGGCUCAGGGCCUAAUCCAUAAUUGGCUUAGUACAGUCGUCCUUCAAGAUGGGCUUAAUUAGGUUUAAUGAACUUUGGGCUUGACCAGUCUUAAGUGAGCUUGGGCUUAGCUUAGUGUGAUUUGGUUUUGGGCUGAGUUUGUUCUUUAAUGAGUUGGGCUUACACUAAUUGGAAGACAUUUUGCUCAACACCAACAUAGCUGAGAGGAUUUCAAACCAUUCUCAGGCAUCUUAUAAUUUUUUUUUUCUUUUUCUGUUCUCUAUUUAACUUGUUAAUUAUUGGGGAAAAACAAACAUAAUCAAUGAUGUCAUAAAAAUAAAGCACCCAUAUAUUAAUAUCAGACACUCCUUAAAAAGAGGAGGGCCGGGUGUGAGUAGCCCUUAUAGCUUUGGGCUGAAUGCGGCUCGAGAGCAAAAACCUUGAAAAGGCACUAAAACAUGAAAUUCCUAAUUCAAAUAGAUUAUAAUUGAACAUUGAGACAAACCAAUGGCUAUGAGAGGCUCAAGUUUAGGCCGCCAAAGUAUGGAACGAACUAAGCUCGAACUUAGUGAUACUUGAUUUGAGAGGCUUCUCUAAGCUUAUUAAACUUUUUUAUACUACAAUUGUUGAGACAAGGCAAGUUAAACUUUGAUCAUGCAAAAAAUCUAACCUAACACGUGCAUUUAAUCCCCUCACACAUGUUUGUUAGGGACUCGAAACAGAAUUGUUUUUUCUUCUAAAUAUUGUGUUAAUAGAUCAAUUACAUUACUAAUCACUAGAUUACAUGUAUGAUUGUUCAUUUAUUAAGGCUUGCUUAGGUCAUGGAAAUUCUCAAUUAAACCUGAAAACUGUUUAUUUAUUUGACCAAACCCUUCUCUUUCCUGGAAAAUAAGAAAACUCCAGUUUAAUGGAGAAAAAGAAAAACAAAGCGUGGUCUAGACUCAAUGCAGAUCACAAGGACGGUCAAACGAGGGAAAAAGAAAAGAACUUGCUUCGCGAGUUCUUCCUCGACUCAGUAAAGUUCCACGCAUUCACUUCACCAAUAAUAGUGCAUUGGUGCGGAAGACGCGAUUGACAUCAAAGGACGGGAAAACGCCAAGCCAAGCCAAUUUUUGAUUAAGACAAGCCGAGGAGGGAAAUUUAUGUGUUCAUAUGGCUGGUCGAUAGACAUUGUUUUUUCGUCAUUAUCUCAUAAGAAUUGCGAGUAUAAUGACGUAAUAACAAGAAGUUGGUUCUAUCCAAUCACCGAUGAGUUUCAUGCACAAGAGAGCGUGGACUUGCGAAGUCUGUUCAUUUGUUUAUAAGUAAGAAUUUGUAUUCCAAAAAAUAUUGUAAGUGGAGCAAGUCAUUAAGCACCAUGAAACAUAUCAUGCAUCAAUCAUACUACUAAUGUAUAGUAGUUUAAAAAAAUCCACAAUCAAUUUCUCUGUGAUAUCCACAUAUAAUAAUCUGAAUCUAAUAUUUCGUAUAAAUAAACAACUAGGACGAUAAACGAUGCUAGCAAAUAUUUGGAUACAACCAAAAUAAUCUUGUGACAUGUGAAGAAGCCAUAAAGCUUCAAGAUGCAAAGGUAAAAAUCGAAAUCAAUUGCCUUAAUUAAUUAAGCCGUAAUACUUUUUGGAAAAUUGUAUUAAUUAUGAUUCCUUUGACAACAACUUGCUAAGAUAAUCAAAGGUGAAAAUCUAUUUAUUGAGAUCGAAAGCUGAUGAGGUCUAGAUUGUACAAUUGAGCAACCAAUCAUAUAUAAAAGAGUACAUCUGGCAUUCGUCAAUUAUGAUUUCAAUAUCAAAAGAGAUUAUCUCAUAUGUUUUCAAGAUAAAGUUAUCACAAAAUUAAUGUAUUAUGAUUGUGUAUGUGCCCUAAGAGAAAAUUAUUGCCCGACAACAUUGAUAGACAAGAUCAUCCGCAUAAAUUUUCUCAACUAACAGCAUGGGAAAUUUCCAAACAAACACACUAGACAAUUCAUGGUACUUAGUACUUACACAACCAACUUUUGUUUUUUCUUUUUAUUUUUUUCCCUCUUAUUUCACUCGAAUAGCCAAUGUUUCUAUCUGUAAUUUUGUCCACCUUCCAGAUUCUUUCUUUCCUUGCACUCCAACUUGACUUGAACUUGCUGAGGUUUACAUUUCCUGUUCAACAAUCGGAAGAUUAAUUAUAUAUAUUUGUUUCUUUGUUUGUUAAGCAUUCCACAAGCAAGGGGAAGUUCAAGGUUGAGCCCAUCGGUAUAUUAAGUUGAAAUCAAUUUCACUCAAAAACUGUGAUGGAUCAACUAUAAUAUAUUAACUACUCUACUCCUUAUCAAUUUUCCAAUAUGGAGUUUUUCUAACAUAAUUUAUAAGCGCUAAGUAUAUGUCAAUACAAGGCACUUUAAACUUUAGUCAUGCGAAAAAUCUAACCUAACUCACGCAUUAAAUCCCCUCACACAUGUUUGUAGGGACUCGGAGUAGAAUGCUUUUCUUUUUUCUCUAAAUAUAGUGUUAAUAGCUCGAUUACAUUACUAAUCACUCGAUUACAUGUGCGAUUGAUUAUUUACUAAGGCCUGCUUAGCUCUUGGGAUUUCUCAAUUAAACCUGAAAACUAUUUAUUUUAAUUGACUCCCUUUCCUUUCCUGGAAACUAAAACUCGUCCAACGUGGGUCAGACUCCAUUGGCAAGGAUGGUCAAAUGAGGAAAAAAAAGGGAGUAACUUGCUUCUUGAGUUCUAUACCUUGACUCGGUCAAGUUCCACGCAUUUAGUACACCAAUAAUAGCGAGUCAGUGCAAAAGACGCGACUGAAACAAAGGACCGGGCAAAACUUUCGACUAAGACCCGCCGGGGAGCGAAAUUCAUGUGUUCACAAAUCACCGAUCAGUUUCGUGCCCAACAAAUAGGGAGGUCUUGCGAAGUCUUUUUAUUUAUUUAUAAGUAAGAAUUUAAAUACCAAAAAAUAUUUUAAGUGCACCAAGUCAAUAUACACCGUGAAACUAAUGCAUGAUAGUUUGAAAAAAUCCAUAAUCAAUUUCUCCGUAAUAUCUAUAUGUAAUAACCUAAAUCUAACAUCUCUUAGAUAAUAAAUUAUGCUAGGGGUAAGUAUGGUCCGAGUUGGGCCAGUUCACCCCCUAACCCUAGGAUCAACCCGUACAGUGUUGGUCUUCAAUUUUUGGGACCGAUGAUUGACUCUAUUGAGUUUAGGACCGAAGACCGAACCGGUUCAGUCCGAUUCCAGGAUUAAUCUGAGACCAAUAGAUAAUUUUUUUAUUUCAUUUUUUGUACUCCCUAAAAAGGUGAUCGAUGACUAGACUAACCCAAUAGGUUUGGUGAUGAGCGAGGUUAGCUAAGAGAGGCCAGGGCGAACAUCGAGUGUCGAGUGUUGUGAGCGUCAAGUGGUAAGCGGCACGAGUGGCCAAAAGCAAGCAAGUCGAAUGUCGAGUAGCAAGCGAAUAAGUUGUUUCUAUCGAUUUUGACAAAUUGAAGAUUAAGAUGACAAAUAAGACAAAAAAGAACGAGUACUAGAGGAGGAUGCUAUGAGGAGCUAUUUAUGCCAUUUUGGACGAUGUGAGGACUCCUCAAAAAAACAUUUUCCUCAUUUGUAAAUUAUCGUUGUUGAUGUCAUAAAAUACAUUAGAAAUCUAAGUUAUUAAAGAACGGUGUAAAAUUACUUGGACUCCUCACUAAAGAGUUGUUCAAUGUUGUUGCGUUGUUUAUUUUAGAGUUUUCUCUAUAUAAAAAAAAUAUCAAUAAUAUAUUAGAUAUAACAAUUAUACAGUCAAGGUUGGUCCGGAUUAAACCAACCUUAAACUCUUAGUACCGAGGACCAACCCUUACAAUGCUAGUCCAUGAAUCCUAGGAUCAAAGAUUGACCCAAUCUCCUUGGGAACCAGACUGGGACUAGCAAAGUUGGGUCGGUCUAAAGUCGGUCUAGGGUCAACCCUAGACUAAUGCUUACCCCUGAACUAUGCUACUGAAAAUUUGAACAAAACCAAAAUAAUCUUGUGUCAUGUAAGCAAGCCAUAAAACUUGAAUAUGCAAAAGUAAAAAUUGAAAUCAAUUGCCUUAAUUAAUUAAGCCAUAAUACUUUUUGGGAAAUUGUAGUAACUAUCAUUCGUUUGACAACAACUAGCUAAGAUAAUCGAGGGUGAAAAUACAUUUAUUAAGAUCGAAAGGUGAUGAGGUCUACGUCGUGGUAGGUGGACUGUGAGCACGUAAUCUACUUGACUUCAAAAUUAAAUAAGUGCUAAGCAUAUGUCCAAAUCUUGACAGACCUUGCGGCAUAGCAAAGAAACUAGCACAUAUAAUUAAUGCAAUUGGUUGUGCUUGCCUGAUGGUCUUCCUAUAUCCAAGUCUCAUUAGGUUGGAGUCUAUAAUUAUUGGCUAGCUUCUGAGAUGACCGACUAAAAUCAAGAUGAAGAGGAACUCGAAGGCAAUCCUAAGCAUGGAUAUUGAGCCAAAAGAUGAGUGUGAUGUGUUUUUGAAUUUCAGGGGACUAGACUGUCGCGACCAACUUUUUCGGUGCCCGUUCAAGGCCAAGUGCCUACAGAGGCUAAUGGUUUGGCUAGGUUUAUUAGGCUUAGCUUGGACUCUUCUAAGUCCACCAAUUCACGACUUAAUGGUCCAAGUUUUUUUAACCUGUAAGUUAAUUUUAAAUAGGAAUCGUCACUAAUCAAUUUAGGGUGGGUUGAUUAGAAACUCAAGCGAAGUAUUGGGGGAAAUACUUGCUCAUGCGUAACCAGAGAAACUAGGUUCGGGAACUUAAUUACACUUAAUCACUAAUGCCCUUCUGGUACCUAAUCUUGUUUAAACCCUAAGGUUUUUUUUUUUUGGAUUUUUUAGGGGUUUUCCAUGCAUUUGUGGAGGAAAAACAUUUUUUUGGACAUUUUUCUAUUUUUUAAACAUAAAAGGGAUUUUUGGACUUUUUGGUCUUUUUCUGGAAAAUAUAAAUAAUUAUUUUUGGCUUUUUCUGAUUUUUUUUUGGGAAAAUAUGGGAUAUUUUUUAUUUUUUGAUUUUUCUGGAAAAUAAGCAGCCCCCUUUGGCUGCUUUUUUUUUUCUCUUAUUAUUAUCUAUUAUUUAUUAUCCAAAAAAAAAGGAAAAAUACAUAAAUAGAGAAAUUAAGGCCUAAUUAAAACCUAAUUAAAAUUUAGGUGUCAACAUAGACACACGCCUAACCUUAGCUAAUAGCCCUUACGUCCACUUGAUGCGCACCGCAUGGUCAAAUGGGGAAAAAAAAAAGAAAAAGAAAACAUGGGCUGAACAUCAUUAGCAAAGCCCAAGGAUGAUUCAAUGAGGAAAAUAGAGAUGAACUUGCUGCGUGAGUUCUGAGUUCGAGCUUGACUUAGUAAAGUUCAAUGCAGUCCCUUCACCAACAAUAGUGCGUUAGUACAGAGAUGCAACUAAAAACAAAGGAUCGUGAAAAAGCCAAGUCAACUUUUGAUUGAGACAAGCCGAGGAAGCAUAUUCAUGCAUUCAUAUAACUUAUCGAUAAUCUUUCUGUGAUAUUCAAAGGGCGCGUUUGGUAACGUUUUUAUUCAAAAAUAGUUCCCAGAAUAGAAAUAGAAAAAACUAUUUCUAUUAAAGGGAAUAAUUUUUUAACAGAAAAACGUGUUUUGUAAACUUGUAUAAUUUUUUAUUUCUUUUAAUUUUUUAAUAUUUUUUAUUUUAUUUUUCCUUUUUUCCUUUUUUCUUUGUUCCUUUUGGCCGGUCGCCAGGCCGGCGACCUCACCCAGCCACAACGAGGCUCACCAGCCCCCAAUGAGGCCGGUGACACUUCAGCGAGAUCGCUGGCCCUCGGUGACACUUCGGCGAGAUCACUGGCCCUCGACGGCCAGUCGCCGACCAUGGCCGAGGCCAACAAUUGGCCAAAGUCGAAAUUGUUCCUGGGAACAAGAAAUAAGUUUUUUCUACUUCUUAUUUCUUUUCCAAAUCUGUUCCCAAGAACAAAAAAAUAAAUUUUUUGUUCCUGAAAACAAAAGUGUAAACAAACGCGUUUUUGUUCUUUUUUUGUUCCCCGGGACAAAAGAACAAAAAUUUGUGUUGCGGGGAACAGAAAAAAAUUUAAACAAACAGCCCCAUAGACUCUAUAGUUCCUUAGAAAGUCAAUUUCCAAUUAGUGGUCAUUGAGACUCAUGGGCAAUGCAGAUUAAUAUGUAGGGAUAGAUAUUACCUCUCCUUUUUCCCUUUCAAAAAAAUUGAAAUGAUUGAAAUUUUUCUAUUUGGAAUUGUCUUAGGUCUAAUUCAUAUUACUUUAGCUGGAUUAUUUGCAACUGCAAAUUUACAAUACAAAUGUGGUUUCAUUUCUCGGACAAGCCUUAGCCUAGUGCUGCAUCAUAGGUCAUCUAGAGCAGGGUUAGGGCGAGUGAAUAGAAGAUUGCAGUGCGAGAUUUCGAGAAGCUUGAGAUGAGCUUUUUGGUAAAGAAGAUGAUCUGCUAUUAGUCUAUAGCAUGAGAGAUGCUAUAAAAAAAGAAUCUGUAACCAUCAACUUCCGUUCCCGCUCAAUGGCGUGUUUUCAGUUGAGUAAAACUUUGAACCCGCAGUUUUGUUUAUUUAAAAAAAAAAAAUAAAUUCAUCAAAGCUGUUUGGCGUUUCCAAAAGAGGAUGAGAACGGGGAAAUGGAAGAGGAUUUCCUUGAAAGCAAACUCCUUGAAAGCAAACGGCCCCUACCAAUCGGUCAAAAAGACACUGAGUAAACGGUUAAAAGGGGGGAAAACGGUCAAAAAUAUAUUUUAUAAGAUUGCAGUGCCAUUUGAUUGCAGUGCCAUUUGAUUGCAUAUAUUCUAUAGAUGUUAGUAAGUUUUUAUUUUAUUUUAUUGUAAUGGUCUAAAAAUACCAUGAAAUAAUGUGCAACAAAAGCAAAACUAACCUUAAUCUUAAUUGUUGGGGAUAAGUGAACAAAAAUUUCCUAGAAUUUGUCGUAAAACUGCAAACAAAUCUUACAAGUUUCAAAUGGUAAAAUAAAAUCCUAAAAUUUAUUGAUUUGGUGCAAUAAAAUCCCUCCAUUAACUCUGUUUGAUUUGGCUAACAGAAAAAACUAAUAUGUUAUUUUUAUUAUUUUCAACACGUGGCACUGAUUUGGCCCUUACUGAGCACAAUAUCGGAAAAAAACUUGAAAAUUGAAAAAAGAAAAAAAGAAAAGGAGGAUAAAAAGGAAAAAAGAGAAGGAUAACAGAAAAAAGGACACGAAUUAAAAAAUAAAAAAGUUGAAAGUCUAAGUGACGAAGGAUUAAAGGAUAGGCAAAAGGAAGAUCCGCCAGCUUCCGUAUAGGUUUUUAGUCACUUUCAUGACUUAGGCAUAACAAAUCAUUGGCAUUGUUUUCAAACUUGAAGAACUUACGGGUUCUGGAAGUUCAUAAAUGGUCGAUUGCACACUUCACGGUCCUUGUAGACUUAGAGAUGCUAGAAGGUAUUGAAAUUAAUUUUUCUACAUAUAUAUCAAUUGAGAGAAAUUCACAUAUCCUGCUUGAAGAAUCCACCCUACUUGGUUUCGAUUCAAUUAGAGAGCCUUCUUCAGAUCGAAGGUUUUUGGUGUAAGAACAAUUGCAGCCUAGAUGAUAUUAUCAAUGGUUUAGUAAUUAUCUACAUGCUAAAAAACAUAUUGGUUAUGAAAAGUUGCAAUUUUUUUUUUUAAAUGAAGAUAGCAUAUGAAAAGUCACAACUUUUAUGAAGAUAGAAAAUUCUAUGUGCUUUAAUGGAACACUUGUCGAAAGCAUCUAAUGAUAGCUUAUAAAAGAAGCCUAGUCCUCUCUCCACCCAUCAAGAAAAAGAAAAGUUGUAUUCUAUUCUUUAUUAGAUAAAAUGCAUAAGAAAAAAUGGGUUAAGGGAGAGAAAUCGGAUUUUAUCAUUUCUCCUAUUUUCGCAAUAAUCGAAAGCUCAAGAAUAUUACAUUUUCAAGGUUAUUUUUAUGGAUACAAGUAUACCUAAAUACCUCUUGUCAUGAAUAAAUUAUGAAGAUCUAAGAUUCUUUUAUUAUGAAUUUCCGCAUUAUCGAUUACAUUAUUGCUAACAUUUGGAGGAAUCAAAAUCCUUGGGGAACCUAGAGAUACUGUGAUCUUUUGAAGUUGAAAAAUCGAGGGCAUCUUAACAAGAUUUUUCCUCGGAUGCUUGAUUAAGACCCCUUAUUGGAAUACCAAUCACAGUUUACUGUGUCAUUUAAUAAAAAAUUAGGUUUGGUACACAAACAUGACUUUGUCUCCAGUGCCAAACUUCACACCUCCCCCAGGUGGUCACUGGCUUGGAGCUAGAGCUUUGCCUAACCUGCUUUUGUUUCAUUCCCAUUUUUUUUUUUUUUUGUACUUCUGCAUUCAUUUGACUCCAUUUUCGACAUUAUUAGGUUCUUUUCAUGUUUUGUGCACACUUACUCCGCGUGUGCUUUUUUUCGCUAUCUUCGAUGAAAAAGGUAAAAAGAAUCUCCACAAACACACAUGCUAAGUGGAAAUAAAUUAAUCAAUGGAUUGUCAUCAUUAACACUUCUUCGAUAAAUAUAUAACGAUAAACCAAUUUAAUCUCGCCAUCCCAAUGCCAUGUGUUUGUUAUAUUAAAAUAUUAACACUAUAUGUCAUCUAACAGUUUAAAUUUUUUGAAUAGUUAGUAAUGAUCCCAUAUAGUAAGAGGUCAUGACUUCAAAUAUUUCCAAACCCAUGUUUGCUUCCAAUAUUAUAUAUUUCCACAAUUUAGUCUUAGGUUAAACUCCAGCUUGUGCAUGGGGGGCGUAUUAUAUUUAAAUAUUAAGACCACGCAAUUAUCUUACAACUCAAACUUUUAGAACAAUCAGAAUUUUUUUUUUUGUUAGUUAUCUAUUAUUCAAAUGAACCAAACGUCUUAAGUAUACAAUAAUAUAUACAAAUAUACUUUGUGGCUUUUGGCAUUUGAAAGAAUGACGAAAAUUUUAAUGAAGGGAGGGAUGCAUGAUUAAAGUUUUACGAAAUGCAUUUGAACCGGAGAAAACUUGAUUGAAUAUUAGAACCUAUAAAAGUUUUACGAAAUGAAGUGUUAUCUUUGUUGACCAUUGAAAGUUUCCAGUUUCUCCAUUUUUGUAUGAUGCACAGUUAUUAUUCUUUGUUAUAGUGUGUGGGUUUGGCGAAAUUUUAAGUGAAAGUUUAAGUUGAAUGUCUAUUGAGUCCAGUCUAUUAUAGAGAGAUAAUAGCGUUAAUGGAGCUGUGAGAUCCACUUUUUUUUUCAUUGAAUCCCAAAAACGACAGAAAAGAUACCGCGAAGUGUUAAGUAUGGAAUGACCAAGGUAUUACUUUCAUAACUCUUAGUAAUUUAAACUGAAACAAAAAGUGAUGACUCAUAAAGAUAUAUUUAGAUGGAAUGAUUAUAACAUUUGAUUGUUUUAUAAAAGGUGCCCGUUAGCCCUUGUCAUUGUCAUUGGACUGUUCAUCUUCUUCUCUAUUGAGAUCGGCCAACUUGUUGCGCGGGGCUAUGAGCGGCCGGCAAUGGCUAGAUAGAGGUCAACAUGCUCGCGGUGACUGAUCGUCGCUGAAGUGCGACUGCCACGCCAUUUGGGUCACGACGACCAUUGUGGGUCGCGGCGAGAUUUGAGUCACCGACCUCGCUGCGACCCAAAUCUAGGCCGCUUGGGGACACCUGACCCUGGGCAGCCCUCCCCAGUUGUCUACGAGGUUGCCUAAGGUCUUGCAACUUCAGAUGUCGACUACCAAUGACAGAUUUUGAUCGCCGGCGGCCACCUAUCCUCACUGGCCAACAUUUUUGUUUUUCUUUUGAUGAAUUUUUUCUUUUUUUUUAAUCACAAAAUUCAUUUGUAAAUAUAAUCUCUCCAAACACUAUUUUGCUCAAAGGUACUUCACAAUGAACUUUCAUAUUACAAUUUAACAAACACAAUUUGCAUUUUGAAAAGCGUUUUCAACCUAAAGUUCUUUGUAUUUUCUCAAUAGUUUUCCCCAAAAGUCCAACCAAAUGCACCUAAGCCAUUAAGCACAAUAAGUAACUAUAAUAGAAUUAUUAAUAAAAUAACCGAAAAAAUCUUAAGUUUAUUAUACGGAUAUCAAUUUAAUCCUAAAUUUAUCAAUUUAACCAAUUUAAUCUUAUACAUUUGCGAAAAGUUCCACUAUAGUCCAUCAAGUAAAUUUUGAUUCGAAAUCAUUAACGUAGCGGUUCAAUCAUCUUUGGCCGUGUAUGCCGAUGACAUGGAUGCCAUUGUUUUGAUUUUUUUUUUUUCAAAUUUUUUCAGAUUUUCUUUUUUCAAAUUUGCUCAAAAUGACGUUGAUAUGAUUGAUGAAGUAGUAAUAAUUCUCCGAAAACCAUAGGAAUUAUGAUUUAUCUUUCAUCCCACUUGAUGUUAUUUUUAAACAAUGGUUAUUUUAGAGAACAAUAAGUGCAUUCAAAAUUUUAAGGCUUAUUAAAAAGUGCAAUUCCUAAAAUAUUCAAAAUGUGCAAUCAAGUUGUAAAGUUUAUCAAAUUAAUGCAAUUAAAUCCUUCCAUUAACCUUAUUUAACUUAGCUUAUGAAAAAUGCUAAUGCGGAUUUUUUUUUAUUGUUUUAUCUCCCCUAAGUAGGGUUAAAUUUGUUAAAGUAUUAUGCAUAAGACUAAAACGACAUCAUUUUGGUCCAAAUGAUUUUUUUACCUAAUUCUUAGUUAAACCUUAUUAAAAAAAGGAUAUUUUUUUUUCCAAAAAAAGGAAAUAAAGUGCAUAGGUGAGGAUGAUUUAUGAGGGUUGCCAAACUAGCAAAGUGAAAAAAAGAAAAAGAAAAAGAAAAAAGAAAAAGCGCGCAUUGACAAAGUUAUGUCAGAUUUUUUGUUAGUCAAGUUGGACAGAGCUAAAAAGGAUGUGAUUACACUAAUUGGACAAGUAUUAAGACUUAAUUGUAUUGAUAGUUCAUGAGCUAGAAAAUUACUCUUCAAAAGCAACCCGAUCUCUCCCCACCUAUUUAUACACAUCGACAUAUGUAGUUGAUGGUGCAUCACUCAAACUACUUGCAUUAAGUGUGAAUAUGUCUCUAUGGAUGCUGAUUUUUAAAUUUCAAGCUAAGCACUCCUAAAACCGCUGCAUGUUAUUGUUCAGUAUUCUUAAAAUGUUGUACCCUUUGAGUGUAAAAACAACUUGAAAAUAGCAAUUCAAUGUUGUAAUUUUGGGAAGUUAUUAUUAGUUAAGAAGCAUACAUACAUUAUCAAAAAGACUCUCAAACCAAGUAAUGAAAUCUAGCUUGGAGUCACGUGUAACUUCACUAUAGUGGUAACCUGUUGGGGAGGUUUUUUGUUUUUUGUUUUUUGGUCGGUACUUGUUGGGGAGGUUUUUUUUUUUUUUUUUUUUGUCAGUCCUACUCUAAUCCUACUCGACACUCACUCGCAGACUUGUGCCCUGCCUCUUGCAGGGCGUGGGAGUCGCAACCCACUCUCGAAACUUACGCGUCCCUACCCCCAUCCCCCCCUGAGGAGGUGGGGAUUUGAACCCAUCACCUCCCCCUUCCAUGUUGGAAGGGUGGCCACUGGGUCGUGAACUUUUUCAAGACGUUAGAGACCAACUUCUAGAGUGAGUUAAAAUUAAGUGAGUAUGAAAAUAUGGAGAUUGCAAUGUGAACUUUUUCAAGACGUUAGAGACCAACUUCUAGAGUGAGUUAAAAUUAAGUGAGUAUGAAAAUAUGGAGAUUGCAAUGUGAGAUUUUGAGAAGUUUGAGAUAAGCUGUGCGCUUUUGGUAGAGAAGAUGACGUGCGAUUAGUCCUCAAAAUGAGAUAUUUCUCCAGAAAAGAGCCUGCGAGCAUCAGCCUCCCUUUCCGCUCAAUGGUGUGCUUUCAAUUGAGUAAAAUCUGAACGCCAUUUUUAAAUAAAAAAAACCAGUUUCAGCUUUAAAUUUAUGAAACCGGAUUGGUGUUUUCGAAAGAAAAUGAGAAAAGGAAAGUGGAGGAUCCUCUUUAAAGCAAAAGCAAUACCUACCGAUCGCUCAAAAGGAGCUUUACUCUGCCGUGUCUGCCACUAGCUCGGCGAUCGGUGGAGCUUUUUGACUUUAGGGGUUUCCAUAAUUUAUUCUGCGGGUCCUCUCUUUCCCGGAAAUUCACCUUCGCUUUCCCCCGCGUUUCUUGACGUUUUCUUCGCCUCGAGAGCAACCACAGAGCCAAAAAUCACCUCUCCUUGAGAAGCCUUAGUCGAU